CUGUACUCUUGACUCUGCCUACCUAUCUGCAAGUUCUGGUAGUAGUACGUGUGCUGGGUGUUUGCCAAUGCUUUGUUGGUUAGUAGUUUGUAAGAACUGAAUCUGUUGCUACUUUUGGCAAACUGAUCGAUCUAUAUAUGUGGUAAUGCUGCAGUAGUGUUGAUCUGAUUAAUGUUGGUUUUCCGCUCUUCUGAACACAUCAAUGUAUGGCCAUUCAUAUUUUAGUUGUUGAACUCUGGUUAUUUGCAGACCUCCUGCAUGAUUUUUUACUGAAUUUACCUGAAUCACUGUAUCCUGUUGUGCAAACAAAGAUUUAGAAAUAAUGAUGCAUUCCUAUACUAGUGAUUUGAAUUUUUACUUGGUGAUUGAAUUGAUCUCUGUCAUGUCUGCUUUCAUAUGGCAGCAGCUUGGUGUUACUCUGAAAACGACAAAUGUGAGUUGUUUUCAAGAAAAAUGAAAUGAGAGUUAGCUCUCCAUUUCUUGCACAAAACAAGAUGAGGUUCUAGAGCGAUGCUUUGAUUUAUCGCUUCGCUUGUCAAACCGAAGGAACCUUUCAUGCCUGCUAUGCACAUUAGGUGUACCAUGGAGCAGCUGUAGUAGUAGCUUCAGACUUGGCUUCGACAGUGUUCUGUAGUUAGAUGAUGGAGUGCGCUCUGACCAUGUUAGCCUACUAUAACAUUUGUGCUGGAAUUUGUGUGUUGCAAUCAGAGUGUUCUUGGAUAAAUCAGAAGUGGCAUAUGCAACUUAAUUAUGUCGCUCUUAAGUCUUAACUAGCAAAUGUACGGAUGGUUUGCCGAUUACUGUUGAGUAAACUAUUAGCAAUGUAGUACUAUUUUGGCCAUUAGUUCUUUUUUUUCAAAUCAUGCAUGCAUGAGAGCUGAUAAAGGUACAAAAGAGGUUCAUCUACAGGAUGCACUACACUCAUGUUCUUAUUUGGACAACUUGCCGCUUCGGUUCUUUGGCAUUCCAUUCUUCAUGUCCCACACUAAUUUCUCUCUUACCCAUUUUAUAUAUAUUACAGCAGCCAUAGGUUUCUCGAUUUCCCAUCCUAAGUUUUUAGUAGAAUUUAGAAGUUGGACUAAAUGCAUAAUGUGUGCACUUGCAAGAAGAUAAGAAAUAUAUUACUAAAUGAAUUACUACUUCUAAGACCAAACUAUUGCUUCUGGAUUUACAAAUUCAUCUGAAUCAAGUUAGUUGUUUCUGCCAGUAUAUGUGUAUGACUUUGUAGGAGUAGUAAGUAGCACAUGAGUUUCUCUGUAUUCGACUUUACUAUUGACCUUUUAAAGUUAUUAGGAUACUCUAGCACUCUGUGCAGCAAUUUGCAGAUUGCAUCUGUGCUCACAGUGAACAAAAAAAAUCUGCUAAUGUAGAAUAAUUAGGAUUUGACAAGCGCAAACAUGUUACUUCUCUUGCUAAUAAAUGGACCUGAUUAAAUGAAUAUAGUCAUAAAUCUGGAAAAUAAAGAACAAAAGGCGCAUUGAAAGCCUUGUGUUCCAUUUGGGAAACUGGCAAUGGCUUGAUUUAUGAUACAGCUACAUCAAUGAUGAAUCUUGUUUUCUGAGACGCAUUUAUUAACUAUGCCUGCUCAAGCAAUUCUUUUUGUUCUCAACAAUCCGCUUCAUAUAUUUGCUUUUCGAGGGUUGAAAAUCAAUGUUGAAUUUUACACUUCAGGCCAAGCAGUUCAUCUAUGCCUGAAUGCUUUAGUGAUGUUGGCGUGCCGAACCAUAUCUAUUUUUUUAGCCGAAACAGUAGAACAAUUGUUCUACGGUAUAUUUUCAUUAAUUAAAAGAACAGUACAAAUACAAAGUAUAGUACAAAUCAACCAAUACCAGUUUUAGGAAACCCCAUGAUUAAAUUAAGUGUUCUAUUCUAUCCAAAAUCUGAUCUUCUCUGACUUUGAUGAUUUGGCUCUGAGUUCUGAAGCUUGGAGUCCUUCUUUCAGAUAAUGCUUCCAAGAUCCACUGAUGGGGCCGCUCUCCUGAAAAUUUUGUCAUUUCUACUCAUCCAGAUGCCCCAGCAACCCUGAAUAAUGAUGUCCAUUGCAAUGUCUGAUGGGAGGUCUCUCAUGGAGAGAUGAAUUUCAUCAUAUACAGAUAUGCCUCUGAACUUGUUUGGUACUAUGGUGUGCCAGCACCUCGAAGCAAAUUGGCAAUCCCAGAACAGAUGAACAGCUGUUUCCUCUGUGGCAUCAGCACAUAGGGCACAAUUAUAGUCGUCCAGAUACAUGUUCCUCCUAUGUAUUAAGUUCCUAGUACUCAGGUUAUCCCAAAGCAACAGCCAGAAGAAGAUCUUAUGCCUGAGUUUGCAUGCUGACUUCCAAAGAGCUCUGAAAAUGUCAUGGGCUGUGCUCUCCCCUCUGAUUGCUUUGUACAUUUUCAUAGAUGAGUAAUUAGGUGAGGCCCAAGUGUAUGACCAUUUGUCAUUGUGUGUAGAAGAAGCUUGCCCAUUCAUUAUCAUCUGCAGGGAUGUGAAUUGAUGAAAUGCUAACUGGGAGAGAGGUCUGUGAAAUAGUUGGCUGAUGUCUGUGUGCACAAGGGCACCACUCAAGGAGAUUGCCUGAUUGAUAGCAUAUGAAUGGAGCUCAGGGAAUGUAGUGAGGAGUGGUAGCUCUUGCCACCUGUCAGUCCAAAAGCCCACCGAAUCUCCAAUGCCUGCUUUACAGAUAGCAUGAUGCUUAAACAUUGGGAGAAGUUUAAGAACAUCUCUCCACCAGAAAGAUCCCACCUUCUGCUCCUCUGGUAGCCUGUUAUGAUAGUGUUUCUCCCAAAUGAUAUUCACCCAUGGUGUGUCCACUUUGUUGAAGAACUUAUGCAAGAAUUUCAGGAGAAGGGCCUUGUUGUGCAUGUGGAGGUCUAAAACCCCAAGUCCACCAUGGUUUUUAGGUCUACUAACUUUGUCCCAAGCAAUUAGCACAGCCCCUCUUUCCAAGGUUCCAUAUUUUCUCCCAAAACAAUUCAUAAGAUAAGUGUUGAUUUGCUUAAUGACUAUUUUGGGUAUCAUCAGAGUACUCAUGAAGAAAGUGGGCAUACUUGUGAAGAUGGAUUUUAUGAGGGUGAGUUUAUCUCCAGUAGACAACGUGGUAGAGCAGCUUAGUAACCUAGUCUCAAUUCUGUGAAGAAAAGGAAAGAAAUCCUCUACUUUAGGCCUGGUAAGACACAGAGGUAGCCCCAGAUAAUUAAGUGGCAGAGUACCAAUCUUGCAUCCUAAAAUGCUUGAAAGUUCAAUCAUCUUCUCAGAAGGAGUGUGAAUAGAGAUCAUUGUAGACUUUGCAUAGUUCACUCUGAGUCCUGUGUAUUGAGCAUAGUGUAAUAGGAGAUUUUUGAUAUGAUGGACCUGUCUAUGAUCAGCCUUGGCCACUAAGAUAGUGUCAUCUGCAUAUUGAAUGAUAGGAUAAUCAGGGCAAGAUGUGUGGCUGAGAGGUGACUCAAUCAUGGAAGCAUGGCAGGCUUCAUUGAAAAUUAUUUGUAGUAAAUCAGCAGCAAUCACAAAUAUCAGGGGUGACAGAGGGUCUCCUUGCCUCACACCAUUGUUACAGAGAAAUUGUUUACCAGGGACUCCAUUAAGCAGAACAGAUGAAUACCCAGAGCCAUAAAUCAUUUUUCCACUGGAUCCACUUGGCACCAAAACCUUUAGCUUGUAGGAUCUCAAUAAUGGUGUCAUAAUUCAACAUGUCAAAUGCUUUCUCAAAGUCCAAUUUGAGAAGAAUGAUUUCUUUUCUGCUCUGUUGGCAUUGGUGGAUAUAUUCAAAUGACCAUGCUAAGCAAUAUUGGAUACAUCUGUGAUUCAGAAAGCCAUAUUGGUUUUUGUGGACCAUGCCAAGAAUGAGCUUCUGAAGUCUAUUUGCCAGCAGCUUGGUGAUGAUUUGGAGAGUGCAAUUCAACAGUGAAAUAGGCCUAAAUUCUGCUGGUGUAACUGCAUGGUCCUUCUUUGGGAUGAGGGUAAUGUAGGAGUAGUUGAUACUCUGAAUGUUAACAUGGCCUGAGUGAAAAUCUGCAAUCAGUUUAUAAAAAUCAGGAGCAAUAAUAUCCCAGCAAUGUUUCAGGAAAGCAGCAUUGAAACCAUCAGGGCCAGGAGAUUUAUCUGCAGGCAUAUGUUUUAUGACAUAGUCAAUCUCCUCCUUGGUGAAUGGAGCUUCUAGUUCAGAAAGAUCUUCAUGAGGAUGGAGCAGUUGAUGCAACAAAAGUGGAUUUGAUGUUGGAACCCUGGUUCCCAGUCUGGCCUUAAAUGCUCUGUAUAAAAUAGCAGCUUUAGCCUGACGAUCCUGAUGUUCAUGUCCUUGUUCAUCUUUCAACAUGGCAAUACAAUUGUUUCUGAAUUUAAUAGUAGAUUUGUCUUGAAAGUACUUGGUAUUGGCUUCACCCACUUUGAUUUUUCUGAUUGUUGCUCUCUGCUUCCAAUACUGUCUCUGAUGGUCUAGUGUUAUUUCCAGGUGCAUCUUAAGGAGGUUUCUUCCAUUGUUUUCUUCAGUAGUUAGUUCUCCGAAUUCCUCAAUAGUGUCCCAACAUAAGAUCAUGAAGUUGGUGUUCUCAAUAAUCUUCUUCAGAUCAGAAAGGCCCUUAGCCCACACCUUUAGUCCUUUUCUCAGUCUCUUAAAUUUGGCUGCAAUCACUUUUGCACUGUCUGUUUCUGUUACUGGUUGUGACCAAAUGGAGCUAACCACAUCUUUAAAUUGCUGAUGCUCAAGCCAGUAAUUUUCAAAUCUGGAGAUGUUGGUUUUGGGGAUGGAAGAGCCUAUCUAAAUCUUUAUAGGCACACGAUCAGAAGUGGUUUUAGCCAAAGGAUAAGCAAAAGUAGCAGGGUAUUUAAGGGACCAUGCUUCAGAUGUGAAACACCAAUCUAGCUUCUCAAGUAAUGGUGAAUCCUGCAUAUUACUCCAAGUGAAUCUUCUACCUUUGAGAGGAAUCUCAACAAGGGCCUGCUUGUUAAGUGCUUCAUUGAAUAGGAGCAUGUCAUUAAUGUUACCCCCCUCUCUGCUUCUAUUGUGUGGGUAUCUGAUAAAGUUGAAAUCUCCCACAAUUAACCAGUUGUCAUCAUCUGGUAUUUGAAAGUUCUGGAACCAAUUGAGGAAGAGAAUUCUUUCAUUCUGUUGGCAAGGACCAUAAACAUUUGUUAAGAUCCAAGAUUCCCCAUUGUGAGUGGAUGUGAAUUGGAUAGAUAGGGAGAAAUCAUUGACAUGAUAAAUCUGUCUAGAGAAGACAUUUUCAUUCCAAGCAACAAGUAGACCACCGGCAGCUCCAAUAGAUGGGAGGAAAGCAAAUUUAGAGAUUCUUUUGGGGCAGAAGUUUCUGAUAAAAGUGCUAUCGAAACUUUCUUUCUUAGUUUCUUGAAGGCAGAGGACGGAACAUUGUGAUUCAUCAAUCUUAUUGCCAAUGGCAGGCCAUUUCUUGGGGUCAUUGAUCCCUCUAAUGUUCCAGUUAAGCACAUUCCAUUGUCUGUUCAUGAUGUGAUUGGAUAGAAGCAUUAUCAGGGAGGAACAUAUUCCGUAACUUGGAGAUGUGGCAACAGAUCUUAGGGAAGCAGAUAUUAAUAGAGAACAUUACAGCGAAAGACAACUCAGUCACAUUAAGUUCAUAAAAGAGCAGAUACGCAAACAGGUCCCAAGAUAACUUUCCAUUGCAGUAUAGGUGCAAAAUGCCCAUGGAAAAAGUUCUAACACCACUUAUAAUGCUGGUUGGAGGGGUGAUUCUCUAUUUGCUGAUGGCCCUGCUUCCUUUGCUUGCUUCCCCUCCUGGAUUCCCUCCUUUAGCUUUCUUGGCCUUCUUGGUAAUCACUGCCUCAGAGGUGUCCUUCUUAGAAACCUUGCAGAAAGAUGUGUUUAGACUUUUAAUAAUUUUGGCAGGGAUAUUAGGUGGGAGAGCAUGACAAGCCAGACAAUCUUUGUUCCUACAGAUUGUUUUUUAAAACCUUUGGACAGCUUUUGGAGUCGACAGCUCCUCCUUAACUCAGUUUCAACCAGGGGGACUUUCUCUUUUCUUUUCUUGUUGAGGUGGAGUGUAGAUGUGGAUGAUGCAGACAUAGCUUCAGUAGAGGUGUUAUCUGUUGGAGAUGAGUUCUCCUGAUCAUGUGCCACCUGAAACCCAAGAGACAGAGAACAUUCAAGAGAUGUCUCAUUAGGGCAAGUCUCAGGUACAACAAAUGGGAGAGUGAGAGUGGAUGUUGAUCCAUGGGUAAUGAUUUCCCAAACUGAUGAUGUGAUAAACUUUUUGACCUAAUCAAAUUUAUCAGGUGAUAGAAAAGUAACAGAUAGAAAGUUGACCCAAUCAACUGGUACCUGGAUGAUAGUUUUGCUGUUAUUCUUGGGGGCAAAUUGAUCCUUCCAUACUCUAGCCCCUUCCACACCUAGGUGUUGCUCAACCAGUGACUGAUUGCAGGAUGUGAUAUCUGUCAGUACAGCAGCUUUGUGUUGCACUUGUGUAUUCUCCAGACCUGAAGUAUGUGCUUGAUUAGAAAAAAUAGGGAGAGGGAAUUGAGGGAGUCCUGGACUAAGGGGUCCUCGGGCGUCCGGCCUGUUGGACAUGGGCCGGACUAAUGGGCUGUGAAGAUACAAGACCGAAGACUCUCUCCCGUGUCCGGAUAGGACUCUCCUUGGCGUGGAAGGCAAGCUUGGCGACCACAUAUGAAGAUUCCUUUCUCUGUAACCGACUUUGUACAACCCUAGCCCCCUCCGGUGUCUAUAUAAACUGGAGGGCUUAGUCCGGAAAGGGACACAGUCAUACAUGCUAGACUUCUAGGGUUUUAGACAUUACGAUCUCGUGGUAGAUCAACUCUUGUAAUACUCAUAUUCAUCAAGAUCAAUCAAGAAGGAAGUAGGGUAUUACCUCCAUAGAGAGGGCCCGAACCUGGGUAAACAUUGUGUCCCCUGUCUCCUGUUACCAUCGACCUUAGACGCAUUUCGGGACCCCCUACCCGAGAUCCGUCAGUUUUGACACCGACAUUGGUGCUUUCAUUGAGAGUUCCACUGUGCCGUCCCCAAAAGGUUUUGAUGGCUCCUUCGAUCAUCAACAACGAUGCCCUCCAAGGGGAAGCCUUCCUCCCCGGACAGAUCUUCGUGUUCGGCGGCUUCGCACUGCGGGCCAACUUGCUUGGCCAUCUAGAGCAGAUCGAUAGCUAUGCCCCUGGCCAUCAGGUCAGAUUUGGGAGCUUGAACUACGUCGCGGAUAUCCGUGGAGAAUUGAUCUUCGACGGCUUUGAGACCACGGCGGCCGCUCCCUGUCCCUACGGUGAACAUGACUUAAAUCUGUCACCGGUCUAUACUCAGGAAAUCGCACCUGUAACUACCCCGGCCCUAGAUCCGGAGCAGAUCGCGACAUCCGAGGACGGGAAGCUCAACCCCGCCACGGAAGCCGUAGAUUUCACGGCGCCGGAGCCGCUCACAGACCUAACCUCGGACGACAUAUGUGUCUCCGGGACCUCAGACUCGUUUCCGGUGAUAAGUUCCGAACCAUGUGCGUCCGCUUAUGUCAAGCCGAAUCGGUCUUCGAUCGCUGAAUUCAGCGCAGCGGACAUCUUCCGGCACUCACCUCUAGGCAAUGUGCUGAACUCAUUAAAAAAUCUGUCCUUAGCGGGGGACUCACAGCCGAACUAUGUCCGGUUCGAACUGGAGGCAGAUGAUGGGGAAUUCCGCUUCCCACCCGCCACCCACUACAUAGCCACUGUCGAGGACUUAACCGACAUGCUCGAUUACGACUCCGAAGACAUCGACGGUAUGGACGACGAUGCAGAUGAGGAGCAUGGCCAAAACCCGCCAUUUACCGGACACUGGACGGCCACUUCUUCGUACGACGUAUACAUGGUGGAUACACCCAAAGAGAACAACGGCGAGGAGAAGGAAAAACCAGUUGAGGAUGAGCCUCCUAAGACAUAACCAAAGCACCGGCGUCAGCGGCGCCGCUCUAAAUCCUGCCGCAGCAAGGAUAGCAACACCGACACAGGAGAUGAUCACACUCCGGAUGGUGCCGAAGACAGAGAAGAUCCCGAGGAACAAACGGCCGAACAGGACGAUCGGGAAGAUGGGCAAGUUAGCCCUGACGAACAGGCCAUAGACGACGACUCGAAGGGCAGCACUUAUCUUCCACCCUCCGAGGAUGAGGUGAGCCUUGGCAACGAGGAUUUCAUCAUGCCUGAGGAACCUCUCGAGCAAGAACGCUUUAGGCGUCAGCUAAUAGCCACUGCAAGAAGCCUGAAAAAGAAGCAGCAGUAGCUUCAAGCUGAUCAAGAUCUGCUCAGCGAUAGAUGGACUGAUGUCCUGGCAGCCGAAGAAUACGGCCUUACACGCCCAGCCAAAAGUUACCCUAAGCGAAAAUUGCUACCUCAGUUCAAUGACGAGGCACUGGAGCCCGUACCAUCAUUGCACAAUGUGGCUGACCGACCACCACGUGGUCGGGAUAAAGCGGUAACUCAAGCCGAACGCCAGACCGCCCCACCUCGCCGUAAAGGCAGGGACAAAACAGCUCGGGGUUACACAUAUGACCUCCGGCAGGACCUGGAUAGUAGAGCAGGACACACAAGAUCGAUCUAUGGAUCGCGGGGACGUGCUUCGACACGCGACGACGGCUACCUAUUCGGACGUGACAAACCUAGUCACGCCCGGGCCGAAAACCGCAGACGGACUCCAUCGAAGCUACGUCGCGAUGCGGCCCGAUAUAGAGGCACCGCACACCCUCUUUGCUUCACCGACGAAGUAAUGGAUCAUGAAUUCCCAGAAGGGUUUAAACCCGUAAACAUCGAAUCAUACGAUGGAACAACCGAUCCCGCGGUAUGGAUCGAGGAUUUUAUUCUCCACAUCCAUAUGGCCCGCGGAGAUGAUCUUCACGCCAUCAAAUACCUCCCACUAAAACUUAAAGGGCCAGCUCGGCACUGGUUAAACAGUCUCCCUGAAAACUCUAUUGGCAGCUGGGAGGACUUGGAAGAAGCCUUCCUUGACAACUUCCAAGGUACAUAUGUCCGGCCACCAGACGCCGAUGACUUGAGUCACAUAGUUCAACAGCCUGGAGAGUCAGCCAGGAAAUUCUGGACUAGGUUCGUAACUAAAAAGAACCAGAUCGUCGACUGUCCGGAUGCCGAAGCCCUAGCGGCCUUUAAACAUAGCAUCCGUGACGAAUGGCUCGCCCGUCACCUCGGCCAGAAAAAGCCGAAGUCCAUGGCAGCCCUCACGACACUCAUGACCCGCUUUUGUGCGGGUGAGGAUAGCUGGCUAGCCUGUAGCAAAAACACAGAAAGCAAAACGGGCACCCUCGAGGUUAAAAAUAGCAACGGCAAGCUUCGCCGCAGCAGACACAAACGCCGAAGCAAUGGUGACAACACCGAUGACACGACAGUCAACGCCGGAUUUAGUGGCUCCAAGUACGGUCAGCGGAAGAAGCCAUAUAAAAGAAAUAAUCAGGGACCAUCCAGCCUGGACCGCAUACUCGAUCAUCCGUGCCAGAUCCAUGGCACCCCAGACAAACCAGCCAAUCAUACCAACAGAGAUUGUUGGGUUUUUAAACAUGCCGGCAAGUUAAAUGCCGAGAACAAAGAAAAGGGAUCGCAAAGCAAGGACGAUGACGAGGAGCCCCGACAACCGAACUCAGGAGGACAAAAGAAGUCCCCCCCAGGUCAAAACGGUGAACAUGAUAUAUGCUACACACAUCCCCAAGAGGGAGCGCAAGCACGCGCUCAAGGACGUCUAUGCGAUAGAGCUAGUCACCCAAAAAUUUAACCCAUGGUCGUCAUGCCCGAUCACUUUUGAUACGGGAUCAUCCGACCAGUAUCUGUCAUGGCGGUUCAGCCGCAUUGGUCCUUGACCCAAUAAUUGAUGGAUUCCAUCUGACGCGAGUCCUUAUGGACGACGGCAGCAGCCUGAACCUGCUCUAUCGGGAUACAGUGUGCAAAAUGGGCAUUAACCCAUCACGGAUCAAGCCCACAAAGACUACCUUUAAAGGAGUCAUAACAGGCGUAGAGGCCUGUUGUACGGGCUCAAUUACGCUAGAGGUUGUCUUCGGAUCUCCGGACAACUUCCAAAGCGAAGAGUUAAUCUUCGAUAUCGUCCCUUUUCGCAACGGCUACCACGCACUGCUCGGACGAACCGCAUUUGCUUGAUUCAAUGUGAUCCCUCAUUAUGCUUACCUUAAGCUCAAGAUGCCCGGACCGUGUGGCGUCAUAACAGUUAAUGGAAAUACGGAACGCUCCCUCCGUACCGAGGAGCACACCGCUGCCUUAGCAGCAGAAGUACAGGGUGGCCUUUUCAAGCAAAGCCUUAAUUCGGCGGCCGAGCCCCCGGACACUAUCAAGAGGGUCCGGACUACUCUGCAGUAGGACAGCUCGGCUCGUCAAGAGCUCGACUAGCAAUUUGGCCUCCGUCCCAGUCCCAACGAAGUGGCGGCAUUCGCACCGUGCGUACAUAACUACGCACUCAAAAUACCAUGGGGACAGGCGGAGGCAUAACUAGCUUGUGAUCCACAAUACGGCUUGACCGCUCCCGGACACAUAUACUUUCACUGUUUCUUUUCUACUUUUCAGGUUUCUUCUCCAGAGGCCUUCCCUGACGACUUGAUCGCAGGUCCUUUCAAAGGACAAAUACACCAAGCCGGCAGUCAGAUUGAACGUAGAGGGGAGUUUCUAAGUGGUUUCUUUAACAACCACACUACAUGUCUCUAGGGUCCCACGCGCAGCUCUCCCUUGGUCGUGGCAUGUCAAAUAGCCUGUUGCUUAUCGCACUACUUGUAUCAAUGCGCUUUGACGUAUUAAUCAAAUCAUAAUGGAAACAGUUUGCGGCCCAAAUUUUAGGGCCCUUGCUUACUGCUUUUGCUCCUUUUCUGUCUCCCCUUUUUAUCAUUAAUAAGCUUAUCAUAUAGCACCCGUACACUGUGGUACGUUUCAAUUUGCUAGGGGCUUCAUAGCGCCCCGCACUAUGGCAACAAAGACCGAACACUUUUACAGUAUAGUUCGGCACCCCGAAUUUAGCACUAUAUGCAUUGACUCCGAAUCAUGUCUUUGGUCAAUAGUUGGGUUGCCCGGCUCCUGUGCUUGCUACCUUACGUUCCCCUAUAUCGCCUAAGGUAGUAAAGGGAGCACUACUGCGAUUGUGCCCUGGUUUACCCGAAGGAGCACCUCAGUAGAGAAAGCCAAAAACUGACUGUCAUGAUGCGGCGAGAGCCGGUCAGCUCUUCGGAGGUUUCAAAUCGAUAGAGAUUUUUUCCGCAUUACGAGAAGGAUCGGUACUUACCCGGUCAGGUGCUUACAGCAUCCUAGUCCGGAUACUAGGGGUUGCGACCACAUUUUUAUUGUCAAACUCCUAUGGCUAAGUGAGAGUGCUAAAGCCGCAUAGUCGGAUUGCCUGGUUCGUUGCGCUAAACACCUCCUUCAAGGACCAAACAAUUGGAUCAAGAGUGCUUAGAUUCCAUCCCGAACACCCCCGUACUACCUACAUGGGGGCAGAAGCCGACGACUGGGCAACUCUCAGAUUUCACACACAACGGCCGCACAGGAGGUAAUUUUUUUUAACAUAACAAAAAUUAUAUUACAUAACAACUUUGUUUCAUCAUACAUGGCAGAGACAAUAGGAAUGUAUUCAUUCAAAUAUAAUGUCUUCCGCACAUUGCGUUGCUACAAUACGAGACCCCUCCAGGACAUCUUCAAAAUAUCGCUCUGGUGUGCGGUGCUCCUUGCCCUCAGGCGGCCCUUCGGUCACGAGCUUGACGGCGUCCAUCUUCGCCCACCAGACCUUGACGCGGGCAAAGGCCAUGCGCGCGCCCUCGAUGCAGACCGACCGCUUGAUGAUGUCCAGUCGAGGACAGGCGUUCACCAGCCGUUUCACGAGUCCGAAGUAACUGCCGGGUACAGCUUCGGCGGGCCACAGCCGGAUUAUUAAAUCCUUCAUGGCCAGUUCGGCCACCCUAUGCACCUCGACCAGCUGCUUUAGCUGAUCGGUGAAGGACACUGGAUGUUCUGGCACAAGGUAUUGCGACCAGAACAACUUCUCCGUUGAGCUUCCUUCUUCGGCUCGGAAUAACUCCGCAGCGUCUGACACACUACGCGGCAAAUCCGCAAACGCCCCUGGAGAACUCCGAAUUCGGGUUAGUAAGACAUACUGCUUCUUCACAUACUUGCUUUGCAUACUAAACGCCUUACCUGCCGCGAUCUUCCUGGCUUCCUGGAUCUCCUGGAGGGCGCCCUGGGCUUCAACCCGGGCUUCUUCCGCGCUCUGGCGGGCCUUGGCGAGUUCGGCCUCUUGAGCCGAAGCAUCGCACUCCAAGGCCUCGCAUUUCUUCACAGCAUCCUGGAGCUCUUGCUGGACCUCGUUGACCCUGGCCUUGAGCUUCUUGCGGGCGGCUUGCUCCUUGGCAGCUUUCUCCUCGGCUUCGGCCAGGGCCUUUUUAAGGACCUCGACCUCGGUCGUCGCUCCUAGACAUAUCAUAACGCCAUGGUCAAUACACAUCAUUUAUUCUUUCCGAAUAUAUAGCAAGUCAUUACAUACCUUGCUGGUCUACCAGCUGCUCCUUCGCUUGGCCGAGCUCCUCCUCGGCCCGCUCCAGUCUCUGCUUUAAUUCGGAGACUUCGGCAACAUGUGAGGUCGCGGCCAGCAACGACGCCUGCUCAUUCAUGCAAGACACAUUCAGUUAGUUUCCUGCAAAAAUGAAUUGAUCCUCUGUCCGGUUUUGCUUGCCGAACACCGGACAGUGUCUCAGGGGCUACUGUCUAUAUGGGGAUUUUCUCCUUUGCGUCGCUUACCUCAAAACCUGUCAGCAGGCCGCUGUAGGCUUCGGUCAGUCCGCUCUUGACGGACUGAACCCUCUCAAUCACCGUACCCAUAAGGAUACAGUGUUCUUACACAAUGGAAGCGCCUCGCAGCGCUUCCAGAAGAUUGUCCGGUGCCCCUGGUUGAACAGAGGUCACCGGUGGGAUAGGCACACCUCCGUCUUUCAAAGGAGGCUGCACGCCGAACUCCAGAGCCGUGUAGGUCUCCGGAACCGUAUCCGGACGGUGGCCGAACUGAGUUCGGCCCCCAUCGCCCGUCUCCAUGGGGGACUGCUCCCCCAUGUGUCCGGCGGCCGAGGUUUCGCCCUCUGGCGCCACCCUGACGGCCUCUUGAGACUCUCCCUGGCCGGGAAAGUACUUCGUGACAGCACCUCGGCGUCACUCUUGGCCGUGGGAGAGUAAGCGGGCGGCGGUGACGCGCGGGCCAUCGCCUUUGAAUCCAACGAACCUCUUGAUGAGGAUCGCUGGGAGCUGUCAUGGGCCGGACUGCAAUUCCACAAUUAAUCAUGUUAAUACAAUGAGGAGGAAAGGCCGGAUACACAGGUGAGUACGAGUCUGUCAGUACUUACGAUGCGGGUAGGGGCUUGCUCCGGGGGCGUCGCUCCGGACUGCUGUCGACGUCCCACGCGGUUUUAUCCGCGAGGGAGCCUUUCCCCUUCUUGGGCGCCUCCGCCUCCAGAUUUGUGGAGGCCGCCCUCUUCUUCCUCCCCCCAUCAGGGGGAGGGUUUCUUUCCUCCUCCUCCUCAUCGUCAUCUUCGGCGGCAGAGGAGUGAGUCUUGUCUUCGGACAUCACGUCCGAAGUACCCUUGCGGCGGGGGCCACCCCAGCCCCCCUUGGCCUUCUUCUUGGCGCCUGAUAGGGCACCAGGACCAGCAUCUUCGCCAGAAGCGGGAUGACUAGUUCUUCGGGCAGCGGAGCAGAACUGUGAAUUCGCUCUGCUUUCUCUGUCCAUUCCUGAAAGGAUAAAUUAGCAAAGUUUAGUUACCCUCCUUGGACAAGCAGGUAGAGAGUAUGCCUUGAGAUGUGAAGGACUUACGGCGCUGGCGGCGUGGGCAAGAUCGUGCCCACGAUCCGAGUCUAUGGCCGGCGACUUCUCGUCGCCCUUGAAGAGCAGCUUCCAUGCGUCUUCGUGAGUGGUGCCGAAGAGCCUCACCAAGGUCUGGUGCCUCUCCGGAUCGAAUUCCCAUAGAGGGGAAGUUCGGCUUUGGCAGGGGAGGAUCUGGCGAACCAGCAUAACCUGGAUCACGUCGAUGAGCUUGAUGUUUUUGUCCACCAUGCUUUGGAUGCGCGUUUGCAGCACCAUCAGCUCAUCCGACGAAGACCAAUUCAGGCCCUUCUCCAUCCAGGAGGUCAGCCGCAUUGGAGCCCCGGACUUGAAUUCGAGAGCCACGGCCCAGGUGGCGUCGCGGGGCUCUAUGAUAUAGAACCACAGCUUCUGCCACUCCUUGACAGUCUCCACAAACGUGCCUUCGGGCCAUGUGACAUUGGGAAUCUUGCUCACCAUGGCACCUCCGCACUCCGCGUGUUGGCCAUCCACCACCUUCGGCUUCACGUUGAAGAUCUUAAGCCACAAACCGAAGUGGGGCUGGACGCGGAGGAAAGCCUCGCACACGACAAUGAAUGCCGAGAUGUUGAGGAAAGAGUUCGGGGCUAGAUCAUGGAAAUCUAGCCCGUAAUAGAACAUAAGUCCGCGGACGAAAGGGUGGAGUGGAAACCCUAACCCGCGGAUGAAAUGAGGAAGGAACACCACCCUCUCGUUGGGUUUUGGUGUGGGGACGACUUGUCCCUUGGCCGGGAGCCGGUGGGUGAUCUCCUUUGCCAGAUAACCGGCCUCCCGAAGCUCGUUGAUGUCCUUCUCCUUGACGGAGGAGGCCAUCCACUUGCCUUGCCCUCCAGAGCUGGACAUGGUUGAGAGCUUGCUCGGAGUGGAAAAGACGAGAACUUGGGCGCUGGAGCUCGAGAAUAGAAGGGCAGAGGAAGAAAGAAGGCGUGGGUGAAGAAGGGGAAUCCUUAUCCCCUUAUAAAGGCAAUGAAUAUCGAACGCCUCCCCACUCAUCUUGAAACUCGCCUAUUUCCAAGGGUUGUGUAAACGGCACAGUUGGAGUACCCACGCCCGCAUUGAUGAGAAUCCCGCAAUAAGGGGACACGAUCUCUGCUUUGACAAGACGUGCCAAUGGAAACCGCAUCUCGAAACAUGGAACGGCAGACGAAAACGGUUCGAAAUAAUGACCGGGCAGGCGUGAUGUCUUCUUGCGAAAAGUUGUCAGCGGAUGGGACUCGUGAAAUAUUAUACUCUCUACGGUUGUGUGUGUGGUACUUGUGUUGCAGAUCCGGACACGUUCGUUGCGUCCGAAGACUAUCUUGGAGUAUUCCGAAAGGAGAACCCUCCUUGCAAUGCCGAAGACAAUCUGCGCGCCGGACACCUCGUCAUUGAAGCCUGGUUCAGGGGCUACUGAGGGAGUCCUGGACUAAGGGGUCCUCGGGCGUCCAGCCUGUUGGACAUGGGCCGGACUAAUGGGCUGUGAAGAUAAGAGACCGAAGACUCUCUCCCGUGUCCGGAUAGGACUCUCCUUGGCGUGGAAGGCAAGCUUGGCGACCACAUAUGAAGAUUCCUUUCUCUGUAACCGACUUUGUACAACCCUAGCCCCCUCCGGUGUCUAUAUAAACCGGAGGGCUUAGUCCGGAAAGGGACACAGUCAUACAGGCUAGACUUCUAGGGUUUUAGCCAUUACGAUCUCGUGGUAGAUCAACUCUUGUAGUACUCAUAUUCAUCAAGAUCAAUCAAGCAGGAAGUAGGGUAUUACCUCCAUAGAGAGGGACCGAACCUGGGUAAACAUGUGUCCCCUGUCUCCUGUUACCAUCGACCUUAGACGCACAGUUCGGGACCCCCUACCCGAGAUCCGCCGGUUUUGACACCGACAGGAAUCCUGGUGGUCCAGACAUUUCAGACUCAGAUCUUUCACCUGUUUCAGUAGUAACUGGGUGAACACAUCCAUCAAGGGCAGGUGGUAGCUCUUGUGAGGGUUGCACAACUAGCAGAGUGCAGUUCAGUCUGUCUUCAGGAGUGGGGUCUGUCUUAGCAAAAAUAUAUUCUUUCUCAGCAGUAACUGUAGGCCCCUGAAUCUCAGGCUGAGGAGAAGGAUCAGAAACAAUGUCAGGUACAGAAUCCUGGGCUCUGCUAUGAGAAGGAUCCACUCCAGAAGUUGUCAAUAACAAGGCAUUAGUAGGCAACUGGACAACAGGGACAGAGACAUGUUGUGCCAGUACUUCAAAUUGCAUUGGGUCCACCAUUCUCUCUUCCAUCUGGGAAGAUUCCUGUGCUAGAAUAGCAUCCAAACUUGGGUCAAAGAAAGCUUGGGCCACAGGUAUAAUGGGGCCAACAUAGGCCUGUGGUUCUGGCCCAAGAUGAGCAGGGCCAACAUGGGCCUGUGGCUCUGGCCCAGGAGGAACAGCCAACAUUUUCAAAUCAGGAAGAGCAAGUACAUUUGGCGCCAACGGACCAUUGGCAGAUGCAGCAGAGUUAUCAGUGUUCUCUGAGGGAACCAGGGAGAGAGUAAUACUGCUCUGAACAUUGAUGUUCAGGUCCUCUUCGAGAGGUUCAAAGAUUUCAUCCAUAUGAAGGAAUUCUCCAGCUUCAAUUUCCUGAUCCACUUCUUGGGGCAUAGCCCAGUGGCCCCAGCCAGGCAUCUCAGCUUGAUCUUCAUCUUCUUCUAUGUCCUCAUCAAUCUCCAUGUUGUGAGCUACAUUAAGAUCAACAUUCAGUGCCAACUGAAGAUUCAGCUGCGGAUCAUGGUGCUCAUCAUGCUCAUGCUGUUGCAGUGGCCCAAGAAAAUGAUUGUGUUGGUUGCGAUGAUAGUUUGCUUGAGGGGGAAUAGGGUGUGGAUUGCCAUUUGGGUCAAUGGGAUCUUCAUCAGGAGCGUCUAUACCAAGAAUUUGCUGUUGCAGGAUCACAACUGGGACUGAGAGAGAUUCAGUCUGGAAGUCAUAGCCCUCCCCAAAAACAAUACUGGCAGGAAUGUCACUGAGCUCUUCCACCCUAACUUUCACCAUCAGAUUUUCCCUAGUACUCCUGAUUCUAUCCCAUUGAAGGAACUUGCCAAAUUUACUAACCGCAUUGCUCACUUCUUGAAUGUUCCUCCUAUCAAAAGGAUAACCACAUACCAGUGUACAUGCCUCUCUGUUUAACACCAACCUCCUGCAAUUCAUGCCUCUGUUGUGUUUCUCAAAAUAACAUGGACAUCUGUGAACAUGUGUGGACUAUUGGAAACCAGAGAAUCUCUAUCAAAGAUGCUAUUCAGUUUGACAUAGGCCUGACCAAGAGGACACAGCUCAAUCUCAGAAAACCCCAACUAUCUGUCUGUGAGGAAAUCGGCGAGUACCUCUCUGACGGUCUGAAAUGCCACCGGAAGAUCUGGCAUCGGCACAAUAGAAGCAAUCGCCCAUUCUUCGUGUGUGGCCGGCGCAGCGCCGGUGAUGACCCGGAUCCUAACAGGGCGCCCAGCAACUUCAACGCUCCGGUGAUUUGGUGGAAGAAAAGGUGCGGGAUUGAAGGGGAACGAGGCCAUGGUCGUUGGAUCGUGGGUUGUGGCUGCCGAGGCGUUAGUGGAUUGCCGCCGGCGAGGGUCGGGUGGGAUUGUGGCUAGGCGCAGACGAUGAGCAAUGGAGUUUUGGGAAGUGCAGAGGCUGCCAACCCGGAGAGACAGAGGAGGGGCAUUAACUGGGUUGCUCUGGUUGGCCGUCUGACUAGACUCUCGAGUAGUCUCAAUCGCGGGAACUGUGGCAACUUGCCUCGGAAUUGGAUACGCCGGGGCUGGGCCCGGGCUCCUCUCAUUGUGGUUUGUGGGCCUAUUGAGUGUUGAGCAGUCUUUGGCGAUAUGGCCCCAUCUCUUGCAGGCCCUGCAUUUAAUUCUGUUGUCGCAAUUGGGCCGCGCAUGGCCCGUCAUAAGACAGCGCACACAGAAAGCCUCAGAUGGGCCUUUUUGAAUCUGCGAGGAUCCCGCCUGAUUGGAGUGAUUAGAAUUAUGAAUAGCAUUAAUACCGUGAGUAAUGUUGCCCUGCAAUAGCGUUGAGUUUGAAUUGGUGCCAGUGGACCGAGCAGAUCUAGGAUUGGAUCGAGUGUGAUCAUGGUAGGAUGCUGGUGAUCUAAGAGCUUGAAGGUAAGAUUUCCGGGGAUGAUCUCUGAAUAUGUGAGUCCAAGCAUCCUCUUUUUCUUGGAGAUACUGAUCUAGUUCCCAGGAGGAGUUGGGUCCCCCAUUACCCCAAAGCAAAAAAUUGACAUUGAGGAGAGGGAGUGUGAUGUUACCUCCCUUGAUGAUAGAGAAUCCCACUUCUUUGGAUGAGACAGAGAACUUGAAUGACCAGUUUUGGAGCAACUGAACUUUCAAAAGGGAAGCACGACCACCAAAACAUGAGAGAAGUAUGGUGCUUACAGAUUCUUCAGUAAGCCUGAUCCUGGAUCUGGUAAAUUCAGCAACAAGGAGAAAUUCCUCCAUAUCCUUGCCUUCCUCAUAGUUGAUAGGAACUCCCCAUUUCCGCCAUACUUCCGCAGCGAAGUCUUGGCCGACGUCAAAGUUGAGAUCGGCGAGAGCCAUGAGUGGGCUGAGGGGAGAUUGGUGGCGUGUGUGUGGUCGCCGGCGCCGGAGUAGCGGGCGGCGAGGAUGGUGGCCGCCGCGGCCGGAGUGGCCAACGACGCUAGGUGCGGAGGGCGCUAUGCGGCGCACAAGUAGUUCGCACCUAUUUUAGGCUCAAACGCAACUCCUUCGCAAAUUCAUGGAACUUCUAUUGUUAACAGUAGCAAUAUCACCUUGUUUUGUUCAGUAUCAUCAUCUUUUUUUUGGUCUCACUGAAUCAGGUUAAGAAGUGGAACGACUAGAGGGAGAAUGGGACAUUUGCCAGGCCCCUCUAAAUCAUCCGUUUGAAAGUCUCCUCAGUUGCUUUUGUUUCAGCGCUACAGUUGUCUUGUGGUUGGAAUUUGUGCUCCUGUCAUGUACUCUCUUCCAGCAAUCGUUGCAGAACAGAAGCGUUGCUUUUCUCUAUGUUGCACAAAUAAUUCAGCAUGCUUAUGUAGUUAUCCAGCAUACUUAAAUGUACGCAUGCCUUUCCCGGGACUUGCUAAUGUCAAAUACCUAUGAGAUAUUACUGGUUCCAAGUCAUGCCGCUGUGAGGGAUUAUGUUGUUGUGUGUGACUGCACAAUUAUGUGAUGAUAUAUUGAUUCCAAGUCAAGCAAAUUAUGUUGUGAUGUGAAUAAUUGUAGCAAGAUUAGAUUUUUAACUGUUUUACACCAUUUUAAUUCAAUAUGGAGUUCCCUCCCUGUCAAACAUUGUUCCAUAUGGAGGGAAUGUGUGGUUGGAGAGGGAUUUGAGGUUUCAAAGGGAUUGAGUGGAAGAGAGGGAUUCACCAAACCUCCAUAAUCCCUUCCUAUCAAAUGAGGCCUAAAUGAUUUGAGCGGUGAGGUAGUGCUCCCAGGUGAAUUAUCUGGCCGAAACCGUGGGGUGAUGUGCUACAGUAGAUGCAGUGUCAGUGCACUUUGCAUGCCGGGCUAAUUACCUAAAUGCAAAUCCUGAUCGCCUGUGUGAUGUCUUGUGGUAAUGGAGAUUAGCACUGGUUGCAUAUGCCUGAUGUAUUUAUAAAAAUGCAUGUACUGAUUAUAGCGUGUUACCAAAAGAUUAGCUACCGUGUAAAUGAUUAGCAAGUGACGACCAUGCCAGAAUGCAGUUUUGAAUAAACUAAUCUGAAUAGUAUGAGCUUGUAAAAUAUUGAUCGCCUUGAUUUGUAAAUUAAAAACAAUAUUAUUACAUGUUUGUCAGGAAAUUGGAGCGACGACCGUGUUGGGCUGUUGGCCCAUCACGACCAGGAGGGCGACUUGGACCAUACUCGGUACUUCAUGCAACCAGUGCUAUACGAACAGGGAGGUUCUUCGGCAUCUACCGGCAACAACCAAUGCUGGACUGAGCUGUGGCGGAUCAAGGUUCCUGCUAAGCUGAAAUUUUUUCUAUGGAGACUUGCCAGACACACCACACCAACGGCAGCCCUCCUACAUCACCGAAAUAUGUCGACGUCCAACGCUUGCUGCCUAUGUGGAGCAGUUGACACAUGGCGCCACGCUCUCCUUGAAUGCUCGGUUUCCAGAAGCACUUGGGCAUUAACAAGCGAAGCAAUUCUUGACAAGCUUAAUGCCUCUGCAGAAGAUAACGCGAAGAGAUGGAUAUUUGCUAUGCAUGAUCUCUUGAACCAUGAGGACUUCACACUUUUUGUGGUCACAUUAUGGGCAAUUUGGGGUGCACGCAGGAAGGCCAUGUAUGAAAAUAUUUUUCAGACUCCUUGGGCCAUCAAUGGUUUCAUCCAAUCUUAUAUGGGCGAACUAAGGGCUUUACAAAAGCCAACUCAUGCAAGCAGGACGACGUCUGGAAGCCGGCCGACCCAUUGGAUUGCACCUCCGAGGGGUUUAGCAAAGCUCAAUGCAAAUGCUGCCGUUGAAAGAGGUGGAGCGUAUGGUUCUGUGGGAGCGAUCUGUGGAAAUCAGCAUGGCUUGUUUCUGGGAGCCUCAGCUGUUGUUUUUCCCAACCUGUCAAACCCAACUACACUGGAGGCUAUGGCCAUCAGAGAGGCGCUAUCGCUAGCUGACGACCUUUAUGAACGGAAGAUUCAGGUGGCCAGUGAUUGCAAAGUUGCAGUGGAAGACAUCCAUCAGAAGAGCAGAGGGAGUUAUGGUGCAAUCGUGCAUGAAAUAGUGCAGCACACGUCUACCUUUCAAAUUUGUAAUAUUAAGCAUGAAUUUCGUAGCUCGAACUUCGAGGCUCACAAGUUCGCAAAGCACGCUUUAUCAUUAGGAGCUGGCCGCCAUGUUUGGUUAGGCCAGCCCAAUGAACUUGGUUUCGUCCCUGUAAACACUGUGACGGAGUAAUAAAGCUUUGCAGUUUGUCUAAAAAAAAAUGCAACCAGUGCCAGAUUGCUAAUCUAGCUAUUAAGGUGCGCGGUCGGGAAUCAUCUACGAAUCUUUCCAGGGGAAUCCAGGACCAACAGUUCUGAAAUACGGGGUCAAAGGCGUCAAGUACUAUCUGGUGUAAAUCAUUCCUAGUGUUCUUAUACACAGGUUCAUAAAUGCGGUUCGAUGAUUCACAUGCAAACAAAUGGAGCAGAUAAGCAUAGGACUAUAGGAGUACCAGUGAACGUCGUGCAGUGAAGGAGCUUUUCGUGAGUUAACCUACUACUAAUAGUACUCCCUCCGUCCGAAAAAGUUUGUCUCUCAGAUGAAUGUAUUUACCACUAAGUUGAUGCUACAUACAUCCAUUUGAUAGACAAGCUUGGAAUAAACUUUUUUCAGAUGAAGGGAAUACUACAUACUCCUACUAGCAGCAUUUAGCUGCAAAAAAGGAGAGAAACCUACAUACGCAUUAAAUGUGUUAGCCGUGUUGCAUUUGUGUUCGGGCGGGACACGCUGGGACCCCUCUUCAUGCCAGAGGGAAUUGCACAAACCACCGCUUAUUGGGGCCGGUGUUGCACAAAACACCUACUAUACGGAUUUGUUGCGGAAAACACCACAUAUUGGUGUAAUACAUUGCAGAUAGGUCUAACCUAGUAUUUGGAUAUAUUGACAUAAUUACAGACAAAAGGGUCCCGUUUGUAAGUGCACGUGUGGCAAUAAAAACUGGCCACAUCAGCUAACAAUAAAAACCAGCCACUUCCGCUCACGAACAAUAUCUACCAUGUUUUUGUGUUGGUGAUCUCAUGCCGAACUUGCUUCAUUUAAAUUUGGGUUCAAAAUUUAACAAUUUUAGAAAAGUGUGAAAAAUUCUAGUAAAUUACACAUGUGUACAGUAUUAUUCUGGGAAAGUUUUACCCCAUUUGGAUUAAUGAUUUGCUAAAUAAUGAAGGUUUUAGUUAGCCCAUCCAAAUUUUUUGUUCAAAAUUUCACAUUUUCGGAAAAAUGUGAAAUGAUUCCAGUAAAUACUACAUGUAUUCAAUACUAAUCUGGAAAAGUUUCGGCUCAAUUGGAUCGCAUGUUUUGAAGAUAACGACAGUCUAAUAUGUUGGCUGAUUUGGCUGGUUUUCAUUGCCACGCGUGCACUUACAAGUCUGUUGUCCGAGCCGUGACACGACCGAGCGGAAACACAGGCAAGGCGAGAAUUCGUUGGGAAACGUGGCAAUCAUAUCACUUGGUCGUUUUGCUCCGUGGAAAGAAAGACAAGACGGGCGCUCCGGGUCAGUACGUCAACCGCGCUUUGCAGUGCGGUCACGAACUCACGACGCAACGUGCCUCUGAACGACCUGUCCAUCCAUCCACGGCUUCGAUAUACACUUGCUCAUCGAACCACACUCCCUCCGCGCUGACACCGGCUCCAUGGCCCGGCUCACCCUAUUGGCCUACCUGAAAUCCUGGGCUAUGGGGUGCACCGGCCAGGGCAGCAGGUGGCAACAUCGGUUGAAGAAGGGACAAUACAUUAAUACUACACGCAAGGAAGGAAACAACGGACUUUUACAGACCCCCUGCGUGCCCUCCACUAAUCGGCCCCUGAUUUUUACUGAUGGACCCGUCUCGCUGACCAAAUCUCAGCUAAUCAAUCCUAACCACCCCGUUAAUCCCCAUAAACAGUCCGUGAAUCUAGCAUUGCUGGCAGGGCAUACAUGUCAUUUUUCAUCGACUGGGAACCGCACGCUCACGACCAACUGAAAUCCAGAUGGGCCCUACCGGGAAACCCUGCAGCCCGAUGGAAGGCUUCAUUGCAACUGCUGCUGUCACCAAGCCAGGCGAUGCAGGCACUUACGUAUGCAUGCAUGCGAGAGCACGGGAUAAGCACGCAUACGGUACGGGAUAUCGUGACGAACGCGUCCAAUCGAUAUCGAUCGUCAAAUUGUUUCUGUCAAUUAGGCCAAAUCCACCGCGCGACUCCAAACGGACGUCCGUUUUGUCCGGAUUCUGUCCGUUUGGGUAGGGCGAUGGAUCGUGUCCGGGCCUGUCCUGAAAUGCGGUGGCGCACGGACGCAUCCUGGCCGCAUCCUGUCCGCGUGCAUUUUUCUUUGUAAGUCCUUAACUUCUUUUCAUCAUUCAUUUUCGGUACAUGAAGAAUACAUCAUCACACUUUAACUAGUAAAGCAAGACCAAAAAAAAAAAGAACAACAAGAAUACAUUUUAGAAGAUACUCAACUUCCAUAACUACUGCUCCCUUGAGCUGGGUUAGGGCCUUCUCGAUGCACUCAUUGUUGAUCUGUGGAGGAGGCUCGAUCUGGCAUCCUCCUUUCUUCUUCAAGCCAGAAGUCGAUGUUGCUUCCUCACACCUUGUGACGCCCGGAUAAUUAAGUUACAAUAACCCUGUACUAAUGAUGCCACGUCAACUCGAUUACUAUUGCUAAUCUCGCCUUAAUUCGAAACCGAUUCAAAUUCAAAUUCUAAAUCAAGCAAACAAUAAAUUUUUUCAAAUAUUAAAAUAAAAUGUUUGGAGUGAGCCAAAUAAUGCAUAGGUAAUAUUGGUGAAGAAACCAAAACUUUAGAAAAUGUUUAAGUGCUUAAAAAUAAUUAAAACAGUGGCAUUCAUAAUUAAUUAGAUGCCUUUUAUAAUUUCUAAAGUAUCAAAUUAAUUUAAUGGGGUACCAAACUUUUGUGGCAGAGGGUUAAACUAAAACAUUAAUUUAGGUAUUGGUCUCAUAUUUUUAUAAAACUAAAAUAUGCUAAUAGUAAAAUAAAAAAGUAAAUAAAGAAAAAGAAAAGAUAAACAAAACGAAAUUAUAAAGAGAUAAAACCUCCCCCUCCCCUGGGCCUUGGCCUAGCAAACUGGCCAGGCCGGCCCACUCCCUCAUCCCCUUCCCACUACAGGNNNNNNNNNNNNNNNNNNNNNNNNNNNNNNNNNNNNNNNNNNNNNNNNNNNNNNNNNNNNNNNNNNNNNNNNNNNNNNNNNNNNNNNNNNNNNNNNNNNNNNNNNNNNNNNNNNNNNNNNNNNNNNNNNNNNNNNNNNNNNNNNNNNNNNNNNNNNNNNNNNNNNNNNNNNNNNNNNNNNNNNNNNNNNNNNNNNNNNNNNNNNNNNNNNNNNNNNNNNNNNNNNNNNNNNNNNNNNNNNNNNNNNNNNNNNNNNNNNNNNNNNNNNNNNNNNNNNNNNNNNNNNNNNNNNNNNNNNNNNNNNNNNNNNNNNNNNNGACUCCCUCCCCGGCGCCUGGAACCCUAGCUAACCCCCUCUCUCCCCCGCGUCCCGCUCCCCGAUCUGGACGCCCACGGCCCCGAGCCGGCGCCCUUCGUCGCCGUCGUUGCCUCACCUCGCCCCCGAGCCGACCCCGACCUGCGCCGUCCUCCCCUUCUUCCUCUACGCCUAUCCACGAGGACCCGGACGCCCCCACGACGCCGCUCCGAGCUCGACUUCUUCCUCAGGACGCCGGUCGCCGUCGCCAACGUCGGUCGCCUCUGCGCUCCCGUUCACUCACCGGGCCCCCGUGCACCCCCACCGUGAGCUCUCCUUCCCCUCCGUUUCCCUGUGUCGUGCCGUAGCCGCAUACCGCGCCGUCCUCGCCAUUGCUCCCGAAGCUUGUCACCGCCGUAGGAGCCACCGCGACUCGCGUACGACCGCGUCAUGGUACUCGCUACGCCACCAUGACCCCGUAGCACCCCAGUGCUUUCCCUCGCCGCCCCUCGCUCCGUCCCCGACGAGCUCCAGCCCCCGUCCGCCGCUGCUUACCAUCGCGGUCGUCGUUUUCGUCCGCCUGGCUAGCGCAUGAGCACGCGGCCGUUCUCCUAGGGCUCCCAGGAGCCCGACGCAUGCACCCGCACGCCUUGCCAUGCCCCGCAACCCCCCCUCACGCGCUCGAGCUGCUGCCGCUGCCCUCUGUUCCUCGCUGCCGCACGCACCUCCCCUCCCUGCAUCUGCCGCGCCUCACGCGUGCAUACGCGUUCGCGCCCCAUCUCGUCCGCCUGCUGCCGCUCGCGUGCGCGCGCCCGUGCAGACUGCUGCCGCGCCGCUCCCCUUGCUGUUGUUGCUCUGCUGCUGCACUUCUAUUGUGGCUAGCCGCUGCCGUCCCCGCGCGUUGCCGCUGCUACUGCAUCCCGCCGCUGUUACUCUGCUAGAGUAACUGAAUGUUACUGUAGCAGUAGCUAGCUUUGCUACGAUUACACUGACUAGCCCUCUGUACUGCAGCAAAACAACAUCAAAACAAGUUCUAAUGUGGAUAAGAAUUAUAUGUGCGGGUAGUACACUUAACAAGAUUCAAUUCUUUCCAUUGGACCAAAUCCAAAAGUUGCCUGGAUUAAUUCCUACGAAAAUGACAAAAGUCUAUGUUCUGUUAACUGGCAGAACUAAAAACAGAUAUACUGCCAUAGCAACUUUGGAGCAGAAAAUAAACAAGUUACAAGGAUCUAACAAUGAUGCAAUUGUUACCAUCUUGUAGACCAUAGGAAAGUGAUCAAUAUUGGUAUAAGGCACCAAUUCAUAGGAUGAAUAGAACACUAGUUAUAGCCUCUGCAAAACAGCUAAAUGAUAUUUAAAACCGAGGACUUAGCAGAAUUUCAGUAAUUCUAGAAAAUGAAUUAAAAUUUUAAAAAUUAAUAUAAAUUAAACCGUAGUUCGGAUGGAAAAACUUUGUACAUGAAAGUUGCUCAGAACGACGAGACGAAUUCGGAUACGCGGCCCGUUUGUCCGCCACACAUUCCUAGCAUAGCGAACACACAACUUUCCCCCUCCGGUUCAUCUGUCCGAAAACGCUGAACACCGGGAAUACUUUCCCGGAUGUUUCCCCCUUCGCCAGUAUCACCUAUCCCUGCGUUAGAUCACCCCUGGCACUGCGUAUUGCCUUGUUAUAUUUCGUGAUGCUUUGUCUGCUUUGUAUUCACUGUUUCUUCCCUCUCUUCUUCUCCGGUCGACCCUGAGACCGACGAUGAUGCCCCUGAGUACGACUACAUCGACGAUGAUCCCUCCUUCUUGCCAGAGCAACCAGGCAAGCCCCCCCUUGAUCACCAGAUAUCGCCUAUUCCUUCUCUCUACUUCUUGCAUUAGAGUAGUGUAGCAUGUUACUGCUUUCGGUUAAUCCUAUUCUGCUGCAUAGCCUGUCAUUGUUGCUACAAUUGUUGAUACCUUUACCUGCUAUCCUAAUGCUUAGUAUAGGAUGUAGUGUUCCAUCAGUGGCCCUACACUCUUGUCCGUCUGCCUUGCUAUACUACUGGGCCGUGAUCACUUCGGGAGGUGAUCACGGGCAUAUACUAUAUACUUUAUACUGUUACAUUACUUAUGAUACUGUUCGGAGAUUGGGGCUGAAGGGGCAGGUGGCUCCACCCGGUAGAGGUGGGCCUGGGUUCUCGACGGCCCCCGACUGAUACUUUGUGGCGGAGCGACAGGGCAGGUUGAGACCACCUAGGAGAGAGGUGGGCCUGGCCCUGGUCGGCGUCCGCGGUUACUUCAAAAUAACACGCUUAAUGAGUUCUUGGUAUUUGAUCUGAGUCUGGCCAUUGGUCUAUACGCACUAACCAUCUACGCGGGAACAGUUAUGGGCACUCGGCGUCGUGGUAUCAGCCGAAGCCUUCGCGACGUCAGCGACUGAGCGGCACGCGCCGGAUUGGACUGGAACGCCUGCUAGGCUAGGUCUGCUUCCGGCCGCGUUCGCAACGUGCAGGUGUGCAAUGGGCGAUGGGCCCAGAUCCUUGCGCCAUAGGAUUUAGACCGGCGUGCUGACCUCUCUGUUGUGCCUAGGUGGGGUUGCGACGUGUUGAUCUUCCGCGGCUGGGCACGACCCAGAAAAGUGUGUCCGGCCAAAUGGGAUCGAGCGUGUUGGGUUAUGUGGUGCACCCCUGCAGGGAAGUUUAUCUAUUCGAAUAGCCGUGAUCUUCGGUAACAGGACGACUUGGAGUUGUACCUUGACCUUAUGACAAUUAGAAUCGGAUACUUAAUAAAACACACCCUUCUAAGUGCCAGAUAUAACCCGGUGAUCGCUCUCUAAUAGGGCGACGAGGAGGGGAUCGCCGGGUAGGAUUAUGCUAUGCGAUGCUACUUGGUGAACUUACCAUCUACUCUCUCCUACAUGCUGCAAGAUGGAGGUGGCCAGAAGCGUAGUCUUUGACAGGAUUAGCUAUCCCCCUCUUAUUCUGGCAUUCUGCAGUUCAGUCCACCGAUAUGGCCCUUUACACAUAUACCCAUGCAUAGGUAGUGUAGCUCCUUGCUUGCGAGUACUUUGGAUGAGUACUCACGGUUGCUUUUCUUCCUAUUUUUCCCUUUCCCUUCUACCUGGUUGUCGCAACCAGAUGCUGGAGCCCAGGAGCCAGACGCCACCAUCGACGACAACUCCUACUACACUGCGUGUGCCUACUACUACUUGCAGGCCACCGACAACGACCAGGAGUAGUUUAGGAGGAUCCCAGGCAGGAGGCCUGCGCCUCUUUCGAUCUGUAUCCCAGUUUGUGCUAGCCUUCUUAAAGCAAACUUGCUUAACUUAUGUGUGUACUCAGAUAUUGUUGCUUCCGCUGACUCGUCUAUGAUCGAGCAAUUGUAUUCGAGCCCUUGAGGCCCCUGGCUUGUAUUAUGAUGCUUGUAUGACUUAUUUUAUUUUUAGUGUUGUGUUGUGAUAUCUUCCCGUGAGUCCAUGAUCUUGAUCGUACACGUUUGCGUGUAUGAUUAGUGUAUGAUUGAAUCAGGGGCGUCACAAGUUGGUAUCAGAGCCGACUGCCUGUAGGAAUCCCCUUCCACACUCCUUGGCCAAAGUCGAGUCUAGACAUUGCAAAAACUUUUACUAACAUGGCUGUGUGUCUUACGGGCCCACGUUGCCUUUUGGGUGGUAUUAGGAUAUUUUACUCCUCGAUCCUUACUCUGAGACUCGGAACUCUCUUCUAUUCGGGUUAAAAUGAAUUUACUAACUCUGACUCUAGGUUCUCGUAAUUACUUUCUCCCGGAGAGCCCCUCACUCCAGAUGAUUGCUUGCUGCACUAGAAGAUUCCGAAGAUACUCUCCGAGGUUUUCCCGAGACCCUUGUGCCCACCGACUUUACAAUCCCCUACCAGCGAUAUACCCUUAUGGAUAACUACCCACAAUUGUCGUUCAUACCUUCAUCCUCAGUUGCUCUUGUUAUUACAAGGUGCCCUAAAUUGCUCUCCGUUGUUCCGAAAAUCCUUUAAGCUUACUGCCUUGAAGUUCUUUACCACAUGAAUACCCCUAUUGAAAAUUCCUCGCACUUAUUGAGUAUUCGUUCAUCCCCAGUUGUUCGUAUCCUUCAUAAGAUACUCUGAAAUACUAUCCAACCUUUUUGAGCAUCCCUUCAAACUAUUGCUCUGCAAAUACUUGUAUGCCUACAUUAUGGAUGCUCCCAUAUCACUAGCAAUAUCCACUAGUAUCUUUUGACACCGUCAUUUUGAUCCUAUUGAUUAAACAUGUGUGCGAAUGCACACAAUCAUCAAUCGUCCCUUCUAAAUUAUCUUUCCGGCUCAGACGUCAUUUUGAACAUGAGCUGGUUCUCGACCAAACUAUUUGUCGUCAAUUGUGCCUCUGGUCUAUCCAACUUAUCCAUCCUUGAUCAGAGCGUCUGCUUCUGAUCCUUUGUUUUGGAAAUCAUAAUUCCUUUGUUAUCUAAGCAUCAAAUUAUUCAGAUGUUCUAUAAUCUGAUGCCCGUGCAUUCUUUCUUCCUCUGAUUGAGUACCGAUACUCACAUCAGCUCCGUUGUGGAUCGCCCGAUCCAUUGUUGGAUUUCAUCCGACAUCGUCCUUCAUAUUCAAUAACCUUGUGAGCCUUUCCACGGGUAUAAUACCUUUGGUAAAUUGUAUCCUCUGCUUUGUCAACCAUGCUCUACUUUUGAGCUUGUGUUAUUUACUCCUGAAGUUCGUGGUAUAUGUUCUAAGAAGCCCCGAUGGCUUGAACCUAUGCCUUCCUUAAUAUGUGUGAACUCGAAAGUUUUCACGAGUCAUACUCUUCUGGUAUUUUGCCAGAUAAAAUUUCAACACUACAACUUCAUCGAACGCGAGAAGUAAAUGAAAGGUUAUGCAUUGGAGAAGUGGGAGUCGACCUUGAACUUUGUGUUCAUGCCCAUGGACAUGAUGUAGAUCUUCUCAUCGAAGCUUCUUUUAAAAUUAAUUAUUCCCUUGGUAUAAGUUCAUCUUAUAUCUGGGAUCUGACCUUUUUCAAUCGUGGUUCCGACCAUGUUCUCCUUUAAAUACCAUUUCCUGUGCAAGUUUAAGCACUUGUCUUCUGUAGAGCAAUACCCCGGUCCAACCUCUACUUUGAUCUGUCGUCGAGUAUUACCCCCUGGUAUCUCGAGAUUCUCACGGAACUGCAUAACUUCUUAUGAGUUCUUCAUCAAGUACUACAUUCUCACUGAUUCCAUUUUUUUUCACGGGCUCUGAGUUAUUAGACACUCAAAGACACCGAUAACUGAAUCGAGAUCGCACCGCGAUUAAACAACUCUUGGUAACCUUCAUUACUUACGAAUUUGAACUCGAUCACGUAAGUCCUAGCCUGCUCGGCUAUAUCAUUAUCAUGCUAAACUUUAACUGUGCUACCUGGUCCUUAAUCCCGAAGCACAACUUUCGAUGAUGAGCUAAGCUUACGUCGAUCUUCCUCGUUAUAUCAGUUCGCCUUGAACAACAAGCUUGAUUUCAAGUUUGUGUCCUACCCAUGGUUCCAAUAACCUUCCGCUUCAUCAUUCCUUUGACUUGAUGUCGUCGCUGAUUGAUUACAUCUUCAUGAAAUCUCUCGACAAAUGUGUCGUGAUCAUCAUCAACCUUAUGACCUCUUCCAGGAUAUCAAUUGAGUUCAUGAUGAGAAAUACGAUCCUUGCCCCCGAUGAUUUGUGUUAUUUUUGACCACUUUAUUGCCUUCCGUUCAACACAAACUUGUUCGUGUUUUGUGUUAUACCUUGAGAUCCUUGCUAUCCAGCAUUUGUUCGUCUUUACCUUGGGGUAUUACCAUCUUUUAUGUCAAGAAUGUCAUGAGAAUUUCACCACCUCUUAAGAAUUCUUGAUACAGGUGAUACCUUUUGCCAUAUCCGUUCAUUCCUUGGUCUUCGUGUUAUUUCUAACCGGAAAACUGACAAUCGAACUAUGAUGUGCGACUUCAAAACUUCUAGCAACCCUAUUGCUUCGAAGUUAAUGGUCGAUAUUUCAUUCUUAGACCAUUGGUUAUCGAACCACCAUUCUAACAUUGAUCAUGCUACUUAAGCCCAUAUUUCGGGUGCACCUUUCAACCAAUGUUUAACUGUGUAUGUUUUCCUCGAGCAUACAUCAUUAUAUCAUUUGAUCUGACUAAUGUUAUCUCCUUGUUCACAUAAUUGUGGAAACCCAUCUUUUGGAAGUCUCGAUGAAUUGUCGCUGAGUUCAUCAGCUACCACCUCAUCCUCCCCUUGGUUUAAUGAUGAACUCUUGCUUCAGAACUUGCUUCCAUAGUUCAUUGCCCGAGAAUCUUAUAAUGCCAUCUCGUCAAUUGCGUUGCACCUUUUCUCCUCAGGCAUCAUGAGUCUGAGGUAUCCUGACACCAAUCAGAUCUGAAUCUCGGUCAGAUAUGAUGGUUGGAACAUUUUCCAAGAGUCACAACAUUGAUCUUUAUAUGACCCGGUAAGGUGAUGUCAUGCCUAGCACACCUGGCCGGAGGAUCUAUUGUUAUAGUUUUAUUUUUAGUAAGGUUAUCCAUUCUCCCAUGAGGAAAUUGUAAGACUUAUUCUACAAGUUUUUCCUGAUGGAUCCUUUGUGUAUCCAAAGUCUGACCUUUGCUUGAAGACCAUGUCAAUGCUAUCUCGAAGCAUGUCUUUGGUAAUCUGAUUAUCAAUAAGAGCAUUUGAAGCACAAUGCUAAAUUUUCUUUAUCAUUUACCCUAACACCGUUGUAUGGGUAAUAUCAUGAGAUUCCUCCCCCCUUACCUAAAUGGUUCCCUACUUUCUAUCAUGUCAUGGAUAUCAUGCUCCGCUUGUCCUUGGGAAGGACAUACCCCCGAAAUAUGUGUGUGUAUACACAUUUUCCUUUCCAUUGUUCUGUUUAAACCUGAUAAUCACUUUUCCUUUUCAUUGUUUUGUUUAACCUUUCUGGUGAUCUAUAUGAUCUAAGCAGUAAUAUUCUUCUGCUUAUGUAAACACCUCGGUGUAUAAUUAUGUCAGAAAGACCUUGUUACUUUUGUUGAUGACAUUUCGGUAACCAUCGAUGGACGAGAACUUUGCCUAUUGGUCCGCCUCGUUUCAACGAGUAGGAAAAUGGUUCUCUUCAUCCCUCGCCCUUGGUACCGAUGUUGUUGCCAACAUAAUCGACAUGCUACCUUCUGACCUGCCUUGCUAUCAUGACCAUGCAAGAUGUCACCGCUCCUCCUACUUUUAACCCACAUGGUGGGCCCAUAACCCACAGUUCCACAGGAACGAAACCUGGUUCUUCUGCACACCCCUGUUUCCAAAAUUAUUCCACCCGCUUGGCUUCGUAUGUAAUUCACGGGCCACCUUCCUAGUGAUCUAUUCUGGUACCAGACGCAAUAUUUUCUCAUUGCUCUGAACCCCUGUCACAUUUCGUUUCAGGCGACAAACGGUUGCCUAUCCGCUUGAAAGUCCUUAUUUCACCUUCUUAACUUACUCUCGAUGACUUCUCGAAUUUCAACUCGAGAGGUGACUCUAAACCUCGUUCACUGAGGUAGCCCUUAGGUACCUAACAUGUAUUGAGCUUCGCACUUCACGAGUUUCCCCCCUUAUCUUUUUCAUAAGUACGAUGGAGACCUCGAAGGAAGAAUGACGACUUCAUCAUGAGGCCCGUAUGCAUUGAAUUGAAGGCAUCAACGCUAUGGGUCAACCUCUUCAAGAAGAGCCACCAAGGCCGAGAAGAUCCGUUAGAAUUUCGUAACCAGAACUUCCCCCGUACUCCAUCUCUUAAAUCUCGGGACGAGAUUUCUUGUAGUAGAGGAGAUUUGUGACGCCCGGAUAAUUAAGCUACAGUAACCCUGUACUAAUGAUGCCACGUCAACUUGAUUACUAUUGCUAAUCUCGCCUUAAUUCGAAACCGAUUCAAAUUCAAAUUCUAAAUCAAGCAAACAAUAAAUUUUUCAAACAUUCAAACUAAAAUGUUCGGAGUGAGCCAAAUAAUGCAUAGGUAAUAUUGGUGAAGAAACCAAAACUUUAGAAAAUGUUUAAGUGCUUAAAAAUAAUUAAAACAGUGGCAUUCAUAAUUAAUUAGAUGCCUUUUAUAAUUUCUAAAGUAUCAAAUUAAUUUAAUGGGGUACCAAACUUUUGUGGCAGAGGGUUAAACUAAAACAUUAAUUUAGGUAUUGGUCUCAUAUUUUUAUAAAACUAAAAUAUGCUAAUAGUAAAAUAAAAAAGUAAAUAAAGAAAAAGAAAAGACAAACAAAACGAAAUUAUAAAAAGAUAAAACCUCCCCCUCCCCUGGGCCUUGGCCCAGCAAACUGGCCAGGCCGGCCCACUCCCUCAUCCCCUUCCCACUACAGGAACCNNNNNNNNNNNNNNNNNNNNNNNNNNNNNNNNNNNNNNNNNNNNNNNNNNNNNNNNNNNNNNNNNNNNNNNNNNNNNNNNNNNNNNNNNNNNNNNNNNNNNNNNNNNCGGCCAUCGCCCCGUCGCCGGCCAAGCGCCGGCCAUCGCCCGGCCGGCCUCGCCUAUAUAUCCGGCGACUCCCUCCCCGGCGCCUGGAACCCUAGCUAACCCCCUCUCUCCCCCGCGACCCGCUCCCCGAUCUGGACGCCCACGGCCCCGAGCCGGCGCCUUUCGACGCCGUCGUUGCCUCACCUCGCCCCCGAGCCGACCCCGACCUGCGCCGUCCUCCCCUUCUUCCUCUACGCCUAUCCACGAGGACCAGGAUGCCCCCAUGACGCCGCUCCGAGCUCGACUUAUUCCUCAGGACUCCGGUCGCCGUCGCCAACGUCGGUCGCCUCUGCGCUCCCGUUCACUCACUGGGCCCCCGUGCGCCCCCACUGUGAGCUGUCCUUCCCCUCCGUUUCCCUGUGCCGUGCCGUAGCCGCAUACCGCGCCGUCCUCGCCAUUGCUCCCGAAGCUUGUCGCCGCCGUAGGUGCCACCGCGACUCGCGUACGACCGCGUCACGGUACUCGCUACGCCACCACGACCCUGUAGCACCCCAGUGCUUUCCCUCGCCGCCCCUCGCUCCGUCCCCGACGAGCUCCGGCCCCCGUCCUGUUGGAAAUAUGCCCUAGAGGCAAUAAUAAAAUGGUUAUUAUUGUAUUUCCUGGUUCAUGAUAAUUGUCUGUUGUUCAUGCUAUAAUUGUAUUAACUGGAAACCGUAAUACAUGUGUGAAUACAUAGACCACAACAUGUCCCUAGUAAGCCUCUAGUUGACUAGCUUGUUGAUCAAUAGAUGGUUAUGGUUUCCUGACCAUGGACAUUGGAUGUCAUUGAUAACGGGAUCACAUCAUUAGGAGAAUGAUGUGAUGGACAAGACCCAAUCCUAAGCAUAGCACAAGAUCGUGUAGUUCGUUUGCUAGAGCUUUUCUAAUGUCAAGUAUCAUUUCCUUAGACCAUGAGAUUUUGCAACUCCCGGAUACCGUAGGAAUGCUUUGGGUGUACCAAACGUCACAACGUAACUGGGUGGCUAUAAAUGUGCACUAAAGGUAUCUCCGAAAGUGUCUGUUGGGUUGGCACGAAUCGAGACUGGGAUUUGUCACUCCAUACGACGGAGAGGUAUCUCUGGGCCCACUCGGUAAUGCAUCAUCAUAAUGAGCUCAACGUGACUAAGGAGUUAGCCACGGGAUCAUGUGUUAAGGUACGAGUAAAGUGACUUGCCGGUAACGAGAUUGAACAAGGUAUUGGGAUACCGACGAUCGAAUCUCGGGCAAGUAACGUACCGAUUGACAAAGGGAAUUGUAUACGGGAUUGAUUGAAUCCUCGACAUCGUGGUUCAUCCGAUGAGAUCAUCGUGGAACAUGUGGGAGCCAACAUGGGUAUCCAGAUCCCACUGUUGGUUAUUGACCGGAGAGUCGUCUCGGUCAUGUCUGCAUAUCUUCCGAACCCGUAGGGUCUACACACUUAAGGUUCGGUGACGCUAGAGUUGUAGAGAUAUUAGUAUGCGGUUAAUCGAAAGUUGUUCGUAGUCCCGGAUAAGAUCCCGGACGUCACCAGGGGUUCCGGAAUGGUCCGGAGGUAAAGAUUUAUAUAUGGGAAGUCCUAUUUUGGCCACCGGAAAAUGUUCGGGAUUUUUCGGUAUUGUACCGGGAAGGUUCUAGAAGGUUCCGAAGUGGGGCCCACCUGCAUGGGGGGACCCACAUGAACGUGGGUAGUGGGGGCAAGGCCCCACACCCCUGGUCAAGGCGCACCAAGAUCCCACCUUAGAAGGAAUAAGAUCAUAUCCCGAAGGGAUAAGAUGAAGAUCCCUAAAAAGGGGGAUAACAAUCGGUGGGGAAGGGAAAUGAUGGGAUUUCUUUCCCCCACCUUUGCCAACGCCCCAAUGGACUUGGAGGGCAAGAAACAAGCCCCCUCCACCCUUAUAUAUAGUGGGGAGGCGCAUGGGAGCAGUACCCCAAGCCCUGGCGCCUCCCUCCCUCCCGUGACACCUCUUCCUCCCCGCUUGCGCUUGGCGAAGCCCUGCCGGGAUCCCGCUACUUCCACCACCACGCCGUCGUGCUGCUGGAUCUCCAUCAACUUCUCCUCCCCCCUUGCUGGAUCAAGAAGGAGGAGACGUCCCCGCUCCGUACGUGUGUUGAACGCGGAGGUGCCGUCCGUUCGGCGCUAGGAUCAUCGGUGAUUUGGAUCACGACGAUUACGACUCCAUCAACCCCGUUCUCUUGAACGCUUCCGCGCGUGAUCUACAAGGGUAUGUAGAUGCACUCCCCUCUCUCUCGUUGCUAGAUGACUCCAUAGAUUGAUCUUGGUGAUACGUAGAAAAUUUGAAAUUUCUGCUACGUUCCCCAACUGUGGCAUCAUGAGCUAGGUCUAUGCGUAGAUUCUAUGCACGAGUAGAACACAAAGUAGUUGUGGGCGAUGAUUUGUUCAAUUUGCUUGCCGUUACUAGUCUUAUCUUGAUUCGGCGGCAUUGUGGGAUGAAGCGGCCUGAACCGACCUUACACGUACUCUUACGUGAGCCAGGUUCCACCGACUGACAUGCACUUGAUGCAUAAGGUGGCUAGCGGGUGUCUGUCUCUCCCACUUUAGUCGGAUCGGAUUCGAUGAAGAGGGUCCUUAUGAAGGGUAAAUAGCAAUUGGCAUAUCACCGUUGUGGCUUUUGCGUAGGUAAGAAACGUUCUUGCUAGAAACCCAUAGCAGCCACGUAAAACAUGCAACAACAAUUAGAGGACGUCUAACUUGUUUUUGCAGGGUACGCUAUGUGAUGUGAUAUGGCCAAAAGGAUGUGAUGAAUUAUAUAUGUGAUGUAUGAGAUUGAUCAUGUUCUUGUAAUAGGAAUCACGACUUGCAUGUCGAUGAGUAUGACAACCGGCAGGAGCCAUAGGAGUUGUCUUAAUUUAUUGUAUGACCUGCGUGUCAAUGAAAACGCCAUGUAAUUACUUUACUUUAUUGCUAACCGUUAGCCAUAGUAGUAGAAGUAAUAGUUGGCGAGACAACUUCAUAAAGACACAAUGAUGGAGAUCAUGAUGAUGGAGAUCAUGGUGUCAUGCCGGUGACGAAGGUGAUCAUGCCGCGCCUCGAAGAUGGAGAUCAAAGGCGCAAGAUGAUAUUGGCCAUAUCAUGUCACUUUAUGAUUUGCAUGUGAUGUUUGUCAUGUUUACAUCUUAUUUGCUUAGAACGACGGUAGCAUAAAUAAGAUGAUCCCUCACUAAAAUUUCAAGAGAUGUGUUCCCCCUAACUGUGCACCGUUGCGAAGGUUCGUUGUUUCGAAGCACCACGUGAUGAUCGGGUGUGAUAGAUUCUAACGUUCGCAUACAACGGGUUUUGACGAGCCUAGCAUGUACAGACAUGGCCUCGGAGCACAAGCAAAACACUUAGGUUGACUUGACGAGCCUAGCAUGUACAGACAUGGCCUCGGAACACAAGAGACCGAAAGGUCGAACAUGAGUCGUAUAGUAGAUACGAUCAACAUGGAGAUGUUCACCGAUGAUGACUAGUCCGUCUCACGUGAUGAUCGGACACGGCCUAGUCGAUUCGGAUCAUGUAUCACUUAGAUGACUAGAGGGAUGUCUAUCUAAGUGGGAGUUCAUUAAAUAAUCAGAUGAACUUAAUUAUCAUGAACAUAGUCAAAAGGUCUUUGCAAAUAAUGUCGUAGCUUACGCUUUAGUUCUACUAAGAUAUGUUCCUAGAGAAAAUUUAGUUGAAAGUUGAUAAUAGCAAUUAUGCGGACUGGGUCCGUAAACUGAGGAUUGUCCUCAUUGCUGCAGAGAAGGCUUAUGUCCUUAAUGCACCGCUCGGUGUGCUGAACCUCGAGCAUCGUUUGUGGAUGUUGCGAACAUCUGACAUACACGUUUUGAUGACUACGUGAUAGUUCAGUGCGUAAUGUUGAACGGUUUAAAAUUGUGGCACCAAAGACGGUUUUGAAGCGUCGCAGAACAUAUGAGAUGUUCCAAAGACUGAAAUUGGGAUUUCAGACUAGUGCCCACGUCAAGAGGUAUGAGACCUCUGACAAGUUUCUUAAGCCUGCAAACUAAGGGAGAAAAGCUCAAUCGUUGAGCAUGUGCUCAGAUUGUCUGAGUACUACAAUCACUUGAAUCGAGUAGGAGUUAAUCUUCCAGAUGAGAUAGUGAUGGUUCUCCAUAGUCACUGCCACCAAGCUAUUAGAGCUUCGUGAUGAACUAUAACAUAUCAGGGAUAGACAUGAUGAUCCUUGAGCAACUCACGAUGUUUGACACCGCGAAAGUAGAAAUCAAGUAGGAGCAUCAAUUGUUGAUGGUUAGUAAAACCACUAGUUUCUAGAAGGGCAAGGGCAAGAAGGGAUACUUCAUGAAACGGCAAAUCAAUUGCUGCUCUAGUGAAGAAACCCAAGGUUGAACCCAAACCCGAGACUAAGUGCUUCUGAAAUGAGGGGAACGGUCACUCAAGCAGAACUACCCUAGAUACUUCGUAGAUGAGAAGGCUGGCAAGGUCGACAGAAGUAUAUUGGAUAUACAUUAUAUUAAUGUGUACUUUACUAGUACUCCUAGUAGCACCAGGGUAUUAGAUACCGGUUCGGUUGCUAAGUGUUAGUAACUCGAAAUAAAAGCUGCGGAAUAAACGGAGACUAGCUAAAGGUGAGAUGACGAUAUGUGUUUCCAAGGUUGAUGUGAUCAAGCAUCGCAUGCUCCCUCUACCAUCGAGAUUGGGGUUAAACCUGAAUAAUUGUUAUUUGGUGUUUGCGUUAAGCAUAGACAUGAUUGGAUUAUGUUUAUCACAAUACGGUUAUUCAUUAAAGGAGAAUAAUGGUUACUCUGUCUAUUUGAAUAAUACCUUCAAUGGUCUUGCACCUAAAAUGAAUGGUCUAUUGAAUCUCGAUCGUAGUGAUACACAUGUUCAUGCCAAAGGAUAUAAGAUAGUACCACAUACUUGUGGCACUGCCACUUGAGUCAUAUUGGUAUAAAACGCAUGAAGAAACUCCAUGUUGAUGGAUCUUUGGACUCACUCGUUUUUGAAAAGAUUGAGACAUGCGAACCAUGUCUAUUAGUAUAUAUGCAUGAAGAAAGUCCAUACAGAUGGAUCAUUUGGACUCACUUGAUUUUGAAUCACUUGAGACAUGCAAAUCAUACCACAUGGGCAAGAUGACUGAAAGGCCUCGUUUUCAGUAAGAUGGAACAAGAGAGCAACUUGUUGGAAGUAAUACAUUUGAUGUGUGCAGUCCAAUGAGUGCUGAGGCACGCAGUGGAUAUCGUUAUGUUCUUACUUCACAGAUGAUUUGAGUAGAUGCUGAGAAUAUUUACUUGAUGAAACACAAGUCUGAAUUAUUGAAAGGUUCAAGUAAUUUCAGAGUGAAGUUGAAGAUCGUCGUGACAAGAGGAUAAAAUGUCUGUGAUAUGAUCAUAGAGAUGAAUAUCUGAGUUACGAGUUUGGCACACAAUUAAGAAAUUGUGGAAAUUGUUUCACGACUAAUACCGCCUGGAACACCAUAUUGUGAUGGUGUGUUCGAACAUCAUAACUGCACCCUAUUGGAUAUGGUGCAUACCAUGAUGUCUCUUAUCGAAUUACAACUAUCGUUUAUGGGUUAGGCAUUAGAGACAACCGCAUUCACUUUAAAUAGGGCACCACGCAAUUCCGUUGAGACGACACCGUAUGAACUAUGGUUUAGAGAAACCUAAGCUGUCGUCUCUUAAAAGUUUGGGGCUGCGACGCUUAUGUGAAAAAGUUUCAGGCUAAUAAGCUUGAACCCAAAGCGGAUAAAUGCAUCUUCAUAGAAUACCCAAAACAGUUGGGUAUACCUCCUAUUUCAGAUCUGGAAGCAAAAGUGAUUGUUUCUAGAAACGGGUCCUUUCUCGAGGAAAAGUUUCUCUCGAAAGAAUUGAGUGGGAGGAUGGUGGAGACUUGAUGAGGUCAUUGAACCGUCACUUCAACUAAUGUGUAGCAGGGCACAGGAAGUUGUUCCUGUGGCACCUACACCAAUUGAAGUGGAAGCUUAUGAUAGUGAUCAUGAAACUUCAGAUCAAGUCACUACCAAACCUCAUAGGACGACAAGGAUACGUACUACUUCAGAGUGGUACGUAAUCCUGUCUUGGAAGUCAUGUUGCUAGACAACAAUGAACCUAGGAGCUAUGGAGAAGCGAUGGUGGGCCCGGAUUCCAACGAAUGGCUUGAGGCCAUAAAAUCUGAGAGGAUCCAUGUAUGAAAACAAAGUAUAGACUUUGAAAGAACUACUUGAUGGUCGUAAGGCUGUUGGGUACAGAUGGAUUUUAAAGGGAAGACAGACAAUGAUGGUAAGUGUCACCAUUAAGAAAGCUCGACUUGUCGUUAAGAUGUUUUCCGGCAAGUUCAAGGAGUUGACUGCGAUGAGACUUUCUAACUCGUAGCGAUGCUAAGAGUCUGUUAGAAUUAUAUUAGCAGUUACUGCAUUGUUUAUGAAAUCUUGCAGAUAGGAUGUCAAAACAUUGUUUCCUCGACGAUUUUCUUGAGGAAAGGUUGUAUGUGAUACAACGAGAAGGUUUUGUCAAUCCUGAAAGAUGCUAACUAGUAUGCAAAGCUCCAGCAAUCCUUCUAAGGAUUGGAGUAAGCAUCUUGGAGUUGGAAUGAACGCUUUGAUGAGAUGAUCAAAGAUUUUGGGUUUAUACAAAGUUCAUGAGAAACUUGUAUUUCCAAAGAAGUGAGUGGGAGCACUAUAGAAUUUUUGAUGAGUAUAUGUUGUUAACAUAUCGUUGAUCAGAAAUGAUGUAGAAUUUCUGGAAAGCAUCCAGGGUUAUUUGAAAAGUGUUUUUAAUGGAAAACCUGGAUUAAGCUACUUGAACAUUGAGCAUCAAGAUCUAUAAGGAUAGAUCAAAAACGAUUAAUAGUACUUUCAAAUGAAUACAUACCGUGACAAGAUUUUGAAGGAGUUCAAAAUAGAUCAGCAAAGAAGGAGUUCUUGGCUGUGUUACAAGGUGUGAGUAUUGAGUAAGACUCAAGACCUGACCACGGCAGAAGAAAGAGAAAGGACGAAGGUCGUCCCCUAUGCUUUAGACGUAGGCUCUACAAUAUGCUAUGCUGUGUACCGCACCUGAAGUGUGCCUUGCCAUGAGUUAGUCAAGGGGUACAAUAGUGAUCCAGGAAGGGAUCACAUGACAGCGGUCGAACUUAUCCUUAGUAUCUAGUGGACUAAGGAAUUUUCUCGAUUAUGGAGGUGGAAAGGGGGUUCGUCGUAAAGGGUUACGUCGAUGCAAAAUUUGACACUAAUCCGGAUGACUCUGAGUAGUGAACCGGAUUCGUAUAGUAGAGCAGUUAUUUGGAAUAGUUCCAAGUAGCGCGUGGUAGUUGCAUCUACAAGAUGACAUAGAGAUUUGUAAAUCACACACGGAUCUGAAUGUUGCAGACCCGUUGACUAAAACCUCUCUCGUAAGCAUAACAUGAUCAAACCCUAGAACUCAUUGAGUGUUAAUCACAUGGUGAUGUGAACUAGAUUAUUGACUCUAGUAAACUCUUGGGUAUUAGUCACAUGGCGACGUGAACUUUGAGUGUUAAUCACAUGGUGAUGUGAACUAGAUUAUUGACUCUAGUGCAAGUGGGAGACUGUUGGAAAUAUGCCCUAGAGGCAAUAAUAAAAUGGUUAUUAUUGUAUUUCCUUGUUCAUGAUAAUUGUCUCUUGUUCAUGCUAUAAUUGUAUUAAUUGGAAACCGUAAUACAUGUGUGAAUACAUAGACCACAACAUGUCCCUAGUAAGCCUCUAGUUGACUAGCUCGUUGAUCAAUAGAUGGUUAUGGUUUCCUGUCCAUGGACAUUGGAUGUCAUUGAUAACGGGAUCACAUCAUUAGGAGAAUGAUGUGAUGGACAAGACCCAAUCCUAAGCAUAGCACAAGAUCGUGUAGUUCGUUUGCUAGAGCUUUUAUAAUGUCAAGUAUCAUUUCCUUAGACCAUGAGAUUGUGCAACUCCCGGAUACCGUAGGAAUGCUUUAGGUGUACCAAGCGUCACAACGUAACUGGGUGGCUAUAAAGGUGCACUACAGGUAUCUCCAAAAGUGUCUGUUGGGUUGGCACGAAUCGAGACUGGGAUUUGUCACUCCGUAUGACGGAGAGGUAUCUCUGGGCCCACUCGGUAAUGCAUCAUCAUAAUGAGCUCAAUGUGACUAAGGAGUUAGCCACGGGAUCAUGCAUUACGGUACGAGUAAAGUGACUUGUCGGUAACGAGAUUGAACAAGGUAUUGGGAUACCGACGAUCGAAUCUCGGGCAAGUAACGUACCGAUUGACAAAGGGAAUUGUAUACGGGAUUGAUUGAAUCCUCGACAUCGUGGUUCAUCCGUUGAGAUCAUCGUGGAACAUGUGGGAGCCAACAUGGGUAUCCAGAUCCCGCUGUUGGUUAUUGACCGGAGAGUCGUCUCGGUCAUGUCUGCAUGUCUCCUGAACCCGAAGGGUCUACACACUUAAGGUUCGGUGAUGCUAGAGUUGUAGAGAUAUUAGUAUGCCGUUAACCAAAAGUUGUUCGGAGUCCCGGAUGAGAUCCUGGACGUCACGAGGAGUUCCGGAAUGGUCCGGAGGUAAAGAUUUAUAUAUGGAAAGUCCUAUUUUGGCCACCGGAAAAUGUUCGGGAUUUUUCGUUAUUGUACCGGGAAGGUUCUAGAAGGUUCCGAAGUGGGGCCCACCUGCAUGGGGGGACCCACAUGAACGUGGGUAGUGGGGGCAAGGCCCCACACCCCUGGUCAAGGCGCACCAAGAUCCCACCUUAGAAGGAAUUGUUGGGGAUCGUAAGAGAAAUCAAAAAAUUUCUACGCAUCACCAAGAUCAAUCUAUGGAGUCAUCUAGCAACGAGAGAGAGGAGUGCAUCUACAUACCCUUGUAGAUCGCGAGCGGAAGCGUUCAAGUGAACGGGGUUGAUGGAGUCGCACUCGUCGUGAUCCAAAUCACCGACGACCAAGCGCCGAACGGACGGCACCUCCGCGUUCAACACACGUACGGUUGGGGAAGACGUCUCCUCCUUCUUGAUCCAGCAAGGGGGAAGGAGAGGUUGAUGGAGAUCCAGCAGCACGACGGUGUGGUGGUGGAAGUAGCGGGGAUCUCGGCAGGGCUUCGCCAAGCUCAUCGAGAGGGAGAGGUGUUACGGGAGGGAGAGGGAGGCGCCAGGGGCUGUCUUGCGGCUGCCCUCCCUCCCCCCCUUUAUAUAGGCCCCCUGGGGGGCGCCGGCCCUGGGAGAUCCCAUCUCCAAGGGGGGCGGCGAUCAAGGGGGUGGCUUGCCCCCCAAGCCAAGUGGGGCGCCCCCCACCCCUAGGGUUUCCAACCCUAGGCGCAGGGGAGGCCCAAGGGGGGCGCACCAGCCCACUAGGGGCUGGUUCCCUUCCCCACUUCAGCCCAUGGGGCCCUCCGGGAUAGGUGGCCCCACCCGGUGGACCCCGGGACCCUUCCAGGUGGUCCCGGUACAAUACCGGUGACCCCCGAAACUUUCCCGGUGGCCGAAACUGGACUUCCUAUAUAUAAUUAUUCACCUCCGGACCAUUCCGGAACUCCUCGUGACGUCCGGGAUCUCAUCGGGGACUCCGAACAACUUUCGAAUUUCCGCAUAUUAAUAUCUCUACAACCCUAGCGUCACCGAACCUUAAGUGUGUAGACCCUACGGGUUCGGGAGACAUGCAGACAAGACCGAGACGACUCUCCGAUCAAUAACCAACAGCGGGAUCUGGAUACCCAUGUUGGCUCCCACAUGUUCCACGAUGAUCUCAUCGGAUGAACCACGAUGUCGAGGAUUCAAUCAAUCCCGUAUACAAUUCCCUUUGUCAAUCGGUACGUUACUUGCCCGAGAUUCGAUCGUCGGUAUCCCAAUACCUUGUUCAAUCUCGUUACCGGCAAGUCACUUUACUCGUACCGUAAUGCAUGAUCCCGUGACCAAACACUUGGUCACAUUGAGCUCAUUAUGAUGAUGCAUUACCGAGUGGGCCCAGAGAUACCUCUCUGUCAUACAGAGUGACAAAUCCCAGUCUCGAUUCGUGCCAACCCAACAGACACUUUCGGAGAUACCCGUAGUGCACCUUUAUAGUCACCCAGUUACGUUGUGACGUUUGGCACACCCAAAGCACUCCUACGGUAUCCGGGAGUUGCACAAUCUCAUGGUCUAAGGAAAUGAUACUUGACAUUUGGAAAAGCUCUAGCAAACGAACUACACGAUCUUUUGUGCUAUGCUUAGGAUUGGGUCUUGUCCAUCACAUCAUUCUCCUAAUGAUGUGAUCCCGUUAUCAAUGACAUCCAAUGUCCAUAGUCAGGAAACCAUGACUAUCUGUUGAUCAACGAGCUAGUCAACUACAGGCUCACUAGGGACAUGUUGUGGUCUAUGUAUUCACACAUGUAUUACGAUUUCCGGAUAACACAAUUAUAGCAUGAACAAUAGACAAUUAUCAUGAACAAGGAAAUAUAAUAAUAACCAUUUUAUUAUUGCCUCUAGGGCAUAUUUCCAACAGUCUCCCACUUGCACUAGAGUCAAUAAUCUAGUUACAUUGUGAUGAAUCGAACACCCAUAGAGUUCUAGUGUUGAUCAUGUUUUGCUCUAGGGAGAGGUUUAGUCAACGGAUCUGCUACAUUCAGGUCCGUAUGUACUUUACAAAUAUCUAUGUCUCCAUUUUGAACACUUUCACGAAUGGAGUUGAAGCAACGCUUGAUAUGCCUGGUCUUCCUGUGAAACCUGGGCUCGUUGGCAAGGGCAAUAGCUCCAGUGUUGUCACAGAAGAGAGUCAUCGGGCCCGAUGCAUUGGGAAUAACUCCUAGGUCAGUAAUGAACUCCUUCACCCAGAUUGCUUCUUGUGCUGCCUCUGAGGCCGCCAUGUACUCCGCUUCACAUGUAGAUCACGCCACGACGCUUUGCUUGCAACUGCACCAGCUUACUGCCCCACCAUUCAAAAUAUACACGUAUCCGGUUUGUGACUUAGAGUCAUCCAGAUCUGUGUCGAAGCUAGCAUCGACGUAACCCUUUACGACGAGCUCUUCGUCACCUCCAUAAACGAGAAACAUAUCCUUAGUCCUCUUCAGGUACUUCAGGAUAUUCUUGACCGCUGUCCAGUGUUCCAUGCCGGGAUUACUUUGGUACCUUCCUACCAAACUUACGGCAAGGUUUACAUCAGGUCUCGUACACAGCAUGGCAUACAUAAUAGACCCUAUGACCGAGGCAUAGGGGAUGACACUCAUCUUUUCUCUAUCUUCUGCCGUGGUCGGGCAUUGAGCCGUGCUCAAUUGCACACCUUGCAAUAUAGGCAAGUACCCCUUCUUGGACUGAUCGAUAUUGAACUUCAAUAUCUUGUCAAGGUACGUACUUUGUGAAAGACCAAUGAGGCGUCUUGAUCUAUCUCUAUAGAUCUUGAUGCCUAAUAUGUAAGCAGCUUCUCCAAGGUCCUUCAUUGAAAAACACUUAUUCAAGUAGGCCUUUAUACUUUCCAAGAAUUCUAUAUCAUUUCCCAUCAAUAGUAUGUCAUCCACAUAUAAUAUGAGAAAUGCUACUGAGCUCCCACUCACUUUCUUGUAAACACAGGCUUCUCCAUAAGUCUGUGUAAACCCAAACGCUUUGAUCAUCUCAUCAAAUCAAAUGUUCCAACUCCGAGAUGCUUGCACCAGCCCAUAGAUGGAGCGCUGGAGCUUGCAUACCUUGUCAGCAUUCUUAGGAUCGACAAAACCUUCCGGCUGCAUCAUAUACAAUUCUUCCUUAGGAAAGCCGUUAAGGAAUGCCGUUUUGAUGUCCAUUUGCCAUAUCUCAUAAUCAUAGAAUGCGGCAAUUGCUAACAUGAUUCAGACGGACUUCAGCUUCGCUACGGGUGAGAAAGUCUCAUCGUAGUCAACCCCUUGAACUUGUCGAUAACCCUUAGCAACAAGUCGAGCCUUAUAGAUGGUCACAUUACCAUCCGCGUCCGUCUUCUUCUUAAAGAUCCAUUUAUUUCCUAUGGCUCGCCGAUCAUCGGGCAAGUCAGUCAAAGUCCACACUUCGUUUUCAUACAUGGAUCCUAUCUCGGAUUUCAUGGCUUCUAGCCAUUUGUCGGAAUCUGGGCCCGUCAUCGCUUCUUCAUAGUUCGAAGGUUCACCAUUGUCUAACAACAUGAUUUCCAAGACAGGGUUGCCGUACCACUCUGGCGCAGAAUGUGUCCUUGUGGACCUACGAAGUUCAGUAGUAACUUGAUCCGAAGUACCUCGAUCAUCAUCAUUAGCUUCCUCUCUAGUCAGUGCAGGCAUCACAGGAACAUCUUCCUGAGCUGCGCUACUUUCCGGUUCAAGAGGUAGUACUUCAUCAAGUUCCACUUUCCUCCCACUUACUUCUUUCGAGAGAAACUCUUUCUCCAGAAAGGACCCGUUCUUGGCAACAAAGAUCUUGCCUUCGGAUCUGAGGUAGAAGGUAUACCCAAUGGUUUCCUUAGGGUAUCCUAUGAAGACACAUUUUUCUGACUUGGGUUCGAGCUUUUCAGGUUGAAGUUUCUUGACAUAAGCAUCGCAUCCCCAAACUUUUAGAAACGACAGCUUAGGUUUCUUCCCAAACCAUAAUUCAUACGGUGUCGUCUCAACGGAUUUCGACGGAGCCCUAUUUAAAGUGAAUGCGGCAGUCUCCAAAGCAUAGCCCCAAAAUGAGAGCGGUAGAUCGGUAAGAGACAUCAUAGAUCGCACCAUAUCCAAUAGAGUGCGAUUACGACGUUCGGACACACCAUUUCGCUGAGGUGUUCCAGGCGGCGUGAGUUGUGAAACUAUUCCACAUUUCCUUAAGUGUGUGCCAAAUUCGUGACUCAAAUAUUCCCCUCCACGAUCUGAUCGUAAGAAUUUUAUUUUCCUGUCACUUUGAUUCUCAACCUCACUCUGAAAUUCCUUGAACUUUUCAAAGGUCUCAGACUUGUGUUUCAUUAGGUAGACAUACCCAUAUCUACUCAAGUCAUCAGUGAGAGUGAGAACAUAACGAUAGCCUCCGCGAGCCUCAACACUCAUUGGAACGCACACAUCAGUAUGUAUGAUUUCUAAUAAGUUGGUUGCUCGCUCCAUUGUUCCGAAGAACGGAGUCUUGGUCCUUUCGCCCAUGAGGCAUGGUUCGCAUGUGUCAAAUGAUUCAUAAUCGAGAGACUCUAAAAGUCCAUCAGCAUGGAGCUUCUUCAUGCGCUUGACACCAAUGUGACCAAGGCGGCAGUGCCACAAGUAUGUGGGACUAUCGUUAUCAACUUUACAUCUUUUGGUAUUCACACUAUGAAUAUGUGUAACAUCACGUUUGAGAUUCAUUAAGAAUAAACCAUUGACCAGCGGGGCAUGACCAUAAAACAUAUCUCUCAUAUAAAUAGAACAACCAUUAUUCUUGGAUUUAAAUGAGUAGCCAUCUCGCAUUAGACGAGAUCUAGAUACAAUGUUCAUGCUCAAAGCUGGCACUAAAUAACAAUUAUUGAGGUUUAAAACUAAUCCCGUAGGUAAAUGUAAAGGUAGCCUGCCGACGGCGAUCACAUCGACCUUGGAACCAUUCCCGACGCGCAUCGUCACCUCGUCCUUUGCCAGUCUCCGCUUAUUCCGCAGCUCCGCUUUGAGUUACAAAUAUGAGCAACCGCACCGGUAUCAAAUACCCAGGAGCUACUACGAGUACUGGUAAGGUACACAUCAAUUACAUGUAUAUCACAUAUACCUUUGGUGUUGCCGGCCUUCUUGUCCGCUAAGUAUUUGGGGCAGUUCCGUUCCAGUGACCAUUUCCCUUGCAAUAAAAGCACUCAGUCUCAGGCUUGGGUCCAUUCUUUGGCUUCUUCCCGGCAACUGACUUACCGGGCGCGGCAACUCCCUUGCCGUCCUUCUUACCCUUGCCUUUCUUGAACUUAGUGGUUUUAUUCACCAUCAACACUUGAUGUUCCUUUUUGAUCUCCACCUCCGCUGAUUUCAGCAUUGAAUAUACCUCAGGAAUGGUCUUUUCCAUCCCCUGCAUAUUGAAGUUCAUCACAAAGCUCUUGAAGCUCGGUGGAAGCGACUGAAGGAUUCUAUCAAUGACCGUGUCAUCCGGGAGAUUAACUUCCAGCUGAGACAAGCGGUUGUGUAACCCAGACAUUUUGAGUAUGUGCUCGCUGACAGAACUAUUUUCCUCCAUCUUACAACUGAAGAACUUGUCGGAGACUUCAUAUCUCUCGACCCGGGCAUGAGCUUGGAAAACCAUUUUCAGCUCUUCGAACAUCUCAUAUGCUCCGUGUUGCUCAAAACGCUUUUGGAGCCCCAGUUCUAAGCUGUAAAGCAUGCCACACUGAACGAGGGAGUAAUCAUCAGCACGCUGCUGCCAAGCGUUCACAACGUCUUGGUUCUCUGGGAUUGGUGCUUCACCUAGCGGUGCUUCUAGGACAUAAUCUUUCUUGGCAGCUAUGAGGAUGAUCCUCAGGUUCCGGACCCAGUCCGUAUAGUUGCUGCCAUCAUCUUUCAGCUUGGUUUUCUCUAGGAACGCGUUGAAGUUGAGGGCAACGUGGGCCAUUUGAUCUACAAGACAUAUUGUAAAGAUUUUAGACUAAGUUCAUGAAAAUUAAGUUCAUCUAAUCAAAUUAUUCAAUGAACUCCCACUCAGAUAGACAUCCCUCUAGUCAUCUAAGUGAAACAUGAUCCGAGUCAACUAGGCCGUGUCCGAUCAUCACGUGAGACGGACUAGUCAACAUCGGUGAACAUCUUCAUGUUGAUCGUAUCUUCUAUACGACUCAUGCUCGACCUUUCGGUCUUCCGUGUUCCGAGGCCAUGUCUGUACAUGCUAGGCUCGUCAAGUCAACCUAAGUGUAUUGCGUGUGUAAAUCUGUCUUACACCCGUUGUAUUCGAACGUUAGAAUCUAUCACACCCGAUCAUCACGUGGUGCUUCGAAACAACGAACCUUCGCAACGGUGCACAGUUAGGGGGAACACUUUCUUGAAAUUAUUGCGAGGGAUCAUCUUAUUUAAGCAACCGUCGUUCUAAGCAAAUAAGAUAUAAAACAUGAUAAACAUCACAUGCAAUCAAAUAGUGACAUGAUAUGGCCAAUAUCAUUUUGUUCCUUUGAUCUCCAUCUUCGGGGCGCCAUGAUCAUCUUCGUCACCGGCAUGACACCAUGAUCUCCAUCAUCGUGUCUUCAUGAAGUUGUCACGCCAACGAUUACUUCUACUUCUAUGGCUAACGUGUUUACCAAUAAAGUAAAGUAAUUUACAUGGCGUUAUUCAAUGACACGCAGGUCAUACAAAAAAUAAAGACAACUCCUAUGGCUCCUGCCGGUUGUCAUACUCAUCGACAUGCAAGUCGUGAUUCAUAUUACAAGAACAUGAUCAAUCUCAUACAUCACAUAUAUUUCAUUCAUCACAUCCUUUUGGCCAUAUCACAUCACAAGGCAUAUGCUGCAAAAACAAGUUAGACGUCCUCUAAUUGUUGUUGCAAAUUUUUACGUGGCUUCUAUAGGUUUCUAGCAAGAACGUUUCUUACCUACGUAAAACCACAACGUGCUAUGCCAAUUUCUAUUUACCAUUCAUAAGGACCCUUUUCAUCGAAUCCGUUCCGACUAAAGUGGGAGAGACAGACACCCGCUAGCCACCUUAUGCAACUAGUGCAUGUCAGUCGGUGGGACCUGUCUCACGUAAGCGUACGUGUAAGGUCGGUCCGGGGCGCUUCAUCCCACAAUGCCGCCGAAACAAGAUAAGACUAGUAGUGGCAAGAAAAUUGACAACAUCUACGCCCACAACAAGUUUGUGUUCUACUCGUGCAUAGAAACUACGCAUAGGCCUGGCUCAUGAUGCCACUAUUGGAGAUCGUAGCAGAAAUCAAAAAUUUUCUACGCAUCACCAAGAUCAAUCUAUGGAGUCAUCUAGCAACGAGAGAGAGGAGUGCAUCUACAUACCCUUGUAGAUCGCGAACGGAAGCGUUCAAGUGAACGGGGUUGAUGGAGUCGCACUCGUCGUGAUCCAAAUCACCGAUGACCGAGCGCCGAACGGACGGCACCUCCGCGUUCAACACACGUACGGUUGGGGAAGACGUCUCCUCCUUCUUGAUCCAGCAAGGGGGAAGGAGAGGUUGAUGGAGAUCCAGCAGCACGACGGCGUGGUGGUGGAAGUAGCGGGGAUCUCGGCAGGGCUUCGCCAAGCUCAGCGAGAGGGAGAGGUGUUACGGGAGGGAGAGGGAGGCGCCAGGGGCUGUCUUGCAGCUGCCCUCCCUCCCCCCUUUAUAUAGCCCCCCUGGGGGGCGCCGGCCCUGGGAGAUCCCAUCUCCAAGGGGGCGGCGGCCAAGGGGGUGGCUUGCCCCCCAAGCCAAGUGGGGCGCUCCCCACCCCUAGGGUUUCCAACCCUAGGCGCAGGGGAGGCCCAAGGGGGGCGCACCAGCCCACCAGGGGCUGGUUCCCUUCCCCACUUCAGCCCAUGGGGCUCUUCGGGAUAGGUGGCCCCACCCGGUGGACCCCGGGACCCUUCCGGUGGUCCCAGUACAAUACCGGUGACCCCCGAAACUUUCCCGGUGGCCGAAACUGGACUUCCUAUAUAUAAUUAUUCACCUCCGGACCAUUCCGGAACUCCUCGUGACGUCCGGGAUCUCAUCCGGGACUCCGAACAACUUUUGGAUUUCCGCAUACUAAUAUCUCUACAACCCUAGCGUCACCGAACCUUAAGUGUGUAGACCCUACGGGUUCGGGAGACAUGCAGACAAGACCGAGACGACUCUCCGAUCAAUAACCAACAACGGGAUCUGGAUACCCAUGUUGGCUCCUACAUGUUCCACGAUGAUCUCAUCGGAUGAACCACGAUGUCGAGGAUUCAAUCAAUCCCGUAUACAAUUCCCUUUGUCAAUCGGUAUGUUACUUGCCCGAGAUUCGAUCGUCGGUAUCCCAAUACCUUGUUCAAUCUCGUUACCGGCAAGUCACUUUACUCGUACCGUAAUGCAUGAUCCCGUGACCAAACACUUGGUCACAUUGAGCUCAUUAUGAUGAUGCAUUACCGAGUGGGCCCAGAGAUACCUCUCCGUCAUACGGAGUGACAAAUCCCAGUCUCGAUUCGUGCCAACCCAACAGACACUUUCGGAGAUACCCGUAGUGCACCUUUAUAGUCACCCAGUUACGUUGUGACGUUUGGCACACCCAAAGCACUCCUACGGUAUCCGGAGUUGCACAAUCUCAUGGUCUAAGGAAAUGAUACUUGACAUUUGGAAAAGCUCUAGCAAACAAACUACACGAUCUUUUGUGCUAUGCUUAGGAUUGGGUCUUUUCCAUCACAUCAUUCUCCUAAUGAUGUGAUCCCGUUAUCAAUGACAUCCAAUGUCCAUAGUCAGGAAACCAUGACUAUCUGUUGAUCAACGAGCUAGUCAACUAGAGGCUCACUAGGGACAUGUUGUGGUUUAUGUAUUCACACAUGUAUUACGAUUUCCGGAUAACACAAUUAUAGCAUGAACAAUAGACAAUUAUCAUGAACAAGGAAAUAUAAUAAUAACCAUUUUAUUAUUGCCUCUAGGGCAUAUUUCCAACAGGAAUAAGAUCAUAUCCCGAAGGGAUAAGAUCAAGAUCCCUAAAAAAGGGGGAUAACAAUCGGUGGGGAAGGGAAAUGAUGGGAUUUCUUUCCCCCACCUUUGCCAACGCCCCAAUGGACUUGGAGGGAAAGAAACCAGCCCCCUCCACCCCUAUAUAUAGUGGGGAGGCGCAUGGGAGCAGCACCCCAAGCCCUGGCGCCUCCCUCCCUCCCGUGACACCUCUUCCUCCCCGCUUGCGCUUGGCGAAGCCCUGCUGGGAUCCCGCUACUUCCACCACCACGCCGUCGUGCUGCUGGAUCUCCAUCAACUACUCCUCCCCCCUUGCUGGAUCAAGAAGGAGGAGACAUCCCCACUCCGUACGUGUGUUGAACGCGGAGGUGCCGUCCGUUCGGCGCUAGGAUCAUCGGUGAUUUGGAUCACGACGAGUACGACUCCAUCGACCCCGUUCUCUUGAACGCUUCCGCGCGCGAUCUACAAGUGUAUGUAGAUGCACUCCCCUCUCCCUCGUUGCUAGAUGACUCCAUAGAUUGAUCUUGGUGAUACAUAGAAAAUUUUAAAUUUCUGCUACGUUCCCCAACACAUCCGCCCCUGCUUACCAUCGCGGUCGUCGUUUUCGUCCGCCUAGCUAGCGCAUGAGCACGCGGCCGUUCUCCUAGGGCUCCCAGGAGCCCAACGCAUGCACCCGCACGCCUUGCCAUGCCCCGCAACCCCCCCUCACGCGCUCGAGCUGCUGUCGCUGCCCUCUGUUCUUCGCCGCUGCACGCACCUCCCCUCCCUGCAUCUGCCGCACCUCGCGCGUGCAUACACGUUCGCGCCCCUGCUCGUCCGCCUGCUGCCGCUCGCGUGCGCGCGCCCGUGCAGACUGCUGCCGUGCCGCUCCCCUUGCUGUUGUUGCUCUGCUGCUGCACUUCUAUUGCGGCUAGCCGCUGCUGUCCCCGCGCGUUGCCGCUGCUACUGCAUCCCACCGCUGUUACUCUGCUACAGUAACUGAAUGUUACUGUAGCAGUAGCUAGCUUUGCUACGAUUACACUGACUAGCCCUCUGUACUGCAGCAAAACAAUUUCAAAACGAGUUCUAAUGUAGAUAAGAAUUAUAUGUGCGGGUAGUACACUUGACAAGGUUCAAUUCUUUCAAGUGGACCAAAUCCAAAAUUUGCCUGGAUUAAUUCCUACGAAAAUGACAAAAGUCUAUGUUCUGUUAACUUGUAGAACUAAAAACAGAUAUACUGCCAUAGCAACUUUGGAGCAAAAAAUAAACAAGUUACAAGGAUCUAACAAUGAUGCAAUUGUUACCAUCUUGUAGACCAUAGGAAAGUGAUCAAUAUUGGUAUAAGGCACCAAUUCAUAGGAUGAAUAGAACACUAGUUAUAGCCUCUGGAAAACAGCUAAAUGAUAUUUAAAACUGAGGACUUAGCAGAAUUUCAGUAAUUCUAGAAAAUGAAUUAAAACUUAAAAAAUUAAUAUAAAAUAAACCGUAGUUCCGAUGGAAAAACUUUGUACAUGAAAGUUGCUCAGAAUGACGAGACGAAUUCGGAUACGCGGCCCGUUUGUCCGCCACACAUCCCUAGCAUAGCGAACAUGCAACUUUCCCCCUCCGGUUCAUCUGUCCGAAAACGCUGAACACUGGGAAUACUUUCCCGGAUAUUUCCCCCUUCGCCAGUAUCACCUAUCCCAGCGUUAGAUCACCCCUGGCACCGCGUAUUGCCUUGUUAUAUUUCGUGAUGCUUUGUUUGCUUUGUAUUCACUGUUUCUUCCCCCUCUUCUUCUCCGGUAGACCUUGAGACCGACGAUGAUGCCCCUGAGUACGACUACGUCGACGACGAUCCCUCCUUCUUGCAAGAGCAACCAGGCAAGCCCCCCCUUGAUCACCAAAUAUCACCUAUUCCUUCUCUCUACUGCUUGCAUUAGAGUAGUGUAGCAUGUUACUGCUUUCGGUUAAUCCUAUUCUGUUGCAUAGCCUGUCAUUGUUGCUACAAUUGUUGAUACCUUUACCUGCUAUCCUAAUGCUUAGUAUAGGAUGCUAGUGUUCCAUCAGUGGCCCUACACUCUUGUCCGUCUGCCAUGCUAUACUACUGGGCCAUGAUCACUUCGGGAGGUGAUCACAGGCAUAUACUAUAUACUUUAUACUCUUACAUUACUUAUGAUACUGUUCGGAGAUGGGGGCUGAAGGGGCAGGUGGCUCCAUCCUGGUAGAGGUGGGCCAGGGUUCCCGAUGGCCCCCGACUGAUACUUUGUGGCGGAGCGACAGGGCAGGUUGAGACCACCUAGGAGAGAGGUGGGCCUGGCCCUGGUCGGCGUCCGCGGUUACUUGAAAAUAACACGCUUAACGAGUUCUUGGUAUUUGAUCUGAGUCUGGCCAUUGGUCUAUACGCACUAACCAACUACGCGGGAAUAGUUAUGGGCACUCGGCGUCGUGGUAUCAGCCGAAGCCUUCGUGACAUCAGCGACUGAGCGGCGCGCGCCGGAUUGGACUGGAACGCCUGCUAGGCUAGGUCUGCUUCCGGCCGCGUUCGCAACGUGCAGGUGUGCAAUGGGCGAUGGGCCCAGACCCCUGCGCCAUAGGAUUUAGAACGGCGUGCUGACCUCUCUGUUGUGCCUAGGUGGGGCUGCGACGUGUUGAUCUUCCGCGGCCGGGCAUGACCCAGAAAAGUGUGUCCGGCCAAAUGGGAUCGAGCGUGUUGGGUUAUGUGGUGCACCCCUGCAGGGAAGUUUAUCUAUUCGAAUAGCCGUGAUCUUCGGUAACAUGACGACUUGGAGUUGUACCUUGACCUUAUGACAACUAGAACCGGAUACUUAAUAAAACACACCCUUCCAAGUGCCAGAUAUAACCCGGUGAUCGCUCUCUAAUAGGGCGAUGACGAGGGGAUCGCCGGGUAGGAUUAUGCUAUGCGAUGCUACUUGGUGAACUUACCAUCUACUCUCUCCUACAUGCUGCAAGAUGGAGGUGGCCAGAAGCGUAGUCUUCGACAGGAUUAGCUACCCCCCUCUUAUUCUGGCAUUCUGCAGUUCAGUCCACCGAUAUGGCCCUUUACACAUAUACCCAUGCAUAGGUAGUGUAUCUCCUUGCUUGCGAGUACUUUGGAUGAGUACUCACGGUUGCUUUUCUUCCUAUUUUCCCCUUUCCCUUCUACCUGGUUGUCGCAACCAGAUGCUGGAGCCCAGGAGCCAGACGCCACCAUCGACGACAACUCCUACUACACCGCGGGUGCCUACUACUACUUGCAGGCCACCGACGACGACCAGGAGUAGUUUAGGAGGAUCCCAGGCAGGAGGCCUGCGCCUCUUUCGAUCUGUAUCCCAGUUUGUGCUAGCCUUCUUAAGGCAAACUUGUUUAACUUAUGUCUGUACUCAGAUAUUGUUGCUUCCGCUGACUCGUCUAUGAUCGAGCAAUUGUAUUCGAGCCCUCGAGGCCCCUGGCUUGUAUUAUGAUGCUUGUAUGACUUAUUUUAUUUUUAGAGUUGUGUUGUGAUAUCUUCUCGUGAGUCCCUGAUCUUGAUCGUACACGUUUGCGUGUAUGAUUAGUGUACGAUUGAAUCGGGGGCGUCACAAGUUGGUAUCAGAGCCGACUGCCUGUAGGAAUCCCCCUUCCACACUCCUUGGCCAAAGUCGAGUCUAGACAUUGCAAAUUUUUUUACUAACAUGGCUGUGUGUCUUAUGGGCCCACGUCGCCUUUUGGGUGGUAUUAGGAUAUUUUACUCCUCGAUCCUUACUCUGGGACUCUGAACUCUCUUCUAUUCGAGUUAAAAUGAAUUUACUAACUCUGACUCUAGGUUCUCGUAAUUACUUUCUCCCGGAGAGCCCCUCACUCCAGAUGAUCGCUUGCUGCACUAGAAGAUUCCGAAGAUACUCUCCGAGGUUUUCCCGAGACCCUUGUGCCCACCGACUUUACAAUCCCCUACCACCGAUAUACCCUUAUGGAUAACUACCUACAAUUGUCGUUCAUACCUUCAUCCUCAGUUGCUCUUGUUAUUACAAGAUGCCCUAAAUUGCUCUCCGUUGUUCCGAAAAUCCUUUAAGCUUACUGCCUUGCAGUUCUUUACCACAUGAAUACCCCUAUUGAAAAUUCCUCACACUUAUUGAGUAUUCGUUCAUCCCCAGUUGUUCGUAUCCUUCAUAAGAUACUCUGAAAUACUAUCUGACCUUUUUGAGCAUCCUCUUCAAACUAUUGCUAUGCAAAUACUUGUAUGCUUACAUUAUGGAUGCUCCCAUAUCACUAGCAAUAUUCACUAGUAUCUUUUGACACCGUCAUUUUGAUCCUAUUGAUUAAACAUGUGUGCGAAUGCACACAAUCCCCCUUCCCCUCGGGCGGAUCUCGUCGCCGGCCAUGUUGGCCCCGCCGGCGUCGCCCAAGCACACGCCGUGCCUGCCCGCAAGCGGCAGGGCAACGUGCUUGUGCAGGGUGGGAAUCCGGCUGCCCCCGCCGCGAUGGCCCGCGCUCCGGCCGCCAAUGCCGCUGUGCGAUCCCGGCCGGCGGCGGAGAAGGCCGGCAAGGCCGCGGGCGUAAUGUGAAGGAAGGUUCCGACUUCAAGGAAGCCAUCUUCUUCAACCUCUCACUCCAUCCCCCGCAAGGAGGUGCUCCGGCGAUGCCGUUGAACGGUGCCGCUCCCCCCGCGAGCGAGGUGUUCGACGAAAUGGCCGGAAGGUAUAUCUCUUCGGAAUUUGGAGAUUCACUUUCAUUUUCGCCAUUGUUUUCGAUAGCUCGUGACUUGUUCUCGUUCGCUAUAGUGGUGGUUCGAACAAUGCAACAACCGGGUUCGUGAACUUGUUGGACACGAACGCGGUUGACAUUGAUCAAGCCCCUUUCGAACCUUUCGACUACAAUGAAACGGAGGGCGGCGUGGACGAUCAUGGUUGUGCGGACGAGUUGGCGGAGAUCGAAGCGGAAGCGUUUGAGAAUUCACAAGCAAAAGCUGGGAGAAGCCAAAGAUCGAAGAACUACACUAUCCUGGAAGAUCAAGCUUUGAUCAAAGCAUGGAGUGCGGUGUCUCUUGAUGCAUGCACGGGUACUAAAUCAAACCGCAAAGAGAUAUUGGCAAAGGAUCGAAGAUCAAUACUUCCGCAUUAUGAAAAACUACCCCAACAAGACUCCACGCACAUUUCGGUCGCUUCAAGGUCGUUGGGAGAACAUCAAGCCUAUGUGCAGCCGUUGGACAGCUUGCUUGGAGCAAGCACGCAAUGCACCUCCAACUGGCACCGUGGAGUCCGACUAUGUGAGUUUGCUUUGCCUUUCUUCAAGUUGUGCAUCAUCAUAAUGUAUCAUGAGAAAUGAUUGCAUCACUUUGUUCGCAUUGUGUAGGACAAGAUUGCUCAACAUAGAUAUAAGGACAUGGAAGCUUCGGAAGGCAGAUUCUUCAAAUUAGAGCAUUGUUGGGAGUUGCUCCAAAAGUGCGACAAGUGGAAGUUGAUCGACAAAGAGUCCCCACCAAAGAGAGGCACGCUUAAAAACAUGGAUGAAGAUGAGGAUGAUGAUGGCCCAAGAAAUUUGAACCAGCCCGAUGGCGACAAGAAGACUAGAGAGAAGAUAAAGAGAGAGCAAGAAGCAUCAAGCUUGAGGGAGAAGAUUGAUGCCAUGAUGCAAUCAAACGAGUUAAUGUUGUUGAAGUCGUUGGAGAUCAAAAAGAGUUGGCCAAAAAGAAGGCAAAAGAGAAGCAAGAAAAAUGGCAAAUGCUCAAGGAAGAGGGGCUGCGCAGAGCUGCCAUUGAGGAGAGAAAAGUACGCGCCUCUGAAAACAAAUCGCUGUCAUUGUUGCUCGCCGAAGAGAACAAGAUCAUGUCAAUGAACCGCAAUGACAUGGACAACGUCACCAAAACAUGGCAUGAUAUGGCAAAGAGAGAGAUCUUGAAGAGGAGAAUGGUCGCCUCGGCCGGUCCGUCUGCUAGUUCCGGUGAUGUAUUCUCUGCUCCAUAUGAUGGCAAUGUGGAUGAUUUCGGUGCGGGAGUUGGAACAAGCGACGGAGGUGGCUACGGUGGCGCCGAUGAACUUCAAGAUGGACUCCAUGGCGCGGAGUGAAGAUCGACCCCCCAAGAUGAUGCCGGACAUGGGCGCAUACCUUUGCAUGCCCUCUUUUGCGUAAUGAACUUCGCUUUUAUUUGCGUGCAAACUGUUUAUGUUAUUUGAAUUUGAACUUGUUUGUGAAACCCUAUGACAAAUUUCAGAUUUGCAGUUUUUCUGUUUGCGGGUCGUUGCGCUGUUGCCCGAGCAGUACCCGUAUAGCCGACCCGUAAAAAAAAUAUUCCACGAAUAUACUUUUUUACGGGUCCGUUUGGGAGGUCUGCAUGUGUGCUAGCCCUUGCCGGCCCGCAAAAACGAUUUUGCGCGAACUGCAAACGCGUUUUGCGGGCCGGCGUUUUACGGGGUGUGCUAGAGUUGCUCUAAGCCCCUUGCUCAAUCAAGCGACUUGACAGUGAACCGUGAAAUCAGCAAGUCGUUAUAGGGUGAGCACUCUAUGUAUUACGACUAGAACAAACAACAAAAAGAAUAUAACUAAUACUAUGGGGUAUACUCAAUGAGAUCAAGAUGUAUUUGUCUUGUGUCAUUUUUAUCGGAGUUCAAGCCUCAGCUUUGACGCGUGGUGUUCGCGGAGUUUCUUCUAUAAAAAAAUGGUAAUAAGGGUUAGCCUUUGAGUUGGUUUCUUUUCUUUUGUCAUUUUUAAUAACUUCUCCAAUGAGACAAACCACCAGCCCACUAGAAUAGAAUAUAGGAGUAUCGUGACAUGAGAUGGUCUCACUGCUACGGAACGGGAAAACCUUGUUAAAACUGCCAAACAAUCGGAGAGAAUUAUUGAGAAACAAAAAUGACAAAUCUAUAGUUUGCCAGAUUUACAAACCAUUUUGAAUUAACUAUCGUCCGCAUGACGAAUUGGAACAGGGACCAGCUUGCACGCACAGCUGCUGUUUGGUCCAACCGCAAAAAAAAAAAAAGAGAAACCUGCUUGGUAACGCACUUUUGCGUGCCCAUUUAAUGGCGACCAUAGAUAGGACAAACACAGAGAUUCCACUGGCACAGACGGAGCUGCAUUUGCAUGUAUGCAUAUGCUAGUAGCGCUGCAGUGCUUCCUGUUGCAAGAGCAUCUCUAACAGGUCUAGUAAAACCGCGAUCCUCAUAAUCAAGACAAGGACCGAGAAAAACGCGUUUUAAGGACCAAAAAUGGAUGCGGCCGAACAUACCCCACAAACCCAAGCGGUAAAAAAGAAUAUCCGCGCUGCCACUUCCGGCCCUUAAAAACACUUGGUUUUCAUCAUUUUGCCACAUAUAUGUCAUGUAGCAAAUUAUAUGAACCAAAAUAGUAAAAAAAUAUGUAAAUAUUGCUACCACCAUUGAUCCACGUCGUUUCUUCUUCUUCCUCUCCUCGAGUUCGUUCACGGCGAGAACCGCCACCACCAUUUGCUGCCGAUGGCUUUCGAGCAGCGUAUAUAUGUCUGAAUCAUCGGACGAGGAGGAAUCCUCAAGCAAAAAUUCCGUAGCUGAGGUCAAAUCCAUCUACAAAACCGCGAGCAAAUAGAUGAAUCAGGGCGGCGACUCUGUGGUGGCGGAGGGGGAGCAAGCAAAUACUCACCGGCGGAUCCGGGGGUGGCGACUCGGUGGCGGCGCGUUCCCGCCGGGAGUGGUCGAUCCGGCGCGGGGGCUGCUCGGUAGCGGCGCAUGGUGGGAGAGGCGGUGGAUCCGGGGCUGUGGCGCGUCGGUAGCAACUUGCCGCCGCCAAAAUGGCCGGAAUCGUUGGCGGUGGGGCCGCGGCGACGGUGGCAGACGAGAGAGAAGGGAGGGAGAAGAAAGCGCACACCUGAAAUGUCCGCUGCUCCAACCGUUUUCGCCCGAUAUAGGGCACACUAGGGUCAAGCCUCGAAACUAGGACUUCUCGGGUCGAGGGGGGAUUUUUCCGCGGCCCUCAAUUUUUUUACGGUUUCAGGGCGAAUAAGGAGUCUGGUCGGGGCAUUUUUGCUCGCGAAACCGUAAGGUGGCGGUUAUUAUAAGGGUCUGCGCGUUUUAAGGGGUCUGCUAGAGAUGUUCUAAUCAACAAAAAGCUUAAGACACAAACUCAUUUCAUUAGUUUCUAUCUGCUUGGGUCCGCGUGGGCAUAAGAGCAACUCCAACGCACCGACUCAAACGGACACGCACUUUGUCCGCAUUUUGUUCGUCUGGAACGGCUGCCUUCUUGCCGUCCGCUUGUGUUGGAUCGGUGCGUCCAACCGGCGGACCCACUUCCCAUCCUCGCAGGAAACAACUUGAACAUAAAAAGACCCGCGACCAGAGAUCAUGCAAGCGGUCAAGCCAUCACUCAGAGUUCAUGCCAACGGCCGACAUACAUGUCAGCCUCCAAAAAAACGACACACAAUUCAUGCCGCACACCUGCCAGCAGCCGGCACACUUGCGAGCACACAAGAGGGAUGGGAGUUCAACCAUGCCAUCUCGGCCAUGGCCAUGCCGGCGGGAUCUCGCGCGGCCGUUUCCUCUUCCCCCCAAUGGACAACUCACCGGCCACAGGUGUGGCGUUGAGGUCGAUGGCCAUGGGUGCGGGCGUGACCGGCGUGACUACACUCACCUACGGCGAACUGGAGCCCGGAGAGGUGGAGAAACGAGAUGCUUGUGGGUGGGGAUGGAAGCCAGGCGUCUGCGGCAUGGUGGACGUGUGCGGCGACUUUGGCCGUGGCGGACAAACGACCGACGAGCCCAGGCUGGCCGCGGCCAUGGCGGUGGCGACUGAUACGUCUCCAACCUAUAUUUUUGAUUCUUUAAUGUUAUUAUAUUAUUGAUCUUGAAUACUUUAUAUGCAUUUAUAUGCUAUUUUGUAUCAUUUUUGGAACUAACUUAUUAACCCAGUGCCUAGUGCGAGCUACUAUAUUCUUCUUGUUUAUCAUUUCUCAGAAAAUUAGUACCAAACGGAGUCCAAACGCUACGAAAACUUUGAUGAUUUUUUCUGGACAAAAGAGACCCUACAAGCUUCGGGACGAGAUCAGAGGAGAAACGAGGAGACGGCAAGGCAACAGGGCGCGCCCUGUUACCUUGUGGGCCCCUCGUGGCUCCGUGUGACCUAAUUUCGCUUCUAUAAAUUCUCAAAUAUUGAGAAAGCAACAGAUAGCCACCCGAAACCCUUUUUCCACCGCCGCAAGCUUCUGUUCUUCCGUGAUCCCAUCUGAAGACCUUUUCCAAUACUCUGCCAGAGGGAGAACCGAUCACCGAGGGCUUCUACAUCAUCCUUGCUUCCUUUUGAUUAUGCAUGAGUAGUUUACCACGGACCAACGAGUCCAUAGCUAGUAGCUAGAUGGCUUCUUCUCUCUCUUUGAUCUUCAAUACCAUGUGCUCCACACUACAAAAUUUCAUCUAUUCAGUGACAAAAAUCCUGGCGACGAAACAGGAAACAUCGCCUAAAAUCAUUUUCUGUGACGGUCCACCGUCACGAGGUUUUCCCCUCUUGAAGCAGCGCCCUAGCCAACUUUAGCAACGUUCUGGCCUGAUUUUCGGCGACCCUUUUGGGCGCCAGUAAGCACGUCCAUUUUCUGGGACGAUUCGUAGUGUCACUGAAAAUGUUUGGUGUCACAAAAAAGGUCAGCGGGUUAGAAAAAAUGAUUUAAAAAUGGUGUGUUAAUGUUCAGACGGCAGAGUUUAUAACAUAUCGGAAUCAAACUUUCAGGGUUUAGGUUCAGAUUCUCGUAUUGAAAUCCAUUGAUCAUUUUUCUGUACAUACUCAUUGUAGUGAACAAUGAGAGCGUGAACGGGAAAAUAUGACCGCAUAGAAAUAUACUAUGUUGAAAGUUGUAAACUUCACUUCAAAUAGCAUGCCUCGACAACAAAGGGGCCGCCAAGUGAGGUGGCAAUACUAAAAAUAAUAAAAAUGUCUUAAAAGAAAAAUAAUAAUUCUCAAAAUAGUUAAAAACAAGGUCUUCGAAAUUAUUUUAUACGAUGUGUCAGGACCUCACAAACAGUUAGAGAAUGUUUGUGACGACCCUGCCACAUUGUUUAAAUAAUUCUCGAGGAAGCCAGUUCCCAUCCGGUCACCCAUCCCAACACUACUCCAGCCUCAGCACGCUUAACCUUCAAGUUUCUUUCAGAUGAUGUACGGGUAGGGAAGCUGCUCCUUGCUGAUAUGGGAUGCCUCUUCUGUUCUUUAUUUACAUAAUUAACAUGCAUAUUUCUAAAACCUAACAGAACUACUUGAACUUAUUCAUCAUUGUCGCUGCCGUCCUCCGUGUCGCCGCCGUCCGAGUCUUCGCCGUCGUCAUCCCAAUCGAUGUUGUCGUCGUCUUGCAUCCAUACUCGGGCAGUACUCUAUAUAAAUUGCAGCAGAAAAUUUCAAAGAAAAAAGAAGACAAUGCCAUUUCAAACAUUGCAGCACAAAUACUAGAAAUAUUACAAGGUUCAAAUUCCAGUAUGACAAGGCCCAAACUCAGAGAUUACAAGGUUCAAACUGAUAUUAGAGGUCAAAUUCAUCUUCUUCAGAAUCUUUGUCAUGCACUAUUUCUACAAAGGGAUCAGCCAUAGAAUGACUUCUGAAUACUCUGUCAUUUGAAUUUCCAAAAUGAAAUCCAGCUUGUGCAGAGCAUUUUCCAUUCAGCCGGAGGCGCCUGCGCUGAUCAUCAAACCAUUCUUUUCUGUGCACCAAAUAUAGGGCAAACCUCAUUACCUUCAGCACACUUGCUUUUUGAACAAAGAACUUGGCGAAUUUAAUCUCUUGUGUGGUGCCUCGGUACUCGUUCGGGCGUGCUUGUAUCUGCAAACGAAGACAACACAUUAGUGCCUAGAUGCAGUGUUUAACACUAUGGUCCUAUUUGAUUUGCUGGAUUUCUAGAAUACACGAAUAGACUGACAUGCCAUCUUCAGUUGUUAAUGGUUAACAUCUAAAAAAAUAUGUAUUGAAAUGCUCCAAAAUUCCUUUAGAAAUCAUAGUACAUUUGUCAUUGUAAUCAUGCGUAAAAGUAACUCCAUUGUGGUUAUUAAUUAACAUGAAAUGAGCAUCACCUCGAUGUAUAGCUUCUCCAUGCAUGGAAAGCAUCUGAGGAAUCUAACAACUUGAUCCAGAUGGGGCUGAUAGAUUGCAGUGCCAAGAUCUUCACUAUGCGCUGAGACGGGGUCAUGCUUGUGGGAUUCAUUUUCUGGAUGACAGCCGAACAUAGAUCAACAAAAUUAGAUACAAUGUGAUGUAUAAUAAGGAGAAGAAGAAGACUUUUGUACCUGAAUGGAUAUGGAAUUCAGCAAAGGAAUAGCCUAACAAUGGCCAUGAUUCUUGUUGGACCUUCUUUAUCAAGCGCAAACAAUCUUUCAAGGAAAGGCGCAUUCUCAAUGACCAUAAAAUGAAACACCUCAACUAACCGUCUGUUGCGGCACCAGCAAUGCACAUAAAUCAUACGUACAUUCGUCGAGGGGACGUGGAGGCUACUGAACCCAUCCAUCACCUGAAGAAGAAGGAACUCGAGCGCAGUACAGCCGAGGAGCAGGCGCUCCAUAUCCUCCUUCGAGAUGCUGACGCCCAGGAGCUCGAGGUGCUUCAGUUUAGGGAGAUGAAGAGUAGGCUUGACAUUAAUCUUGGGGAAAAAGCACUUCAUGAACCUAGCGCGACGCAGCGUGGGCGCGAGGUAGAGCGCCGACGGCGGCAACGAGCGCAGAUGCCCAGCUUGAAAUCUCAGCUCCUCGAGCUGAUCUAGGGACGGGGAUUGGAACCACUCGUGAAACUUGGGUUCAACCUUGUAGUUGAAACGGAACUUGCCGAUGGCAAGGUGUCUCAUUGGCCUAGGGUGCUGAUAACGCACCAGUAUAGGGGAUCACAACAGUUUUUGAGGGUAGAGUAUUCAACCCAAAUUUAUUGAUUCGACACAAGGGGAGCCAAAGAAUAUUUGCAAGUAUUAGCAAUUCAACCACACCUGGAGAACUAAAUAUCUACAACAAAGUGAUUGGUAGCACAGUAGUAUGAUAGUUUGAUAGCAGUGGUUACAAUAGCAUCAAUAAUGAUAACAAUAACAGUACCAGUUUUUAUAGUGAUUGUAACAUCAGCAACAGCAGUAGUGAGUUAGCAAAGAUCAAUAUGUGAAAAGUUGUGGAUAAUUAUGUUGGAUGGCAUUCAUCAUGUAACAGUUAUAACCUAGGGAGACACCGAACUAGAUCCAAUUCAUCAAUGUAAUGUAGGCAUGUAUUUCACAAAAAGUCAUACAUGCUUGCGAUAAGAACUUGCAUGACAUCUUUUGUCCUACCCUCCCGUGGCAGCGGAGUCCAUAAGGAAACUAAGGGAUAUUAAGGCCUCCUUUUAACAGAGAACCGGAACAAAGCAUUAACACAUACUGAAUACAUGAACUCCUCAAACUAUGGUAAUCACCUGAAAGAAUCUUAAUUAUUGUCACCUCGGGGGCACGUGGAUCAUAACAUGUAAUAGGUGCGUCCAACUUGCAAGAUAGGAUGAAGAACACAAAUAUAUUCAUGAAAAUAUAAAGUGUUGAGAUCUGGAAUCAUGGCACUCGGGCCCUAGUGACAAGCAUUAAGCAUAGCAAAGUCAUAGCGACAUCAAUCUCGGAACAUAGUGGAUACUAGGGAUCAAGCCCUAACAAAACUAACUCACUUACAUGAUAAAUCUCAUCCAACCCAUCACCGUCCAGCAAGCCUAUGAAGGGAUUACUCACUCCCGGCAGUGAGCAUAAUGAAAUUGGUGAUGAAGAAGGUUUGGUGAUGAUGAUGGCGACGAAUCCCCCUCUUCGGAGCCCUGAACGGACUCCAGAUCUGGCCUCCCGAUGAAGAAUAGGAGGUGGUGGCGGCUCUGUAUCGUAAAACGCAAUGAAACUUCUUCUUCUCUUUUUUUCUCUGGAAAUAGGAAUUUAUACACUUGAGAUUAGGGUUAGCGGAGCCUCGUGGGAAGAAGGUGGGCCCCCUCCAGUGGGCCUUGGCUCUAGUAUUUUUUAUUUAUUCGAUAAAAACUCCAAAAAGUUUCGUCCAAUUCCGAAAACUUUUAUUUCUGCACAAAAACAACACAUGGUAGUUCUGCUGAAAAGAGUGCCAGUCCGGGUUAGUUUCAUUCAAAUCAUGCAAAUUAGAGUCCAAAACAAGAGCAUAAGUGUUUGGAAAAGUAGAUACGAUGAAGACGUAUCAGGUGCGUGGAGAGGAUGUGGGAGAACGUGUCCUAGCAUUUGCAAUCGCCGCGANNNNNNNNNNNNNNNNNNNNNNNNNNNNNNNNNNNNNNNNNNNNNNNNNNNNNNNNNNNNNNNNNNNNNNNNNNNNNNNNNNNNNNNNNNNNNNNNNNNNNNNNNNNNNNNNNNNNNNNNNNNNNNNNNNNNNNNNNNNNNNNNNNNNNNNNNNNNNNNNNNNNNNNNNNNNNNNNNNNNNNNNNNNNNNNNNNNNNNNNNNNNNNNNNCGCCACCGCCAGGAUUGGACGGUGGUCCGCACACCAGGUUUGAUGGGGAGGAGGGAUAAGAUGGUUACCAGCAUCUCGUCGGGGAGGUUGCUGAUGAAGUCCAGGCUUGCCGGAGGCUCUUCCGGUUCUGGCUCCACCCACCCCAGCUUGUUGACUGACUCAUCGUCCAUUGAAGCAGGCGGCGAUCCUCGGUGUCAACGCUUAUAGAUAAGAACAUAGUAGCAGGAGGAGCAUCGAAAACUGUUCUAUGUACCUCCCCAAGGAGGCCGAAGCUUAUGUGACAAGCCAGAGGAGAAGGCAGGUAAAUUAAGAGCCGUCCAUCCUCAAUCCGGCGGUUCAUAGUGCUUCAAAGAAGACGAGUAGGCAACAACACAGAGGGACCACAUUGUGAAUCCAAUGGCCAAGACUCUUUCAACACCGUUGACUAACUAUGCCUAUCCAAAGAUUAACAUAUUUUGUUUACAUUCGUUCAAAGGCUUUUUUACCACACUAAUACGGCCAUGCUAUGGUGCGUCGACACAACAAGAACUUAAUAUACGUUAAACUAAAACUUUAUGAAAAUGAUACAUUACAAUUUACCUAGUUUGCAUUGGUAACACAUGCUAUAUUUGAACAAGGUUCAAAUCACAAAAUAUAUACUUCUAAUUAUAGUAAAACUAGAAGGACGACACAACCAAAUCCAGUAGCAGAGCCUUUGAAGUCACCGGCCUGCCAAAUUGUCAUCGUCUUAUAGCACGAUGACUGCAUCAUUGACGGAGCCAGACCCAGAGCCCUCCGCGUCCUGGGUUGCAGGAGGCAAGGUCGCCGACGACCGCAACAUCCCAAGGGCCGAGAGCUCCAGCGGAUGCUCCACCGUUGCCUCCUCAUACACGGCGUCUUGGGAUGUAGGAUGCAGCGACGGAGUCAAAGCCACAGGCCGCGACUUCUACUAGUCGUAGUCGGUAGGAAUGGAAGCAAUAAAAAGCGGCGACCUCCUAUUGCGUCUCUUGCAGCCAACGCUGCUUCACCGCGUACGCCACCCACGCUUCCUCGUCCGCCCAGAGGGACUCGAAGGAGUAGUCCAUGGCAAGCUUGUAACAUCCCCAAUUUUCAAUUUGGAAUGUUUUACAAUUAUAGCUAAGGAUCUAUUGCAUUUUGUUUGAAAUGUGGUGGCAUUGGAAAUUUCAGAGGCAUUUGAAUUUCUGUUUGAAUUUGAAUUCACUUCAAACUGGCAUUUGAAUUUAUUUUCAACAAUUCCUGACAAAAUACUUUGAUCAACAAGUAUGAGAGGAGGUAACGUGACACCCCAAAAGUUAGAAGAAAAUAAUGCCAAAAGAAAUUAAAGUCAAAUUUGGUUUUAUUUGGAAUUAAAAGAAAUGUUUACAAAGUUUUUAUUUUAGCUCUUAAAAAUGUCCAUCUUUUAGGAUUUAUUUAUUUUGAUCUUUUUGAUAUAUAUUGUCUAUAUAAUUAUUUUUAUUUUUCUCUAUUUUUUCUGUCAGAAAUUCAAAAAAAAAGAGAAUACAUUUUUGCCAGCGCCCAGGCCGGCGCUAACCGCCAGCCAACCAACCUAGCCGGCCUCUUCGGUCCACGGCCCAGCCAGUGUCCGCGAAGCGGUACGCUGCGGUCGCCCACCGCCGACCCCUCUCGCCCGCUCACCUAUCUGGAUGACAUCGGGCCCCAUGUUGUCUUUCCUCCGCAAACCACGCGCUCGAGUCCCGCAGGCACUCAACAUCGGUGUCAAAAAUAACAGAUCUCGGGUAGGGGGUCCUGAGCUAUGGAUCUUGGAUCGAUGGGUAACAGGGAGCGUAGAGACAGUGUUUACCCAGGUUCUGGGCCUCGCGAAGAGGUAAAACCCUACGUCCUGCUUGAUUGUAUUGAUGUGUUUGUAUGACAAUUACAGUUUUGAUCUACCACGAGAUCAGAUGAACUAAACCCUAGGUGGGUAUGGCGAUAAUGGUUCGCCAUCCUAUGGUCUAAACCCUCUGGUUUAUAUAGACACCAUGGGUACCUAGGGUUACGUAUGGUCGGGCACCAUCAGGGGAUAAACAUGCCGGUUUCUCUAUCCUGACUUGGAGGAUACACCAAGUCUUCGGAGGCUUCCUUCCAGAACACGAAGUCGCCUAUAGUCCGUCCUUCCAAUGAUGGAUCGAGAGCGGCCCACCUGUCCGGCCCAUGAGAGAUAGGCCGGCAGCCCGAGGACCCCUUAGUCUGGGACACCCUCAGUAGCCCCCGAACUAGUCUUCGAAGCCGAGGUAUGUGAAGAAAUCCUCGGCUUUGUGGACCAGUUCCUCGCCUUCUGUGGUUGCUUUAAUCAUCUCUGGCCACACGUCCCCUAAGCCACGUCAUAGCUUCCGAAGUGUAUACGUAACUUAGCCCCGAAGUCCAGUUGCUUAAGUGUGAAUAGUAGCCCCAUCUGACAACUUUUGUUGAAGGGUCAUGAACCGCCAUAACCACGCCAGUUAUGAAAUCGAUUUCCGUUUUGAGGCGGUUUCUCUAUUGGAAUGUCCCACCAACACGGAGAUCGUGCCCUGUUUUUAAGGGAUAUGAUAAAUGAUUCGUGCUAUCCCACGCGUGCAUAAUGACACGAUUAUAUCAGGAAGUGGUGAGGUCUACGGUGCAGUAAAAGGGCUCUUGGCCUUACAGUAGCCCAUAAAAGGGGAGCGUCCACCAUUUCCUUCGUACACUCUCACUUCCUCCUGUGCCAUCGCUUUCCCAAUCUCUUGAGCUCCAACGCCCAGAUCCAUUCUCCCUCUCGAGAACCUCUCCGACCAUCUCAUCAAUCCGGCCAUGGCUAGCUCCAGGUCUAAGGGCAAGUGGGAGGCCUCCAUCGUUACUGAGAGUGCCAUCCAGGAGCUGAAGAACACGGGCUAUCUUCCUGCCAACGUGGCUCACCGCGUCCUGGAGGUAGGUCAGGUCAUCCCCACGCUAAGGCCAGGCGAGAGGAUGGUGUUCCUUCCUCACUUCAUCUGGCGACGGUUUUCCCCUCCACCCCUUCGUUAGGGGCCUAAUGUUUUUCUACGGGUUAGAUUUCCACGAUCUUGCCCCAAACUCUUUUUUGCACAUCUCGGCCUUCAUCAUCAUCUGCUAGGCCUUUCUUCGGGUCCGGCCACACUUCGGCCUAUGGCUGAAAGUCUUCAACGUCAAGCCAAAGANNNNNNNNNNNNNNNNNNNNNNNNNNNNNNNNNNNNNNNNNNNNNNNNNNNNNNNNNNNNNNNNNNNNNNNNNNNNNNNNNNNNNNNNNNNNNNNNNNNNNNNNNNNNNNNNNNNNNNNNNNNNNNNNNNNNNNNNNNNNNNNNNNNNNNNNNNNNNNNNNNNNNNNNNNNNNNNNNNNNNNNNNNNNNNNNNNNNNNNNNNNNNNNNNNNNNNNNNNNNNNNNNNNAGAUCUGGCAGAAGGAGUGGUUCUAUAUGAAGGAAAUAUGCCCUAGAGGCAAUAAUAAAGUUGUUAUUUAUAUUUCCUUAUAUCAUGAUAAAUGUUUAUUAUUCAUGCUAGAAUUGUAUUAACUGGAAACUUAGUACAUGUGUGAAUACAUAGACAAACAGAGUGUCACUAGUAUGCCUCUACUUGACUAGCUCGUUGAAUCAAAGACGGUUAAGUUUCCUAGCCAUAAACAUGAGUUGUCAUUUGAUUAAUGGGAUCACAUCAUUAGAGAAUGAUGUGAUUGACUUGACCCAUUCCGUUAGCUUAGCACUUGAUCGUUUAGUAUAUUGCUAUUGCUUUCUUCAUGACUUAUACAUGUUCCUGUGACUAUGAGAUUAUGCAACUCCCGAAUACCGGAGGAACAACUUGUGUGCUAUCAAACGUCAGAAUGUAACUGGGUGAGUAUAAAGAUGCUCCACAGGUGUCUCCGAAGGUGUUUGUUGGGUUGGCAUAGAUCGAGAUUAGGAUUUGUCACUCCGAGUAUCAGAGAGGUAUCUCUGGGCCCUCUCGGUAAUGCACAUCACUAUAAGCCUUGCAAGCAAUGUAACUAAUGAGUUAGUUGCGGGAUGAUGCAUUACGCAAUGAGUAAAGAGACUUGCCGGUAACGAGAUUGAACUAGGUAUCGAGAUACCAACGAUCGAAUCUCGGGCAAGUAACAUACCGAUGACAAAGGGAACAACGUAUGUUGUUAUGCGGUUUGACCGAUAAAGAUCUUCAUAGAAUAUGUGGGAGCCAAUAUGAGCAUCCAGGUUCUGCUAUUGGUUAUUCACUGGAGAUGAGUCUCGGUCAUGUCUACAUAGUUCUCGAACCCGUAGAGUCCGCACGCUUAACGUGCGGUGACGAUCGGUAUUAUGAGUUUAUGAGUCUUGAUGUACCGAAGGUUGUUCGGAGUCUCGGAUGAGAUCAGGGACAUGACGAGGAGUCUCGAAAUGUUCGAGACAUAAAGAUUGAUAUAUUGGAAGGCUAUAUUCAUACAUCGGAAAGGUUCUGAGUGGUUCGGGUAUUUAUUGGAGUACCGGAGAGUUACGGGAAUUCGCCGGUGAGUAUAUGGGCCUUAUUGGGCUUUAGGGGAGACAAAGAGGGGCUGCCUAGGGCAGGCCGCCCCCCAAGGCCUAGUCCGAAUUGGACUAGGGGGAGGGGCGGCGCCCCCUCCUUCCUUCUCUCCUACUCCUACUACUUGGAAGGGGGGGAUCCUACUCCCGGUGGGAGUAGGACUCCCCGGGGCGCUCCAUAGUAGAGGGCCGGCCCUCCCCCUCCUCCACUCCUUUAUAUACGGGGGAGGCGGCACCCCAUAGUGACACAAGUUGAUCAUUGAUCUCUUAGCCGUGUGCGGUGCCCCCCUCCACCAUAAUCCACCUCGGUCAUAUCGUCAUAGUGCUUAGGUGAAGCCCUGCGUCGGUAGCUUCAUCAUCACCAUCAUCACGUCGUCCUGCUGACAAAGCUCUACCUCGAAGCUCUACUGGAUCGUGAGUUCGUGGGACGUCACUGAGCUGAACGUGUGCAGAUCGCGGAGGUGCCGUAUGUUCGGCACUAGGAUCGGUCGAUCGUGAAGACGUACGACUACAUCAACCACGUUGUCAUAACGCUUCCGCUUUCGGUCUACAAGGGUACGUGGACAACACCCUCCCCUCUUGUUUCUAUGCUUCACCAUGAUCUUGUGUGUGCGUAGGAAUUUUUUUGAAAUUACUACGUUGCCCUACAGUGGCAUCCGAGCCAGGUUUAUGCGUAGAUGUUAUACGCAGGAUAGAACACAAGUGAGUUGUGGGCGAUACUAGUCAUACUGCUUACCAGCAUGUCAUACUUUGAUUCGGCGGUAUUGUGGGAUGAAGCGGCCCAGACCGACAUUACGUGUACGCUUACGCGAGACUGGUUCUACCGACGUGCUUCGCACACAGGUAGCUGGUGGGUGUCAGUUUCUCCAACUUUAGUUGAAUCGAGUGUGGCUAUGCCCGGUCCUUGUUGAAGGUUAAAACAGCACAUACUUGACGAAAUAUCGUUGUGGUUUUGAUGCGUAGGUAAGAACGGUUCUUGCUCAGCCCGUAGCAGCCACGUAAAACUUGCAACAACAAAGUAGAGGACGUCUAACUUGUUUUUGCAGGGCAUGUUGUGAUGUGAUAUGGUUAAGACAUGAUGCUAAAUUUAUUGUAUGAGAUGAUCAUGUUUUGUAACGGAGUUAUCGGCAACUGGCAGGAGCCAUAUGGUUGUCGCUUUAUUGUAUGAAAUGCAAUUGCCAUGUAAUUGCUUUACUUUAUCACUAAGCGGUAGCGAUAGUCGUAGAAGCAAUAGUUGGCGAGACGAAAAUGAUACUACGAUGGAGAUAAAGGUGCCGUGCCGGUGACGAUGGUGAUCAUGACGGUGGUUUGGAGAUGGAGAUCAAAGGCACAAGAUGACGAUGGCCAUAUCAUAUCACUUAUAUUGAUUGCAUGUGAUGUUUAUCCAUUAUGCAUCUUAUUUUUCUUAGUUCGACGGUAGCAUUAUAAGAUGAUCUCUCACUAAAUUUCAAGGUACAAGUGUUCUCCCUGAGUAUGCACCGUUGCGACAGUUCUUCGUGCUGAGACACCUAGUGAUGAUCGGGUGUGAUAAGCUCUACGUUCACAUCCAACGGGUGCAAGCUAGUUUUGCACACGCAGAAUACUUGGGUUAAACUUGACGAGCCUAGCAUAUGCAGAUAUGGCCUCGGAACACUGGAGAACGAAAGGUCGAGCGUGAAUCAUAUAGAAGAUAUGAUCAAAAUAGUGAUGUUCACCAUUGAAAACUACUCCAUCUCACGUGAUGAUCGGACAUGGUUUAGUUGAUAUGGAUCACGUGAUCACUUAGAUGAUUAGAGGGAUGUCUAUCUAAGUGGGAGUUCUUAAGAAAUAUGAUUAAUUGAACUUUAAUUUAUCAUGAACUUAGUCCUGGUAGUAUUAGCAUAUCUAUGUUGUAGAUCAAUAGCUCGCGUUUAGCUCCCCUGUUUUAUUUUUGAUAUGUUCCGAGAGAAACUUAGUUGAAAGAUGUUAGUAGCAAUGAUGCGGAUUGGCUCCGUGAUCUGAGGAUUAUCCUCAUUGCUGCACAGAAGAAUUAUGUCCUUGAUGCACCGCUAGGUGACAGACCGAUUGCAGGAGAAAAUGCAGACGUUAUGAACGUUUGGCAAGCUCGAUAUGAUGACUACUUGAUAGUUUAGUGCACCAUGCUUUACGGCUUAGAACCGGGGCUUCAAAGACGUUUUUUUUGAAACGCCAUGGAGCAUAUGAGAUGUUCCAAGAGUUGAAAUUAGUAUUUCAGACUCAUGCUCAUGUCGAAAGGUAUGAGACCUUUGACAAGUACUUUGCAUACAAGAUGGAGGAGGAUAGCUCAGCUAGUGAGAAUGUGCUCAGAAUGUCUGAGUACUACAAUCACUUGAAUCAAGUGGGAGUUAAUCUUCCAGAUAAGAUAGUGAUUGACAGAGUUCUCUAGUCACUAUCACCAAGUUACUAGAACUUCAUGAUGAACUAUAAUAUGCAAGGGACAACGAAAACGAUUCCCAAGCUCUUCGUGAUGCUGAAAUCAACGAAGGUAGAAAUCAAGAAAAUCAUCAAGUGUUGAUGGUUGACAAGACCGCUAGUUUCAAGAAAAGGGCAAAGGGAAGAAGGGGAACUUCAAAAAGAACGGCAAGCAAGUUGCUGCUCCCGUGAAGAAGCCCAAAGCUAGACCCAAGCCUGAAACUGAGUGCUUCUACUGCAAAGGAAAUGGUCACUGGAAGUGGAACCGCCCUAGAUACUUGGUGGAUAAGAAGGAUGGCAAAGUGAACAAAGGUAUAUUGGAUAUACAUGUUAUUGAUGUGUACUUUACUAGUGUUUAUAGCAACCCCUCAGCAUUUGAUACUAGUUCAGUUGCUAAGAGUAGUAACUCGAAACGGGAGUUGCAGAUUGAACAGAAACUAGUUAAGGGCGAGGUGACGAUGUGUGUUGGAAGUAGUUCCAAGAUUGAUAUGAUCAUCAUCGCACACUCCCUAUACUUUCGGGAUUAGUGUUGAACCUAAAUAAGUGUUAUUUUGGUGUUUGCGUUGAGCAUGGAUAUGAUUCGAUCAUGUUUAUUGCAAUACGGUUAUCCAUUUAAGUUAGAGAAUAAUUGUUGUUCUGUUUACAUGAAUAAAACCUUCUAUGGUCAUACACCCAAUGAAAAUGGUUUGUUGGAUCUCGGUCGUAGUGAUACACAUAUUCAUAAUAUUGAAGCCAAAAGAUGCAAAGUUAAUAAUGAUAGUGCAACUUAUUUGUGGCACUGCCGUUUAGGUAAAGCGCAUGAAGAAACUCCAUGCUGAUGGGAUUUUGGAAUCACUUGAUUAUGAAUCACUUGAUGCUUGCGAACCAUGCCUUAUGGGCAAGAUGACUAAGACUCCGUUCUCCGGAACAAUGGAGCGAGCAACUGACUUAUUGGAAAUAAUACAUACUGAUGUAUGCGAUCCGAUGAGUGUUGAGGCUCGUGGCGGGUAUCGUUAUUUUCUGACCUUCACAGAUGAUUUGAGCAGAUAUGGGUAUAUCUACUUGAUGAAACAUAAGUCUGAAACAUUUGAAAAGUUCAUAUAAUUUCAGUGUGAAGUGGAAAAUCGUCCUAACAAGAAAAUAAAGUUUCUACGAUCUGAUUGUGGAGGAGAAUAUUUGAGUUACGAGUUUGGUCUUCAUUUCAAACAAUGUGGAAUAGUUCCGCAACUCACGCCACCUGGAACACCACAGCGUAAUGGUGUGUCCGAGCAUCGUAACCGUACUUUAUUAGAUAUGGUGCAAUCUAUGAUGUCUCUUACCGAUUUACCACUAUCGUUUUGGGGUUAUGCAUUAGAGACAGCUGCAUUCACGUUAAAUAGGGCACCACCUAAAUCCGUUGAGACGACACCAUAUGAACUGUGGUUUGGAAAGAAACCAAAGUUGUCGUUUCUUAAAGUUUGGGGUUGCGAUGCUUAUGUGAAAAAGUUUCAUCCUGAUAAGCUCAAACCCAAAUCGGAGAAAUGUGUCUUCAUAGGAUACCCAAAGGAGACAGUUGGGUACACCUUCUAUCACAGAUCCGAAGGUAAGACAUUCGUUGCUAAGAAUGGAUCCUUUCUAGAGAAAGGAGUUUCUCUCGAAAGAAGUGAGUGGGAGGGAAGUAGAACUUGAUGAGGUAACUGUACCUGCUCCCUUAUUGGAAAGUAAUUCAUCACAGAAAUCUAUUCCUGUGACUCCUACACCAAUUAGUGAGGAAGCUAAUGAUGAUGAUCAUGUAACUUCAGAUCAAGUUACUACCGAACCUCGUAGGUCAACCAAAGUGAGAUCCGCACCAGAGUGGUAUGGUAAUCCUGUUCUGGAGGUCAUGUUACUUGACCAUGACGAACCUACGAACUAUGAGGAAGCGAUGAUGAGCCCAGAUUCCACGAAAUGGCUUGAGGCCAUGAAAUCUGAGAUGGGAUCCAUGUAUGAGAACAAAGUGUGGACUUUGGUUGACUUGCCCGAUGAUCGGCAAGCCAUAGAAAAUAAAUGGAUCUUCAAGAGAAAGAUGGACGCUGAUAGUAGUGUUACUAUCUACAAAGCUAGACUUGUCGAAAAAUGUUUUGACAAAGUUCAAGGUGUUGACUACGAUGAGAUUUUCUCACUCGUAGCGAUGCUUAAGUCUGUCCAAAUCAUGUUAGCAAAUUGCCACAUUUUAUGAAAUCUGGCAAAUGGAUGUCAAAACUACAUUCCUUGAAGGAUUUCUUAAAGAAGAGUUGUAUAUGAUGCAACCAGAAGGAUUUGUCGAUCCUAAAGGUGCUAACAAAAUGUGCAAGCUCCAGCGAUCCAUCUAUGGACUGGUGCAAGCAUCUCGGAGUUGGAAUAUACGCUUUGAUGAGUUGAUCAAAGCAUAUAGUUUUAUACAGACUUGCGGAGAAGCCUGUAUUUACAAGAAUGUCAGUGGGAGCACUACAACAUUUCUGAUAAAUAUGUGAAUGACAUGUUGUUGAUCGGAAAUAAUGUAGAAUUUUCUGGAAAGCAUGAAGGAGUAUUUGAAAGGAGUUUUUUCAAAGAAAGACCUCGGUGAAGCUGCUUACAUAUAGAGCAUCAAGAUCUAUACAGAUAGAUAAAGACGCUUGAUAAGUUUCUUCAAUGAGUACAUACCUUGACAAGAUUUUUAAGUAGUUCAAAAUGGAACAGUCAAAGAAAGAGUUCUUGCCUGUGUUACAAGGUGUGAAAUUGAGUAAGACUGAAAGCCCGACCACGAUAGAAGAUAGAAAGAGAAUGAAAGUCAUUCCCUAUGCCUCAGCCAUAGGUUCUAUAAAGUAUGCCAUGAUGUGUACCAGAUCUAUUGUAUAACCUACACUGAGAUUGGCAAGGGAGUACAAUAGUGAUCUAGGAGUAGAGCACUGAACAGCGGUCAAAAUUAUCCUUAGUGGAAUCAGGAUAUGUUUCUCGAUUAUGGAGGUGACAAAAGGUUCGUCGUAAAGGGUUACGUCGAUGCAAGUUUUGACAUUGAUCCAGAUGACUCUAAGUCUCAAUCUAGAUACAUAUUGAAAGUGGGAGCAAUAAGCUAAAGCAGCUCCGUGCAGAGCAUUGUAGACAUAGAAAUUUGCAAAAUACAUAUGGAUCUGAAUUUGGCAGACCCGUUGACUAAACUUCUCUCACAAGCAAAACAUGAUCACACCUUAGUACUCUUUGGGUGUUAAUCACAUGGCGAUGUGAACUAGAUUACUGACUCUAGUAAACCCUUUGAGUGUUGGCCAGAUGGCGAUGUGAACUAUGGAUAUUAAUCACAUGGUGAUGUGAACUAUUGGUGUUAAAUCACAAGGCGAUGUGCACUAGAUUCUUGACUCUAGUGCAAGUGGGAGACUGAAGGAAAUAUGCCCUAGAGGCAAUAAUAAAUUUGUUAUUUAUAUUUCCUUCUAUCAUGAUAAAUUUUUAUUAUUCAUGCUAGAAUUAUAUUAACCAGAAACUUAGUACAUGUGUGAAUACAUAGACAAACAGAGUGUCACUAGUAUGCCUCUACUUUACUAGCUCGUGAUGGUUAUGUUUCCUAGCCAUAGACAUGAGUUGUCAUUUCAUUAACGGGAUCACAUCAUUAGAGAAUGAUGUGAUUGACUUGACCCAUUCCGAAGCUUAGCACUUGAUCGUUUAGUAUAUUGCUAUUGCUUUCUUCAUGACUUAUACAUGUUCCUAUGACUAUGAGAUUAUGCAACUCCCGAAUACCGGAGGAACACCUUGUGUGCUAUCAAACGUCACAACAUAACUGGGUGAUUAUAAAGAUGCUCUAUAGGUGUCUCCGAAGGUGUUUGUUGGGUUGGCAUAGAUCGAGAUUAGGAUUUGUCACUCCGAGUAUCGGAGAGGUAUCUCUGGGCCCUCUCGGUAAUGCACAUCACUAUAAGCCUUGCAAGCAAUGUAACUAAUGAGUUAGUUGCAGGAUGAUGCAUUACGCAACGAGUAAAGAGACUUGCCGGUAACGAGAUUGAACUAGGUAUUGAGAUACCAACGAUCGAAUCUCGGGCAAGUACAUACCGAUGACAAAGGGAACAACGUAUGUUGUUAUGCGGUUUGACCGAUAAAGAUCUUCGUAGAAUAUGUGGGAGCCAAUAUGAGCAUCCAGGUUCCGCUAUUGGUUAUUGACUGGAGAUGAGUCUCGGUCAUGUCUACAUAGUUCUCGAACCCGUAGGGUCCGCACGCUUAACGUUCGGUGACGAUCGGUAUUAUGAGUUUAUGUGUCUUGAUGUACCGAAGGUUGUUCGGAGUCCCGGAUGAGAUCAGGGACAUGACGAGGAGUCUCGAAAUGUUCGAGAUGUAAAUAUCGAUAUAUUGCAAGGCUAUAUUCGGACAUCAAAAAGGUUCUGAGUGGUUCGGGUAUUUAUCGGAGUACCGGAGAGUUACGGGAAUUCGCCGGGGAAUAUAUGGGCCUUAUUGGGCAUUAGGGGAGAGAGAGGGUCUGCCUAGGGCAGGCCGCGCGCCCCCCAAUGCCUAUUCCGAAUUGGACUAGGUGGAGGGGCGGCGCCCCCUCCUUCCUUCUCUCCUACUCCUACUACUUGGAAAGGGGGAAUCCUACUCCCGGUGGGAGUAGGACUCCCCAGGGCACGCCAUAGUAGAGGGCCGGCCCUCCCCCUCCUCCACUCCUUUAUAUACGGGGGAGGGGGGCACCCCAUAGUGACACAAGUUGAUCAUUGAUCUCUUAGCCGUGUGCGGUGCCCCCCUCCACCAUAAUCCACCUCGGUCAUAUCGUCGUAGUGCUUAGGCGAAGCCCUGCGCCGGUAGCUUCAUCAUCACCGUCAUCACGCCAUCGUGCUGACGAAGCUCUCCCUCGAAGCUCUACUAGAUCAUGAGUUUGUGGGACGUCACCGAGCUGAACGUGUGCAGAUCGCGGAGGUGCCGUACGUUCGGUACUAGGAUCAGUCGAUCGUGAAGAUGUACGACUACAUCAACCGCGUUGUCAUAACGCUUCCGCUUUCGGUCUAUGAGGGUACAUGGACAACACUCUCCCCUCUCGUUGCUAUGCUUCACCAUGAUCUUGCAUGUGCGUAGGAAUUUUUUUGAAAUUACUACGUUCCCCUACACUAUAUCACAGAGCCACGAGGCACAGAUUGUGCGGCGAUUCCCGCCUUUAGAUCCGGACCCCCCACGAGGCUAGUCUCGCGGACCAAAAAAGGCCUCGACUCUGGGUCAACCAAGGAGGUGGCGUCCCUGCAGAGCCAGAUAUCCCAGACGAUAUAGCGGAAGGUCGAAUUGCCCAGCGUGAUUCGGAUCAUGCUCCACCGCCGCAUCCUACCCCUUUAAAGACGGGGCGCCCACAUGUGGUCCGACAAGCCCGAAAACCCUGCCACCGUGCUCAGAUUCUACCACACUUCCCACGCCAAGCUGUGGAAGGUGCUGAUGACCCACAAGUAUAGGGAAUCUAUCGUAGUCCUUUCGAUAAGUAAGAGUGUCGAACCCAACGAGGAGCAGAAGGAAAAGACAAGCAGUUUUCAGUAAGGUAUUUUCUGCAAGCACUGAAAUUAUCGGUAACAGAUAGUUUUGUGAUAAGGUAAUUCGUAACGGGUAACAAGUAACAAAAGUAAACAAGGUGUAGCAAGGUGGCCCAAUCCUUAUUGUAGCAAAGGACAAGCUUGGAUAAACUCUUAUAUAAAGGAAAGCGCUCCCGAGAACACAUGGGAAUUAUCGUCAAGCUAGUUUUCAUCAUGCUCGUAUGAUUUGCGUUCGUUACUUUCAUAAUUUGAUAUGUGGGUGGACCGGUGCUUGGGUACUGCCCUUCCUUGGACAAGCAUCCCACUUAUGAUUAACCCCCUCGCAAGCAUCUGCAACUACGAAAGAAGAAUUAAGGUAAACCUAACCAUAGCAUGAAACACAUGGAUCCAAAUCAUCCCCUUACGAAGCAACGCAUAAACUAGGGUUUAUUCUUCUGUCACUCUAGCAACCCAUCAUCUACUUAUUACUUCCCAAUGCCUUCCCCUAGGCCCAAACAAUGGUGAAGUGUCAUGUAGUCGACGUUCACAUAACACCACUAGAGGAAAGACAACAUACAUCUCAUCAAAAUAUCGAACGAAUACCAAAUUCACAUGACUACUUAUAACAAGACUUCUUCCAUGUCCUCAGGAACAAACGUAACCACUCACAAAUCAUAUUCAUGUUCAUUAUCAGAGGGGUAUUAAUGUGCAUAAAGGAUCUGAACAUAUAAUCUUCCACCGAAUAAACCAACUAGCAUCUACUACAAGGAGUAAUCAACACUACUAGCAACCCACAUGUACCAAUCUGAGGUCUUGAGGCAAAUAUCGGAUACAAGAGAUGAACUAGGGUUUGAGAGGAGAUGGUGCUGGUGAAGAUGUUGAUGGAGAUUGACCCCCUCUCGAUGAGAGGAUCGAUGGUGAUGACGAUGGUGACGAUUUCCCCCUCCCGGAGGGAUGUUUCCCCGGCAGAACAGCUCCGCCAGAGCCCUAGAUUGGUUCCGCCAAGGUUCCACCUCGAGACGGCGGAGCUUCGUCCUGAAAGCUUCCUUGUGAUUUUUUCCAGGGAAAAAGACACCUUAUACUAGAAGAUGGGCAUCGGGGGGCUUCCAGGUGGCACACGAGGCAGGGGCGCGCCCAGGGGGUAGGGCGCGCCCUCCACCCUCGUGGACAGUGGGUGGCCCCCCUCUGGUGCUUUCUUCGCCCAGUAUUUCUAAUAUAUUCCAAAACUGACUUUCAUGGAGUUUCAGGACUUUGGAGUUGUGCAGAAUAGGUCUCUAAUAUUUGCUCCUUUUCCAGCCCAGGAUUCCAGCUACUGGCAUUCUCCCUCUUCAUGUAAACCUUGUAAAAUAAGAGACAAAGGCAUAAGUAUUGUGACAUAAUGUGUAAUAACAGCCCAUAAUGCAGUAAAUAUCGAUAUAAAAGCAUGAUGCAAAAUGGACGUAUCAACUCCCCCAAGCUUAGACCUCGCUUGUCCUCAAGCGGAAGCCGAUAUCGAAAAAUAUGUCCACAUGUUUAGAGAUAGAGGCGUCGAUAAAAUAAAAUAUGGACAUGAGGGCAUCAUGAUCAUUCUAAGAAUAGCAACAUAUAUAUUGUCAUAUGAUUUCUUAUGCUGAAGUAACAAUCUAUUCACAAUGUAAAGUAUGAAUCGGAAACUUCAUUGAAAAACUAGCAAACUAUAAUCUCAGUCAUUGAAGCAAUUGCAAUUUAUUAUAACAUCGGUAAGAGUCAAUAUAAGAGCUUUUUAGUAAGUCCACAUACUCAACUAUCAUUUAUACUCUCACAAUUGCUAACACUCACGCAAUACUUAUGGGUAUGAAGUUUUAAUCGGACAUAGAGAAAGAUAAGGGCUUAUAGUUUUUCCUCCCAACCUUUUACCUCAAGGGUAAUGUCAACAAUAAUGCUUUAUGAAAACCCACAUCCAAUUGGAUAUAUAUAUCAGGAUCUCUCCAACACAUAGUGCUUGCCAAAGGAUAAAGUGUAAAAAGGAAAGGUAAAGAUCACCAUGACUCUUGUAUAAGGUAUAAGACAAAAAUAAAAGAUAGGCCCUUCGCAGAGGGAAGCAGAGGUUGUCAUGUGCUUUUAUGGUUGGAUGCACAAAAUCUUAAUGCAAAAGAACGUCACUUCAUAUUGCCACUUGUGAUAGGGACCUUUAUUAUGCAGUCCGUUGCUUUUAUUUCUUCCAUAUCACAAGCUCGUAUAUAUUUUCUCCACACUAAUAGAUCAUACAUAUUUAGAGAGCAAUUUUAUUGCUUGCAACAAUGACAACUUACUUGAAGGAUCUUAUUCAAUCCAUAGGUAGAUAUGGUGGACUCUCAUGGCAAAACUGGGUUUAAGGAUAUUUGGAUGCACAAGUACUAUCUCUACUUGGUGCAAAGAAUUUGGCUAGCAUGAGGGGGAAAGGCAAGCUCAACAUGUUGGAUGAUCCAUGACAAUAUAAUUUAUUUCGGAUAUAAGAAAACAUAACCCAUUACGUUGUCUUCCUUGUCCAACAUCAACUUUUUAGUAUGUCAUAUUUUAAUCAGUGCUCACAAUCAUAAAAGAUGUCCAAGAUAGUAUAUUUAUAUGUGGAAACCUCUCUUUCUUUAUUACUUCCUAUUAAUUGCAACGAUGACCAAAACUAUGUUUGUCAACUCUCAACAACUUUUAUUCCUCAUACUCUAUAUGUGAAGUCAUUACUCCCCAUAAGAUCAAUAUGAUCUCUUUAUUUCUUUUUAUUCUCUCUUUUUUCUUUUAUUCCCUCAAGAUCAUAGCAACAUAACCAAGCCCUCGACUCAAGACUAAUCUUUAUAUAUAUAGCUCACGGACUCGAUUACAUAGAUAAGGAUCAACACAAAAACUCAAAUCUAGAUCAUACUAAACUUUAUUCUACUAGAUCAAGAUAUAACCAAAAGGAUCGAACUAAGAAAAACAGUGAAGAUUGAAGUGUGAUGGUGAUACGAUACCGAGGCACCUCCCCCAAGCUUGGCAGUUGCCAAGGGGAGUGCCCAUACCCAUGUGUUUAUGUCUCUUUCUUCGGAGGUAGUGAUGUGAUAUUUUUGGCAAUGAUGCCCCUUAGGAUACGGUUCUCUUCCUCAAGCUCAUUGACUUGCUGCUUAAGAUCCAUUGUUUCCUUCUGGAGUUUACCCGCGACGGCUAAAGCUUCUUUCGCCCAUGGAUGUUGCAUAGCUGCGGGAGAACAAGUAACACUCUUUUUCAUAUUUUCAUAAGAAAGAAAUCUAGCAUUGGGAGGGAUGACCGAAUUUGGAAUUGCUGAGCUCUGGAGUUCCUCCAUCAUAAAUCUGGCUUGGAGACGAGAGGUAACUUAUUGAUCUUCCUCCAUGGCAUCUAUCCUUUUCAAGUCGGCCUCCAUAUCUUCCUCAGUUGAUGGUCCAAAGCUAUCGGCAUUGCUGUUUGCUUUUGGCCACGGUGUCGGGUGAGAUACCCGGCUCUCCCCGACUGACUCUUGAGAAGACAUGUUGAUCUAAUAUGCGGCAGAAACAACUAAGAACAAAAACAGAGGAUUUUGUCGUGGUACGGUGGUCAAAAUCAUCGGGAGAUUAUAUAAUGAUUUUUUACCAACCAAAAGAAAUAUCGUGCAAGAAAACAGAGUCCGGUGGGCACACGAGGUGCCCACGAGGCAGGGGGCGCGCCCUCCACCCUCGUGGAUGCCUCGUGUCCCUUUCAGACUACUUUUUAUUUUCCUAUUUUUUUAAACAUUCCAAAACGGAGAAAAACUGCUAUUAGAAUUGUUUUGGAGUCGGUUUACUUACCGUACCACAUACCUAUUCCUUUUCGGAUUCUGAAACAUUCUGGAAAAUGUCCCUUAUGUACUCCUCCGGGGUUACGGUGUCAAUAACAUUGGUUUCAACAUUUAUGGGAUUACCUGAGAUAUAAUGUUUGAUUCUUUGACCGUUCACCACCUUCGGAUUUGUGCCUUCGAAGUUGUUGAUUUUUAUGGCACCGGAACGAUAGACCUCCUCGAUAACGUAAGGACCUUCCCAUUUAGAGAGGAGUUUUCCUGCAAAAAAUCUUAAACGAGAGUUGUAUAACAGAACAUAAUCACCUACAUUAAACUCACACUUUUGUAUCCUUUUGUCAUGCCAUAUUUUAACUUUUUCUUUAGACAGUUUAGCAUUCUCAUGGGCCUGGGUUCUCCACUCAUCAAGUGAGCUAAUGUCAAAUAUUCUCUUCUCACCGGCAAGUUUGAAAUCAUAAUUGCGCUCUUUAAUGGCCCAAUAUGCCUUAUGUUCUAGUUCGAGAGGUAAGUGGCAUGCUUUUCCAUAAACCAUUUUAUACGGAGACAUACCCAUAGGAUUUUUAUAUGCAGUUCUAUAGGCCCAUAAUGCAUCAUCAAGUUUCUUGGACCAAUUCUUUCUAGAUAUCUUUUUCAAAAUUAAUUUAAUCUCUCUAUCACCCAGUUCUACUUGACCACUAGACUGUGGGUGGUAUGGAGAUGCAAUUAUAUGAUUAACAUCAUACUUAGCAAGCAUUUUACGAGAAGCACCAUGAAAAACAAUGUGAACAACCAUCAGUUAUUAAGUAUCUAGGGACUCCAAACCUCGGAAAAAUAACUUCUUUAAGCAUCUUAAUAGAGGUGUUAUGAUCAUCACUACUAGUUGGAAUAGCUUCUACCCACUUAGUAACGUAAUUAACAGCAACUAAAAUAUGUGUAUACCCAUUAGAGGAAGGAAACGAUCCCAUAUAAUCAAAGCCCCAAACAUCAAAUGGUUCAAUAACAAGUGAAUAGUUCAUAGGCAUUUCUUGACGUCUACUAAUAUUACCAAUUCUUUGACAUUCAUCACAAGACAAGACAAACUUACGGGCAUCUUUGAAAAGAGUAGGCCAAUAAAAACCGGAUGUAAUACCUUAUGUGCAGUUCUAUCUCCAGCGUGGUGUCCUCCAUAAGCUUCGGAGUGACACUUGCGUAGGAUCUGUUCCUGUUCAUGCUCAGGUACACAACGUCUAAUAACACCAUCUACUCCUUCUUUAUAAAGGUGUGGGUCAUCCCAGAAGUAAUGUCUCAAAUCAUAGAAAAACUUUUUCUUUUGCUGGUAUGUGAAACUAGGUGGUAUAAAUUUAGCAACAAUGUAAUUAGCAUAAUCAGCAUACCAUGGAGCAGUACGAGAAGCAUUUAUGACAGCUAAUUGUUCAUCAGGAAAACUAUCAUCAAUAGGGAGUGGGUCAUCAAGAACAUUUUCUAACCUAGACAAGUUGUCUGCAACGGGGUUCUCAGCUCCCUUCCUAUCAAUAAUAUGCAAAUCAAAUUCUUGUAUUAAGAGAACCCAUCUAAUAAGUCUAGGUUUAGCAUCUUUCUUUUCCAUAAGGUAUUUAAUAGCAGCAUGAUCAGUGUGAACAGUUACUUUAGAAUCAACAAUAUAAGGUCUGAACUUAUCACAAGCAAAUACAACUGCUAAAAAAUUCUUUUUAAGUAGUAGCAUAAAUUCUCUGGGCACUGUCUAAAGUUUUACUGGCAUAUUGGAUAACAUUUAAUUUCUUAUCAACUCUUUGUCCUAGAACAGCACCUACAACAUAAUCACUAGCAUCACACAUAAUUUCAAAGGGUAAAUUCCAAUCAGGUGGCUGAACAAUAGGUGCAGAAAUCAAGGCUUUCUUAAGUAUUUCAAAUGCUUCUACACAAUCAUCAUCAAAGACAAAAGGAACAUCUUUUUGUAAGAGAUUAGUCAGAGGCCUAGAAAUUUUUUAGAAGUCUUUAAUGAACCUCCUAUAAAAACCGGCAUGACCAAGGAAACUUCUUAUACCUUUAAUGUCCUUAGGACACGACAUCUUUUCAAUAGCAUCAACUUUAGCUUUAUCAACUUCAAUACCUCUUUCAGAAAUUUUAUGCCACAAGACAAUACCUUCAUUAACCAUAAAGUGGCACUUCUCCCAAUUCAAGACAAGAUUAGUUUCUUCACAUCUCUGCAAAACUCGAUCAAGGUUGCUUAAGCAAUCAUCAAAAGAAGUUCCAUACAUGGAGAAAUCAUCCAUGAAAACCUCAACAAUCUUUUCACAAAAGUUAGAGAAUAUAGCAGUCAUACAUCUUUGAAAGGUAGCAGGUGCAUUACAUAAACCAAAAGGCAUACGUCUAUAAGCAAAGGUACCGAAAGGCAAGUAAAAGUGGUCUUUUCCUAAUCCUCUUUCGACACAGGUAUUUGAGAGAAACCAGAAUAACCUUCUAGAAAGCAAAAAUGUGUAUGUUGGGAUAAUCUUUCUACCAUUCGACCAAUAAAAGGUAAAGGGUAAUGAUCCUUUCUAGUAGCUUUAUUUAAUUUGCAGAAAUCAAUUACCAUUCUAUAACCUGUAACAAUUCUUUGUGGGAUCAAUUCGUCUUUAUCAUUAGGAACAACAGUAAUAACUCCCUUCUUAGGGACACAAUGGACAGGACUUACCCACUGACUAUCAGAAACAUGAUAAAUUAUACCUGCCUCCAGAAGCUUUAGUAUUUCAUUUCUUACCACUUCUUUCAUCAUAGGAUUUAACCGUCGUUGGUGAUCAACAACCAGUUUAGCGUCUUUCUCCAAUUUUAUUUUGUGCUGGCAUAGAGUGGGACUAAUGCCCUUAAGAUCGUCAAGAGUACAUCCAAUAGCAGCACGGUGCUUCUUCAGAGUUUUCAAUAAUUUCUCUUCUUCCUGCUCUGAAAGGUUAGCACUAAUAAUAACAGGAUAUAUCUUCUUUUCAUCAAGAUAAGCAUAUUUAAGAGUAUCAGGUAAUGGUUUAAGCUCAAACACGGGAUUACCCUUGGGUGGAGGAGGAUCCCCUAGAAUUUCAACAGGCAAGUUGUGUUUCAAAAUAGGUCCCUGUUUAAAGAAUACGUCAUCUAUUUCCCUUCUUUCAUUCAUAAACAUAUCAUUUUCAUGGUCUAGCAAAUAUUGUUCUAAAGGAUCAUUAGGAGGCACGGUAAUAGAAACAAGACCAAUAAUUUCUUUACUAGGCAAUUCUGUAUCAUGGGGUUGUCUAUGAAAUUUAGCAAAAUUAAAAUGAUGAGACAUAUCCCCUAAACCAACAGUAACAAUAUCCUUUUCGCAGUCUAUCUUAGCAUUAACAGUAUUCAAGAAGGGUCUACCAAAUAUAAUGGGACAAAAGUCAUCUUGUGGGGAAGCAAGAAUAAGAAAAUCAGUAGGAUAUUUAAUUUUCCCACACAAGACUUCAACAUCUCUAACAAUCCCAACUGGUGAAAUAGUAUCUCUAUUGGCAAGCUUAAUAGUAACAUCAAUAUCUUCUAUCUCAGCAGGUGCAAUAUCAUGCAUAAUUUCUUUAUAUAAAGUAUAAGGUAUUGCACUGACACUAGCACCCAUAUCACAUAAGCCAUGAUAACAGUGAUCUCCUAUUUUAACAGAAACAACAGGCAUGCCAACAACAGGUCUAUGUUUAUUUUUAGUAUCGGGUCUAGCAAUUCUAGCAGCUUCAUCACAGAAGUAAAUAACAUGCCCAUCAAUAUUAUCGACCAAGAGAUCCUUAACCAUAGCAAUACUAGGUUCAACUUUAAUUUGCUCAGAGGGUGUAGGUGUUCUAGCAUUACUCUUAUGAACCACAUUUGAAGCUUUAGCAUGACCCUUUAUUCUAAUAGGGAAAGGUGGUUUCUCAAUAUAAGCGGUAGGAACAAUAGGAUCAACAUUAUAAGUGAUAGUCUUUUCUUCAACUUUAAUAGGUUCAACCACUUUUACUUCCAUGGGAGGAUGAUAUUCAAACCACUUCUCCUUAGGGAGAUCAACAUGAAUAGCAAAUGAUUCACAGAAAGAAGCUACUAUCUCAGAGUCAAGUCCAUAUUUAGUGCUAAAUUCACGAAAAGCAUCGGUAUCCAUAAAAGAUUUAACACAAUCAAACUUAGGUGUUAUACCUGACUCCUUACCUUCGUCGAGUUCCCCAUCUUCAGAUUUGCGUUUAAUUCUUUCCAAUAAAUCCCAUCUGAAUUCAAUAGUCUUCAUCAUAAAAGAACCAGUAAAAGAAGUAUCGAGCAUGGAGCGAUUAUUGAGAGAAAGCCGAGCAUAAAUUUUUUGAAUAAUAAUUUCUCUUGAGAGCUCAUGAUUGGGGCAUGAAUAUAACACUGACUUAAGCCUCCCCCAAGCUCGAGCGAUACUUUCUCCUUCGCGAGUCCAAAAAUUAUAUAUAUACAUAUAUAUAUAAUUACGAUCACGAUGGACCAGAUGCAUAGGAUAAAACUUCUGAUGAAAUUCCAAUUUCAAUCGGUUCAGUAGGUUGAGGAGCAACUCUUUGAUCUACUGGUCGGGGUGAAGAUACCCCGAACAAGUCCCUCAAAGGAUUAUUUUCCAUAGUAACAAGUGACAGUAAAUUUCAGCACACUAUAUAAAAUUUUCCUUACCAAAUUCCACCUACCAAAGGCGCUUCACUCCACGACAAUGGCGCCAGAAAAGAGUCUUGAUGACCCACAAGUAUAGGGGAUUUAUUGUAGUCCUUUUGAUAAGUAAGAGUGUCAAACCCAACGAGGAGCAGAAGGAAAUGACAAGCAGUUUUCAGUAAGGUAUUCUCUGCAAGCACUGAAAUUAUCGGUAAUAGAUAGUUUUGUGAUAAGGUAAUUCGUAACGGGUAAAAAGUAACAAAAGUAAACAAGGUGCAGCAAAGUGGCCCAAUCCUUUUUGUAGCAAAGGACAAUCCUGGAAAAACUCUUAUAUAAAGGAAAGCGCUCCCGAGGACACAUGGGAAUUAUCGUCAAGCUAGUUUUCAUCAUGCUCAUAUGAUUCGCGUUCGUUACUUUGAUAAUUUGAUAUGUGGGUGGACUGGUUCUUGGGUACUGCCCUUCCUUGGACAAGCAUCCCACUUAUGAUUAACCCCCCUCGCAAGCAUCCGCAACUACGAAAGAAGAAUUAAGGUAAACCUAACCAUAGCAUGAAACAUAUGGAUCCAAAUCAUCCCCUUACGAAGCAACGCAUAAACUAGGGUUUAAGCUUCUGUCACUCUAGCAACCCAUCAUCUACUUAUUACUUCCCAAUGCCUUCCCCUAGGCCCAAACAAUGGUGAAGUGUCAUGUAGUCGACGUUCACAUAACACCACUAGAGGAAAGACAACAUACAUCUCAUCAAAAUAUCGAACGAAUACCAAAUUCACAUGACUACUUAUAACAAGACUUCUUCCAUGUCCUCAGGAACAAACAUAACCACUCACAAAUCAUAUUCAUGUUCAUUAUCAGAGGGGUAUUAAUGUGCAUAAAGGAUCUGAACAUAUAAUCUUCCACCGAAUAAACCAACUAGCAUCUACUACAAGGAGUAAUCAACACUACUAGCAACCCACAUGUACCAAUCUGAGGUCUUGAGGCAAAGAUCGGAUACAAGAGAUGAACUAGGGUUUGAGAGGAGAUGGUGCUGGUGAAGAUUUUGAGGGAGAUUGACCCCCUCCCGAUGAGAGGAUUGAUGGUGAUGACGCUGGUGACAUUUUGCCCCUCCUGGAGGGAUGUUUCCCCGGCAGAACGGAUCCGCUGGAGCCCUAGAUUGGUUCCGCCAAGGUUCCGCCUCGAGACGGCGGCGCUUCGUCCCGAAAGCUUCCAUGUGAUUGUUUCCAGGGCAAAAGACACCUUAUACCAAAAGAUGGGCAUCGGGGGGCUUCCUGGUGGCCCACGAGGCAGGGGCGCGCCCAGGGGGGUAGGGCGCGCUCUGCACCCUCGUGGACAGUGGGUGGCCCCCUCUGGUGCUUUCUUCGCCCAAUAUGUUUAAUAUAUUCCAAAACUGACUUACCUGGAGUUUUAGGACUUCUGGAGUUGUGCAGAAUAGGUCUCUAAUAUUUGCUCCUUUUCCAGCCCAGAAUUCCAGCUGUCGGCAUUCCCCCUCUUCGUGUAAACCUUGUAAAAUAAGAGAGAAAGGCAUAAUUAUUGUGACAUAAUCUCUAAUAACUGCCCAUAAUGCAAUAAAUAUCGAUAUAAAAGCAUGAUGCAAAAUGGACGUAUCAGGUGUUGUUCAAGCUUUAGAAGGACUGGCCGGCCGAGGAGGAAGACAUCGGCCUCCACACCGCAACCCUCCCUCGCGAGGUAUGAUAAGGUUUACUCUUAUUUCUACUGUAGGAUGCUGCUAAUGCGACACUACAAUCAAAGACCCUUCGACGAAACUGUGUGCGAUGCAUUAAUCGCAAACAGUGAUGUAAUAAAACCUUCAAAAAAGAUACAAAACAUUUGCGAUGGCGGAGACAUCAAACACGAUUCACAUUGUAGUUUCGUGUGCGAUGGGUGUCAUACACUUCACUCGUAUGAACUAUUUGUGAUGAGCAUAAUAGCAGAGAUGGUCAUAUAGGUGAAGGUGUGUGUGAUAUACAACAUACAGUUCACUCGAAUGAACUAUUUGUGAUUAGGCAACACAACAAAAACAGUCAGCCAGAUCAAGGUGUGUGCGAUAUACGGCAUACAGUUCACUCGGAUGAACUGUUUGCGAUUAGCAAACACAACAGAAAUGGUUCGACAUAACAAUAUGUGUGUGAUACGCGGCAAAUAGGUCAGUAAUCAGAAAUGCGUGGGAAGACUGAUAACAACACAGAUGAUUCCUAUUAACAAGCCGUGUGUGUUGUGAGCAAACGAUUGCUUGUAUACAAUUGUGAGUGAUUGAUGAAAUCAUCACCGACGGGUUCCAUUAUUUAGUCCGUGUGCGACGUGACUUGCUCUGUCUACAGAACAUCAACAUAUAUACUUAUAAGAACAGCAUUGCAUAACCAAGUUAAUCAUAUAAUUACAUAAGUGACUACACACAUAACAUUUCCACACACCAAAGUAAGCAAUUACAUGCAUACUAAGCAAGGAGAAACGAGCAUCCAAUCAUCUAUAUCUUGUUGUGAUGACACUUUCCAUUGCUCUGCUUCCGGCUGGAUCCUUGGCCGUUUUGGGGAAGGAGGCACUUCCUCAUUUCAACAAUCCGCCUAUACAUCUCGUAGCUCGUGUACGCCUCCUUGGCCGCGUACAUGAUGUGAGCUUUGUCGAGUUUCUCCAUCCAGGCCGAGUGCCAAGCACACGUUGUCCUUGUUGCAGGAACCCUUCAUGGCUCUGUAGUAGGGGUCGAUGAUGGCUUCGGCGAGGUGAACCAGUGAGUCCUUCUCAUGCUUCUUGCUGCCCCAGAUUUUUGUAUUGGCCCUGGAUGUCGACAAGAUUCUGGCAGGCGAUGCUCGAAUUCUUGAGCACCUUUACAUCGUUGGUGAUGUCCACCGUAGCGAACAUGUAGUGGGGGUUGUUGACAAACCUGGCAAAAUGCUCACAAGGCCUUGUGGCCAGGCAGUAGUGGUAGAUGAGGACGUGACUGCACACGCACAUCUGGGCGACGACGACCUUCGGACGAGACCUAGCACGAGCACGGGUGUACUCAAGGUCGAACCCGACCACCUUGUACUUCUCCUCAGCAAGCAACAUCUCCAUGAUGUGGAUGGAGUGCUCCACCCAGACCGGGUUGUUGAUGUAGACCACCAAGAGGUCCAUGAACCUUUUGUGGGUGUCCACCACGGCAUGCAUGGUGAACCGUUGCUCAUCGUCGGCAGCCGCUCGGAGCGCCAUUGGAGCCGCGCAGGAUACCCUCUAAGAAUUUGUUGUGGUGGGUGUGCUUCUUGCAAUAUUGUGGCGCGAUCGAAAGGGUUUAAGAGACACAAGGGUUAAAUGGUCGCUGUAAUAAAUGGGGCCAGCCGGCCCAUAAUCACGACGUCUUGUCACCGCGUUCAUAUGAGGAUUCUAGUGCACGCUUGAGCACCCCACGUUUCGUUUGACCACGCGUGGGCUCGAAGAGGCGCCAAAUGUAUCGUUGGUGAGCCUGUUCCUACACAACCGCGCAGUUUACCGUGCGCAACCGCACAAGCUUCCCGCCCGCCUAGUUUGGCCACGCGUCGUCUAGAAGAGGGGCAAAUUGUGGGCAUUUAUUGGCAAAAAGGUUUGCAAAAAUGAAGCAUGUGGAAUGAAUUCGAUCAUAAGUUUACCCGUGGGUGAUGAGGUCAAAGUUACACAGAAGGGUGAUGAUGGACACUAGUGCGAUAAUUAAUUCUGUGCUCUAUAGGGCACAUGGUUAAAGAAAUGAACUGUGUGAAAUAAUGUCGAAGAUCGCUAUUGAGUUAGCUAUACAGAUCGUUUGCUAUGAGAUCGACAAGGGAAACACAUUCGAGAAUGGUUGAUAAAAUCUAGGUCCAUUGCAUAUUAAGGUCAAAAUAGUAUUACCAAUAUACAAGUUUCAUAUGAUGCCAUUUCAACAAUUGUACCACAAAAGCCCGAAAUAUUACAAUGUUCAAAUUCCAGAGUUAUAUGGCUCAAAUUCGAAGAUUACAAGGUUCAAACUGAUAUUAGAAAUGAAAUUCAACUCAUUCAACUACAAACGCCUGCGUUGAUCAGCUAAACAUGGAUAUAAGAGAGGUUCAAACUAAUAUUACCACUUGUAAGGCUUGUUUUGAAACCUCAUCAUUUCUGCAAAGGGAUUAACCACUGACAAGUCAUGUAUGGGGUUGACACAAUAACUUCCGAUUACUUUGUCAUCUAAAGUUCCAAAAUGAAAUUCACCUUUUUGGAGCCUUUUCCAUUCUGCCGCAGCUGCCGGCGUUGAUCAACAAACCAUUCAUUUUUGCAAAAUAAAUCUAGGGGAAACCUCAUUACCUUCAGCACCCUUGCUCUGACAACAAAGAACCUGGCGAAUAUAAUCUCCGGCAAGGUCCCUCAGUAGGAGUUCAAAGUAAUUUAUGAGAGAUGCAGAUCUAGGCAUUCGAUGUGAUUGUUAUAUCGUAUCACAUUAUCUACCACCGGCCCUAAUCUUAUCUGCAAAAGAAGAAAACAUGUUAGUGCCUACAUGCGGUUUUGAACACUACUACAGACCUAUUUGGUUUGCAUGAUUUUUAAAAUGCACCAACGUGCCAUCUUUGAUUUGACAUGAUUAACAUGGGCAUUUGAUUACAAUCUAGAAAAACGUAGCCUUCUUCACAAGAGGUUGGAGUGGAUGAAAAAUUCCCUAAGAAAACUAGUAUAGAUGAAUGCAAAGGAGAAAUGCUUAUGGAUUGUAACCAUAUGCAUCAAGCAAUCAAUAUGGGGGGAAAACAUGUAUGUACUGAAAUCCUCCAAAAUUCGUUCAGAAAUCAUAGUACAUUGUCAAUGUAAACUUCGGGAAAGGUGUCAAAAAUUGAACUCCCUUAUGGUUAACAUUUCACAGGAAAGGAACAUCACCUCGAUAUAUAGCUUCUCCAGGCACGGAAAGCAUCUUAGGAAACUGACAACUUGGUCCAAGUUGGGGCCGAUAGAACCUAGUGCCAAGACCUUCACUAUGCGUAGAUUCGGGGUCAAGCUUGUCGGAAUCAUUUUCUAGAGCACAGACAAACAUACAUCUUCAAAAUUAGAAAUAAUGUUAAUUUCAAGAAGGAGAGGUAGAAGGCGAUUGUUGUACCUGAACAGGUGUGGAUCCAAUAACUAGUUCAGAGUAUUUGACAGACGAGUAGCCCACCACUGUCAAUUUCAGCGCGGAAAUGACAUUGAUUCUUGUUAGACCUUCUUGAUCAACUACAAGUAAUCUUUCAAGUGAAGGUGUGUACUCAAUGACCAUACUGUGGUACACCUUUUGUGAUGUCUUGUUGCAGCACCAGCAACACAUAUAAAUACUCCGGAGAGUCAUGGAGGUGAUGUGGAAGCUACUGAACACAUUAAUCGCCUGAAGACGAAUGUACUCGAGUGGAGUACAGCCACGGAGCAGGCACUCCAUUUCAUCCUCUGGGAUGCAGGAAGUGACAAGCUUGAGGUGCUUCAAUCGUGGUAGAAAAAGAGCAGGCACGUCAUUUAGGGGGGUGGCAGUUCAUGAACUUGGCGAGGCGCAGCGUGGGUGCGAGGCGGAGGAUGGACGUUGGCAGCGAGCACAUAUGUCCAUCAUUAAAACUGAGCUCCUCGAGCUGAUCUAGGGUGGGAGAUCAGAACCACUCGUCAAGCUUGGCUCGGUCCUUGGCGUUUGAACGAAACUUGCCCAUGCUAAGGCCUCUGAUUGGGCCAUGUUGUCUGCCGAGGAUCUGGGAUAAAACAUCCAAGCUUUUGCGAUAGCCAUGGCAGAUCUCGUGGGCGUCGAUGAGGUCGAGAGGGGUGGAGUGCCAUAGGGGGCGGCAACGCCGAGAAAGGACGGUUGUCCGCGCCCCAUAUUUGAUUGGGAGGAGGGAGAGGAUGACUAUCAAGAUAUCAUUGAUGAGGUUCCUGAUGAAGUCUAGGCCUGCUGGAGUUGCUCGACCCGUCUCCACUUGUUGGCAACCUCGUUCUCCACUUCUGGAGUCUCAUCGUCAGCGGCGCUUUCUGAUAGAAGUGUGAGUACAGGGAAUAUUUAGUUAAAACAAGGUAAAAGAAAAGUGUAUUGGUAACUAGAAGUUAGUAGGUAGGAAUAGAGUAAGAAAAUGGAAUAACAAUUGGUUGCUUAAAUUCUACACAAUUCCUUUGAUAUUGCCGGGUAAGUCAACAUGUAGAUACUUGAAAAGAACACUUUCUUCGAACAAGGUUUGGACAUAUGAUAUCGUCGGGGAAGUAAGAUAUAUCUCAUGACCAGGCUUUAUGUGCAGUGCAAUUUUAGUGCCAGCUUUCAGUACUAAAACUUAGAAAUUUUUGUCCAAAGGCCCGUGCCAAAAUAGGAGUGACCACGUUCAUCAAGUCUUACAGAAGCAAUGAUUGUAAAUCCACGGUUUGUGUUCAGUAUGAAAUCCCUACAGUCUUGAGUUAUGUAAAGGGCAAGAUUGUGUACUACAUAUGCUAUUUCAUAGCAAGGGAUGUGCUGCAGAAAAUGGUAGGAUUGUUAAAGAAUAUGGUAACAAGCAAAUAUGGGCGAAAUUGAAAGAACAGUACAUCAGUUGAAAUCAAACGACAAAAAUCUAUAAUUAAACAGAUAGUGUAACCAUGAUGUCAUGGAAAUAUGAGAGUAAUCGAAAGAAUAAUACAUCAUUAAUUUGCUUAAUAUAGAAAGAAGAGGGGGAAAAUCCCCUUUGACGUAUAUGCUACAUGUGGCACAUUUUAUACAAAUGUAGCAAUAUAUAGUAUAUUUUCAGGAAAGUAGGCCAUGCCAACUGAUGUAGGGUGAGAUUGAGCAUACCGUGCGCAUCCUGAAGUCAUCUAGUAUGGCGGGAUGUAACUCCACAGGUGCCUGGCCGAGGCUGCAAAGUCCUGAUGUGUCCGUGCACUGUACACUCUAUGAAUGAAAGAAAACCCUCAAAUCAGCUCGAAUAAAAAUGAAUUCACGGUGAUUUCGGCCGGGUGAUUAAAGGAGGCAGAUGAAAUGGGAUAAGAGAUGAGACAAUAUCUCAGUAAAUUAGUUACCUUGUUGUCCAUGAGAAAAAAACCUCAAUACCGCGGAUUCCCCAAUCAGGCCGGAGCUGGGUCAACGGCGAGCAGUGUCGAGAAAGUCGAUAGCAAUAGGCCGUGGCAAGCAGAAGUGGCGAAAUGCGGUGGGGUUUGCUGGUAGCCUGGUGGCGGCUACAGGCGUCGAGCGAAGUGGUUGCCGCGGCGAUAGGCGGUGCCAUGCAGAGUCGCGGAGGAGCUUGUGCAGGUGUGAAUGGGUACCUGAGGAGGUGGCAGGCGGGGUGAGGGUUUUUGUGACGUGGGGAUGGUGAGGGUUUUCUUUUUUCCUUUUUGAAUUGGUAGGUGAGGGUUUUCUAUCCCACAAAGAGUUUCAGAGGCAACGGUUUGCUAGAGCCAAUCGUGUGUGAUUGAUGUAACUAGGAAAAUGGAAGUCAUUGCACACGGUUUAAAUUUGGAAAAAAUAACCAUGUUUCAGGGUGGUUCCACUUUCCUUCGUCGGUUGAAUCUGAAAUUUUUACCCACGCUAAACAUUCACCCUAGUAUGCAUAGAAUUCCAUGAACGGAACUGAGUGCAUUCAUAUCCUACGUUUAGACAUAAGUAAACAUAGAUUAAACAUACUCGAGCAUAGAUAAUAAGUGUACACAAGGAUAGUUCAACCAUAUAAUGUUCAACCGUCAUUAAGCAUAGUCAAGCACAUUUAUAAUUAAGACACUACAUAGCCAUUCAUAGUUCAAUCCCACAUCUCAUCUCAUCUGCCGGCACGAUCAUAAAGCUUCUCUAGGUACUCAGCGUACGCGACGUGCGCCACCCUACGAGAAUACUUCUGCCUGAAGGAGCCAAUGGCUCGUCCUCUUGCAUGCGCCAGAACACUUUCAUACACGUCAUGAAGCUUUUGGUUGCAAAAUGGGCAUCGAAAGCCCCCCGUCCCAGGUCCUAAUAUGCUUGUUAAGAAUGCCUGCAUAAAGAUCCUUGAGGAUUUGCCUCUUGUACCUCCUCUGGGCAUCUUCAUCCUCACUGUCGACAUCGACAAAUAACACCCAUACUUAUAAUAAAAAAUGUGGCGUCAAAUUUGGAAUACAAACUAAUCUCUAGCAAACAUUUGGCAGUUGCCAAAAUUUGGCAUCAAAUCAACUUUUACAUGCCGUAAAGUAGGAUUAGGAAUUUAUAGCUAUUUUUAGACAUAUCCAUAGAUUAUGGUUCGACUUUUAAGCACAAUCGUCUAUGUAUAGACCAAUCUUGAAAAAAAUGGCACAAACAUAUAUGUAGGUCAUUCAAAAUCAUUUGACAAGACCUUGCUAGGAAUUAUUAGCACGAACACUAACUAUAGUCGGAUUAUUAGCAGAAAUCAUUUGCACGCAUGAAACAACUAAUCACUUAUCAUUUGUACCAUUCAAACAAUCAAUACACUACACGGAUCUAACGAAACUUACUCAGAUUUCAUGGAUUGAGAGAACAUAACCAUAGGAUUUCUAUUCCAAAAAGGGGGAGACAGGGUUAACGAGAGAAACCCUAGGAUAUAUCUGACACAUAAAUGGGAAUAGAUGACUAAUUGGUUGUCCAUCGUUGUCGGAGUCCUCGCUAGAGUGGUCGUCGGAGUCGUCGUUGGAGUGGUCGUCAGAGUCAUCACUGGAGUCGUCACCCGAGUCAUCACUAGAGUCAUCGCCGGAGUUGGUGUGGACCUUUGGCUCCAGUUGUGGAAGCAUGACACCGUCAACAACGUCAAGGUGCAGCGAUACCUCGUCGACGGCGACGGCAACCUCUAUCUCCAUCUUCACGUCGUGCUCCGGUGUUACAGUAGCCCUAGCGUCGCCACUCCCUCCGAUGGCGCACUUUGGCGGCAUCCUCAUACACUGACGGCGGUGAGGACUGAGAGCGGCGACGAGGAUGCAUGCGGAGAAAGAGGAUUGUCUGUGAGGCGAGGAUGGGGGUGCAACCGCUCGGGCGCGCCAUAAAUAUGGAGUAGUGUGAGAGAGGUGGGCAGCAGUCAAACUACUGGCUCACCUCCCGGUGAGCCUGCGCAGCGGACUACUGGCAUGCCUACCGUCAUUUCACACAGCUACUCGCACGCCUCCGGAUGACACUGCGCAGCGAGCACGCCUCCCGUCAAUUCACACACCUGCAUGCACGCCUCCCGGUCUGCCUUCGCGGUGGACUGCUCGCAUGCGUCCCAUCAACUCACGCCUACUCGCAUGGCGCACGGCACGCGUGGCGGCACGUAUAUUGUUUUUUCUAUUUUGAUGAUUAAUGCUGCCGCUUUAUUUCUUAACCAAAGCAAGACACGUAUUCAUUGUUGGUCUAACGCCCAUGGUUCAAAUAAAUAAUCCAUUUGCGAUAUUGGUUCCCAAUUAUUAAUAAUCUCUCGUUUGUAAGAAUAAAAAUUACAUCAAAACUUGUCUCAAAUUUGACAAAAAGUACAAUACCACUGUGUAUUGGUGUCCAUAUGACAACACGAUAAGUUUCAUGAAUUUCAACUAAGUUUUGGAUGUACUACUAGAUUUUAAAAAUCAAGAUUCUCAAUGUUUAAAUUUCUUGCACGGGGAGUAAACAUGCACCCAGUGACACACAUGUGUUUUUCCAAUCCAUUUAGGUGCACUGUCACGUGUGCAUGUAGACGCUUUCCAAACACCUCCUUUCCCAUAGAUCCCCAUCCCCACCCCCACUCCAGAGCGCCGUAGCCUAUGCCCGGCUACGCUUCCCGUGGAGCUCGAGGAGCGACUGGCCCAAAAGAGGUGUAUCGCAGCCUCUUGGCCCGACGUUGCCGAGGUGGCCGCCGAGGAAGCUGACGACCAUUACUGGCCCCAGGCUCUCAAUCAGCGGGCUAGAGUAUGCGGGUAUGUUGCGGAUGUCGGCUACGACAUCGAGGUCGUCGACAGUGAUGACCUGACGCGGGCCAUGUCACAGGUUAAGUGGCCCAUCCCCAACCCCUCGGGUUCAAUCGUCGUCGAUCUCAUCCAUGGCCGCGCCGCUAAUCUCCUCUGGCUCGCUGUCAAGAAUUUUCCAUCCUACAUCGCCAUCGAGCCCCUUUUGUCAUUUCUGAGGGACACGUUCUAUGACAUUGGCUUGGGAUCCACAACUGCCAAGUCAGACCUCGUCGACGGUGACCACGAGGAGGGCACCCUCUCUGGCUCUUCCAAGGGGAAAGAUCCCAUCUGCGACAUCAUGGAGGGCACCCUAUAGCCACCACUACAAAAAAAGACACAUCCGUGACAUUUUGGGCCGAACGAAUUUUUUUCCUGUCAUGCUUAUGACACUUCUAUGACGAUAAUUGUGACAAAACCCGGUAUCAUCAUAGAUGUGGUGGGCUCCUACUUCUAUGACAAAAAAUCAUGACAGAAAAUGGGAUGUUCAUCCUGGGCGGGCCGGAAACGUGAUGACCCACAAGUAUAGGGGAUCAAUUGUAGCUCUUUUUGAUUAGUAAGAGUGUCGAACCCAACGAGAACAAGGAAAUGACAAGUGGUUUUCAGCAAGGUAAUGUCUGCAAGUGCUGAAAUUGUAAGUAGCAGAGUUGUUUGAUAGCAAGAUAAUUUGUAACAAGCAUGUAACGAUAAUAGUAACAAAAGUGAAGCAAGGUAGCCCAAUCCUUUUGAGGCAAAGGACAAGCCAAAACAGUCUCUUAUGAUAAGCAAAGCGUUCUUGAGGGUACACGGGAAUUUCAUCUAGUCACUUUCAUCAUGUUGGUUUAAUUCAUGUUCGGUACUUUGAUAAUUUGAUAUGUGGUUGGACCAGUUCUUAGAUGCUAUUCUUACUUGAAAAAAUCUCCUACUUAUGAUUAACCCUCCCGCAAGCAUCCGCAACUACAAGAAAAGUAUUAAGAAUAAAUUCUAACCAUAGCAUUAAACUUUUGGAUCCAAUCGGUCCCUUACGGAAUAGCGCAUAAACUGGGGUUUAAGCUUCUGUCACUCUCGCAACCCAUCAUAUAUUUGCUACUCCACAAUGCAUUCCCUUAGGCCCAAAUAUGGUGAAGUGUCAUGUAGUCGACGUUCACAUGACACCACUAAGGGAAUCACAACAUACAUACUAUCAAAAUAUCGAACACAUAUCAAAUUCACAUGAUUACUUGCAACAUGAUUUCUCCCAUGACCUCAAGAACAAAAGUAACUACUCACAGAUGAUAAACAUGCUCAUGAUCAGAGGGGUAUUAAAUAGCAUAUUGGAUCUGAACAUAUAAUCUUCCACCAAAUAAACCAUACAGUAAUCAACUACAAGAUGUAAUCAACACUACUAGUCACCCACAAGCACCAAUCUAUAGUUCCGGUAACAAGAUUGAACACAAGAGAUGAACUAGGGUUUGAGAUGAGAUGGUGCUGUUGAAGAUGUUGAUGGAGAUUGCCCUCCCAAGAUGGGAGAGUUGUUGGUGAUGAUGAUGACGAUGAUUUCCCCCUCUGGGAAGGAAGUCCCCCUAGUGGAAUCGCUCCGCCGGAGGGCAAAAGUGCUCUUGCCCAAGUUCCGCCUCGAGACGGCGGCGCUCCAUCCCGAAAGUCCUCUCCUUAUUUUUUUCUAGGUCAAAAUGACCUAUAUACCAGAAGAUGGGCAUCGGUGGUGGGCCUCGAUGAGCACAACCCACCAGUGUGCGCCUGGGCUCCCUGGCGCGCCCAGGUGGGUUGUGCCCACCAAGUGGGCCCCCUCUGGUAGUUAUUUGCUCCAAUAUUACUCAUAUAUUUGAUAAAAAAUCUCCGUUAUGUUUUAGCUUGUUUGGGGUUGUGCAGAAUAGGUGGCCUGAUGUAGCUUUUCCAGGUCUAGAUUUCCACCUACCGGAGUUCUCCCUCUUUGUGUAUACCUUACAUAUUAUGAGAGAAAAGGCAUUACAAUUACUCCAAAACGCAUUAUUAUGGAUAAAAACAUCAUAAAUAACAGUAAGAAAACAUGAUGCAAAAUGGACAUAUCAACUCUCCCAAGCUUAGACCUCGCUUGUCCUCAAGCAAAAACCGAAAUCGAAAAACAUGUCCACAUGCUUAGUGAGAGAGGUGUCGAUAAAAAACAAAAUACAGACACAGAAGCAUCAUGUAGAUUAUUAUAACAGCAACAAAAUUAAACAUAAGACUUUUAUCAUAUAUUCUCAUGAAUAAGUAACAAUUCAUCACACAAUUGAAGUAUAAAGCAAAAACUCUAUUAAAAACCAACAACUAUGUUCUCAGUCAACUUUGCAACUAAAAUUCAUCAUGUUUUCAGGAAGGGUCACGUAUCGGAGCCUUUAGGCAAGUCCACAUACUCGACCAUCAUAUAGUCUUCUAUGAUUGCUAACACUCACCGCGUAGACAUGAGCAAAACGUUUCAACCGUACACAUAGAAAGAUAGGGGCUUAUAGUUUCACCUCCCAACGUAUUCACGUCAAGGGUGAUGUCAACAAUAAUAACUCAUGCUAUCUAUAUUCAACUGGACCUAUGUGCCUAGAUCUUUCCUCACCACAUGAUGCUUGCCAAAGGAGAAAAUAAAAAGGAAUAGAAGGAAAACUUUGACUCUUUGCAUAAAAGUAAAUACAUAAAAGUAAAAGAUAGGCCCUUCGCAGAGGGAAGCAGAGGUUGCCAUGUGCUUAUUUGUUUGUAUGCUCAACCCCUUAGUGCAAAAGAACGUCAUGUUGCAUUGCCCCUUGUGAUAGCGACCUUUAUUAUGCAGUCUGUCGAUUUUAUUCUUCACCAUCACAAGUUCGUGCAACGCUCAAUUUUCUCUUACACUAAAUGAUCUCACACUUUUAGAAGCAAUUUUUAUUUCCUUUUUGCACUGAUGACAACUUACUUGAGGGAUCUUGCUCAAUCCCUAGGUAGGUAUGGUGGACGCUUGAAAAUAAGAUUUGGGUUUAAGGGUUUUUGGAUGCACAAGUAGUAUCUCUACUUAGUGCAGAAUUUUUGGCUAGCAAAGAUAGGGGGCAAGCACCACAUGUUAAAGGAUCCAUGACAAUAUGACUUCUAUGUGAAUAUAAACAAACAUAAACCAUUAAGUUGUCUUCCUUGUCCAACGUCAACAAUUUUGGCCUAUAAUAUUUUGAUGAGGGCUCACAAUCACAAAAGAUUUCUAGGGUAAUACAUUUAUAUGUGAAUCUUCGCUUCCCUUAUUAAUUAUUUUAUGAUUUGCAUCAUUGACUAAUGCUAUGUUUGUCAAUCUCUAAUAAAAUUUUCUACUUAUACUUUUCCUUAUGUGGUGUCAUCACCUACCAUAAUAUUAGCAUAUGAUCUUCUUGAUUUGUUCCAUUUCUUUCAUUUCUCUCAUUUAUUUCCUUUCUUUUAAUUGCAACAUGAAAAUAAAGAAAGCAAAAACACAAACUAACUUUAUUAUAUAUCUCGCACACGACUACAAGGAUAGAUCACUAAGCAAACUCUCGAAAACAAAGGAUCGAACUAAACUUUUAUUCAUCUAAAGCAAAAGAUCAAACUAAAAUAAGUAAAGGAAAAAAGAUAGUGGGAUGAUACGAUACCGGGGCACCUCCCCCAAGCUUGGCGAAAGCCAAGGGGAGUGCCCAUACCCGAUACUCAAUUCUCCUUUGGUGGUGAAGAUGAUGAUGGUGAUGAUGAAGCGAUCCUGUCCUUAAGGAUAAGAGAUUCUCCAAUCGACAGAUGAUGCUCCGGAGGUGGAUGAUAUGCUCUUGAUGCAGAAUAUUCUCACGAGCAAGAUACUUAUUUUGUAUGCGAACUAUUUCAAUGAUGCGAAAGGCUUCAAUCUCAGCAGGAGUAAGGUGAGUAAGGUAAGGUUUAAGGAUAUCUUCCUCUUCCUCCUCGGCUGGCAGUGCUUGUUCGAAGACCGGAGGCUGAUCUACGGUAACCUCCUUGCUCUCAUCUCCCCUGAUGGCUUCUGCGGGCUCCUCUCUCUUCAGCUCGACCUUCAUCAACCAAGCAUCCUAUCCCACGUUGUUGGAGGAAGAAGAAGACAUGAUGCCUGACUCAACAGAUCUAACCGAAAACAGCAAGAAAAGAGAACACAGGAUUUCUCCGCGAUACGGUGGUUAAGAUGUUCGGGAAGUAUAUAUAGAUUUUUUUUAUCUUGGGGGCAAGCAAACGGAACAAAAACGGAGUCCGUAAGGUGUCCCAGGUGGGCACAACCCACCUAGGCGCGCCCUGGUGUCUUGUGCCCACCAGGGUACAGUUCGUGGAAGUUUCUUAUUUUCCUAUAUUUCUAAAUAUUCCAAAACUUACAAAAAAUAUUUUUGCGGAUUUUUCGGAGUCUUUUUACUUACAGUAUCACGUACCUCCUUAUUUUCACGAUUCUGGAGUGUUCCAGAAGGACUCUUUUAUGUGUUCUUCCGGUGUGAAAGUUUGGAUAAUAUUACCUUCAACAUUAAUGGGCGUACCUGAGAUAUAAUGUUUUAUUCGUUGCCCAUUGACAACCUUCGGGUUAGUACCUUUGGCAUUAUUUAUUUUGAUGGCUCUAGACCGGUAAACCUCCUCGAUAAUGUAGGGCCUUCCCAUUUUGAGAGGAGUUUUCCUGCAAAGAAUCUAAAACGAGAGUUGUACAAAAGAACAUAUUCUCCGACUUUAAACUCAAGCUUUUGGAUCUUUUGUCAUGCCAUGUUUUAACUUUUUCUUUGAAUAGUUUUGCAUUUUCAUAAGCUUGGGUUCUCCAUUCAUCUAAUGAGCUAAUAUCAAAUAUACUCUUUUCACCGGCAAGUUUGAAAUCAUAGUUGAGUUCUUUGAUUGCCUAAUAUCCUUUAUGUUCUAACUCAAGAGCAAAUGAAAAGCUUUUCCAUAAACCAUUUUAUAAGGAGACAUACCCAUAGGAUUUUUAUAAGCUAUUCUAUAAGCCCAAAGUGCAUCAUCUAAUUUUUAGACCAAUUCUUCCUGGACCUAUUGAUAGUCUUUUGCAAAAUUAAUUUUAUUUCUCUAUUGCUAAGUUCAACUUGACCACUAGACUGAGGAUGAUAAGCUGAUGCAAUUCUAUGGUUAACAUCAUAUUUGGCAAGCAUUUUAUGGAAAGCACCAUGAAUAAAGUGUGAACCACCAUCAGUCAUUAAAUAUCUAGGGACUCCAAACCUUUGGAAAAUAACUUCCUUAAGCAUUUUAAUAGAGGUGUUGUGAUCGACACUUCUGGUUGGAAUAGCUUCUACACAUUUAGUAACAUAAUCAACAGCAACCAAAAUAUGUGUAUACCCAUUAGAGGAAGGAAAAGGUCCCAUGUAAUCAAAUCCCGAAACAUCAAAUGGUUCAACAACAAGUGAAUAAUACAUAGGCAUUUCUUGACGCUUGCCGAUAUUACCAAUUCUUUGACAUUCAUCACAAGAUAAGACAAACUUACGGGAAUCCUUGAAGAGAGUAGGCCAAUAAAAUCCAGAUUGCAAGGUCACCACAAAAGUAAUUGCUACCUCUUGAGCACUGUGUUUGUUUUCCCUUGAAGAGGAAAGGGUGAUGCAGUAAAGCAGCGUAAGUAUUUCCCUCAGUUUUUGAGAACCAAGGUAUCAAUCCAGUAGGAGGCCACGCACGAGCCCCUCGCACCUGCAGAAACAAAUAAAAUCCUCACAACCAACGCGAUAAAGGGGUUGUCAAUCGCUUCACGGUCACUUACGAAAGUGAGAUCUGAUAGAUAUGAUAAGAUAAGAUUUUUGGUAUUUUUAUGAUAAAGAUGCAAAGUAAAAUAAAAGGCAAUAAAAAUAGCUAAGUGUUGGAAGAUUAAUAUGAUGGAAAAUAGACCCGGGAGCCAUAGGUUUCACUAGUGGCUUCUCUCGAGAGCAUAAGUAUUUUACGGUGGGUGAACAAAUUACUGUUGAGCAAUUGGCAGAAUUGAGCAUAGUUAUGAGAAUAUCUAGGUAUGAUCAUAUAUAUAGGAAUCAUGUCCGAGACAAGUAGACCGACUCCUGCCUGCAUCUACUACUAUUACUCCACACAUGGACCGCUAUCCAGCAUGCAUCUAGAGUAUUAAGUUCAUAAGAACAGAGUAACGCUUUAAGUAAGAUGACAUGAUGUAGAGGGAUAAACUCAUGCAAUAUGAUAUAAACCCCAUCUUGUUAUCCUCGAUGGCAACAAUACAAUACGUGCCUUGCUGCCCCUACUGUCACUGGGAAAGGACACCGCAAGAUUUAACCCAAAGUUAAGCACUUCUCCCAUUGCAAGAAAGAUCAAUCUAGUAGGCCAAACCAAACUGAUAAUUCGAAGAGACUUGCAAAGAUAACCAAUCAUACAUAAAAGAAUUCAGAGAAGAUUCAAAUAUUGUUCAUAGAUAAACUUGAUCAUAAACCCACAAUUCAUCGGUCUCAACAAACACACCGCAAAACAAGAUUACAUCGAAUAGAUCUCCACAAGAGAGGGGGAGAACAUUGUAUUGAGAUCCAAAAAGAGAGAAAAAGCCAUCUAGCUAAUAACUAUGGACCCGAAGGUCUGAUUUAAACUACUCACACAUCAUCGGAGAGGCUAUGGUGUUGAUGUAGAAGCCCUCCGUGAUCGAUGCCCCCUCCGGCGGAGCUCCGGAAAAGGCCCCAAGAUGGGAUCUCACGGGUACAGAAGGUUGCGGCGGUGGAAUUAGGUUUUUGGCUCCGUAUCUGGUAGUUUGGGGGUACGUAGGUAUAUAUAGGAGGAAGAAGUACGUCGGUGGAGCAACGUGGGGCCCACGAGGGUGGAGGGCGCGCCCCCUACCUCGUGCCUUCCUGGUUGAUGUCUUGACGUAGGGUCCAAGUCCUCUGGAUCACGUUCCCGAAGGUUUCAUUCCGUUUGGACUCCGUUUGAUAUUCUUUUUCUGCGAAACUCUGAAAUAGGCAAAAAAACAGCAAUUCUAGGCUGGGCCUCCUGUUAAUAGGUUAGGCCCAAAAUAAUAUAAAAGUGUAUAAUAAAGCCCAUUAAACAUCCAAAACUGAAUAUAAUGUAGCAUGGAACAAUCAAAAAAUAUAGAUACGUUGGAGACGUAUCAAGCAUCCCCAAGCUUAAUUCCUGCUCGUCCUCGAGUAGGUAAAUGAUAAAAACAGAAUUUUUGAUGUGGAAUGCUACUUAGCAUAAUUUCAAUGUAAUUUUUCUUAUUGUGGCACGAAUGUUCAGAUUUGAUAUGAUUCAAGAUAAAAGUUUAAUGUUGACAUAAACACAAUAAUACUUCAAGCAUGCUAACCAAGCAAUUAUGUCUUAUCAAAAUAACAUAACCAAAGCAAGUUAUCCCUACAAAAUCAUAUAGUCUGGCUAUGCUCCAUCUUCCCCACACAAAAUAUUCAUAUCAUGUACAACCCCGGUUUUAGCCAAGCAAUUGGUUCAUACUUUUUAACGUGCUUCAGCCUUUUCAACUUUUACACAAUACAUGAGCGCAAGCCAUGGAUAUAGCACUAUGGUGGAAUAAGGUAUAAUGGUAGGGGUUAUGUGGGAAGACGAAAAAGGAGAAAGUCUCACAUCAACGAGGCUAAUCAACGGGCUAUGGAGAUGCCCAUCAAUUGAUGUUAAUGCAAGGAGUAGGGAUUGCCAUGCAAUGGAUGCACUAGAGCUAUAAGUGUAUGAAAGCUCAAACAAAAGAAACUAAGUGGGUGUGCAUCCAACUUGCUUGCUCACGAAGAUCUCGGGCAUUUGAGGAAGCCCAUCAUUGGAAUAUACAAGCCAAGUUCUAUAAUGAAAUUUCCCACUAGUAUAUGAAAGUGACAAAAUGAGAGACUCUCUGUCAUGAAGAUCACGGUGCUACUUUGAAGCACAAGUGUGGUAAAAGGAUAGUAACAUUGUCCCUUCUCUCUUUUUCUCUCAUUUUUUUCUUUUUUUAUUCGGGCCUUUUCCCCCUCAUGCUCCGACUUUGUGGCACAAGUGUGGCACAAGUGUGAUUCCCCCUCAUGCUCCGACUUUGUUACAUAACGGUUCACCAUACGUGCAUGCUCCGGGAAUCACAAACUCCAACACAAGUAUUUUUCAAUUCCAUAAUUACUCAACUAGCACAACUAUGAUAUUACCACCUUUAUAUCUCAAAACAAUUAUCAAGCAUCAAAUUUCUCAUGAUAUUAUAAUUAAAGCAAAUUGCCAUGCUAUUUUAAGACUCUCAAAAUAAUAUAAGUGAAGCAUGAGAGUGUCGGUGUACAAAAAGAGGGGUUCGUUUUUGUACCCCUAUACCUGUGCACGGGCAGUCGGAGCCGCGCCCACGGUCACGCCAAGCAGAGCAGGGGAGGUGAGCCAAGGUAAGACCGAAGCCCAAGAUAAUCAGAGCAAAGCCAAGGCCAAGACCCCAAAGAGCAGAGGGACGAAGCAGGUUCCCCCGGCAAGACCCUUGCCGGGGCAGCCUCAGCAGCCCCGGCAAGAUCCUUGCCGGUACAGCUCGCCCCACACCAACAGAGCAAGCCACACUUGAGCCCACGGUCCCCAACUCCAUCAUCCACGUGGGUCCAGGGCUCGGUAAGGCACCUCUGUGGUGGCAUGCAGAUCUUUGUGAAGACAUAUUCAAGAUCAGAUGAGGAUUAGAAGACGACGAUCCUCGGCAAGAUCCUUGCCGAGGGAAGCCACCAGACCCCCAGCAAGGUCCUUGCCGGGGACAACAGCGCGCCACGGCAAGACCCUUGCCGGGCCACCCGACAAGGCCCUCGCCAAGGAGGCCAGUAGGGCCACCGCCAGGCCCACGCCAAACAAGCUUCCACCGCCAUUCACAUGCAGCUGCCAGCCCAACCAGCUGGGCGGGCACCUGCGUGGCAACAUGCAGCUCCCAGGCCAACUCAUCAAGCGCCUGCGUGGCGGCAUGCAGAUCUUCAUGAAGACCCUACUACCGCGCCACCUAAGCUACCUGCCUGCCUACAUGGCACCGCACGCAUCGCUGGCCAGGGCGCGUGUCGAAGUGAGGAGGAACGGCGACGGACGGGACGGGCCUCACCCCCGUCCCCGAUAAAGCUAGGGGACACCUCAGCGGCGCAUUAAAUGCGUCUUGUCCUGUAAUACGAGCGAUAAGCUCAGAGCACUGUACACCUUUCCACCUCCUGUGUGCCACUGUGGCAGCCCCUUUCGACUAUAAAAGGAGGCCCAUGGCAUACUGGAGAAGGAUUUGGCUCUUUCGAACCACGCACUGACCACAGCUAGUUCGAGAGCUCAAGAACUCUCUGAAAUACACCCACCAAAGCAGGACUAGGGUUUUACGCAUCCUCGCGGUCCGAACCUGGGUAAACGAUCCUUGUGCUGUCUACUAGCCCUGCUCUUCUCUCAACCCCGCGCCCCGGCAACCGUAGUAGGGAUUCUUGUGAUCCCAUAGGUGUCGUUCCACACCGACAUCUUUGGCGCGCUAGGUAGGGGGCACAAUUGUGAGAAUCUGGUCUAGUAGUUAGCCUAACAAUUCUUCGUCGCCAUGGCUCUUAAGAAGAAGAUGGCCACAGCGAUCGGCUCGUUGGGAGCCGAACGGCCCGUGCCGGUGCGGACGAGCAGUGGACCGGUCGCGGACAGGACCCGGGCCGCGGUCCACGAGCACCAGCAUCGCCCAGGCAGUCAGAGCCUGGCGAGCGGCGUCGUUCAUGCGCUCGAUGACCGGCCGCACGUCGCCAGAUCCAAAGACGGAGCCGGGGCCCCCGCAGGCAGCGCGGGGCCCUCCAGGGGUGUCAUUGUGCCACCUCCGGGCGGUGCAGCGACCUCCAAGAUGCCCACACCAGCGACCACCGUGCGCUCUUCCCAUGGUGUGCGCGCCGAGCAGCGUCACCACGUUGGUGACCCUGGGCACCACCGUGGGAAGAGCCAUGUGCGUCAUCCGCAAGAUGAAGGGGUUCAGCACGCUCGCCGAAGCACUGGAAAAAAUGGCACGCAGCCGGAGUGUCGUAACGGAGCUCCUUCUAACAUAGUUAGAAGUCGAAGCGCGCCGCAAUCCACGCAGCUGCCGCCGCCGCCGCUCACGCCAGCGGAAGCUUUGGCGCGCGCGCAGCUGCUCCUCGACUUCCCUCCUGCUGCGGAGAAGCUCGACGAGUGGAGGGCCACCAUCCGGAGCCUCAUCGCCGUCGCAAACAAAGACGAUCCGCGACCGGCGAAGCCCUCGGGUCGGUGCUCCACCGAGCCACCACGUGCUUGCGCUGGGAGGACCGGGGGAGCUGCGGCCACGGUGCACUCUCCUCCUCCUCGCCAGCCACCGCGGGCGUCUGCCCGUCGUGACGACGCUUGUGAUAACAUCUCUAUAGCGUCGUCCGACCCGCGGACCCACCGCGACCAGCGCCAAGUUCUUCGAGAACGAGCUCACAAAGAUGCUCGGACCACCAUCGCGGGCCGGCGCGAUACACGCCACCAGUCGGACAAGCAGGCGGGACCCACUAUGGACCACCCAGCACCGGGGGGCUCCGGCGGCCUACCUUAUGAGGUGGGCUGCCCGGCCUUCACCCAUGAGCUGCGGCAGUUCCAGUGGCCGUCCCACCACAUGUUCAAGCCCGACGUCGGCGAGAAGUACACUGGCAAGACCCAUCCGUCCGAGUUCCUCAGCAUCUACACCAUCGCGAUGCAGGCUACUGGAGCUCGUGACGACAAGGUGCUUGCCAACUAUUUCCCGCUGGCACUGAAGCCCAAUGUUAUGUCCUGGUAGAUGCACUUGCCGGCGGAUUCCAUUUCUUCUUGGUCGGAUCUGUGCCAUGAGUUCGUUGGCGCCUUCACAGGAGGCCACCAAGCUCAUGGCCAGGCCAGUGAUCUGCAUAUCAUUCCCAGAAGGAAGGGGAAACCAUGCGCAAGUACAUCCAGAGAUUCAGCCGGGUGCAGUACAACAUCCCCGACGUUCAUCCCGCCGUUGUGAUCAACGCGUUCCAUCAGAACAUGCGCAACCGCAAGAUGCGCGGAGAGCUGGCGAUGACCAAGGUUAAGGGUGUGGCCGAGCUCUACAUUCUGGCCGAUAGGUGCGCCCGGGUUGAAGAAGGAAGGAAGUACCCCGGUGAAGACGCCGGUGCGGAAACCGACUCUACCGACGAAGACGCCGCCACCCCGACGAAGAAGGGCCGGCGUCGCAACAGGAAAUGCAAAGGCAAGGCCGUGCUUGCCGUUGAAGGAUUUGACGACACCGGCGCUGCCAAGAAGGUCAAGGCAGACGCCCCAGGCAAGGAGAUUGCCGGGUGCGCCGCCUGCCGGGCCUUGGCAGCUACCGACAAGCCAGGGAGCUCCGGCAAGCAAUACUACAAGAUCCACCGCACCAAGGGCCACGACCUCCAGAACUGCCGACAAGUUGAGCUGCUUGCUGAGAAGCAAAAUGCUGAGUAUGAGAGGCAGGACAAGGAGAAAGACCAGGACGAUGCUGAGGGAUCCGGCAAGAAGCAUGGCGGCCAAGGAGGCUGCCCCGGCAAGGACAACCAGCAAGAGAGGCCCGCCCAGGGCCGCGACAAGAAACAAGAAGACGAUGAUCACGAUGAGGAUGACGAGUCUGGUGAGCAAGGGUUCCAGAAGGCUACGGAGGCCAUGUGCGUUGAUGGCGGCGCCUCGCUGCAUACCUCUCACCGCCAGCUCAAGCAGUGGGCGCGUGAGAUUACAGCAGCAGAGCCGUCGUUCGACGCUCGAAAGCCGCUGAAGUGGUCCAGCACUCCCCUCAUCUUUGACGCCGAGGACCACCCUGACCACACUGCCGCGGUCGGGUGUUUGCCAUUGUUGGUCUCACCAACGAUACACAACCUCAGGGUGAACAAGAUGUUGGUUGACGGCGGGGCCGGCCUGAACCUGAUCUCGCCUGUCGUGAUCAAAAGUAUGCAAAUACCUGAUGGAGACCUCGAGGAAACAGGCACGUUUCAAGGGGUCAAUCCGGUGAGGAGCCAGCCGAACGGAAAGGUCACACUGCCCGUGACAUUUGGAGGAGAGUUGAACUACAGGAUGGAGAGGAUCGUAUUCGACGUGGCCGAGAUCCCCUUGCCCUACAACGGAAUCCUCGGCCGCCCGGCACUAGCUAAGUUCAUGGCGGCAGCACACUACGCCUACAACAUGCUAAAGAUGCCCGGGCCAUUGACCAUCAUCUCCGUCCCCUCCGACAAGAAGGACGCGCUGAUCUGCGCCGACCAACUCUACCAGGAAGCAGUUGCAGCAGCUGCCGUCAAGGCACCUGCUCCUGCCGCUGAAGGCCCGGGAGGGAAGAAGAAGCCCGGCAAGACCUCUCGCACCCACUCCGGCAAGCGCACCUCCUCGGAGUGUUGUGCUACCGUCGAGGACGUGCCAGAGAGCUCUACCGACAAGAGCAAGAGAUCCAGAGCCGAGCCGCCGCAGACCAAGAAGGUGCCCGUCGGGGAGGAUGGCACGGGAGGGUCCUUCACCAUAGGCUCCACCCUCGACAGCAAAUAGGAAGGCGCGCUCGUCACCUUCCUGCGGGCGAAUGUCGACGUGUUUGCGUGGCAAGCAUCCGACAUCCCCGGUGUUCCCAGGGAGGUGAUUGAGCACCAUCUAGCUGUCUGCCCCCACGCGCGGCCCAUCAAGCAGAAGGUCAGAAAGCAUGCUCUGGAGAGGCAGGAGUUCAUCACAGAGCAGAUCAGGAAGUUGGAAGCGGUAGGUUUGGUGAGAGGAGUGCUCCACCCGACGUGGUUGGCCAAUCCGGUAGUGGUGCGCAAGGCGAAUGGGAAGUGGAGGUUGUGUAUUGAUUACACAGAUAUCAAUAAGGCUUGUCCUAAGGACCCCUUCCCGUUGCCGCGCAUCGACCAGAUUGUUGACUCCACAGCCGGGUGUGAUCUGUUAUCAUUCCUCGACGCCUACUCAGGCUACCACCAGAUCUUCAUGAAAAGAGAGGAUGAAGAGAAGACAACAUUCAUCACCCCAUGUGGUACGUAUUGCUUUUUACGGAUGCCUUUUGGGUUGAAGAGUGCUGGCUCAACGUUCGCAAGAGCAGUCCAAAUUGGUUUUGAACCUCAGCUCCAUAGAAAUAUGGAGGCAUACAUGGACGACAUAGUGGUCAAAACCAAGGACGGGCCAACUCUUGUGCAAGAUCUGGAAGAGACAUUUGCCAACCUGCGCAAGAUCAACCUCAAGUUGAACCCUGAGAAGUGUGUCUUCGGUGUUCCGUCAGGCAAGCUUCUCGGGUUCUUUGUGUCACAGCGCGGGAUCGAGGCAAACCCAGACAAAAUCAAGGCUAUUGAGCAGAUUGAGGCGCCCAAGCGGAUCAAAGAUGUGCGUCGGCUCGCCGGCUGCGUCGCCGCCAUGAGCCAAUUUAUCUCCAAGUCCGCUCAGCGCGCCCUUCCUUUCUUCAAAAUCUUGAAGAACGCGGGCCCAAUGGAGUGGACCCCAGAAGCCGAGGCAGCAUUGCAGGAUCUGAAGAAAUACCUUUCCUCCACGACAAUACUGGUUGCGCCUAAACCACAAGAGCCGUUGCUACUAUAUCUGGCGGCGAUGAAUCAAGUGGUCAGCGCCGCACUGGUGGCACAGAGGGAGGUCGGCGAGGAGGCAGUGACGGCGGCAGAACCAGCGGAUGGCAAGCCAAAGAUUCCCCCGGCAAGGCUUGGUGCCGGCGAGGCGCGGCCCCCGGCAGAGUCUGAUGCCACCAAGGUAGUGCCCGCGCAGUCGAGUGAGGUGGUGCAGAAGAAGAAGAUGAUGCAGCACCCGGUUUACUUUGUCAGCUCCCUCUUGCAGGGGGCUAGGUCGAGGUAUUCCGGUGUGCAAAAAUUGCUCUUCGGCCUCCUUAUGGCCUCGAGGAAGCUGCGUCAUUACUUCCAAGCUCACGAGAUCACUGUCGUCACCCGCCUCCUGUUGCAACGGAUACUGCAUAACCCAGAUGCAACCGGAAGGAUUGUGGAAUGGGCCUUGGAGCUAUCAAGUUUCGGUUUGAAGUUUGAAAGUACCUCGACAAUCCAGAGCAGAGUCUUGGCGGAGUUCAUUGCAGAAUGGACCUCAACGCCUGACGAAGAAAUCCAGGAGACCACUCUCCCUGGCAAGGAAGCAGACUGCGACUGGAUCAUGUACUUUGAUGAGGCUUUCUCGCUGCAAGGCGCCGGUGCCGGUGUGCUGCUCGUCGCGCCCACCGGAGAGCACCUCAAGUACGUGAUCCAGAUGCACUUUCCCAGGGAGAUGUCCACCAACAACACUGCUGAGUACGAGGGAUUGCUCGCCGGUCUCAGGAUCGCGGCAGACCUCGGGGUUAGGAAGCUCAUCGUCAGGGGUGACUCGUAGCUUGUUGUUAGGCAGGUCAACAAGGAUUACCAGAGCCCAUUGAUGGAGGCCUACAUAGAUGAGGUGAGGAAGCUGGAGGAAUGGUUUGACAGUAUCCAAGCGGAGCACGUCCCCCGAAUGGAGAACGACAUCGCCGAUUACCUGUCAAAGCGUGCUGCAUUCAAGCUACCUGUGGAACCACGUACCUUUUUUGCUCCGGUUAACUCAACCAUCCGUCGAGCCAUCAACGGGGCAGAACAAGCGGAGGAAGUCAGGUCCCGGCAAGUACAUUCCUACCGAGCCCCCUGGGGCCGCCGGCAAGGGUGCUGCCACGGACGCUGAGCCUGCCCAAGAGCAACUGGCUCCGGCAGGGCGUCAAGCCAUGGCCGUAGAGACAGCCACUCCCAUGGCGGAAGAAAUGCCUUUGGCCCUUGCUGUCGAGCCCCAGGCUCCGGCAUGGGUGCAGCAUACCGUCCAAUUCCUCCAAACAGGGGAGUUUCCUGAGGAGCAGGAAGAAGCGGAAAGAGUAGCACAUCGGUCCGCCCUUUACCAGUUCGUUGAUGACGUCCUGUACAGGAGAAGGCCAAACGGUGUGAAAUUGAAGUGCAUCCCCCGGGAGGAAGGACUGGAGCUGUUGGCGGAGAUACAUGGAGGCAUAUGUGGCUCCCACAUAGGGUCGAGGGCCCUUGCCAGGAAGGCGUUCCGGCAAGGUUUCUUCUGGCCCACCGCCCUCCAGGAUGUGAUGGCACUAGUAACCAAGUGUGAAGCGUGUCAGUUCCAUUCAAAGAAGCUUCAUCAACCAGCUCAAGCCCUUCAAACAAUCCCUCUCUCCUGGCCAUUCUCGGUCUGGGGGCUCGAUAUACUCGGCCCUUUCCCCCGCGUCGUCGGGGGCUUUGAGUACUUGUACGUUGCAAUCGACAAGUUCACAAAGUGGCCGGAAGUGGAAGCAGUGAGAAAGGUGACUGCUCAGUCAGCCGUCAAGUUCUUCAAGGGACUGGUCUGCCAUUUUGGUGUGCCAAGCAGAGUCAUCACCGACAACGGCACGCAGUUCACAAGCCACACCUUCAUGCAAUACAUUCAAGACCUCGGUAACAAGGUCUGUUUUGCUUCCGUGGCACACCCACGGAGUAACGGCCAAGCGGAGAGGGCAAAUGCUGAAGUGUUGCGAGGCCUGAGAACGAAGACCUUUGACAAGCUGCACAAGAGUGGAAGGCGCUGGAUUGAUGAGUUGCCGGCGGUUCUUUGGCCAAUAAGGACGACGCCAAAUCGAGCCACCAGCCAGACACCUUUUGCCCUAGUAUACGGGGUAGAAGCAGUUCUCCCCACGGAACUCAUAUACGGGUCACCUUGAGUGCUCGCUUAUGAUGAGCUUGAGCAAGAGCAGUUGCGCCAAGAUGACGCGACGCUCCUUGAGGAAGAUCGUCUUCAGGCGGCUGUGAGAGCAGCACGCUACCAGCAAGCCUUGCGCCGCUACCAUAACCGCAAGGUUCAUGCCCGAAGCUUUGAGGAAGGCGACCUUGUUCUUCGGCGCGUUCAGUCGGCCAAGAAUUCCAACAAGUUGACGCCAAAGUGGGAAGGCCCUUAUCGGGUAAUGCGAGUCACCAGGCCCGGUGCAGUCCGCCUGGAGACCGAAGAUGCUGUCCCAGUGAGCAACUCCUGGAACAUCGAGCAUCUGCGCAACUUUUACCCGUAAGGCGCGGCUUGCCGGGCCUCCCGGCAAGCCACCUUUUGUACAAGCUUUGCCGGCAAGGCAUGUGAACCUUUGUACAAAGCCAGGCGCAGACCCUGAGCAUAAAUAAAUGAAGCGCUGGUGCCCUAAGUCAUAGCAUGCAUGCUAGGUCGAGUCUCUUCCUUGGUUAGGGUUGAUAGUGCUCAACAGCGACUAACCCCUAGCUUAGAGGUCGAGUGUGCGUCUAUCUGUUUCUCUUCUGUCCUUUUUUGGUUCGCAUGACACAUGAGCACUUCUGCCGAGCUACUUGGAAGAAAGAAAACGGACCGGCGUCCUGACCCAGGCAAACCAGAGUUGCCGGGGGCUGCAAGCACAAGGAUCCAACCGCGGCAAGAAGAGAUUGCCGGGGGGCUGCAGAUCCAGAUAAGUCUUUUAUCCUCUGUCAUGCAUUUCGGAAUAGGACUGGCGCAUGUGAAACCUCAUUUUUAUCUCUAGGCUGCCGUGCUCCCCUUUUUCCUAUACCUAAGGAUUAUUUCCUGGGUCUGGAUUUGGUUGUAGCCGCGGUGGCAAGGAGGUAGAAUGAGGAGCCUAAAGCCCACUUCAUCCCUGCCUCCGCCAAGAGCGCGAGAACGGUCGAGUGGAGUGGGGGCGGCAAGGCCUGUUGCCGGGCGAAAAACGUUUAUCUUAAACAAUAACAAGGAUUCGCUCCUUGUCGCGGGAUUUACCCACGAACGAAAAAACCUGGCAAGCAUCCCUUUUUCAUUAAAAACAUCCCAUACAGGUACAGUUCAUACGGAAUGAAAAACAUGAGCAAGGGGAUUACAAGUUCUAAAUUUAACAAAGGCCCGCAGGCUUACAAACUAAAGAAGAAGGAUAAGAUGCCCAUAAUCCCUUUCUUGUCCCUCUCCUCAGGAGGCAGGUCAAGGAGGCGAGAGGGCAAAAGGGGCGCCUAGGCGAGCUACGAGCGGCAGAAAGCACCAAGAGAACACCUUGGUGACCGCCCAGGGGUGGGCCGGUGAUGACGGUGCCGGGAAAGGGGCUGGAAGACGAGGCGGCAGGACCGGCAGUACGCGACGAAGGCGUCGGUGCCCGCGUACUCCGAGUUGACAGCCUUGACGCCCGCCCUCUUCCUCUUCUGCAGCCUCCCGACGCCAGCCGCCCAAGGAGACGGCCCCGAGAAGUUUAAGGAGCUGGCCCCAUCCCCGGCAAAACUCUGCCGGAGGAGCGGCCAGGUGCAGAUGCUGCUGCUGCCGCACCCGCCCAGGCGCGGGGCGUCCGACGCCUAGUCGGACUCGUCCCCGUCAUCUGCCCCGUUGUCCUCCUCGUCACUUUCGCUCGAGGAAGAGCUUCCAUCGUCGGAAUCUCCAUCGGAGGAGCUCUCCACGCAGCACUUCAGGCGAGUCCCGAAGUCUCCGAAGACCUUGACGGAGAGCAGGCCGUCCUCCAUCAAUUUGAAGUAGAGGACAAGCCCCACCAUUAGGUUGUGGAUGCGAGCGAAUGUCUUCCACCCACGACGGAGGUACAUGACCCGAGGAGCCGGGAAGUCGACAUCGACCCGCGUGCCCCCAUUGCCACAACCCCUCAUGUGCAAUCUGAGCAAACGGGGCGGGAAGACGGAGACGGCGAUGCGGAGGCCCGCGCAGCCUAAUGAAGAACUCGCCGGGCUAGUCUCCGACACGGCCUUCCAUCGGGAAAGGCACCAUUGGCGGGGGCGAAGCCGGCGCGCCGCCCCGUCCUCCUCUUCCCCGAGCACUACGACCUCUGCCCCGGCGUCGCCCAUGGCCUCGCCCCCUCCCCCUUCCCCUCGCGGCCGGUUCCACCACCACGGGCUCAGGAGGAGGAGGGACGCGCUGUCGAGCGGCGACCCUCGCCGCCACCGUCGAGGGACCCGGGUUCCCUUUCUCCAUGGCGAGUGAAAGGAAGAAGCAGAAGCAAGAGGAGGUAGAUGACAGAAGAAUGCGGGACGCCAUCCCCCCUUCCCUUUCUUUAUUAAGGGGCGGGGUCGGGGCUCGGCCGCCCCGCUCAGCCAAUCCAGACACCGGAGGCGCAGGGAAUCAGGACCGACCCGCUGCCCCAACCAGCGACGGCCCGGUUUCCCGCCUCCACCGCUUGCCACCCCGUGCGCAUGAAGGACGUGUGGCGGACGUGCAGAACUGAGGGGACGGGUGAAGCGACCUCUCCCCACCCCGUGAUCGUGGGGAGUGGACGCCUUGAAGACCGCGACCCAGCCCCGUUCAGUAAAUGAGCCGCGCCUCCACGCCUCCCUCUUUUUACGGGGAGGGCGCGAGCCACCUCUUUACUGUGAUGUGACGCGUGCGUGCAGAAAACUGCCCCACGCAUGCCGCCCACGUCACGCACACCCCUCCAGGCCGCGCCGCGCGGGCGGGUCGUGGGAAGAGAAGCGCGCGAAAAGUUUUACCGCGGUAAAAACCACCCCGCCUGCCCGCGCACCGUUUUGGGCCUGGCCCAACAACGUGCCGCGCUUAUGUCUAGCCCAGGCCCGGGGACUCCUGUCGGUGUACAAAAAGAGGGGUGCGUUUUUGUACCCCUAUACCUGUGCACGGGCAGUCGGAGCCGCGCCCCCGGUCACGCCAAGUAGAGCAGGGGAGGUGAGCCAAGGUAAGACCGAAGCCCAAGAUAAUCAGAGCAAAGCCAAGGCCAAGACCACAAAGAGCAGAGGGACGAAGCAGGUUCCCCCGGCAAGACCCUUGCCGGGGCAGCCUCAGCAGCCCCGGCAAGAUCCUUGCCGGGACAGCUCGCCCCACACCAACAGAGCAAGCCACCCUUGAGCCCACGAUCCCCAACGCCAUCAUCAACGUGGGGCCAGGGCUCGGGAAGGCACCUCUGUGGUGGCAUGCAGAUCUUUGUGAAGACAUAUUCAAGAUCGGAUGAGGAUUAGAAGACGACGAUCCUCGGCAAGAUCCUUGCCGAGGGAAGCCACCAGACCCCCGGCAAGGUCCUUGUCGGGGACAACAGCGCGCCACGGCAAGACCCUUGCCGGGCCACCCGGCAAGGCCCUCGCCAAGGACGCCAGCAGGGCCACCGCCAGGCCCACGCCAAACAAGCUUCCACCGCCGUUCACAUGCAGCUGCCAGCCCAACCAGCUGGGCGGGCACCUGCGUGGCAACAUGCAGCUCCCAGGCCAACUCAUCAAGCGCCUGCGUGGCGGCAUGCAGAUCUUCGUGAAGACCCUACUACCGCGCCACCUCAGCUGCCUGCCUGCCUACAUGGCGCCGCACGCAUCGCUGGCCGGGGCGCGUCUCGAAGCGAGGAGGAGCGGCGACGGACGGGACGGACCUCACCCCCGUCCCCGAUAAAGCUAGGGGACACCUCAGUGACGCAUUAAAUGCGUCUUGUCCUGUAAUACGAGCGAUAAGCUCAGAGCACUGUACGCCUUUCCACCUCCUGUGUGCCACUGUGGCAGCCCCUUUCGACUAUAAAAGGAGGCCCAUGGCAUACUGGACAAGGAUUCGGCUCUUUUGAACCACGCACUGACCACAGCUAGUUCGAGAGCUCAAGAACACUCUAAAAUACACCCACCAAAGCAAGACUAGGGUUUUACGCAUCCUCGCGGCCCGAACCUGGGUAAACGAUCCUUGUGCUGUCUACUAGCCCUGCUCUUCUCGCAACCCCGCGCCCCGGCAACCGUAGUAGGGAUUCUUGUGAUCCCAUAGGUGUCAUUCCACACCGACAGAGAGAUCAAUAGUUUCUAUAAAACAAAUCCACCAUCAUGCUCUAAAAGAUAUAAGUGAAGCACUAGAGCAAAAACUAUAUAGCUCAAAAGAUAUAAGUGAAGCACAUAGAGAAUUCUAACAAUUUCCGAAUCAAGUGUGACUCUCUCAAAAGGUGUGUAAAGCAAGGAUGAUUGUGGUAAACAAACAAAUAAAGACUCAACUAAUACAAGACGCUCCAAGCAAAACACAUAUCAUGUGGUGAAUAAAAAUAUAGCUCCAAGUAAAGUUACCGAUGGAAGUAGACGAAAGAGGGGAUGCCUUCCGGGGCAUCCCCAAGCUUUGGCUUUUAGGUGUCCUUAGAAUAUCUUGGGGUGCCAUGGGCAUCCCCAAGCUUAGGCUCUUGCCACUCCUUGUUCCACAAUCCAUCAAAUCUUUCACCCAAAACAUGAAAACUUCACAACACAAAACUCAGCAGAAAAUCUCGUGAGCUCCGUUAGCGAAAGAAAACAAAACACCACUACAAGGUACUGUAAUGAACUCAUUCUUUAUUUAUAUUGUUGUUAAACCUACUGUAUUCCAACUUCUCUAUGGUUUAUAAAGUAUUUUACUAGCCAUAGAUUCAUUAAAAUAAGCAAACAACACACGGAAAACAGAAUCUGUCAAAAACAGAACAGUCUGUAGUAAUCUGUAACUAACGGAAACUUCUGGAACUCCAAAAAAUCUACCAAAAUAGGACGACCUAGAUAAUUUGUUUAUUGAUCAUAAGAACUUGGAAUCAAUAUUUUAUCACGUUCUGAUUAUUUUUACCAAUUAUUUUCGUGAACAGAAAGUUUCUGGAAUUUUCAGCAAGAUCAAAUAACUAUCAUCCAACAAGAUCCUAUAGGUUAAACUUGGCACAAACACUAAUUAAAACAUAAAAACACAUCUAACCAGACUCUAGAUCAAAUAUUUAUUCCUAAACAGGAGAAAAAAAGCAAAAAACUAAAACAAAAUUGGGUUGCCUCCCAACAAGCGCUUUUCUUUAAAGCCUUUUAGCUAGGCAUUGAUAAUUUUUAGUGAUGCUCACAUGAAAGACAAGAAUUGAAGCACAAAGAGAGCAUCAUAAAACACGUGAAAAACACAUCUAAGUCUAACAUACUUCCUAUGCAUAGGCAUAUUAUAGGCAAACAAAUUGUCAAGGCAAGCAAAAACAAGCAUAUGCAAGGAAGCGGAAAGAAACAAUAGCAAUCUCAACAUAACGAGAGGUAAUUUAGUAACACCACUGCUAAGAAUUGUUUUUCAGUAGUAGCAUAGUUUCGUUGAGCACUGUCUAGAGUUUCACUAGGAUAAUGAAUAACAUUCAGUUUCUUAUCAACUCUUUGUCCUAGUACAGCACCAACAGCAUAAUCACUAGCAUCAGACAUAAUUACAAAAGGCAAGUUCCAAUCAGGUGGUUGAACAAUAGGUGCAGAAAUUAAGGCUUUCUCGAGUGCUUCAAAGGCUUCUAAACAAUCAUCAUCAAAAACAAAAGGAAUAUCCUUUUGCAAAAGAUUUGUAAGAGUCCUAGAAAUUUUAGAAAAGUCUUUGAUAAUCUUCUAUAAAAACCAGCAUGACCUAAGAAACUAUGAAUACCUUUUAUAUCUUUAGGACAUGGCAUUUUCUCAAUUGCAUCAACCUUAGCUUUGUCCACUUCAAUACCUCUUUCAGAAAUUUUAUGACCCAAGACAAUGCCUUCAUUAACAAUAAAGUGGCACUUCUCCCAAUUCAAGACAAGAUUUUUUUGUUCACAUCUCUGCAAAACUCGAUCAACAUUGCUUAAAAAUUCAUCAAAAGACUUCCCAUAAACAGAGAAGUCAUCCAUGAAAACCUCAAUAAUCUUUUCACAAAAGUCAGAGAAUAUAGCAGUCAUACAUCUUUGAAAAGUAGCAGGUGCAUUACAUAAACUGAAAGGCAUACAUCUAUAAGCAUAUGUUCCAAAGGGACAAGUAAAAGUGGUGUUUUCUUGAUCAGGUUGAGAAACAGGUAUUUGUGAAAAAACAGAAUAUCCAUCAAGGAAGCAAAAAUGUGUGUGCAGUGGUCUUUUCUUGAUCAGGUUGAGAAACAGGUAUUUGUGAAAAACUAGAAUAUUCAUCAAGGAAGAAAAAAUGUGUGUGCUUAGAUAAUCUUUCAACCAUUUGAUCAAUAAACGGCAGAGGGUAAUGAUCUUUUCUAGUUGCUUUGUUUAAUUUUAUAAAAUCAAAUACCAUUCUAUAGCCUGUAACAAUUCUUUGUGGAAUAAGUUCAUUCUUAUCAUUAGGAACAACAGUUAUACCUCCUUUCUUAGGGAUACAAUGGACAUGACUUACCCAUCUACUAUCAGCUAUGAGACAGAUUAUACCUGCUUCCAGAAGUUUUAAGAUUUCCGUUCUUACCACUUCCUUCAUUUUUGGGUUUAACCGACAUUGGUGAUCAACAAAGGGUUUAGCAUCAGGUUCCAUAUUAAAUUUGUGCUAACAUAGAGUGGGACUAAUGCCCUUUAAAUCAUCAAGAGUAUAUCCAAUAGCAGCUCGGUGCUUCCUUAGAACAUUCAAUAAUCUUUCUUCUUCAUGUUCUGAAAGGUUAGCACUAAUAAUAAUAGGAUAUAUCUUCUUUUCAUCAAGAUAAGCAUAUUUCAAAGUGUCUGGCAAUUGUUUUAAUUCAAACACAGGAUCACCUUUAGGUGGAGGUGAACCUCCUAGAGUUUCAAUAGGCAAAUUGUGUUUAAGCAGAGGACGUUGUUCAAAGAAAAUCUUAUCUAUUUCAUUUCUUUCAUGCAUAUGUAAAUCAUUUUCAUGGUCUAGCAAAUAUUAUUCUAAAGGAUCAGUAGGUGCCACAGCAAUAGAAGAAAGACCAAUUAUUUCAUCCACAUUAGGCAAUUAUUUUUCAUGAAGCUUUCUACUAAACUUGGAAAAAUUAAACUCAUGAGACUCAUCACCAAAACUAACACUAACAGUUUGUUUCUCACAAUCUAUUCUAGCAUUAACGAUGUUCAAGAAAGGUCUACCAAAGAUAAUGGGACAAAAGUCAUCUUGUGGGGAACCAAGAACAAGAAAAUCAGUAGGGUAUUUUAUUUCCCACACAAGACUUCAACAUCUCUAACAAUCAUAAUUGGUGAUAUAGUGUCUCUAUUAGCAAGUUUGAUAGUAACAUCUAUGUCUUCUAUCUCUGCGGGUGCUAUGUCAUUCAUAAUUCUUGAUAUAAGGUGUAAGGAAUAGCACUCACACUAGCACCUACGUCACAUAAACCAUGAUACCAGUGAUCUCCUAUUUUAACUGAGAUGACAGGCAUGCCAACAACAGGUCUAUGUUUAUCCUUUUUAUCAGGUUUGGCAAUUCUAGCAGCUUCUUCACAGAAGUAAAUAACAUGCCCAUCUACAUUUUCUUCCAAGAGAUCUUUAACCAUAGAAAUACUAGGUUCUACUUUAAUUUGUUCAUCAGUUUUAGGUUUUCUAAUAUAGCUCUUGUUGACCACAGUUGAAACUUUAGCAUGUUUCUUUAUCCUAACAGGGAAAGGUGGUUUCUCAAUAUAAGCAGAAGGAACAACUGGAUCAACAUUGUAAAGUUUAGUUUCUUCUUUAACUGGUAUCGGUUCUUUGAUUUCUUCUUUAAUAGGUGGGUGAUAUUGAAGGGUAACGUAGUAAUUUUUCCAAAAAAAUCCUACGCACACGCAAGAUCAUGGUGAUGCAUAGCAACGAGAGGGGAGAGUGUUGUCCACGUACCCUCGUAGAGCGAUAGCGGAAGCGUUAACACAACGCGGUUGAUGUAGUCGUACGUCUUCAUGAUCCAACCGAUCAAGUACCGAACGCACGGCACCUCCGAGUUCAGCACACGUUCAGCUCGAUGACGUCCCUCGAACUCCGAUCCAGCCGAGUGUCGAGGGAGAGUUUCGUCAGCACGAUGGCGUGGUGACGAUGAUGUUUCACCGACGCAGGGAUUCGCCUAAGCUCCGCAACGGUAUUAUCGAGGUGUAAUAUGGUGGAGGGGGGCACCGCACACGGCUAAAAUAUCGUAUAUCAAGUGUGUGUCUGUGGGGUGCCCCCCUGCCCCCGUAUAUAAAGGAGCAAGGGGGAGGCAGCCGGCCAAGGGGAGAGGCGCGCCAAAGGGGGGAGUCCUACUCCCACCGGGAGUAGGACUCCUCCUUUCCUUGUUGGAAUAGGAGAAGGGAAGGGGGAAGGAGAAAGAAGGAAGGGGGCGCCCCCCUUCCCUAGUCCAAUUCGGACCAGACCAUGGGGAGGGGCGCGGCCACCCUUUGAGGCCUUUCUCUCCUUUCCCGUAUGGCCCAUUAAGGCCCAAUACGAAUUCCCGUAACUCUACGGUACUCCGAAAAAUACCCGAAUCACUCGGAACCUUUCCGAUGUCUGAAUAUAGUCGUCCAAUAUAUCGAUCUUUACGUCUCGACCAUUUCGAGACUCCUCGUCAUAUCCCCGACCUCAUCCGGGACUCCGAACUCCUUUGGUACAUCAAAACUCAAUAAAACUGUCAUCGUAACGUUAAGCGUGCGGACCCUACGGGUUCGAGAACUAUGUAGACAUGACCGAGACACCUCUCCGGUCAAUAACCAAUAGCGGGACCUGGAUGCCCAUAUUGGCUCCCACAUAUUCUACGAAGAACUUUAUCGGUCAGACCGCAAAACAACAUACGUUGUUCCCUUUGUCAUCGGUAUGUUACUUGCCCGAGAUUCGAUCAUCGGUAUCUCGAUACCUAGUUCAAUCUCGUUACCGGCAAGUCUCUUUACUCGUUCCGUAAUACAUCAUCCCGCAACUAACUCAUUAGUCACAAUGCUUGCAAGGCUUAUAGUGAUGUGCAUUACCGAGUGGGCCCAGAGAUACCUCUCCGACAAUCGGAGUGACAAAUCCUAAUCUCGAAAUACGCCAACCCAACAAGUACCUUUGGAGACACCUGUAGAGCACCUUUAUAAUCACCCAUUUACGUUGUGACGUUUGGUAGCACACAAAGUGUUCCUCCGGUAAACGGGAGUUGCAUAAUCUCAUAGUCAUAGGAACAUGUAUAAGUCAUGAAGAAAGCAAUAGCAACAUACUAAACGAUCGAGUGCUAAGCUAACGGAAUGGGUCAAGUCAAUCACAUCAUUCUCCUAAUGAUGUGAUCUCGUUAAUAAAAUGACAACCCAUGUCAAUGGCUAGGAAACUUAACCAUCUUUGAUCAACGAGCUAGUCAAGUAGAGGCAUACUAGUGACACUCUGUUUGUCUAUGUAUUCACACAUGUAUUAUGUUUCUGGUUAAUACAAUUCUAGCAUGAAUAAUAAACAUUUAUCAUGAUAUAAGGAAAUAAUAAUAACUUUAUUAUUGCCUCUAGGGCAUAUUUCCUUCAGUCUCCCACUUGCACUAGAGUCAAUAAUCUUGUUCACAUCACCAUGUGAUUUAACAUCAAUAGAUCACAUCACCAUGUGAUUAACACCCAUAGUUCACAUCGUCAUGUGACCAACACCCAAAGGGUUUACUAGAGUCAGUAAUCUAGUUCACAUCGCUAUGUGAUUAACACCCAAAGAGUAUGAAGGUGUGAUCAUGUUUUGCUUGUGAGAUAAUUUUAGUCAACGGGUCUGUCACAUUCAGAUCCGUAAGUAUUUUGCAAAUUUCUAUGUCUACAAUGCUCUGCACGGAGCUACUCAAGCUAAUUGCUCCCACUUUCAAUAUGUAUCUAGACCGAGACUUAGAGUCAUCUAGAUUAGUGUCAAAACUUGCAUCGACGUAACCCUUUACGACGAACCUUUUGUCACUUCCAUAAUCGAGAAACAUAUCCUUAUUCCACUAAGGAUAAUUUUGACCGCUGUCCAGUGAUCUACUCCUAGAUCAAUAUUGUACUCCCUUGCCAAAAUCAGUGUAGGGUAUACAAUAGAUCUGGUACACAGCAUGGCAUACUUUAUAGAACCUAUGGCCAAGGCAUAGGGAAUGACUUUCAUUCUCUUUCUAUCUUCUGCCGUGGUCGGGUUUUGAGUCUUACUCAAUUUCGCACCUUGUAACACAGGCAAGAACUCUUUCUUUGACUGUUCUAUUUUGAACUACUUCAAAAUCUUGUUAAGGUAUGUACUUAUUGAAAAAAAACUUAUCAAUCGUCUUGAUCUAUCUCUAUAGAUCUUGAUACUCAAUAUAUAAGCAGCUUCACCGAGGUCUUUCUUUGAAAAAUUCCUUUCAAACACUCCUUUAUGCUUUGCAGAAUAAUUCUACAUUAUUUCCGAUCAACAAUAUGUCAUUCACAUAUACUUAUCAGAAAUGUUGUAGUGCUCCCACUCACUUUCUUGUAAAUACAGGCUUCACCGCAAGUCUGUAUAAAACUAUAUCCUUUGAUCACCUUAUCAAAGCGUAUAUUCCAACUCCGAUAUGCUUGCACCAGUCCAUAGAUGGAUCCCUGGAGCUUGCAUAUUUUGUUAGCACUUUUAGGAUUGACAAAACUUCCUGGUUGCAUCAUAUACAACUUUCUUUAAUAAAUCCAUUAAGGAAUGCAGUUUUGUUUAUCCAUUUGCCAUAUUUCAUAAAAUGCGGCAAUUGCUAACAUGAUUCGGACAGACUUAAGCAUAGAUACGAGUGAGAAACUCUCAUCGUAGUCAACACUUUGAACUUGUCGAAAAACCUUUUUGCGACAAUUCUAGCUUUGUAGAUAGUAACACUACUAUCAGCGUCCGUCUUCCUCUUGAAGAUUCAUUUAUUUUCUAUGGCUUGCCGAUCAUCGGGCAAGUCAACCAAAGUCCAUACUUUGUUCUCAUACAUGGAUCUCAUCUUAGAUUUCAUGGCCUCAAGCCAUUUUGCGGAAUCUGGGCUCACCAUCGCUUCUUCAUAGUUCGUAGGUUCGUCAUGGUCUAGUAACAUAACCUCCAGAACAGGAUUACCGUACCACUCUGGUGCGGAUCUUACUCUAGUUUACCUACGAGGUUUGGUAGUAACUUGAUCUGAAGUUACAUGAUCAUCAUCAUUAACUUCCUCACUAAUUGGUGUAGGAGUCACAGGAACAGAUUUCUGUGAUGAGCUACUUUCCAAUAAGGGAGCAGGUACAGUUACCUCAUCAAGUUCUACUUUCCUCCCACUCACUUCUUUCGAGAGAAACUCCUUCUCUAGAAAGGAUCCAUACUUAGCAACAAAUGUCUUGCCUUCGGAUCUGUGAUAGAAGGUGUACCCAACUGUCUCCUUUGGGUAUCCUAUGAAGACACAUUUCUCCUAUUUGGGUUUGAGCUUAUCAGGAUGAAACUUUUUCACAUAAGCAUCGCAACCCCAAACUUUAAGAAACGACAACUUUGGUUUCUUGCCAAACCACAGUUCAUAAGAUGUCGUCUCAACGGAUUUAGAUGGUACCCUAUUUAACGUGAAUGUAGCUGUCUCUAAUGCAUAACCCCAAAACGAUAGUGGUAGAUCGGUAAGAGACAUCAUAUAUCGCACCAUAUCUAAUAAAGUACGGUUACGAUGUUCGGACACACCAUUACACCGUGGUGUUCCAGGUGGCGUGAGUAGUGAAACUAUUUCACAUUGUUUUAACUGAAGGCCAAACUCGUAACUCAAAUAUUCUUCUCCACGAUCAGAUCGUAGAAACUUUAUUUUCUUGUUACGAUGAUUUUCCGCUUCACUCUGAAAUUAUAUGAACUUUUCAAAUGUUUCAGACUUCUGUUUCAUUAAGUAGAUAUACCCAUAUCUGCUCAAAUCAUCUGUGAAGGUCAGAAAAUAAUGAUACCUGCUACGAGCCUCAAUAUUCAUCGGACCACAUACAUCUGUAUGUAUGAUUUCCAACAAAUCUGUUGCUCUCUCCAUAGUCCGGAGAACGGCGUUUUAGUCAUCUUGCCCAUGAGGCACGGUUCGCAAGCAUCAAGUGAUUCAUAAUCAAGUGAUUCCAAAAUCCCAUCAGUAUGGAGUUUCUUCAUGCGCUUUACACCAAUAUGACCUAAACGGCAGUGCCACAAAUAAGUUGCACUAUCAUUAUUGACUUUGCAUCUUUUGGCUUCAUGAAUAUGUGUAUCACUAUAAUCGAGAUCCAACAAACCAUUUUAUUGGGUGUAUGACCAUAGAAGGUUUUAUUCAUGUAAACAGAACAACAAUUAUUCUCUAAUUUAAAUGAAUAACCGUAUUGCAACAAACAUGAUCAAAUCAUAUUCAUGCUCAACGCAAACACCAAAUAACACUUAUUUAGUUUCAACACUAAUCCCGAAAGUAUAGGGAGUGUGCGAUGAUGAUCAUAUCAAUCUUGGAACUACUUCCAACACACAUCGUCACCUCGCCUUUUACUAGUCUCUGUUUAUUCUGCAACUCCCGUUUCGAGUUACUACUCUUAGCAACUGAACCAGUAUCAAAUACCGAGGGGUUGCUAUAAACACUAGUAAAGUACACAUCAAUAACAUGUAUAUCCAAUAUACCUUUGUUCACUUUGCCAUCCUUCUUCUCCACCAAAUAGUUGGGGUAGUUCCGCUUCCAGUGACUAGUCCCUUUGCAGUAGAAGCACUUAGUCUCAGGCUUAGGACCAGACUUAGGCUUCUUCACUUGAGCAGCAACUUGCUUGCCGUUCUUCUUGAAGUUCCCCUUCUUCCCUUUGCCCUUUUUCUUGAAACUAGUGGUCUCGUCAACCAUCAACACUUGAUGUUUUUCUUGAUUUCGACCUUCGUCGAUUUCAGCAUCAUGAAGAGCUCGGGAAUUACUUUCGUCAUCCCUUGCAUACUAUAGUUCAUCACGAAGUUCUACUAACUUGGUGAUGGUGACUAGAGAAUUCUGUCAAUCACUAUUUUAUCUAGAAGAUUAACUCCCACUUGAUUCAAGCGAUUGUAGUACCCAGACAAUCUGAGCACAUGCUCACUGCUUGAGCUAUUCUCCUCCAUCUUUUAGCUAUAGAACUUGUUGGAGACCUCAUAUCUCUCAACUCGGGUAUUUGCUUGAAAUAUUAACUUCAACUCCUGGAACAUCUCAUAUGGUCCAUGACGUUCAAAACGCCUUUGAAGUCCCGAUUCUAAGCCGUUAAGCAUGGUGCACUAAACUAUCAAGUAGUCAUCAUAUUGAGCUAACCAAACGUUCAUAACAUCUGCAUCUGCUCCUGCAAUAAGUCUGUCACCUAGCGGUGCAUCAAGGACAUAAUUCUUCUGUGCAGCAAUGAGGAUAAUCCUCAUAUCACGGAUCCAAUCCGCAUCAUUGCUACUAACAUCUUUCAACAUAAUUUUUCUCUAGGAACAUAUCAAAAUAAACAUAGGGAAGCAACAACGCGAGCUAUUGAUCUACAACAUAAUUUGCAAAAUACUAUCAGGACUAAGUUCAUGAUAAAUUUAAGUUCUAUUAAUCAUAUUACUUAAGAACUCCCACUUAGAUAGACAUCCCUCUAAUCCUCUAAGUGAUCACGUGAUCCAUAUCAACUAAACCAUGUCCGAUCAUCACGUGAGAUGGAGUAGUUUCAACGGUGAACAUCACUAUGUUGAUCAUAUCUACUAUAUGAUUCACGCUCGACCUUUCGGUCUCAGUGUUCCGAGGCCAUAUCUGCAUAUGCUAGGCUCGUCAAGUUUAACCUAAGUAUUCCGCAUGUGCAACUGUUUUGCACCCGUUGUAUUUGAACGUAGAGCCUAUCACACCCGAUCAUCACGUGGUGUCUCAGCACGAAGAACUUUCGCAACGGUGCAUACUCAGGGAGAACACUUUUAUCUUGAAAUUUUAGUGAGAGAUCAUCUUAUAAUGCUUCCGUCAAUCAAAGCAAGAUAAGAUGCAUAAAAGAUAAACAUCGCAUGCAAUCAAUAUAAGUGAUAUGAUAUGGCCAUCAUCAUCUUGUGCUUGUGAUCUCCAUCUCCGAAGCACCGUCAUGAUCACCAUCGUCACCGGCGCGACACCUUGAUCUCCAUCGUAGCAUCGUUGUCGUCUUGCCAACUAUUGCUUUUACGACUAUCGCUACCGCUUAGUGAUGAAGUAAAACAAUUACAUGGCAAUUGCAUUGCAUACAAUAAAGCGACAACCAUAUGGCUCCUGCCAGUUGCCGAUAACUCGGUUAGAAAACAUGAUCAUCUCAAACAAUAAAAUAUAGCAUCAUGUCUUGACCAUAUCACAUCACAACAUGCCCUGCAAAAACAAGUUAGACGUCCUCUACUUUGUUGUUGCAAGUUUUACGUGGCUGCUACGGGCUUAGCAAGAACCGUUCUUACCUACGCAUCAAAACCACAACGAUAGUUUGUCAAGUUGGUGCUGUUUUAACCUUCGCAAGGACCGGGCGUAGCCACACUCGGUUCAACUAAAGUGAGAGAGAUAGACACCCGCCGGUCACCUUUAAGCAACGAGUGCUCGAAACGGUGAAACCAGUCUCGCGUAAGCGUACGCGUAAUGUCGGUCCGGGCCGCUUCAUCUCACAAUACCGCUGAAGCAAAGUAUGACAUGCUGGUAAGCAGUAUGACUUAUAUUGCCCACAACUCACUUGUGUUCUACUCGUGCAUAGCAUCAACACAUAAAACCAGGCUCGGAUGCCACUGUUGGGUAACGUAGUAAUUUCAAAAAAAUUCGUACGCACACGCAAGAUCAUGGUGAUGCAUAGCAACGAGAGGGGAGAGUGUUGUCCACGUACCCUCGUAGACCGAUAGCGGAAGCGUUAACACAACGCGGUUGAUGUAGUCGUACGUCAUCACGAUCCGACCGAUUAAGUACCGAACGCACGGCACCUCCGAGUUCAGCACACGUUCAGCUCGACCACGUCCCUCGAACUCCGAUCCAGCCGAGUGUUCAGGGAGAGUUUCGUCAGCACGACGGCGUGGUGACGAUGAUGUUCCACCGACGCAGGGCUUCGCCUAAGCUCCGCAACGGUAUUAUCGAGGUGUAAUAUGGUGGAGGGGGGCACCGCACACGGCUAAAAUAUCGUAUAUCAAGUGUGUGUCUGUGGGGUGCCCCCCUGCCCCCGUAUAUAAAGGAGCAAGGGGGAGGCAGCCGGCCAAGGGGAGAGGCGCGCCAAAGGGCACCGGGAGUAGGACUCCUCCUUCCCUUGUUGGAAUAGGAGAAGGGAAGGGAGAAGGAGAAAGAAGGAAGGGGGCGCCCCCCUUCCCUAGUCCAAUUCGGACCAGACCAUGGGGAGGGGUGCGGCCACCUUUUGAGGCCUUUCUCUCCUUUCCCGUAUGGCCCAUUAAGGCCCAAUACGAAUUCCCGUAACUCUACGGUACUCCGAAAAAUACCCGAAUCACUCGGAACCUUUCCGAUGUCCAAAUAUAGUCAUCCAAUAUAUCGAUCUUUAUGUCUCGACCAUUUCGAGACUCCUCGUCAUAUCCCCAAUCUCUUCCGGGACUCCGAACUCCUUUGAUACAUCAAAACUCAAUAAAACUGUCAUCGUAACGUUAAGCGUGCGGACCCUACGGGUUCGAGAACUAUGUAGACAUGACCGAGACACCUCUCCGGUCAAUAACCAAUAGCGGGACCUGGAUGCCCAUAUUGGCUCCCACAUAUUCUACGAAGAUCUUUAUCGGUCAGACCGCAUAACAACAUACGUUGUUCCCUUUGUCAUCGGUAUGUUACUUGCCCGAGAUUCGAUCGUCGGUAUCUCGAUACCUAAUUCAAUCUCGUUACCGGCAAGUCUCUUUACUCGUUCCGUAAUACAUCAUCCCGCAACUAACUCAUUAGUCACAAUGCUUGCAAGGCUUAUAGUGAUGUGCAUUACCGAGUGGGCCCAGAGAUACCUCUCCAACAAUCGGAGUGACAAAUCCUAAUCUCGAAAUACGCCAACCCAACAAGUACCUUUGGAGACACCUGUAGAGCACCUUUAUAAUCACCCAUUUACGUUGUGACGUUUGGUAGCACACAAAGUGUUUCUCCGGCAAACGGGAGUUGCAUAAUCUCAUAGUCAUAGGAACAUGUAUAAGUCAUGAAGAAAGCAAUAGCAACAUACUAAACGAUCGAGUGCUAAGCUAACGGAAUGGGUCAAGUCAAUCACAUCAUUCUCCUAAUGAUGUGACCUCGUUAAUCAAAUGACAACCCAUGUCAAUGGCUAGGAAACUUAACCAUCUUUAUCAACGAGCUAGUCAAGUAGAGGCAUACUAGUGACACUCUGUUUGUCUAUGUAUUCACACAUGUAUUAUGUUUCCGGUUAAUACAAUUCUAGCAUGUAUAAUAAACAUUUAUCAUGAUAUAAGGAAAUAAUAAUAACUUUAUUAUUUCCUCUAGGGCAUAUUUCCUUCAGAUAUUUAAACCACUUCUCUUUAGGGAGAUCAACAUGAGUAGCAAAUGAUUCACAAAAAUUGGCUACUAUCUCAGAGUCAAGUCCAUAUUUAGUGCUAAACUUUUGAAAAGCAUCGGUAUCCCUAAAAGAUUUAACACAAUCAUACUUAAGUUUAAUACAUGACUCUUUACAUUCGUCGAGUUCCCAAUCUUCAGAGUUAUGUUUAAUUCUUUCCAAAAGAUCCCAUCGGAAUUCAAUAGUCUUCUUCAUAAAAUAACUAGCACAAGAAGUAUCAAGCAUGGUUUGAUCAUUACGAGAAAGCCGAGCAUAAAAGUUCUGGAUAGUAAUUUCUCUUGAGAGCUCAUGAUUGGGGCAUGAAUGUAACAUUGACUUAAGCCUCCCCCAAGCUACAGCGAUACUUUCUCCUUCACGAGGCCAAAAACUAUAUAUAUAAUUCCGAUCACGAUGAACUAGAUGCAUAUGAUAAUUUUUUUGGUGGAACUCCAAUUUCAAACGAUUCCAAUUCCAAGAUCCAAUAUCACCACAUAGCCUAUACCAUGCCAAUGCUUUUCCCUUUAAAGAUAAAGGGAAAACCUUCUUCAUAAAUUCAUCGCUGGGUAAACCUGCAAGCUUGAACAAUCCACGAAUUUUUUCUACAUAUAUCAAGUGCAUAUCAGGAUGUUCGGUUCCAUCUCCUGCACAAGGAUUAGCUAGCUGUUGUUCUAACAUACCCGAAGGAAUUUCAUAUUCAAUAUUUUCAGUAGGUGCAUUAGGUUGAGUGGCAGCUAAUUAUGGUUUCGGUCGAGGUGAAGAUACCCCAAACAAACCCCUCAAAGGAUUGUUUCCAUAGUAACAAGUGACAGUAAGUUUCAGCACACUAUAUAAAUGUUUCCUUACCAAAUUCCACUUACCAAAGGCGCUUCACUCCCCGGCAACGGCGCCAGAAAAUAGCCUUGAUGACCCACAACUAUAGGGGAUCAAUUGUAGCUCUUUUUGAUAAGUAAGAGUGUCAAACCCAACGAGGAGCAGAAGGAAAUGACAAGUGGUUUUCAGCAUGGUAAUGUCUGCAAGUGCUGAAAUUGUAAGUAGCAGAGUAGUUUGAUAGCAAGAUAAUUUGUAACGAGCAAGUAACGAUAAUAGUAACAAAAGUGUAGAAAGGUAGCCCAAUCCUUUUGAGGCAAAGGACAGGCCAAAAUAGUCACUUAUGAUAAGCAAAGCGUUCUUGAGGGUACACGGGAAUUUCAUCUAGUCACUUUCAUCAUGUUGGUUUAAUUCAUGUUCGGUACUUUGAUAAUUUGAUAUGUGGGUGGACCGGUGCUUAGGUGCUGUUAUUACUUGAACAAACCUCCUAAUUGUGAUCAACCCUCCCGCAAGCAUCCGCAACUAUGAGAAAAGUAUUAAGAAUAAAUUCUAACCAUAGCAUUAAACUUUUGGAUCCAAUCGGUGCCUUACGGAAUAGCGCAUAAACUGGGGUUUAAGCUUCUGUCACUCUCGCAACCCAUCAUAUAUUUGCUACUCCACAAUCCAUUCCCUUAGGCACAAAUAUGGUGAAGUGUCAUGUAGUCAACGUUCACAUGACACCACUAAGGGAAUCACAACAUACAUACUAUCAAAAUAUCGAACACAUAUCAAAUUCACAUGAUUACUUGCAACAUGAUUUCUCCCGUGACCUCAAGAACAAAAGUAACUACCCACAUAUGAUAAACAUGCUCAUGAUCAGAGGGGCAUUAAAUAGCAUAUUGGAUCUGAACAUAUAAUCUUCCACCAAAUAAACCAUAUAGUAAUCAACUACAAGAUGUAAUCAACACUACUAGUCACCCACAAGCACCAAUCUAUAGUUCCGGUAACAAGAUUGAACACAAGAGAUGAACUAGGGUUUGAGAUGAGAUGGUGUUGUUGAAGAUAUUGAUGGAGAUUGCCCUUCCCAAGAUGGGAGAUUUGUUGGUAAUGAUGAUGACGAUGAUUUCCCCCUCCGGGGGGGAAGUUCCCCCGGCGGAAUCGCUCCGCUGGAGGGCAAAAUUGCUCCUGCCCAAGUUCCGCCUCGAGAAGGCGGCGCUCCGUCCCGAAAGUCCUCUCCUUAUUUUUGUAGGUCAAAACGACCUAUAUACUAGAGGAUGGGCACCGGAGGUGGGCCUGGGUGAGCACAACCCACCAGGGCGCGCCUGGGCUCCCUGGCAUGCCCAGGUGGGUUGUGCCCACUUGGUGGGUCCCCUCUGGUAGUUAUUUGCUCCAAUAUUCCUCAUAUAUUUGAUAAAAAAUCUCCGUUAUGUUUUAACUUGUUUGGGGUUGUGCAGAAUAGGUGGCCUGACGUAGCUUUUCCAGGUCCAGAUUUCCAGCUGCCGGAAUUCUCCCUCUUUGUGUAUACCUUGCAUAUUAUGAGAGAAAAGGCAUUAGAAUUACUCCAAAAAGCAUUAUUAUGGAUAAAAACAUCAUAAAUAACAGUAAGAAAACAUGACGCAAAAUGGACGUAUCAAGACGCAUCUGCAUGACAUUCUUUGGGCCAUCAAUGACGGAAAAAAUCGUGGUAGAAGCGAGGGAGAGGAAAUAUCGCGGAGUUCCCGGUUAUGGUGGGUGGUCGAUCAGGGCCGAGCGAUGCAGUGUGGUUUGCGCGUUUCUCUUGUGUACGCGCAUGUGUGCGAGGCGUUGGCUAACUGAACCCGGAGCGAUCGCAUGUUACUGAACCCGAGCGAUCGAUCCCUUGGCUAUUAACUCAACCCAAGCGAUUCACUCGCUGCUGACUGAACCCGAGCAAUUCCUUCGCUGCUGCUGCUAACUGAACCCAAGCAAUCACUGCUGCUGCUUACUCAAGCCGAUCGAGACGGUGUUGGGUUGCUGAGGGAGUCCUGGACUAAGGGGUCCUCGGGCGUCCGGCCUGUUAGCUGUGGGCUGGACUGAUGGGCUGUGAAGAUACAAAGGCCGAAGACUGUACCCGUGUUCGGAUGGGACUCUCCUUGGUGUGGAAGGCAAGCUUGGCGACCGGAUAUGUAGAUUCCUUUCUUUGUAACCGACCUUGUGUAACCCUAGAUCCUCCCGGUGUCUAUAUAAACCGGAGGACUUAGUCCGGAAAGGUAGAUACUCAUUGCCAUAGUCAUACAGGCUAGACUUCUAGGGUUUAGCCAUUACGAUCUCGUGGUAGAUCAACUCUUGUAAUACUCAUAUCCAUCAAGAUCAAUCAAGCAGGAAGUAGGGUAUUACCUCCAUAGAGAGGGCCCAAACCUGGGUAAAAAUCGUGUCCCCUAUCUCGUGUUACCAUCGACCUUAGACGCACAGUUCGGGACCCCCUACCCGAGAUCCGCCGGUUUUGACACCGACAUUGGUGCUUUCAUUGAGAGUUCCACUGUGCCGUCGACGAGAGGUUCGAUGACCCCUUCAAUCAUUGAUAGUGACGCUGUCCAAGGAGAAACCUUCCUCCCCGGACAGAUCUUCGUGUUCGGCGGCUUCGCACUGCGGGCCAACUCGUUUGGCCACCUGGAGCAGAUCGAUAGCUACGCCCCUUGCCAUCAGGUCAAAUUCGGGAGUUUGAACUACGUUGCGGACAUCCAUGGAGAUUUGAUCUUCACCGGAUUCGAGACCGCGGCGACCGCUCCCGGUCACCUUGACGAACAUGACCUAAAGUUGUCGCCAGACCGCAUCCAGGAGAUAGCUCUUGUGACUACUCUGGCCUUAGAUUCAGAGCACACUGCGGCAUCCAAGGAUCGGAGGCUCGACCCCACCACGAAGGCCACAGACUCCCCGGUGUUGGAGCUGCACAUGGACUUAACCUCACACAAUAUCUGUGUCACCGGAAUCCCGGACUCGUCUCUGGUUAUAAGUCCCGAACCAUGUGAGCCCGCGGACGCCGAACUCGAUCAUUCAUCGAUUUUCGAAUUCAGCACCGCAGACAUCUUCCAGCGCUCGCCUUUGGGCGAUGUGGUAAACUCAUUAAAGAGCCUGUCCUUGGCGGGGGACUCACAGCCGAGCUAUGUCCGGUUCAAACUAGGGGCUGACGAUCGAGAAUUUUACUUCCCACCCGCCACCCACUUCAUAGCCACUGUCGAGGACUUAACCGACAUGCUUGAUUACAGCUCCGAAGACAUCGACGGUAUGGACGACGAUGCCGAUGGGGAGCAAGGCCAAGACCCGCCAUUCACGGGACGUUGGACGGCCACUUCCUCAUACGACGUAUACAUGGUAGAUACGCCCAAAAAUAAUAGCGGCGAUGACAAGGAAAACCCAGUGAAGGAGGACCCUCCUAAGACACAACCAAAGCACCGGUGUCAACGGUGCCGCUCUAAAUCACGCCGCAACAGAGAUAACAAUGCCGACACAGGAAAUGACAACACUCCGGAUGGUGCCGAAGACACAGAGGAGCCCGAGGAACAAACUGCCGAACAAGACCAUCGGGAAGAGGGGCAAUUCUGCCCUGACGAACAGGCCACGGAAGAAGACUCGGAGGAUGGUAGUUACCAUCCGCUCUCCGAGGAUGAGGUGAGCCUCGGCAACAAAGACUUCAUCGUGCCUGAGGAACCUCUCGAGCGGGAGUGCUUUAAGUUUCAGCUAAUAGCCACCGCGAGGAGCCUGAAAAAGAAGCAGCAGCAGGUUCAAGCUGAUCAAGACCUGCUCAAUGACAGAUGGACCGAUGUCCUCGCAGCCGAAGAAUACGGCCUCAAACAACCAGCCAAAAGUUACCCGAAGCGCAAAUUGCUACCUCGGUUCGAUGAUGAGGCACCAGAACCCGCACCAGCAUCACGCAAUGCGGUCGAUCGGCCACAGCGCGGCCGGGAUAAAACGGCAACCCGAGCCGAAAAGCGGAUAGUCCCACCUCGCCGUAAAGGCAAGGAUAAGACAGCUCGGGGCUAUACAUAUGACCUUCGUCAAGACCUGGAUAGCAGAGCAGGACAUACAAGAUCGAUCUACGGAUCGCGAGGAUGUGCCUUGACAUGCGAUGACGGCUACCUAUUCGGACGCAACAAACCUAGUCAUGCUCGAGCCGAUAACUAUAGACGGACUCCAUCGGAGCUACGUCGCGACGCGGCUCGAUAUAGAGGCAUCGCACACCCUCUUUGCUUCACUGAUGAAGUAAUGGACCAUGAAUUCCCCAAAGGGUUCAAACCCGUCAAUAUUGAAUCAUACGACGGAACAACCGAUCCCGCGGUAUGGAUCAAGGAUUUUAUUCUCCACAUUCACAUGGCCCGCGGAGAUGACCUCCAUGCUAUCAAAUACCUCCCACUAAAACUCAAAGGGCCAGCUAGGCACUGGUUAAACAGCCUGCGUGAAAAUUCCAUCGGCAGCUGGGAGGACUUCGAAGAAGCCUUUCUCGACAACUUCCAAGGCACAUAUGUCCGGCCGCCAGACACCGAUGACUUAAGUCACAUAGUUCAACAGCCCAGGGAGUCAGCCAGGAAAUUCUGGACUAGGUUCCUAACUAAAAAGAACCAGAUCGUCAACUAUCCGGAUGCAGAAGCCCUAGCGGCCUUUAAACACAGCAUCCGCGAUGAAUGGCUCGCCCGCCACCUCGGCCAAGAAAAGCCGAAAUCUAUGGCCGCCCUCACGGGCCUCAUGACCCGCUUUUGUGCGGGUGAGGACAGUUGGCUGGCUCGUAGUAAAAAUACGGCCAGCGAGGCAGGCCCCUCCGAGGCCAAAAACAGCAAUAGCAAGCUCCGACGCAGCAGACACAAACGCCGAAGCAAUGGCGAUAACACCGAUGAAACUGCUGUAAACGCCGGAUUCAACGGCUCCAAGUCCGGUCAGCGGAAAAAGCCAUAUCAAAGAAACAAUCAGGGACCAUCUAGCAUGAACCACAUACUUGACCGUCCAUGCCAAAUCCAUGGCACCCCGCACAAACCAGCCAAUCAUACCAACAAAGAUUGCUGGGUUUUUAAGCAAGCCGGCAAGUUAAACACCGAGAAUAAGGAAAAGGGAUCGCAGAGCGAGGACGAUGACGAGGAGCCCCUGCAGCCAACCACAGGGGGACAGAAGAAGUUUCCCCCUCAAGUAAAAACGGUGAAUAUGAUAUACGCUACACACAUCCCCAAAAGGGAACGCAAGCGCGCACUAAGGGACGUUUAUGCGAUAGAGCCAGUCGCCCCAAAAUUCAACCCAUGUUCAUCAUGCCCGAUCACUUUUGAUCGUCGAGAUCAUCCGACCAGUAUCCGACACGGCGGAUCAGCCGCACUAGUCCUAGACCCAAUCAUCGACGGAUUGCACCUAACGCGAGUCCUCAGGGACGGUGGCAACAACCUCAAUCUGCUCUAUCAGGACACAGUAUGCAAAAUGGGCAUUAACCCAUCAUGGAUCAAACCCACAAGGACUACCUUUAAAGGAGUCAUACCAGGCGUAGAGGCCCGCUGUACGGGCUUAAUCACACUAGAGGUUGUCUUCGGAUCUCCGGAUAACUUCCGAAGCGAGGAGUUAAUCUUCGAUAUCGUCCCCUUACGCAGCGGCUAUCAUGCACUGCUCGGACGAACCGCAUUCGCUCGAUUCAAUGCGGUACCUCACUACGCUUAUCUCAAGCUGAAGAUGCCCGGACCACGUGGCGUCAUAACAAUCAAUGGAAAUACGGGCCCUCCGUACCGAGAAGCACACAACGGCCUUAGCAGCAGGAAUACAGCGCGGCCUUUUUCAGCAGAACUUUAGUUUAGCGUCCAAGCCCCCGGACACCAUUAAUUAGCAAUUUGGGCUCCGUCCCAGUCCUGGUCAAACAGCGGCAUUCGUACCGCGCGUACAUAACUACGCACUCAAAAUCCCAUGGGUAUCGACGGAGGCAUAGCUAGCUCGCGAUCCACGGUGCGGCUCGACCGACCCUCAUAUUCGCACACCUUCACUUUUCCUUUUCAUUUCAGGUUUUUCUCUUUUUGAGGUUUCUUCUGACAACCCGUUUGUCGGACACACCAAGGAGGCAAGGAGCUUUGGCGUACAAGGGAAUCCCCAGGUGGUCUCUGCUAACGAUUGCUAUACCUAUUUUACAUACCCGCACGCAGCUCCCUCUUGGUCAUGGCAUGUUAAAUAGCCUUACUUGCUUAUCGCAUUACUUGUACAAGUAUGCUUUGACGUAUUAAUCACAUUACAAAUGGUAAAUAAAUGGUAGCGUCAGCUUAUUACUUAAUUUUCCCUUUUUCCUUACCUUUGUACCUAUUACUCAUUACAUACGUACACUCUGGUACAUUUUACUUCACCAGGGGCCUUCGUGCCCCGCAGUGCGACAAUAUAGUCCGAACACCUUUUUCAGUGCAGUUCGGCACCCCGAACUUAUAGCAUUAUAUGCAUCGGCUCUGAAUCAUGUCUUUGGUCAAUAGUUGGGUUGCCCGGCUCCUGUGCUUACUACCUUACGUUCCGCUAUAUCGGCUAGGGUAGUAAUGGGAGAACUAAUGCGAUUGUGUCCCGGUUCUUCCGGACGAGCGCCUCAGUAGAGAAAGCCGAAAACUGACUGUCAUGAUGUAGCGCGAGCCGGUCAGCUGUUCGAGAGGUUUCAAAUCCUUAGAGAUUUUUUUACUUUAUGCAAGGAAUCGGUUUCUUAUCCGACCAGGUGCGUGUAACGCCCCAAGUUCGGCCUUCCGAACACAAGGGGCUUCGCCAAAAUUCUCAUUGUCAAACUCCUAUGGCUAAGUGAGGGCGAUAAAGGCCGUAUAGUCUGAUUGCCUUGUUCGUUGCGCUAAACACCUCCUUUAAGGACCAGAAUAUGCAGUAAAGAGUGUUUAGAUUUAUCCCGAACACCCCCGUACUAUCUACGUGGGCGCAGAAGCCGACGACUGGCCAACCCUCAGAUUUCAUAAACGGCCGCACAAGAGGUAAAAUUUUAAAAUCACAAGCAUUAUAUUACAUAACAUCAUCGUUCCAUAUUACAGGACAGGAUAAUACGAAUGUUUUCAUGGAAAUAUAACAUCCUUCAUACAUUGCUCCACCGCAAGGCGGGAUCCCUCCAGGACACCAUCAAAAUAUAACUCAGGCCAGCGGUGCUCCUUGCCCUCAGGCGGCCCCUCGGUCAUUAGCUUCUUUGCAUCCAUCUUCGCCCAGUGCGUCUUGACGCGGGCAAAGGCCAUCCGUGCACCUUCGAUACAGACCGACCGCGUUAUAACCUCAAGCCGUGGGCAGGCAUCAACAAGCCGCUUCACAAGUCCGAAGUAGCUGCUGGGUAUCGGCGCGGCAGGCCAUAGUCGGACUAUCAGCUCCUUCAUGGCUAGCUCGGCCGCCUUGUGCAGCUUGACCAGCUGUUUCAGCUGGUCGCUGAAGGACACUGGAUGUUCUGGUCCUAGAUAUUGAGACCAGAACAGCUUCUCCGUAGAACUCCCUUCUUCAGCUCGAUAGAACUCAGCAGCAUCUGAUACGCUGCGCGGCAAGUCCGUAAACGCCCCUGGAGAGCUCCAAAUUCGGGUAAGUAAAAGGAACGCUUCCUUCACAGAUUUGCUUUGCAUAAUGAAAGCCUUACCCGCCGCGAUCUUCUUGGCCGCUUGGAUUUCCUGAAGGGCGCUCUGGGCCUCGGCUCGAGCCUCUUGUGCGCCCCGGUGGGCGUUCGCGAGUUCGAACGCUUUCAUCUUGGAAUCACGCUCCAAGGACUCGUACUUCUUGACGGUGUCCUAGAGCUCUUGCUGAACCUCGCCGACCCGGGUCUCGUGCUUCUCGCGCGCGGCGCGCUCCUUGGCCGCUUUGUCCUCGGCCUUGGCUAACGCCUUCUUGAGGGCCGCCACCUCGGUCGUGGCCCCUAACAAAGUUCAGAACACUUCAGUCAGCAUGAAACAUUCAUCCUUCCUAAAAUAUACGCGCAGGUUACUACAUACCUUGGUUGUCCUCCAGCUGCUUCUUUACGAGGCCGAGCUCUUCGUUCGCCCGCUCCAGGCUCUGCUUCAGGCCGGAGACGUCCGCAGUAUGAGCAGUAGCAGCCAGCAGCGACGCCUGCUUAUUCACAUAGACAUCUUAUGUUAGACUCCUGCAAAAAUUGUUUUGAUCCUCUGUUCGGCUUUUUCAUUCCGAACACCGAACAGAGCAUCAGGGGCUACUGUCCACACUGUGAUAUUCUUUCUACGAUUAUUACCUCAAAGCCUGUUAAAAGGCUAGCGUAGGCCUCGGUCAGUCCGCUUUUGGCGGACUGAACCUUCUCGAUCACCGUACCCAUGAGGGCACGGUGUUCAUCCACAAUGGAGGCGCCUCACAGCGCUUCCAGCAGAUUAUCCGGUGCCUCUAGUUGGACAGAGGUCACCGGCGGAACAGGCACACCCCCUUCUUUCGGGGAAGGCCGUUCGCUGGACUCCGGAGCCAUGUAGGUCUCUGGAACGGUAUCCGGCUGAGGGCCAAAUGGAACUUGGCCCCCAUCACCAGUCCCCAUGGGGGAUUUUCCCCCAUGUGUCCGGCGGCCAUGGAGUCAUCCUGGGGCGCCACCCUGACGAUCUCCGGAACCUCCCCCGGUCUGGGAAGGUCUUUUGGGACACCACCUCUUCAUCACCCUUGGGCGAGACAGAGUGAGCGGGCGGCGGAGACAUGCUAGCCAUCUCCUUUGAGUCUAGCGAACCCUCUAUGAAGGAUCGCGGGGAGCCGUCGCGGGCCGGACUGUAAUGGCGUAAUUUAAACAUAUUAAUAUUAUAAACUGGAAAGGCCAGGUAUUUGUAGGUGCAUAGGGAUUUUGGUGCUUACGAGGCGGCCCGAGGCUUGGUCCGGGGCAUUCGCUCCGGACUGCUAUCGACAUCCCAUGUGGAGUUAUCCGCAAGGGAGCCCUUCCCCCUCUUGGACGCCUUCGCCUCUAGAUUCGUGGAGGCCCCCCUUUUCUUCCUUCCCCCCUCAGGGGGGAGCCGCCUUCUUCCUCCUCUUCACCGUCGUCUUCGGCGGCCGAAGAGUCAGUCUCGUCUUCGGACGACAUGUCCGAAGCACCCUUUCGGCGAAGGCCACUCCUGGUCCCUAUGGUCGUCUUCUUGGCCUUCUUCUCCCGCACAUCAUAAGGCGCCGGAAAUAACAUCUUCGUCAGGAGUGGGGUCUCCUCAUCUUCGGGUAGCGGAGCUGGACAAUUAAUCCGCCCCUCUAUGUCGGCCCAGGCCUAGAAGAAAUUGAUAGGAAGGCUUAGACUCCUUCCUCAAAAUAUGCCAGUAAAAGCUAUACCUUGAAAACAUGAAAAAUCUUACCGAAUUAGCCUAGCGCUUUAAGCUAAGCCCACGAUCCUCGGUCUUAGGCGGUGGUGUCUCGCCGGCCUUGAAGAGCACUUUCCAGAUAUCUUCGUGCGUCGUGCCAAAGAGCUCUAGCAGCGUCUGGUGCUUAGUCGGAUCGAACUCCCACAAAUAGCAGGUUCGGCGUUGGCACGGAAGGAUCCGGCGGAUGAGCAUAACCUGGAUCACAUUGACAAGCUUGAUCUUCUUGGUUAUCAUGUUCUGGACGCACGUCUAGAGCCCAGUCAGCCCGUUCGAAGAUCCCCAGGUCAGGCCCUUCUCUUGCCAGGAGGUGAGCCGCAUCGGAACUCCGGAUCGGAAUUCGGGGGCCGCCGCCCAGUUGGUAUCGCACGGCUCGGUGAUGUAGAACCACCCCGAUUGCCAUCCCUUCACCGUCUCCAUGAAGGAGCCUUCGAGCCAGGUGAUAUUGGGCAUCUUGCCCACCAUGGCACCUCCGCACUCUGCUUGUUGGCCGCUCACCACCUUCGGCUUCACGUUGAAGGUCUCCAGCCAUAGGGCGAAGUGAGGCGGGAUGCGGAGAAAGGCCUCGCACACGACUAUAAAUGCUGAGAAGUUGAGGAUGAAGUUGGGGGCUAGAUCAUGGAAGUCCAGCCCGUAGUAAAACAUCAGUCCGCGGACAAACGGGUGGAGAGGGAAUUCCAGCCCGCGGACGAAGUGCGCGAGGAACACCACCCUCUCAUGAGGCUCGGGAGUAGGGACGAUCUGUCUCUUGGCCGGGAGUCGGUGAACGAUCUCCUUGGCCAGGUAUCCGGCCUCUCGAAGCUCCUUGAUAUCUCUCUUCUUAACGGAGGAGGCCAUCCACUUGCCCCCAGCUCCGGAUAUGGACAUGGUUGGAGUGCUUUCUCGGGCGGGGAAAGCUAGAGCUUGGGCGCUAGAGCUCAAGAAUGGAGGGGCAGAGGAAGGAGGAGGCGUGGGUGAAUGAGGACGAAUCCUUAUCCCCUUAUAAAGGCCGCGAAUGUCAAACGCCCCCCACUCGCCUAUUCCCAAGGGUUGUGUAGACGGCACGGUUGGGUUACCCACGCCCGUAUUGAUGAGAAUUCCGCAAUAAGGGGACACGAUCUCUGCUUUGACAAGACGUGCCAAUGACAACCGCGUCUCGGAACAUGGAGCGGCAGACGAAAAACGGUUCAAAAUUAUGACCGGCCAGAUGUGAUGUCAUGUUAGACAAAGUCGUCAGUGGAUUAGAUUCGUGAAAUUAUAUUCUCUCUACGGUUGUGUGUGGUGUAUGUGUUACAGAUCCGGACAUGUCGACAAUGCCGAAGACUAUUUUGGAGUUCGGAAGGAGGAACCCGCCUUGCAAUGCCGAAGACAGAUCUACGCGUCGGAUACCUUGUCAUUGAAGCCAGGUUCAGGGGCUACUGAGGGAGUCCUGGACUAAGGGGUCCUCGGGCGUCCGGCCUGUUAGCCGUGGGCCGAACUGAUGGGCUGUGAAGAUACGAAGGCCGAAGACUGCACCCGUGUCCGGAUGGGACUCUCCUUGGCGUGGAAGGCAAGCUUGGCGACCGGAUAUGUAGAUUCCUUUCUUUGUAACCGACAUUGUGUAACCCUAGAUCCUCCCGGUGUCUAUAUAAACCGGAGGACUUAGUCCAGAAAGGUAGAUACUCAUUGCCAUAGUCAUACAGGCUAGACUUCUAGGGUUUAGCCAUUAUGAUCUCGUGGUAGAUCAACUCUUGUAACACUCAUAUCCAUCAAGAUCAAUCAAGCAGGAAGUAGGGUAUACCUCCAUAGAGAGGGCCCGAACCUGGGUAAACAUCGUGAACCCUGUCUCCUGUUACCAUUGACCUUAGACGCACAGUUCGGGACCCCCUACCCGAGAUCCGCCGGUCUUGACACCGACAGUUGCCUCUCAAUGAACAGUGACUGUUGCUACCGUGCGCACGGUACGUAGAACGAGUCAAGACGUGGUGAGUCGUGCCGGUUGGUUGGCUGUGGAUGAACAGUUCCCGGUGGGGGUUGGAUGAACAGGACCCCAUGGUAGUAGGCCGUUGCCGCUCGAUGAACAGGACCCCGAGGAGGCCGCCGCACCCUAGCCGGUUGGGGAUGGAUGAACAGGACCCCAUAGAGGCUCUAUGAACAGCAGCCGGUGGAGGCUAGAUGAACAGUAGCCGUGGAUGAACAGUAGCCCGUGGAGGGUGGAUGAGGUCGACGGUGGAUGAACAGUAUCCCGUGGAGGCUGGAGCAAGGCGGUAGAUGAUAAUCCCCAAGUGCAGGGAAUCAUCGUAGCAAUUUCCAAAGGUGGAAGUGAUAAGUAUGGAGUGUCGAACCCACAAGGAGCUAAAGGUAAGAUCAAUAUUCUCUCAAGUCCUAUCUGCCGCUGAUACGACUCUACGUACACCGAACGUUUGCUUCCAACUAGAAACGAGAAAUAAAACUACGUUGUGGGUAUGAAUAGGAUAACUCCGUAUGAUAUCGGAGAUCUAAAAUAUAAAAGUAGGUGAUGUUAUCAUAAAGUUAGAAUAUAUUACUAAAUAUUAUAAAUGGCGAGUGUGGAAUAAUGAUGGAUCGGUGUGCGGAAUUGUCCUAGGCAAUUGUUAACAAGAUCGGUAAUCACUAUUGCAAUUUCAUAUGAGGAAGAGGCAUAAGCUAACAUACUUUCUCUUCUAAGAUCAUAUGCACUUAUGAUUGGAACUCUAGCAAGCAUCCGCAACUACUAAAGAUCAUUAAGGUAAAACCCAACCAUAGCAUUAAAGUAUCAAGUCCCCUUUAUCCCAUACGUCAUGACCCACUUAUCUGUGUUUAUGCUUCUGUCACUCAAGCAACGCAGACAAUAAGUAGACCAUGGACAUAUUGCAACACCCUACAACGGGAAUCCCUCACGCUUGCACGACACGGAGGGCACAAUAGGACAGCACCAAAAUAAAACAUACAACUCAUACCAAUCUAGAUCAUCAAUCAACCCAAAGACAAAGGAUAUCUACUCAAAACAUCAUAGGAUGGCAACACAUCAUUGGAUCAUAAUAUGUGGCAUAAAGCACCAUGUUCAAGUAGGGAUUACAGCGGGGUGCGAGAGAGUGGACCGUGUAAAAUAGAUGAGGAUGGUGAUGUUGAUGAAGACGACCACCGCGGCGAUGAUUGCCCUCCCGAUGGCACUCCGGCACCACCGGGAGAGAGCAGGAGAGGUUCUCCCCCUUGUGCUUCCUCCUCCAUGGCCUCCCCCCUAGAUGGGGAGAGGUUCUCCCUCUGGUCCUUGGCCUUCAUGGCGAUAAUGGCCCCUCCGGGAUCCUCCUCCAUGGCCUCCGGUGAUGAUGGCCCCCUCCGGCAGGGUGCCAGAGAGGGCCUAGAUUGAUUUCUCGUGGCUACAGAGGCUUGCGGAGCAGAACUUUCGAUCUAGGUUAAUUUCUAGAGGUUUGGGUAUUUAUAGGAGAGGUUGGCGUCGAGAACAAGUCAGGGGGCCCCACAGGUAGUUCACAAGGCACAGGGGAGCGCCCAGGGGGGUGGGCGCGCCCCCAACCCUUAUGGGGCCCACGGGACUCCCCUCCGGCAGAUUUUUGUUCCAGUAUUUUUCAUAUUUUCCAGAAAAAUUCUCCAUUGAUUUUCAGCGCAUGCCGAGAACUUUUAUUUCUGCACAAAAACAACACCACGGUAGUUCUGCUGAAAACAGCGUCAGUCUGGAUUAGUUCUAAUCAAAUAAUACCAAAAUCAUAUAAAACUUUUGUAAACAUGCCAUGAAUACUUCAUAAAUUAUAGAUACGGGAGACGUAUCACCCCGAGGGUGAACUACUCCCUCCUCGUCAUGGAGAGCGCCGGGAUGAUGAAGAUGGCCACCGGUGAGGGAUCCCCCCUCCGGCAGGAUGCCGAAACAGGGUCCCGAUUGGUUUUUGGUGGCUAUAGAGGCUUGCGGCGGCGGAACUCCCGAUCUAGGUUAUUUUCUGGAGGUUUCUAUAUUUAUAGGAAUUUUUGGCGUAGGUCUCACGUCAGGGGGGUCUCUGAGUCGUCCACGAGUUAGGGUCCCACACCCAGGGGGUAGGGCGCACCCCCCACCCUCGUGGACGGCCUGGGACUCUUCUGGCCCAACUCUUUUACUCCGGGGGCUUCUUUUGGUCCAUAAAAAAUCCACAAAAAUUGGCAGGUCAAUUGGACUCCUUUUGGUAUUCCUUUUCUGUAAAACUCAAAAACAAGGAAAAAACAGAAACUGGCACUGGGCUCUAGGUUAAUAGGUUAGUCCCAAAAAUCAUAUAAAAUAGCAUAUAAAUUCAUAUAAAACAUCCUAGAUGGAUAAUAUAAUAGCAUGGAACAAUCAAAAAUUAUAGAUACGUUGGAGACGUAUCAAGCAUCCCCAAGCUUAAUUCCUACUCGUCCUCGAGUAGGUAAAUGAUAAAAACAGAAUUUUUGAUGUGGAAUGCUACCUAUCAUAAUUAUCAAUGUAAUUUUGUUUAUUGUGGCAUGAAUGUUCAGAUCCCAAAGAUUCAAAACAAAAGUUUAGUAUUGACAUAAAAAAUAAUAAUACUUCAAGCAUACUAACCAAGCAAUUAUGUCUUAUCAAAAUAACAUAGCCAAAGAAAGCUCAUCCCUACAAAAUCAUAUAGUUUGGCCAUGCUUCAUUUUCGUCACACAAAAUGCUCCCAUCAUGCACAACCCCGAUGACAAGCCAAGCAAUUGUUUCAUACUUUAGUAUUCUCAAACUUUUUCAAUUUUCACGCAAUACAUGAGCGCGAGCCAUGGACAUAGCACUAUGGGUGGAAUAGAAUAUGAUGAUGGAGGUUGUGUGGAGAAGACAAAAAAGGAGAAAGUCUCACAUCGACGCGGCUAAUCAACGGGCUAUGGAGAUUCCCAUCAAUUGAUGUCAAUGCGAGGAGUAGGGAUUGCCAUGCAACGGAUGCACUAGAGCUAUAAAUGUAUGAAAGCUCAACAAAAGAAACUAAGUGGGUGUGCAUCCAACUUGCUUGCUCACGAAGACCUGGGGCAUUUGAGGAAGCCCAUUGUUGGAAUAUACAAGCCAAGUUCUAUAAUGAAAAAUUCCCACUAGUAUAUGAAAGUGACAAUAUAAGAGACUCUCUAUCAUGAAGAUCAUGGUGCUACUUUGAAGCACAAGUGUGGAAAGAGGAUAUAGCAUUGUCCCCUUUUUUUAUUUUUUUAUUUGGCCUUUCCUUUUUUAUUUGGCCUUUUUUUGGGACAAUGCUCUAUUAAUGAUGAUCAUCACACUUCUAUUUAUUUACAACUCAAAGAUUACAACUCGAUACUAGAACAAAGUAUGACUCUAUAUGAAUGCCUCCGGCGGUGUAACGGGAUGGGCAAUGAAACAAGAGUGACAUGUAUGAAGAUAUGCAUGGUGGCCUUGCCACAUAUACGAUGUCAACUACAUGAUCAUGCAAGGCAAUAUUACAAUGAUGAAGUGUGUCAUAAUAAACGGAACGGUGGAAGUUGCAUGGCAAUAUAUCUCGGAAUGGCUAUGGAAAUGCCAUAAUAGGUAGGUAUGGUGGCUGUUUUGAGGAAGAUAUAAGGAGGUUUACGUGUGAUAGAGCGUAUCAUAUCAUAGGGUGUGGAUGCACCGGCGAAGUUUGCACCAACUCUCAAGGUGAGAAAGGGCAAUGCACGGUACCGAAGAGGCUAGCAAUGAUGGAAGGGUGAGAGUGCAUAUAAUCCAUGGACUCAACAUUAGUCAUAAUGAACUCACAUACUUAUUGCAAAAAUCUACAAGUCAUCAACACCAAGCACUACGUGCAUGCUCCUAGGGGGAUAGAUUGGCAGGAAAAGACCAUCGCUCGUCCCCGACCGCCACCCAUAAGGAGGACAAUCAAAGAAAACCUCAUGCUUCAAAUUUGUCACACAACGGUUACCAUACGUGCAUGCUACGGGACUUGCAAACCUCAACACAAGUAUUUCUCAAUUUCACAAUUACUCAACUAGCAUGACUCUAAUAUUACCAUCUUCAUAUCUCAAAACAAUCAUCAAGUAUCAAACUUCUCAUAGUAUUCAAUGCACUCUAUAUGGAAGUUUUUAUUAUAUCCCUCUUGGAUGCCCAUCAUAUUAGGACUAGUUUCAUAACCAAAGAAAAUUACCAUGCUGUUCUAGAAAGACUCUAAAAAUAGUAUAAGUCAAGCAUGAGAGUUCAUCUAUUUCUUCAAAAUAAAACCACCGUCGUGCUCUAAAAGAUAUAAGUGAAGCACUAGAGCAAACGACAAACUACUCCGAAAGAUAUAAGUGAAGAUCAAUGAGUAGUUGAAUAAUUAUGCAACUAUGUGAAGACUCUCUAACAUUUAAGAAUUUCAGAUCUUGGUAUUUUAUUCAAACAGCAAGCAAAACAAAAGAAAAUAAAAUGACGCUCCAAGAAAAACACAUAUCAUGUGGUGAAUAAAAAUAUAGCUCCAAGUAAAGUUACCGAUGAACGAAGACGAAAGAGGGGAUGCCUUCCGGGGCAUCCCCAAGCUUAGGCUCUUGGUUGUCCUUGAAUAUUACCUUUGGGUGCCUUGGGCAUCCCCAAGUUUAGGCUCUUGCCACUCCUUAUUCCAUAGUCCAUCGAAUCUUUACCCAAAACUUGAAAACUUCACAACACAAAACUCAACAGAAAACUCGUAAGCUCCGUUAGUAUAAGAAAAUAAAACCACCACUUAGGUACUGUUGUGAACUCAUUAUAAAUUCAUAUUGGUGUAAUAUCUACUGUAUUCCAACUUCUCUAUGGUUCAUACCCUCCGAUACUGCUCAUAGAUUCAUCAAAAUAAGCAAACAACACAUAGAAAACAGAAUCUGUCAAAAAUAGAACAGUCUGUAGUAAUCUGUAACGUUCGAAUACUUCUGGAACUCCAAAAAUUCUGAAAUAAAUUGGUGGACCUGAGUAAUUUGUCUAUUAAUCAUCUGCAAAAAUAAUCAACCUAAAAUUGCUCUCCAGUAAAAAAUGGCAGCUAAUCUCGUGAGCGCUAAAGCUUCUGUUUUUUUACAGCAAGAUCACAAAGACUUCACCCAAGACUUCCCAAAGGUUCUACUUGGCACAAACACUAAUUAAAACAUAAAACCACAUCUAAACAGAGGCUAGAUGAAUUAUUUAUUACUAAACAGGAGCAAAAGCAAAGGAACAAAAAUAAGAUUGGGUUGCCUCCCAACAAGGGCUAACAUUUAACGCCCCUAGCUAGGCAUGAUGAUUUCAAUGAUGCUCACAUAAAAGAUAAGAAUUGAAACAUAAAGAGAGCAUCAUGAAGAAUAUUACUAGCACAUUUAAGUAUAACCCACUUCCUAUGCAUAGGGAUUUUGUGAACAAACAACUUAUGGGAACAAUAAUCAACUAGCAUAGGAAGGCAAAACAAGCAUAACUUUAAAACUUUAAGCACAUAGAGAGGAAACUUGAUAUUAUUGUAAUUCCUACGAGCAUAUAUUCCUCCCUCAUAAUAAUUUUCAGUAGCAUCAUGAAUGAAUUCAACAAUAUAGCCAUCACAUAAAGCAUUCUUUUCAUGAUCUACAAGCAUAGAAUUUUUAUUACUCCCCACAUAAGCAAUUUUCUUCUCAUUCGGAAUAGUGAGAGUACCAUAAGAAACUCAAAUACUAUAAAUUAUUUCCACAUUGAAAGAAUGAAGUUCAGAAAAAGGGUAAUCAUAAUCAUGACAAGGUUUAUAAAUAUAAUCAUCACUACUUUUUAUAGCAUAAGUAUCAUCACAAUAAUUAUCAUAAGUAGCAACUUUGUUCUCAUCAUAAUCAAUUGAAACCUCUUCCAAGAUAGUGGAAUCAUUACUAAAUAAAGUCAUGACCUCUCCAAAUCCACUUUCAUAAUUGUCACAAUAAGAUUCAACACCGUCCAAAAUAGUGGGAUCAUUACUUCCUAAAGUUGACACUCUUCCAAACCCACUUUCAUCAAUAUAAUCAUCAUAAAUAGGAGGCAUGCUAUCAUCAUAAUAAAUUUGCUCAUCAAAACUUGGGGGACAAAACAUAUCAUCUUCGUCAAACAUAGCAUCCCCAAGCUUGUGUCUUUGCAUAUCAUUAGCAUCAUGGAUAUUCAAGGAAUUCGUACUAAAAACAUUGCAAUCAUGCUCAUCAUUCAAAGAUUUAGUGCCAAACAUUCUAAUGCAUUCUUCCUCUAGCAAUUGAGCACAAUUAUCAGAAUCCUUAUUUUCACGGAAGACAUUAAAAAGAUGAAGCAUAUGAGGCACCCUCAAUUCCAUUUUUUUGUAGUUUUCUUUUAUAGACUAAACUAGUAAUAAAACAAGAAACUAAAAGAUUCGAUUGCAAGAUCUAAAGAUAUACCUUCAAACACUCACCUCCCCAGCAACGGCGCCAGAAACUGCUUGAUGUCUACUACACAACCUUCUUCUUGUAGACGUUGUUGGGCCUCCAAGUGCAGAGGUUUGUAGGACAGUAGCAAAUUUCCCUCAAGUGGAUGACCUAAGGUUUAUCAAUCCGUGGGAGGCGUAGGAUGAAGAUGGCCUCUCUCAAACAACCCUGCAACCAAAUAACAAAGAGUCUCUUGUGUCCCCAACACACCCAAUACAAUGGUAAAUUGUAUAGGUGCACUAGUUCGGCGAAGAGAUGGUGAUACAAGUGCAAUAUGGAAGGUAGAUCUAGGUUUUUGUGAUCUGGAACUACAAAAACAGCAAGGUAACUAAUGAUAAAACUGAGCGUAAACGGUAUUGCAAUGCGUAAACAAGGCCUAGGGUUCAUACUUUCACUAGUGCAAGUUCUCUCAACAAUAAUAACAUAAUUGGAUCAUAUAAAUACCCUCAACAUGCAACAAAGAGUCACUCCAAAGUUACUAAUAGCGGAGAACAAACAAAGAGAUUAUGGUAGGGUAUGAAACCACCUCAAAGUUAUCCUUUCUGAUCGAUCUAUUCAAGAGUCCGUAGUAAAAUAACAUGAAGCUAUUCUUUCCAUUCGAUCUAUCCUAGAGUUCGUACUAGAAUAACACCUUAAGACACAAAUCAACCAAAACCCUAAUGUCACCUAGAUACUCCAAUGUCACCACAAGUAUCUGUGGGUAUGAUUAUACGAUAUGCAUCACACAAUCUCAGAUUCAUCUAUUCAACCAACACAAAGAACUUCAAAGAGUGCCCCAAAGUUUCUACCGGAGAGUCAAGAUGAAAACGUGUGCCAACCCCUAUGCAUAAGUUCACAAGGUCACUGAACCCGCAAGUUGAUCACCAAAACAUACAUCAAGUAGAUCAUGUGAAUAUCCCAUUGUCACCACAGAUAAGCACAUGCAAGACAUACAUCAAGUGUUCUCAAAUCCUUAAAGACUCAAUCCGAUAAGAUAACUUCAAAGGGAAAACUCAUUCCAUCACAAGGAGAUAGAGGGGGAGAAACAUCAUAAGAUCCAACUAUAAUAGCAAAGCUCGUGAUACAUCAAGAUCGUUCCACAUCAAGAACACGAGAGAGAGAGAGAGAGAUCAAACACAUAGCUACUGGUACAUACCCUCAGCCCCGAGGGUGAACUACUCCCUCCUCGUCAUGGAGAGCGCCGGGAUGAUGAAGAUGGCCACCGGUGAUGGAUCCCCCCUCCGGCAGGGUGCCGGAACAGGGUCCCGGUUGGUUUUUGGUGGCUGCAGAGGCUUGCGGCGGCGGAACUCCCGAUCUAGGUUAUUUUCUGGAGGUUUCUGUAUUUAUAGGAAUUUUUGGCGUAGGUCUCACGUCAGGGGGGGGUCUCCGAGUCGUCCACGAGAUAGGGGCCCAUGCCCAGGGGGUAGGGCGCGCCCCCCACCCUCGUGGACGGCCCGGGACUCUUCUGGCCCAACUCUUUUACUCCGGGGGCUUCUUUUGCUCCAUAAAAAAUCCACAAAAAUUGGCAGGUCAGUUGGACUCCGUUUGGUAUUCCUUUUCUGUAAAACUCAAAAACAAGGAAAAAACAGAAACUGGCACUGGGCUCUAGGUUAAUAGGUUAGUCCCAAAAAUCAUAUAAAAUAGCAUAUAAAUACAUAUAAAACAUCCUAGAUGGAUAACAUAAUAGCAUGGAACAAUAAAAAAUUAUAGAUACGUUGGAGACGUAUCAAUGAUCAUCACACUUCUAUUUAUUUAUAACUCAAGGAUUACAACUCGAUACUUAGAACAAAAAUAUGACUCUAUAUGCGUGCCUCCGGCGGUGUACCGGGAUGUGCAAUGAAUCAAGAGUGACAUGUAUGAAAAAAUUAUGAGGGUGGCUUUGCCACAAAUACGAUGUCAACUACAUGAUCAUGCAAGGCAAUAUGACAAUGAUGGAGCGUGUCAUAAUAAACGGAACGGCGGAAAGUUGCAUGGCAAUAUAUCUCAGAAUGGCUAUGAAAAUGCCAGAAUAGGUAGGUAUGGUGGCUGUUUUGAGGAAGGUAAAUGGUGGGUUUAUGGUACCGGCGAAAGUUGCGCGGUACUAGAGAGGCUAGCAAUGGUGGAAGGGCGAGAGUGCGUAUAAUCCAUGGACUCAACAUUAGUCAUAAAGAACUCACAUACUUAUUGCAAAAUCUACAAGUUAUAAAAAACCAAGCACUACGCGCAUGCUCCUAGGGGGAUAGAUUGGUAGGAAAAGACCAUCGCUCAUCCCCGACCACCACUCAUAAGGAAGACAAUCAAAGAAAUACCUCAUGCUUCAAAUUUGUUACACAACGGUUACCAUACGUGCAUGCUACGGGACUUGCAAACCUCAACACAAGUAUUUCUCAAAUUCACAAUUAGUUUACUAGAAUUACUCUAAUAUCACCAGCCUCAUGUCUCAAAACAAUAAUCAAGCAUCAAACUUCUCAUAGUAUUCAACACACUUUAUAUGAAAGUUUUUAUUAUACCUAUCUUGGAUGCCCAUCAUAUUAGGACUAGUUUUAUAACCAAAGCAAGUUACCAUGCCGUUCUAAAAGACUCUCAAAAUAAUACAAGUGAAGCAUGAGAGAUCAAUAAUUCUAUAAAAUAAAACCAUCACCGUGCUCUAAAAAGAUAUAAGUGAAGCACUAGAGCAAAAUUGUAUAGCUCAAAAGAUAAAAGUGAGCACAUAGAGUAUUCUAAUAAAUUCCGAUUCAUGCGUGUCUCUCCCAAAAGGUGUGUACAGAAAGGAUGAUUGUCGUAAACUAAAAAUCAAAUACUGAAAUCAUACAAGACGCUCCAAGCAAAACACAUAUCAUCUGGUGAAUAAAAAUAUAGCCUCAAGUAAAGUUACCGAUAGACGAAGACGAAAGAGGGGAUGCCUUCCGGGGCAUCCCCAAGCUUAGGCUUUUGGUUGUCCUUGAAUUUUACCUUGGGGUGCCUUGGGCAUCCCCAAGCUUAGGCUCUUGCCACUCCUUAUUCCAAAAUCCAUCAAAUCUUUACCCAAAAACUUGAAAACUUCACAACACAAAACUUAACAGAAAAUCUUAUGAGCUCCGUUAGUAUAACAAAAUAAACCACCACUUUAACGUACUGUAAUGAACUCAUUCUUUCUUUGUAUUGGUGUUAAACCUACUGUAUUCCAACUUUUCUAUGGUUCAUACCCCCCGAUACUACUCAUAGAUUCAUCAAAAUAAGCAAACAACACAUGAAAAACAGAAUCUGUCAAAAACAGAACAGUCUGUAGCAAUCUGUAACUUUCGAAUACUUCUGUAACUCCAAAAAUUCUGAAAUAAAUUGGUGCGUGAGGAAUUUGUUUAUUAAUCUUCUGCAAAAAGAAUCAACCUAAAAUCACUUUCCAGUAAAAAAUGACCGCUAAUCUCGUGAGCGCAAAAGUUUCUGUUUUUUUACAGCAAGAUCGCAAAGACUUCACCCAAGUCUUCCCAAAGGUUCUACUUGGCAAAAACACUAAUUAAAACAUAAAAACACAAUCAUAACAGUAGCAUGAUAAAUUAUUUAUUACUAAACAGUAGCAAAAAGCAAAGAACAAAAAUAAAAUUGGGUUGCCUCCCAACAAGCGCUAUCGUUUAACGCCCCUAGCUAGGCAUAAAAACAAGAAUAGAUCUAGGUAUUGCCAUCUUCGGUAUGCAAUCCGUCGAUUGAACACACAUAACCCCUAGGAGGUUCUUUGUUUCUGUUAAUGAUCAAACUCCUAGGCAAGAAAUCAAAAAAUUCAUUUGUAGCAAAAGGUUCCUUAAUGAUAUUGAAAAAGUUAGGGUGAACACUUAUUGAUUUGAGGUCUUCAUUUUCCUUAGAAGAUUCACCCUUAUUUUUAGGAACAUAGGUGAACUUGGCAACUUUGGUAGGAGGAGGAUUUGAGGCAUUUUUAACUGCAGAAAAAGUGGUCCCCAAGUUGGUAAUAAUAUCUUCGAGUUUAUCAAUUCUAGUAGAAUCUUGAUCUAUCUUCUCAUUAACUAUGGGUUCAUUUUCCCUAAGAUUUUUCAGAGUAACUCCUACCUUAGAUCCGUAUUGGGUAAUUUGGUUGUGGAUCUUUUUAUCCAGAUUUUCGAUUAACUCUACAGUGGCAAUUUUAUUCUCAAUAAUAUCAAGCCUUUGCAUCACAUGUUCCAAAGUUAAAAUAGUUCCAUUAACCAAAAGAGGUGGUGGGCCUAACAAAUCUAUCAUAGCAUCAUAAGAAUCAAAAGUAUGGCUUCUCAAGAAAUUCCCUCCGGUAAUGGUGUCAAGAACAUAUCUAUUCCAAGGAGUGAUGCCUACAUAAAAAUUGCGAAGAAGAACGCAAGUAGAUUGCUUCCUAGUAGAUCUAUUUUGAGCAUUGCAAAUUCUAUACCAAGCAUCUUCUAGAUUUUCUCCCUCCCUUUGUUUAAAAUUGAGAACUUCAUUAUUGGGAGUAUUAACAAUGAUAGGAGGACUAGCCAUGAAGGCGCAACAAACGAUCUAACACACGGACGCACAAGAAGCAAGCGAAAAGUGACGAACGGAAGAGGGGCGAAGAAAAGGCGAAGGUUUUUGAAAAUCGUUUUAGAAGUGGGGGAGAGGAAAACGAGAGGCGAAUGGCAAAUAAUAUAAUGCGAGGGAGAAGAGUUUAUGAUGGGUACUUGGUAUGUCUUGACUUGGCGUAGAUCUCCUCGGCAACGGCGCCAGAAAUCCUUCUUGCUACCUCUUGAGCAUGCGUUGGUUUUCCCUUGAAGAGGAAAGGGUGAUGCAGCAAAGUAGCGUAAGUAUUUCCCUCAGUUUUUGAGAACCAAGGUAUCAAUCCAGUAGGAGACAACGCACAAGUCACCUAGUACCUGCACAAACAAUCAAGAACCUUGCAACCAACGCGAUAAAGGGGUUGUCAAUGCCUUCACGGCCACUCGCAAAAGUGAGAUCUUAUAGAGAUAGUAAAGUAAAUAUUUUUGGUAUUUUUUUGUAUAGAUUGAAAAGUAAAGAUUGCAAAAUAGUAAACGAGAUGCGAUGUAAAUAAAAGAGAUGCAAUAUAAUAAGAAAGAGACCCGGGGGCCAUAGGUUUCACUAGUGGCUUCUCUCAAGAUAGCAUGUAUUGCGGUGGGUGAACAAAUUACUGCCGAGCAAUUGAUAAAAAAGCGCAAAGUUAUGAAGAUAUCUAAGGCAAUGACCAUGAAUAUAGGCAUCACGUCCGUGUCAAGUAGACCGAAACGAUUCUGCAUCUACUACUAUUACUCCACAUAUCGAUCGCUAUCCAGCAUGCAUCUAGAGUCUUAAGUUCAUAAGAACGGAGUAACGCAUUAAGCAAGAUGACAUGAUGUAGAGGGAUAAACUCAAGCAAUAUGAUAUAAACCCCAUCUUUUUAUCCUCGAUGGCAACAAUACAAUGCGUGCCUUGCUGCCCCUACUGUCACUGGGAAAGGACACCGCAAGAUUGAACCCAAAGCUAAGCACUUCUCCCAUUGCAAGAAAGAUCAAUCUAGUAGGCCAAACUAGAGACUUGCAAAGAUAUCAAAUCAUGCAUAUAAGAAUUCAGAGAAGAACCAAAUAAUAUUAAUAGAUAAUCAAGUUCAUAAAUCUACAAUUCAUCGGAUCUCAGCAAACACACCACAAAAGAGUAUUGCAUCGGAUAGAUCUCCAAGAACAUCGAGGAGAACUUUGUAUUGAGAAUCAAAGAGAGAGAAGAAGCCAUCUAGCUAAUAACUAUGGACCCGAAGGUCUGUGGUAAACUACUCACGUCAUCGGAGAAGCCCUCCGUGAUCGAUUCCCCCUCCGGAAGAUCGCCGGAAAAGGCCCCAAGAUGGGAUCUCACGGGUACAGAAGGUUGCGGCAGUGGAAAAGUGGUUUCGUGGCUCUCCCUGAUGUUUCUAGGGUAUAAGAGUAUAUAUAGGAGAAGGAAGUACGUCGGUGGAGCUACGAGGGGCCCACGAGGGUGGGGGGCGCGCCUACCCCCCUGGGCGCGCCCUCCUGCCUCGACUUCAUCUCCAAGUCUUCUGGUUUGCUUUCGAUCCAAGAAAGAUCAUCGCGAAGGUUUCAUUUUAUUUGGACUCCGUUUGGUAUUCCUUUUCUGCGAAACUCUAAAAUAGGCAAAAAAACAUAAAUUGGCACUGGGCCUCCGGUUAAUAGGUUAGUCCCAAAAAUAAUAUAAAAGAGCAUAUUAAAGCCCAUUAAACAUCCAAAACAGAUAAUAUAAUAGCAUGGAACAAUCAAAAAUUAUAGAUACGUUGGAGACGUAUCAUGCACCACCCCAAUAAUAAAGGAUAACGAUGAUAUGCACUACUUAUGGCUGCUGAGCAGGGUGGAUGCAAACAACUCUUGUAUAAGGUUAGAAAACAACUACAUCAUACCUAUCAAAGAUACACACGUAAACAUUGUGACUAGCUUACCAUGCUCUGGAAAAUCGGUAUUUCAUAUGGAGAGAUCACUGCUGGUAUCAAGGUCACGUGUAGAACUUGUCAAGUGUUUCUUGUCGGUGGGAAACGACAAACCCGCACAUUUCACAGUGAAUCACAUAGAAGACAUUGUCACUACAGAAUACACAAAGAAGAUGAUGUUUCACGAAGAGAUGGGUUUCAGAGUUGCCGCAGCAGUGUUAGCAAUAGCAGGAUUGCUUGCUGUAAAUGGCAGCAAAAUUGCAUACCCAUUUGAGAUCAUUCCUAGCCUUGUUGAUCCAACUUAGAUACAUUCCUUCAACUAGCCUGAAUAUGUGAGGAAGCGAACUCUAUAGGAGGCAAGGUGUGCUCAGGCUCAAAUCAGGGCAAAGUGCCCACAUAUUAAGCUUGGCGGGUGUCCACCAUAUCUGCAGGUAAAUAGCAGCAACAUAUUCGAUAGUGCUAUAUGACCAGGACUACUUAAGAACAAACAAAAAAUAUUGCUUAGUUCUAAUAAUACAAUUUUGCAGGUUCACUAUCUGUACAAUCUAAAAACGAGCAACAGCAACAUACCGACAAUGUGUUUCCACGGGCUUCACUCUUCACCCAAGAUGUUGUUCAACAGCUAAUAGAGGAGGACACGGUCUAUGUAGAAGGCUCAAGUAGCCGGAUUUUGGGGAAACACCAGGUAAUCCACAGAAUAUCAUGUCUCAGAUGUAUUAACAUUGUUUGUGCAUGUAGUAACAACUCUAUUGUUCACAGUUCAAAGAACCACACCUGGUAUGCUAUUCUAGAUUUAGCAAACAAGGGCAACAUGUUUUACAAUCGUUGAACAAUAAGAGAAAGAGGGAGGCACUGAACGACAGCGAAUUACUUGAUGAAUAAGAAGUCUUGAGAAGUGCAGGUACAAGAUUUGUUUCACAUUGGAUCUACUUGAUGUAGCACAUUGAUUAUAAUGAGCAGACAAAUUUAUGGACAUGUUUUGCAGCAGGAAGAUUGUUUAAACUUGUGAAUGUUUUUUCACUGAUUCAUAACAUAUCGCAUGGUCGCACAACACCACUUUAUAUGCAGCAACUACUAGGAGUGGGAAAGCCAUGUCAGUUGGACAAUUAAUCCUGAAGACCAAGUACAAGGCCAACCGACAAAAAAAUAGAUCUUCUAAAGAUGUGUUCACAAGAAUAAACAAUGAAGGUUUGCCAGUUCAAUUGCAAAGCACUUUUCUUAAUCAUUAUACGUCGUUAACUCAUAUUGUAGACAAUAUGAUGGGAAGUCACCAUUUGAGUUCGACACAUCAAACAUUAAUGUAUCACGGAGACUAAACUAUAGAGAUGGUUGCACAGAAAAAAUGAAAAUGAUAUAUCAGCAUAUGUAUUUCAGGCAGAACGGUACAUAUUAUUCAAAGCAUUAUGAACGAUGUUGAUUAGUACUCACUUGUUUUGUCUGUAGUAUAUGGUAUGAGCAUCAUAGUCCAACAACAGUACAUAUAUCUAGGAAGCUUAUGAAAGCAAAUACCAAACUAGGUGCAAUGUACUCAUUGGAAUACUACGAUGCACUGCUUAGAUCAUACACAUGUCGCGGUGACCUAAUAUUCGGAGAAUUUCAGAAAUGGCCCGGACACUUCAUGCCAAACAGUUGGUCGGUGAGUAAGAAAACAUCCUUGUCUUAUGAUUUGAAGUCAAACGCAAGUGAAUCACGUCGGCAUGUCCAUGUUUUAAUUUGGUUGCUCAUUCAUAUUAAGUUGUGCUGGUUUUGCAGCAUCUAGCUCUAUGCAAGGACAGACCAACGGAUCUGAAACAGUAUGCCAAAUUUUUCAAAAGCAAGUUAUUCAAGUAUGAAGUAGAAUACUGCACACAGGUACUAUCAAUGAUACUAACAUCUCUUUAGUGCAUCAUUACAUACUUGCAUUACUGAUCACUUAGGACUAACAUGCAUGUACAGCUAAUCGUCCCGGUAGACCGCUUCAGUACGAAAGCAGUGUAUGUGCGUGACAUAGUAAAUAAGGAAAUCCAUUUGUUGGACCCUAACAAAAUUGGGGCUAAUGAACACGAGGCUAUGCACUUUGGGACAAUAAUUGACUUGCACUGUACGAUGACAAAGUGCAUUGGAACUUUUUAUCCGAGAUGGAAAUGACCGAAACAAACAUGGCCUAUCAAGAUCGUGGAGGUAUGCACUAGAUGCACCAGGUUGUUGAACAAGUGUGAACAAAAUAGUUGCAAUUUUCAUCUUUUGGGGGGGGUAUGUUUCUAUAACAAUGAUGUCGACAGGAAAAUUUCAGCUUUGUAUGCCAUGUACUGUGCUUUGUACUUUAAUGGACACAGAGGCCUAGCAACUCCAAUUAACAAUGUAAGCAUUGCUCUAAAAUUAAAAAUUUCAACAAUUAUUAACCACAUUGAAGUAGUAGCACUGUCCAUAUUCAUGUACUAAUAGAGGAGGUUGUCCAUAUUCAUGUACUAAUAGAGGAGGUUAUUUUUGUCAUGCAGGUAGAACUUCCACAAAUGACAGAAUCGAUCAUACAAACACGAAUGUCAGUACAAUGAAGAACAUGACUGUUGCCACUACCAUACAUUUUUUUUCAAGGAUACGUUAACGAAAUGACGUAUCGAGAUCAUAGAUAGAAAAUGCCACGACGGUAAAGGUUUUUACAACUCAACCACGGCUAAGUAGCCACACCACGACACCUAUUGGUACUACUCGACUCUAUCCAACCUGUCCACCCUCAUCGGUAGGGAUCUAUCUUCCCUCAACAGAGCCGCCGCCCACCAGUUUUGUCCCUCGGUGUUAAUCUUGUUCAGCACUACAUCCGCCGACGGUACUACACCAUUGAAAACGAUGUCGUUCCUGUGUCUCCAGAGUGUCCAUGCCACUAAGGCGACGAUUGUCCAUGUUUCUUUCCUCAUAUCUUGUUGUGGGUCCAGCGAAGUCCACCAGUCCACCAGAUUACUGUCAUGCCGUGGCACCCACGUCGGCCUAGCCCAGUUGCUAGCUACGUCUGUCCACACUUGUCGAGCCAGGACGCACCCAAGGAGUAGGUGGUUGAUCGUCUCCGGCUCUUAUCAAGCCACUACCAUACAUAAGUAAAACAUGAGCGAAACAUCAACAACAUACAAGAUUUGAAAUGAAAUCGCAUUCGUGUUGAAACAAUACACUAUCAGCAAAAUGUGCCGUACCAAAUAGGAAUAGAUCUGGAGGUGGAAAAUUGCCCACAGAUCAGCGAUAUUAAAAUCGUACUUUAGUUGUGAUGAUACAUUACCUUGACAACAAGGAAGCGAAACAAACUUGCAGUUUAAAACUCGUAGUACGAGGGCGAAUUGGUAAGCCAUGGAUAAAAGUGGACAGAUAAAUCUGAAUCUGAAUCUUGUAGAGUCGCGGCACACUGCGAUUUACGUCACAGGGCUCACAGGACACACAAGCAAGUGGGGAUAUGGAUGAGGCGUGGCUCUAACGUGGGCCUGCGGUUGUAUUGUUACUAUUUCCGACAUGUAUAGCAGUACACAACGGUUGAGGUUGUGUACUGCCCAAACAAAUACGCACAGUUCACUUUGUUGAUCGGACAAAUACUGCACGAAUCUUCGACCAACAUCAAUGUGAUGUGAGCUUUUUUUGCGGGUGAUGUGAGCUUAUCCGGUAGAAACCGGACCGCUAAAAACCACUCUCGGAUACAUAAAGCAGUGGCAGUACACUAGAGAGAGAGGAAGACACGAUGGCCUGUAGUGGCAGUACAUAAAGCAGUGCUGCACUAGUGUCCAAAGCCCGGCAGCCUUCCCCUCCUCCCUGCUGUCGUUGCACCAAAAUGAGAGGCGGGAAGGUACGUCAGACUGCGGUCUGCGAAUUUGACCUUACCACGCUACCGCGACCGAGAAAAGAAGCAAACGAGCGGACGCAGGAGCUCCCACACGCAGAGACGCAGCAGCAGGUUGCACCGUUUGACCUCACGGCCUAGCUGCUAGCUUAGCUAGCCUCCUCGACGACGUGCACGGGCCUCCACGCCAGACAUCGUUGCCACGGCGGUGCCGUGCAUGAGCUCGAUGGCCAGCGGCCGAGUCGCUAGUGUAAGUGUAAGUGUUAGCUCUUCCGGGCGCAUCGUAGAGAGCAACAUGGAUGCCUUCUUUGGGCGGCCAACUGCUGUUGAGAGAGGGCUCCAUUUUCACGGAAGAGUUACCCAGGCAGAGGACGUGAUGUCCGUAUAGAGGAGAACGUCAUCAAUUACAUGUAUAUAUACAUAUAAAUACGCAUGCAUCGGCAAUUCAACUUAUACACAGGUCUGUACAGUACACACACUGCUGCUGCUACUAUGUUGAUAUCCACUUGAUGCAUAUACUCUGCCUAGUAGCGCUAUAGGGUUGCAUGCAUGCUAUGCCACGCAACGCGAUCCUUCCUGAAGGCGUCGCUGAGGACCUGCAUGUCAACUACCACCUUGGGCGUGUUUGGCAGCUGUAGCAGCCGGGCCUGGCUUAGCUUAGCCUGACUCAAUGGAAGCUGGUUGACGAAAUGGAAGCCUAUUGUUUGGUUGCCUACAUCUAGUCCUUUCGCAUUAGGGGUGUAAUUUUGACAUAGCGUUUGGUUGUCUGCAUGGACUCGGCUCACGCAACUACGCAGUGUUUGGUUGUCUGCAUUGAUUCGGCUCAUGCAACUAUACGGUGUUUGGUUGUAUACGCCGGAUAUGAUUAAGAGCUAACACUUACACUUAACACAUACUGUGCCUCGCAACUGCAAUGGGCGGUGACUGCGGCGCCACGUCCGACACGAUGAGCAUGAAGUCUCAGGUGAGUGUUCUUGUCGGCGCCGCGGCGAACUAGUUGCUAGCGUCACCAGCACAGAGGAAGUUCGUGCGGAGGAGCGCUAAGGGCAGAGGAACAGGAAGGAGAAAUACAGUGCAUGCUGGACCAUGGCGACUGCGGUGGACGAUGGUCGUGGCUCCGCGUCCGACACGAUGAGCACGGAGUCGUGCGCGAGCGACCUUGUCAGCGACGCGGCGAACUAGCUGCUAGCCUUGUCGCUGCAAAAAAGACCGCACGAAGAUAGUGUACAAAGAAAGAGAAAUGUAGUGCUCGCGUCAUGGCAACAAAGGAAGAGAAAUGUAGUGCUCGCGUCAUGGCAACGUCAGUGCAGUAGGACAAAAGAGAGGAGGCCAAGAUGACCGACACCGGUGACUACUCCGGUGUAGUAGGAUGCAGGCAAGGAGGUCAAGAGGAACGGCGGCGACAUCGAAAGGGACGAACAGGAGGGCUGUGAGACAGAGGACAGAGCAGAAGAUAUACCGUGUGCGCGUAAUUGCGGCGUCGAUGCACUAGGAUCGUCGAAGCAGAAAACUUGCCACACGAAUAUCGUGUGAAAAUUUCAAAUGGUCAACUGUACGCGACGAAUUUGACAAAAUUCGUUCGAAGAGCUCCAAAUGUGACUAUAAAAUUGAGCAUUUACAGUCGACGAAACUACGAACUGAUCGCAAAAAUGGAACGGUAACAUCAAUGCGCAUUUUUUUCACGUGGAGCUUAUUUCGAAUCGAAUAACCGUUGUGUAGAUUAGAGAGGAGAAGGAAGAAAGGAGAUUAAGAAGGGGCUUAGUGAAGGUAGAAGAAGAAGCAGGUACACAGCUCUCAUCCCUCAAGACUCCCCUCAUGCAAGGGGUGGAUCCUAUAUGACGGGCAUGAAGCGACUCCCCACUUGGGCCAGCCCACGUAUGAUUUCCUGUUUUCCAUCGCUGUGGUUUCCUUCGCUGCUUCUGCACGUUUUUUUUUCAUUUUCUUCUGCGGUUUUUUGCUUUCAGUUUUUCACUGUUUUGUCCGGUUUUCCGUUGUUUUGUUUGGGUUUUUUAUUUUUUCUGUUUUGGUUCCUUUUUCGUUUCAUUUUCUUUAACAUUAUUUUUUAUUUUUCUGUUCUGUUUCUUUUUCUGUUUUCUUCUUUUUAUUUUGGUAUUAUAUAAAAUGUUCACCGUGCAUUACAAGAAAUUUCAUUGUAUCAAGAAAAAUGUUCAUUGUAUAUUAUGAAAAUUGUUCACCUUUGCAUACAAAAAUGUCAUCGUGUAUUACAAAAAUGUUCAUCCUAUAUUAUGAAAUUGCUCAACGUUUUUUACUAAAUGUUCAAUGCGUAUUCAAAAAUUGUACAACACACAUAUUCAUAUUAUUUCAAAAAUGUUCAUCUUGUAUUAUUUAAAAUGUUCAAUGGAUAUAAAAAAUGUUCAGUAUAUAUAUUUUGGACUUUUUCUAUUCUGGUUUUGGUUUUUCAACGAAUAUACAAAUGUUCACUAUGUUUCUUAAUUGUGUUCAGUGUAUAUUACACAAUGUUCAAUGUGUAUUCGUAAAUUGUUCAACGUAUUUUCACAAAUGUUCAGUUCGUGUCUGAAAAUUGUUCAGCACGUAUAUUCAUAUUUUUUUCAAAUAUGUUCAUUCUAUAUUAAAAUAAGUUCAUCGUGUAUUAUUUAAAAUAUUCAGCUUAUUUUAAGAAACUGUUCAACGGAUAUAGCAAAAUUUUCAACGGAUAUUACAAAAUAUUUUAUGUGUACUUUAAAAAAAGAUUCAACAGAGUAUGAUACUUAAACUUUCGCGCCUCAAAUUAACAUAAUAGCUCACCGGUUCUGUCGGUAGCAACGCUACCUCUAGAAAGGGAGGCCGUGAGUUCGAACUUUUGCGGGCACAUGAGUUUUUGUUUCUUUUUUUACUUGUGAGCUUGUUUCCUCCUAAUUGGCUGGCCCAUGCGUUCUUCCUUCGGUGAAGGCUCGACCAUUUGCCGCCCGUGCUCGGCAAAUAGGAGCUCUCCAAGCAAAGGGACCACCCAUAUGCGCUCGGUGUACAUCGCUCGGGCCUGGCUCCGAAGAAACUGCCGAUUCGGGCCUGGUUGGGCCUUCUGCUGGCAACCAAAAGCAUCCCUUGUCGCCGCGACGCUUGAUCACGUAGAACCGCGAUUGCUAUUUAGGAUUUUCCUAUUUGCCGCUCUUUGCGGCAAACUGCCGCAGCGAGCACAGGGGGGAAUCCGACAACUGUUCGGGAUGGGCCAGCCCGUUAAAAUUCUCAGCCAUUCCGGUUUUGGGAACUUUCUAGCUGGUUCGCAACCGGUUUUCUCUCGUUUUGGGAACCUUCUAGGAGGUUCCUGAACCAGUUUCUUUCUUUUUUCUUUUCCUGUUUUUUUCCUUUUUCUGUCUCUUUUUCUUUCUUUUUCUUUUUUUCGUUUUUGUUUUUUCUGUUUUCAAGUUUAUUUUCGUUUUUCCAAAAAAAAAUUGUUGCUCAUAAAUUGUUCAAAACUUCACGAACUGUUCCUGUUUCAAAUUGUGUUCCCAAAUUUUUUAAAAAUGUUCACACUUUCAAAAUAUUGUUCAGAAGUUUAAAAUAUGUUCUUUUAAUUUUUUCAGAAAUUAAAAAAAAUGUUCUUGAUUUCAGUUGUUCACCUAGUUAAUUUUUUGUAUUUUCUUUUUUUUCUUUUCUCUAUUUCUUUUGUAAUUCUUAAUCUACUCAUAUUUUUCUUUCUAAUUUUAUUUUUCAGAAUUUCCAAAUUUGUUCGAAAUUUCCAAAAAAAAUCUGAAGUUAAAUAUUGUUCCUGUUUUUUUAUUUUCUUUGGAAGUUCCAAAAAACUUAGUGAUUUUUAUAGCAUGUUCGUACAUUUGAAUAAAUGUUCACCUUUCAAAAAAUGUUCUUAAUUUUCAAAAAUGUGCGCCUUGCAAAAUAUGUUGAUAACUUCAAAAAAUGUUCUGGUUUUCAAUUUUUGUUCACAAAUUCCAUUUGUGAUCAUAAUGUUCGCUUUUUCUAAAUUUUGUUCAGAGUUUCAGAAUUUUUUCACAGAUGCAAAAAAAAAUCCUUAUGUCCAAAAUGUUCUUGUUUUAAAAUUGUUUAUUUUUCGGACAUUUGUUCAUAAAUCCGAAAAAGUUCCUAUUUUAAAUUUGUUUGCAAAUUCAAAAAAAUUUCGUGCUUGUCAAAGUAAUUAGAAUUGCAAAAAGGUUCGCGCUUUUCAAAAUUUGUUCACAAAUUCACACAUUCUUUCUGUUUUAAAAUUUGGUUACAAAUCCAAAAACUGGGCAAUUUUUUCAAUAUUUGUUCGUGUAUUUCGAAUUUUUUCCAGAAUUUCUUUUAAAAGUAUUCAGACUUUUAUAUAAAUGUUCGAAAAAAUGGAAAAUAUUUUGAUAUGUCGGUUUCUUUGGUACUAAAAGAUUUCGUGCUGAAUGUUUGAUAGUAGCAGUGAUCAGCUCCGGUGGUUAGGUACUGUCUCUACAAGCGCUGGGUCGCGAGUUUGUAUCCUGGCCCAAUACAGCGGCCAGCGGCCAGCUCUCGCUGAAGGUUUCUCCUUCCUCACGUUGUAUUGGGCGGCUCAUUCACAGGCGCACAAUGCUCUCGCUGAAGGUUUCUCCUUCCUCACAUUCUAUUGGUCGGGCCCAUUCUCUUUCCUCACGUUGUAUUGGGCCGGCUCAUUCACAUGCGCACAAUGCUCUCGCUGAAGGUUUCUCCUUCCUCACGUUCUAUAGGGCCGGCCCAUUCUCUUUCUUCACGUUGUAUUGGGCCGGCUCAUUCACAGGCGCACAAUGCGGAAAUUCCUGUUGGACGCUCGUUGCGUCAAAAUGUCGAGCGAACGCAUAGGGGAGCAAUCAACUGGGCCGGCCCAUCUCCCACUGUAGGCACUUUCGGUUUUGGGAACUUUCUAGAAGUUUCCCAGCCGGUUUUUAUCGGUUUUGGGAACCUUCUAGAAGAUUCCUUAAGCUGGUUUUCUAUUUUCUUUUUCUUAAGCUGGUUUCUUUUUUUAUUUUUCUUUUUCUUUUUUCCUUUUUUGUUUUAAUUUUUUUUAAAUGUUUGAGUUUUUGGAAAAAUGUUCGUAAAUUUCAAAAAAUGUCCAUAAAUUCAAAAAAUGUUUGCAUCUAUCAUAAAUUGUUUAAAAUUUCAUAAAAUGUUUCCUCUUUCUAAUUUUGUUCAGAAAUUCAAAAAAUGUUCGUGCUUUUCCAAAAAUUCUGCGGAAGUUUGAAAAUUGUUCCUGUUUUCAAUUUAGGUUCAGAAAUUAAAGAAUGUUCGUGCUUUUAUGAUGAAUGUUCCCGUUCUAAAAUUUUGUUCAGAAAUUCAAAAAUUGUUUGAGAAUUUAAAAAAUGUUCUUGCUAUUCAAAAAUUGUUCAGGAGUUUGAAAAAUGUUCCUGUUUUCAGUUUUGGUUCACAAUUUAUAAAAAUGUUCGUGCUUUUAUGAAAAAAGUUCCCGUUUUCAAAUUUUGUUCAAAAUUUCAAAAAAUGCUCUUGCUAUUCAAAAUUUGUUCAGAAGUUCAAAAAUGUCCCUGUUUCAAUUUUUGUUCAUAAAUUAAGAAAACUUUCGCAAAUUUGAAAAAUUGUUCGGAAUUAAAAAAAAGGCAGCUACAGUUCUAGGCACUACAGUACAAAAAUGUUCACGUAUAUAAAACUGUUAGACUUUGCAUAAAGAAAUGUUCAUGUUUUUCUAAAUUCGGAUUAAAAAAAUUGUUCACAUUUUUUCAGAAAAAUAGUUUGGAAUAUCAGAAAUUAUUUGCGGUAUUUCAAAUUGUUCGAAAUUAUCAAGAAAUGUUCCUAAAAUGUUUUUCCUAAAUCUCAACCCUGCUGUCUGUUCUUAAAUUGUUUGGCGCCUUAAUGUUCGACAGCAGCUUUGUGGUGGAGUGGUUCGCUGACCGUGGUCUGCGUGUUUUUUGUGAGCGAGGUCGUAGGACCGAAUCCUAGGGUAGGCUACUUGUUUUUUCGGGGUUUUUUUACGUCGCUGUGCUUUUGCUCGAUGGGCCGGCCCAGUUCUGCGUCGCCCUUGUGCGUCAAGCUCUUGUUUUGACGCAAAACGUGUCAGGGGCCUCCUAUAGCGCGCCUUCAGCGCCGCGCAAGGGAUCUGGCGCCCGCAGCAGCGGCAGGAUGGGCCGGCCCACGAUCACGAAACAAAGAAACAAGAAAAAUGACAGCCAAAAAUACUCCAACCAGGAUUUGACCUCGCGACCUCACGUUCAGACGCGGUAAGGCUAGCCACUGCACCUGUUACCUGCAAGUGAACAUUACCACCGCGAAAGUUUAAAGAAACAUAAACAUAGACACGCUAUUUAUUGCACAAUACACUGUAGCGUUUAUAUUUUUUAGUUAUCUGAAAAUGUGUUCACAUAUUAUAGAUGGAGUUCUUGAGCAUGCAAAAAAAAGUUCGCGUAUUCAAAAAUUAGUUCACCAUAUUGAAAAAGUUAAUGUAUUCAAAAAACAGUUCAUGAAUUCAAAAGAAGUUCAUCGAUUUUCAAAAAAAGUUCAUCAAAUUUGAAAAAAAUUCAACGAUUUCAAAAAAGCUUCAUCAAAUUUGGAGAAAGUUCAUCUAAAUUGAAAAAGUUCAUCGAUUUUGAAAAAAAGUUCACCGAUAUGAAAAAAGUUCAUCGAAUUUGAAAAACGUUCAUCAAAUUUGAAAUCAAACAAACUGUUAAAACGUGAACAAUUAUUGAGAACAUGAACAAAAUUUUAUAUACGACGAGCGAUUUUCAAAUAUACACUGAACAUUUUUUCGGUGUAUGAUGAACAAUUUUUAACUACACAGCGAACAUGUUUGUGAUAUACAUUGAAAUAAUUUAAAAUAUAUUAUACAUUUUUUAUAUAAGAUGAGCAAAUUUUAUACAUUGAACAUUUUUUAGCUACAUAUUGAACAAUUUUGUAAUAUAAUCUGAACAUUUUUUAACUACACAUUGAACAAUUUUGUAAUAUAAUCUGAACAUUUUCUAACUACACAUUGAACAAUUUUGUGAUAUGCGCUGAAAACCCAAUUAAAUACCUAUUGAACAUUUGUUUAUGUACACUGAACAAUUUAGAAUUGUGAACAAAAUUUGAAAAGGUGAAUAAAUUUGAAAACUAUGAACACGAUUUGAAAUCACGAACAAAGAAUGAAAAAUACAUUAAAAAUUAUAAACAUAAAAACGAAAAUGAUAAAAUGAAGGAAAAGGAAAAAGAAACUAAAUAGAAACAGAAACAGUAAAAAACCGAAAGAAAAAAGAAAAAGGAAACAGGGAAAACCGGCCAAAGAAAAAAAACCGGUUCAGGGAACCUACUAGAAGGUUCCCAAAACCGGGUACUAGUUCGUCGUGGGCCGUCCCGUGUGGCCUCGCUCGCUUUAAUAGAAACUGAAAUAAAAAGGAAAACUAGUGAUGGUUGCAAGUUGAUGCACAAACUAAAAGAGGUAAAAAAUGAGAAGGUAUCCACGAGUUUUGAGGUUUUCUAGUUGGUUAUCCUGUUUAGGACUGGAUCGUGGGGUGCAGGGUUCGAAUCCCACGUUCGCUUGUUUUUUUGCCGUUUGAAUAACGUAAAAAAAAAACGAAAAAUGGGCCAAGCGCAGGCGGAGCAGGGUGUGCGCCAGUUUGCCAGGAUCGAAGAAACGGGCGCUUAAGGCGGGAAUUUCCUAUUGGACGCACUUUGCGUCAAACUGUCGAGGUUUCGCACAGGGGAGAUCGAGCUAUCGUUCGACUGGGCCGGCCCGUUUAAGCUUUCAUCGUCCCCGGUUUUGGAAACCUUCUAGAGGUUUCCAGCCGUUUUUUAUGGUUUUGGAAACUUCUAGAAGGUUCCUGAAACGGUUUUUUUCCUUGUUCUGUUUUGUCAUUUUCUUUUUUUGCUGUUCUUUCUUUUUUCGUUGUUCUGUUUCCUUUUAUUUAUUUAUUUUUGUUUUUUCUUUAGUCCUGCCUUUUUCAUAAAAAUGUUUAAAAUUUGUUCACGUUUCCAAAAAUUAUUUGGAAGUUUAAUUAUUCUAAAAAUUCUAAAAAUGUUCGCAUUUUUGAAAAAAAUGUUCAAAAAAUGAAAAAUAAGAAAAUGUUCAAAAUAUACGGAAUUUGUUUGCCUUCCCAACAAAUGCUAGGAUAUUUUCAAAUAAAAGACUGUGUUUUCUGUAAAAAAUGUUCGUGUGUUACAAAAUUUGUUCAAAGAUUUCAAAAAAGUUUCUGGAUUUCAAUUUUUUUGUUCACGUAUUCAAAAAAUGUUUCUGCUUCCAUAUUUCUUCAGGAUUUCUAAAAUUGUUCUCCGUUUCAAAAUUUGUUCUCAAAUUUUAAAAAUUGUUCUUGCUUUAGAAUUUUUUCACAAAUUCUGAAAAUGUUCAUGUGUUCCAAAAAUGUGUGUGCUUCCAUAUUUGUUCAGGAUUUUCGAAAUUGUUCUUCGUUUCAAAAUUUGUUCUAAAAAAACUGUUCUUGCUUUAGAAAAUUGUUCACAAAUUCUGAAAAUGUUCAUAUUUUAGAAAAACAUUUCGGAAAUUCAAAAUUUGUUCUUGAUAUCAUAAAAUUGUUUCCUCAUGUGAAAACGAAAUCGUACGUUCCAAAUUUAGUUAAAAUUUGGAAAAUUGUAAAGGAUUUUGUUCAAACAGUAAGUCUUAUACUUUCUUUAGUUCUUAUAGUUUUCCGCUGUAUAAUAUCAACUGAGCACAAGUCAGCAGUCCUGUGUUCAAUUCCCAUCCAUCACGCCCUUUAUUUUUUUGCAAUAUUUCACCUGCUAUUUUCGGCGCACUGCAAUGGGCCGGCCCAAAUCGGCACAGCGAUGACGUGCCUGUGCGAAAGGGCAGCAUUUUGACGCAGAACGCGUCAUAUAGGAACUCCCCUUAAGGCGCCCGAUAGGAAAUGCCGUCUCUCACAAUGUUCUCGCUGAAGGUUUCUCCUUCCUCAAGUUCUAUUGGGCCGGCCCAUUCACAGGCACACAAUGCGGAAAAUACUAGAAGAAAUGCGAGAUAUGGGAAUCGAUCACUGGUAUCGUGAGAGAUACCACACGCGUCUAACCACUCCGCUAGGCUCCGUGCGCGGUUGGUAAUAGCGACGCGCCCCACAUAAUGUUUAAGCCGGCUUUCUUUGUUUCUUUUUGUUUUUUUUGUUUUUUCGUUUCUUUUGUUUCUUUUCUUUUUCUUUCUCCAUUUUUAUUUUUUUUUGCUUUUUUUCAUUUUUUAUUUUGUUUCUUUUCUCGUUUUUGUUUGUUCUUUUAGUCAUUAUUCUACAUUUUUUGUAUAUGACAACAAUAUUUCUCAAAUACACGUCUAACAUUCCUUCUUCAUUUUUUGUUUUUCUUUAGUUUUUUAUGUUUGUUUUUUGUUUCACUCUAUAUUCUCGUAUAUGACAAAGGCGAAGUAUCAGGUGAAAAUAGGUACUCAGUGAAAAUCUGAAAAUUCUCACGUGGUCCAUCAGAUCUAUAACGAACGACACUGAUCAAAGGUGGGAUCUCUAAUGAUCCACUUAAACACAAUUAGCAGAAAACCCCCUGGCUUGUUCACCAUCAAGGUGGAAAAAUCCUUCGUGAGUGUCCCUAUGAUAGGGUUACGUUUCAAUCUUACACGCCGCCAUGGAGAAUCACGUUUCGACGGCCGCGAGCCCUUGCCUUUCGACGUCAACGACGGCCCCUCCGAUGGCAGCAACAGGCCCUCCGUCCGCUGCGGCUCAUCCUCCACCGGUGGCGACUCGAGUUAUGUCCUUCCCUCCGACGGCAGCGACGGGCCCUCCGUCGGCUACAGCUCAUCCUCCGCUCAUGGCGACUGAAGCCAUGAUCUCCCCUCCGUCUGUCGUGACAGGGCCUCCAUUGGCUGCUCACCCUUUGCCGGUUGUGUCUCAAUCUUCAGAGUACUCAACACUGUCGGUCGUGAAAGGGCCUCCGUUGGCUGCUCACCCUUCGCCAGUUGCGUCUCAAUCUCUUCAGAGUACUCAACACCGUCGCUCGUGACUGCCACCCCUAUUUCCCCUGACAUGCCUCGGGCUCUUCCUAGCCAUGCAGAGGUAAGCUGUUACGUGAGCAUGAACCAUCGAUUGAUCACUAGGUAACAUUCAUCGUCUCGUACUCUCAAGUUAUGGCGCAUUAGAUGGAAAAAUAGACUGAUGCUUCACAAGGAUUUGUGCCAAAAAAAACAUAUCUGCAUCAGCACUAGACGUACUAGAAAAUUAGAGUAUGAGAUGAUCAUGCAACGGUACAUAUACUGUACAGAAUAUGCAUAUUUGAUGACUGUUUCUUUGUUUAUACGAACUGAACAUGCUAACACCCAUGAUGUUGCAUCAUAGAUGGAGCAUGAAUUCGAUAUUGGCAAUGAUCAAGGGAGUCAUGAUAUGGAAAUCCAUCCUCCUCCGAUCAAUCUAGACAACUUCAGUACACCAAAAAAGAGAGCUACAAGUGGCCCAUUUUGUGUGAGUAUCAUUAUCAUCAUAAUUUCGGUUAGAUUUCUCUAACAAUCACUAGCUUGUAUGAGUAACGAGUUUUAGUUGUUUUAGGGUUCAUCAUGUACACCCGACUAUGAUGAGAACUUAAAGCCGGUUGUAGGUAAGACAUUCGAGAGUAUGGAAGCUGUCGAGAAGUUUUACAAGGCUUACGCACACAGUGUUGGAUUUUCAGUUCGAAUUGGGCAGAAAAGGACCGUAGGUAAUGUGGUGGUCUGGAGGAGAUUUCUUUGUUGCAAAGCAGGUUUCCGAACAAUAAAGGAGGAGGAACGAAAGAAGGAUUCGAAGGGAGAGAAGACAAGAACACAUGCAAGAAAGAUUACUAGAUGUGGUUGUGAGGCCAUGAUAACUGUCAAGCAUAUGCAGGAUGGCAAAUAUUGUAUAUCAUAUUUUCAAGAAGAACACACCCAUGAAUUUGUCACACCUAGGAAGCAGCAUUUUAUCAAGUCUAACAGAGAAGUCAGCGAGAAGGCCAAGACCACACUAUUCACAUGUCAUGCAGCUAGCAUUGGCACAUCUGGGGCCUUCCGAUUGCUUCGUGUUGGUGAGGGCGGAUUCCAGUUCGUGGGGUGCACAAAGAGAGACUUGCAAAACUAUCACCGCGACAUGCGAAGCACUUUCAAAGAUACAAAUGCUCAAAUGUUCAUUGACAACCUCAGAAAGAGGAAGAAAAUCAACCCAGGAUUCUUCUUUGACUAUGUUCUUGAUGAUAAAAACCGACUGACGCGUGUCUUUUGGGCAGAUGCUUUUUGUCGGAAGAAUUAUGCUUUAUUGGGCGAAAUGGUGUCUUUUGACUCCACAUAUAGCACCAAUCAGUAUAAGAUGAUAUUUUAUCCUUUCACAGGAAUAAACCACCAUAUGUGAUCAGUUUUCUAUGGUGCCGCCUUGAUUGUUGAUGAGAAGAUAGAGUCAUAUAAAUGGGUGUUCGAAACAUUCUUGAAAGCAAUGGAUGGUGUAGCACCGAGGCUUAUAGUAACUGAUGAAGAUGCUAGUAUGAAGGCUGCCCUUGAUGAAGUUAUGCCAAACACCGUCCAUAGGUUAUGCAUGUGGCAUAUAAUGAGAAAGCUUCCAGAAAAGGUUGGUCCUCCACUGAGAGAGGAUGAACAUUUCUACAAUUCAGUUAACUCAUGUGUAUGGGGAUCUGAAAAUCCAACUGAAUUUGAGGCUAAGUGGUCUUCCAUGAUUUCUGAAUUUGGACUUGAGGAAAACACGUGGUUUGCUAGGAGAUAUGAAAUUCGUAAGUCAUGGAUACCGGCCUAUUUCAGAGGUCAAAAUGAACUCAAGGCUGACCAUGAUUGCCUCAGUUCCAUGCCUCCUCUGAUUACAUCCUGGGAGAUCGAGAAGCAUGCUAGCAUGUACUUCACCCAUGAGGUUUUCAAAGUUUUUCAGAAGGAAUUGCGUGCAGCUAGAGAACAUUGCUUGAUUGAAAGCAUAUCGCAAGAAGGUGAUGUGAAAACCACGGUUGUAGGUGGAGACUGCUCUUCCAAGUCUAGAGAAGUUCAAUUCAACACGUCAACCAUGAGCGCUCACUGCUCUUGCAUGUUAUUUGAGACACGUGGAAUUCCAUGCCAACAUAUUAUCAUGGUUUUGAGAGGUGCAAAGUUGAAUGAGCUCCCUAGUCAGUUCAUUUUGGAUAGGUGGAAGAAAACAGUUAAUAGGAGAGCCCUAUAUGACAGCUAUGGUAACUUACUUGAAGAAAAUGAGAGUAGUUCUUUAGAUUUGGCAAAGCGAAAAAUGAUUUCAGAGAUACACCAAACAUUGGAUGACACAAUUAGGUUGGCGGAGCACUCUCCUCAAGAAUUGGAAGCAUUGAGAGAUGGUCUCCUUGGAAUGAAAAGAAAUUUAUCUCAAAAGGUUACUGCCAAUAAUCCUAGUAGGCAAGAUGAAUUUGAGGCAUACAUUGGUUGUACUAUGCCUGGUGAAGUUGAAAUCCAUCCACCAACUGAUGUCCACACAAAGGGAAGAUGCAAAAGAAUUAAGGGACACUUAGACAAGGGUGGGGAAGGGAAGCAAAAUAAGGAUGGGGAAGGAAAGCAAAAUAAGAAUGGAGAGGGGAAGAAAACUGCUGCAGGACCCAAAAAGCCUCACACAUGCAAGGCGUGCAAGCAAGUUGGUUUCCAUGAUAGUCGUACGUGCCCUAACAAGAGCAAAGAAAUGUAAAGGUAGUUUUCAUACAAACAGAAUGAUUACUAUUUCAGAAUUCAUUUGUCCAAUCCUAACAGUUGUGUUCAUGUCUAUGUGCAGCUUCUUUUAUUUGAUUCGAGGCAGCCAGGUGCUUUUAUUUUGGUGUACUUGAAGAUGGAGUUCAAAGCUUCAGCAUUAUCUUCUGGGAGAUCAUCUUUAUCUUUUGGGCUUCUAAGAGCGGCGCCUUUAAGAGCAUGAGCAUUAUCUAUUUGAGAGCUUCAAUGUCGUUCUUUGAGAACUCCUUUUGUUACCCGCUACUGAUUUUUCUUUAUCUGUAGAGAAACAUUGCUAGUUGCUUGUUCUGGUGAACUACAUUGAACAAGUUCAUGUGUUGCGUGAUUUCUGAAUUGGCAUUGUGCCAAUAUUUUAUCAAGUUGAACCGUGCAAAACUCUACAAAGAUGUUAGUUUAUGGGCUUCAUGCUAACAUUUUAUCAAGCUGAAACUGUGCAAGAAUCCUGAAGUUCUGUAUUCACAUUCUUUUGCCUCCUACACACAUAGUUUUGCAAUGAGUCCACCACCCAAUCAAUCUUAAUCUCUUUUGUAGCUAGACACAUGUACAUGGGCCCAAAUUACAUUCUUUACAAGAAAAUUUAGAAACAAACAGAGGGACAAGCCCCAGCCAAACAUUACACAACCCUUAUGAUCGAGCUAGCAUGUUCAGGUACAUUUUCGGAAAUAACAGAGGUUGUGCGGACAUUUCUUCAGAGAACUGUAUAGUUGAGCUAUAAUUUUUCAGAGAAAAGUGUAGCAUGGGGCAGCACGCUUCCGCGUGUUUCCGCUCGAGGUUGACGCAUCUAGACGCUACUGUGAUGGACGCAGCUAACUUGUACACUGUGUUACAGCAAAAUUUGGUUACAGCGAGCUGGAACAUUCAGUUAGGCAAGUGACUACACAUCACUUUGAUAUCUCUUGAGCUCAUGACACAAUCUACAACGAGAUGCUUCAGAUUUUCAGUUUGUCCAUUGCCACCGAACAAUCACCACAGGAGAGUUGCACAACUCCAGCACUAACAAUAUAGCAAAUCUCAAUGCAAAAGCUUCAGCAUGUUCAGGUACAUUUUCUGAAAUAACAGAGGUUGUGCAGACGUUUCUUCAGAGAACUGUAAAGUUGAGGUACAAUUUUUCAGAGAAAAGCGUAGCAUGGCCCACGUCGUUGCCUCUCGAGGUCGAUGGAUCCGGCCGCUAGUGUAAUGGACGCGGCUACCCUGCAGGUCACACCCACCGUCAUCCUAGCGCAGCAGCUCAGAUGCGCUGCUAUCACCAUGCCGCUCGACUUCACCCCUGCGGCUGGUCUGCCGCGUGCGCGUCACCUACGCAGUCCCACUCUCCCGCCACACUGUCCGCGUCGUUGGUGAAGCUUCCGGGGCGGACGUCGCGGAUAUCGUUGCCUCCCUCCCAGGGCGGCGUCCUCGCCUCAGAUCCUCGGGAGCCCUCCCUGUCGAUGAGAGCUCCGAGGCGGUGCGUACCCGCGUCGUUGCCGGUGCCGGUUGUGUCUGCCCCGCCUCGUGCCUCACGGCCGCUAGAAGUCUCGAAACCGCCAUGGCGUUCCCCGCGGGAGCAGCCCAUGGGACGACCGGGGAAGAGUUAGAUCGAGUUGGGCAAGGCAAUCCCCACAUGAUAUUCGUUAAUCACUGAGAGAACAGGGGGUUAUCCACUAAUUUUGUUUAAGUGGAUCGUGGGAGAUCCCACCUUUGAUCGGAGCCGCUCAUUAUAGAUCCGAUGGACCACGUGAGAACUUUCAGAUUUUCACUGAAAACCUAUUUCCAACCAUUUUUUAAUAAGUGGUCAACAUUAUUUGUAUACACGUUCAACAUUAUCUGAACACAUAUUCAACAUUUUUAAAAUACUUGUCCAAUAUUUUAAUAUUUAUUCAACAUUUUUCAAAUAUAUGUUUAACAUUUUUUAAAUAGUCGUUCAAUACUUUUUCAACAUUUUUAAUAUUUAUUUGCAUUUUAAUACUUAUUCAACAUUUUCAAAUAUAAUGGUUCAACAUUUCCAAAUAGUUGUUCCACAUUUAUUAAUAGUUAUUCAACAUUUUCAAAUAUUUGUUCAACAUUUUUAAUAUUUAUUCGACAUUUUUUAUUUUUAUUCAACAUUCCGCAAUAGUUGUUCAACAUUUCUUAAAUACUCGUUCAACAUUUUUUAAUACUUAUUCAACAUUUGUCAAAUACUGGCUCAACAUUUCUGCAGAUACAUGUUCAAUAUUUUUUCAAAUACUUGUUCAAUAUUUUUUAAAUACUUAUUCAACAUUUUCUGAAUGAUUGAUUAGCAUUUUUCAAACAUGUGUUCAACAUUCUUCAAAAAAAUUUCAACAUUUUUUCAAAUACAUGAUCAACAUAUUUUUUCAAAUACUUGUUCAACAUUUUUUAAAUACUUAUUCAGCAUUUUCCAAAUGCUUGAUUAACAUUUUCUGAAAUACUUGUUCAACAUUUCCAAAUGUUUUUAUCGACUGUUUUUGUAUAAUAUAUAUGUAUAUAUAGAAUAUUUUAAAUUUUCAACAAAAGUAUAAACAUAAGCAAAAGGCCAAAUAGAAAACAAAAAAAAACUCAGAGAAAAUAGGUUGCAGCCUCGCGCUCGCGAGGGCCGGCCCAUCUGGCUCGCCCCCUUCAGCGAGUUGGAUGGUCGCCUCGCGUGAGGCGAGAAAUAGGGCGGGCACCCCACUUAGAACUCGCGCAGCGCGUGGCCGGCGACUCUCCGCGCGAAGCCGCACCUUUCCACACGCCUUUCUUCGUCGUCACACCAGCUGGUAGACCGCGCAGGCCUCCUGUAGAUGGCGUACCGGCUCUUCUGGCUCUCUUCCAGCUCCACGGCGUCGUACAGCAUUUGCAUUGCAAGCCAACUCAGUUCUCACGAGCCAGUCAGGGAAUGAAUGAUGUUCUCACGACUUUGUUAGCCAGCAGUGGGCUGGUCGAUGCUUUACCUGCUUGUAUUUUUGGUCCAGCUCCCAGAACCUCGCCUUCUUAUCUUCUUUAGAGAUUGGCCGAUUAGAGCAACUCUAAUGGGGCGAUCCAAACGGACGGCGAUUUCAUCCGCUUUUUGUCCGUUUGGGUCGGCCGCCCGCCAGGCGUCCGCCCUGUUUUUAAUAUGGGUCGGCAGCGCGCCUAACAUGCCGACCCAUAUGUGCUGGCGUGGCCGGCUGGCCGCCCAAUUUUACAUUGAUGAUUUGCAUUCAAACACAUUGUCAAAUAAAACGAAUAAAAAUAGUAUAGUUUUACAAGCCGAAUAAAAAUAAAAAUGUUUCACAUAGUUUUGCAAACGAAUAAAAAAAGAUACAUCUAUUGGUUGCCAACAUGAGCCCACAUAUGCUCAACCAAAUCAUUUUGCAGUUGCACGCGAGUUUUCCAAUCACGCAUGUCUUGAUGAAAUUGGGUGAACUGUUCAAACGUUGCCACUCCUUCAUGCUCAGGCACAACAUUCUCACCCUGAAACUGAAACCCUUAAUCGUACAGACGUUCCGGACGCUCGUCUUCUAUGAUCAUAUUGUGCAUGAUCACACAAGUAGUCAUCACCUCCCACAGUUUCUGCGUGCUCCAGGUAUUAGUUGGAUACCGAACGAUGCCCCAUCUAGAUUGCAAAACACCAAAGGCAUGCUCGACAUCCUUCCUAGCACUCUCUUGCUCUUAGGCAAAUCUUUUCCUCUUCUCUCCGACAGGGUUGGGUAUUGUCCUGACAAUAGUGGUCCACUGAGGAUAGAUACCGUCACCCAGGUAGUAUCCUUUGUCGUAGUUGUGGCCGUUGACAGUAAAGUUCACCGGUGGGUUGUUGUCUUUGGCAAGCCUAGCAAACACCGGCGAGCGCUGAAGCACGUUGAUAUCAUUGUGUGAUCCAGGCAUGCCAAAGAAAGAGUGCCAGAUCCAGAGAUCUUGAGACACCACGGCCUCUAGUAUGACGGUGCAAGCCCUGACAUGUCCUUUAUACUGCCCUUGCCAAGCAGAAGGACAGUUCUUCCACUCCCAGUGCAUGCAGUCUAUGCUGCCAAACAUCCCUGGGAUGCCCCUUCUGGCAUUCAUCGCCAACAAACGGGUUGUAUCUUCAGCUGUCGGCUCUCUCAAGUACUCAGGGCCAAACACAUCAAUAACAGCCUCGCAGAACUUAUACAGGGACUCUAGGCAUGUAGACUCGCUCAUACGGGCGUACUCGUCUAUGAGAUCACCGGGCACUCCGUAUGCAAGCAUUCGGAUGGCGGCAGUGCAUUUCUGAUAAGAGGAGAAACUGAUCUUGCCGACGGCAUCCUCUUUCCACUCAAAAUAGUCAUCAUAGCUGACCACCCCCUCUCUAAUACGGUUGAAAAAAUGCCUACUCAUACGGAAACGGCGGCGGAAUUUUCGAUGUUUGAACAACGGGUUUGUUGUAUCAAAGUAGUCCUUCCACAGAAGGAAAUGCCCGCUCUCUUGGUUGCGAGUCAACACCGGAAGGUGGCCCGGAAUGGAGCCACAGAACAAUGGCCGCUGGCUGUUGAGGUGGUGAUGGACCAACACGGCAGCCAAUAUCUCCUCCUCGUCGUCGGACGACGAAUCGCAAAGGAAAUUGUGGAAAAAGAACUCGUCAGCGGAGUCCAUUUCGUACCUUGGCAAUCUGUCGAACAGCUUGCGGGCGUCGAAGAAGGAGACGGCCGGCGAGGGGAGUCGCGACGCGCAUGGACCAGCUAGCUGCCCUGUCGACGUCCGACGAGUGGGCCGGCGUCCGACUGCGUGCCGGUCGGAUCUGGUCGGGGCGGCGAGGCGGUUUCUUGAUCGCGGGCGGCUGUGCGGUGGGAGGAGCAACGGUGGGAAGCAGUUUGCUCCCCGGCGGUAAGACGGCGGUGGCGGGCGACGGGGGAGUGGGCGGCGUUGCUGGGCGGAUGUGGAUGCGGCGGCAGCUGGUAGAGUCGCCGGCAAAAAUGGGCGGCGGCGUCGGCGACGGCGACGAAGGAGGCGGGCGAGGGUUGCUGUUGGCUGGGGAGAGGCCAAUAUGCCACCGACCAACGGGCCCGGGGAGAGCAGAAGGCGAGCGUGCACGCGUCCGUCGCGUGUCCGUGCCGACGCAAAUCCGGCUAAAAAAUGGGCCGGAAAUGGGUCGCCCGCAGACGAAAAGCGGACGUGUGUCCGUUUGGGUCGGCGCGUUGGGCCGCCUUUUGUGUCCGCGCCAACCCAAAUGAACGACGGCGGACGAAAUGGGUCGCCCCAUUAGAGUUGCUCUUACGGCCACAUAGCGAUGUGCUCGCUCUCUGAUACUCGUCGUAACGGGGACCCAAGAGGUUGCGCUCUUCGUCUACUACCUCGUCGAUGAAGCAUGUCAGCGGAGUUAUAUCUGAAGAACACAAUGAAGACGGUAAACGAGACGAACGUCAUGAUGAUACUCGAGUGUAUACAAAAAAUCUUCUGAAGUACCAGAGCUUAAAAUUUAGCACAUACUUUGCGGGUGAAAGUUGGCAUGAAAGUGCUAACGAACCUUACCUUAUUUCUAGGACCAACUGGAAUAUCUAUCCAGAUUAUAAGCUCUGUAAACUAUGUUCCCAGCUUAACUCCUAGCACAGCCAUGGCUAGGGUGCAUCUUUACGAAAAAGAGUUUCCCCCCACUUUAUAUUAUAAAGCACAACCGCCAAGACUAAGGUGCAUCUUUCUCACCCAACAAACGCAAAUUAAGUGGAAAUGCAUAAACAGCCUAGAAACCAAUGGAUAUGAACUACAAAAGCUGGAUUACCACUGCUGCAAAUUAAUCGGAUAGAGAUAAUCUAACUACUGUAGCUGUAUAACAAACUAUGCAACUUUAUAUUCCGUUGGAUAUUUGGAUUCAGUCAAGUUAUUUAGCAUGAAUUAAAGAUGUUCUUUUCUAUGCAUUUACUAACCAACAGUUAGUAAGAAACGAGGUAUUCUCCCUAUCCUCUUUACACCGCAUGCCUAAUUACUUGACAAAGAUACUUUCAGCACUUCAAAUUCGCAACCAUGGCAUGUAGGAGCAAAAGAGAAGGUCAGCUGUUAUAUAUGCAGAUGGUACAUAAACAAAGAAUCAUCAACUGUAUGCAGUUUUUUUAUAUGUAACCUACAUCGUCACUGUACCUGAAUAAUCACAUAUCCAGUCACCAAUAUUAGCUAAAAGUACACUAGUAAAUUGCAUUGGUGGUUGAUUAAGAGUAGUGAUUUGAGUUGAGUUGUCAUUGUGAGAUACCUCCUGCAUGGUUAUAGGACCCGGUUCUCUCCUGCAUAGGCCACCGGGGUCUUUAUAUACACGUCUUCUCUUAGAAGAGUAAGGCAUGAUCUCUGAUUUGGGCUUAGAUGGAGCCAACUAAGGUAAUAUCUCCUUAUAGUUGGUUGAAGUGCCAGAUCCAUAAGGCCUUGUUUGGUAGGAGAGGAUCGAGGGGGUUUUGAAGGGAAUUUCCUCGCGUGGCCCAGAAACCCCCCAAAACCUCGAGGGCCCAUUUGGUACACGGGGUUUCGAUGGCCCAACCCCCUCCUAUACCCUCCUUUCCAUGUGGUUCAGAGCCCUCAAGGGGGGACGCGUGGAUUUGGGGAGGAAAUGACACCGCGCUGCCGUCCGCUCACAGCGCCGCCGCCCGACUCCUCUUCAACGCGCCGUACACCAACUCCUCGACGCCGGCGUACCUCCUCCGCCAUACUGGGCUUCUCCCCGGUGGUAAGACCUCGCCUCGUCUCCCCCUCUUUCCCCUCGUCGUCUAGGUUUCUUCCAUCCGCCCGGCCAUGGCUGCCGCCUCGUCUUCCCCGGCGAGCUCACCAAGCACGCCGUCUCCGAGGGCACCAUGGUAAAGGAAAUAUGCCCUAGAGGCAAUAAUAAAAUUGUUAUUUAUAUUUCCUUAUAUCAUGAUAAAUGUUUAUUAUUCAUGCUAGAAUUGUAUUAACCGGAAACAUGAUACAUGUGUGAAUACAUAGACAAAACAAAGUGUCCCUAGUAUGCUUCUACUUGACUAGCUCGUUAAUCAAAGAUGGUUAAGUUUCCUGACCAUAGACAUGUGUUGUCAUUUGAUGAACAAGAUCACAUUAUUAGGAGAGUGAUGUGAUGGACAAGACCCAUUCGUUAGCUUAGCAUAAUGAUCGUUAAAGUUUUAUUGUUAUUGCUUUCUUCAUGACUUAUACAUAUUCCUUUGACUAUGAGAUUUUGCAACUCCCGAAUACCAGAGGAACACCUUGUAUGCUAUCAAACGUCACAACUUAACUGGGUGAUUAUAAAGAUGCUCUACAGGUGUCUCCGAAGGUGUUUGUUGGGUUGGCAUAGAUCGAGAUUAGGAUUUGUCACUCAGAGUAUCGGAGAGGUAUCUCUGGGCCCUCUCGGUAAUGCACAUCACGAUAAGCCUUGCAAGCAGUGUGACUGAUGAGUUAUUUGCGGGAUAAUGCAUUACAGAACGAGUAAAGAGACUUGCCGGUAACGAUAUUGAACUAGGUAUGAAGAUACCGAUGAUCGAAUCUCGAGCAAGUAACAUAUCGAUGACAAAGGGAAUGACGUAUGUUGUCAUUGCGGUUUGACCGAUAAAGAUCUUCGUAGAAUAUGUAGGAACCAAUAUGAGCAUCCAGGUUCCGUUGUUGGUUAUUGAUUGGAGAUGUGUCUCGGUCAUGUCUACAUAGUCCUCGAACCCAUAGGGUCCGCACGCUUAAUGUUCGAUGACGAUUUCUAUUAUGAGUUAUGUGUUUUGUUGACCGAAAAUUGUUCGGAGUCCUGGAUGAGUUCACGAACAUGACGAGGAGUCUCGAAAUGGUCGAGAGGUAAAGAUUGAUAUAUUGGACGAUAGUAUUCGGACACCGGAAUGGUUUUGGAGUGUUUCGGAGAUUUAUCGGAGUACCGAGGGGUUACCGGAACCCCCCGGGGAAAGUAAUGGGCCAACAUGGGCCAUAGGGGAGAGAGAGGGCAGCCCACAAGGGGUGGCGCCCCCCAGCCAUGGGCAGUCCGAAUUGGACAAGGGGUGGGGCUCCCCCCUUUCCUUCUCCCUCUCCUUCCCCCUUUCCCCCUCUGAAAGAAGGAAGGGGGCCGACUAGGACUAGGAGUCCAAGUCGGUUCCCCCCCAUGGCGCGCCCCUAGGGCCGGCCUCCUCCCCUCUCCUCCUUUNNNNNNNNNNNNNNNNNNNNNNNNNNNNNNNNNNNNNNNNNNNNNNNNNNNNNNNNNNNNNNNNNNNNNNNNNNNNNNNNNNNNNNNNNNNNNNNNNNNNNNNNNNNNNNNNNNNNNNNNNNNNNNNNNNNNNNNNNNNNNNNNNNNNNNNNNNNNNNNNNNNNNNNNNNNNNNNNNNNNNNNNNNNNNNNNNNNNNNNNNNNNNNNNNNNNNNNNNNNNNNNNNNNNNNNNNNNNNNNNNNNNNNNNNNNNNNNNNNNNNNNNNNNNNNNNNNNNNNNNNNNNNNNNNNNNNNNNNNNNNNNNNNNUUCUUAGCCGUGUGCGGUGCCCCCCUCCACCGUUUACUCCUUCGGUCAUAUUGUCGUAGUGCUUAGGCGAAGCCCUGCGCGGAUCACAUCACCAUCACCGUCACCACGCCGUCGUGUUAACGAAACUCUCCAUCGACACUUUGUUGGAUCAAGAGUUCGAGGGACGUCAUCGAGCUGAACGUGUGCAGAACUCGGAGGUGCCGUACGUUCGGUACAUGAUCGGUUGAAUCGAGAAGAUGUUCCACUACAUCAACCGCGUUAAACUAACGCUUCCGCUUUCGGUCUACGAGGGUACGUGGACACACUCUCCCCCUCUCAUUUUUAUGCAUCUCCUAGAUAGAUCUUGCGUGAUCGUAGGAAUUUUUUUGAAAUUGCAUGCUAUGUUCCCCAACAGUGGUAUCCAAGUCAGGUCUAUGCGUAGAUGAUAUGCACGAGUAGAACACAAAGAGUUGUGGGCGAUGAUAGUCAUACUGCUUACCACCAACGUCUUAUUUUGAUUCGGCGGUAUUGUUGGAUGAAGCGGCCCGGACCAACCUUACAUGAACAUGUUCAUGAGACCGGUUCCACCGACAGACAUGCAACUUGUUUUGCAUAAAUGUGGCUGGCGGGUGUCUGUUUCUCCAACUUUAGUUGAUUCAAAUUUGACUGCGGCCGGUCCUUGUUGAAGGUUAAAACAGCAAACUUGACGAAACAUCAUUGUGGUUUUGAUGCAUAGGUAAGAACGGUUCUUACUAGAAGCCCGUAGCAGCCACGUAAAACUUGCAACAACAAAGUAGACGACGUCUAACUUGUUUUUGCAGGGCAUGUUGUGAUGUGAUAUACGUUGUUAUAUGAGAUGAGCAUGUUUUGUAAAAGUUAUCGGCAACUGGCAGGAGCCUUAUGGUUGUCGUUUUAUUGUAUGGAAUGCAAUCGCCAUGUAAUUGCUUUACUUUAUCACUAUACGUUAGCGAUAGUUGUAGAAGCAAUAGUUGGCGAGACGACAACGACGCUACGAUGGAGAUCAAGGUGUCAAGCCGGAGACGGGAGAUCAUGACGGUGCUUUGGAGAUGGAGAUCAAAGGCACAAGAUGAUGAUGGCCAUAUCGUGUCACAUAUUUUGAUUGCAUGUGAUGUUUAUCUUUUAUGCAUCUUAUUUUGCUUAGUACGACGGUAGCAUUAUAAGAUGAUCCCUCACUAAAAUUUCAAGUUAUAAGCGUUCUCCCUAAGUAUGCACCGUUGCGACAGUUUGUCGUGCCGAGACACCACGUGAUGAUCGGGUGUGAUAAGCUCUACGUUCACAUACAAUGGGUGCAAGACAAAUUUGCACAUGCGGAAUACUCGGGUUAAACUUGACGAGCCUAACAUGUACAAACAUGGCCUCGGAACACUAGAGACCGAAAGGUCGAACGUGAAUCAUAUAGUAGAUAUGAUCAACAUAGAGAUGUUCACCAUUGAAAACUACUCCAUCUCAAGUGAUGAUCGGACAUGGUUUAGUUGAUAUGGAUCACGUGAUCAUUUAGAUGACUAGAGGGAUGUCUAUCUAAGUGGGAGUUCUUAAGUAAUAUGAUUAAUUGAACUUAAUUUAUCAUGAACUUAGUCCUGAUAGUUUUUGCAUAUCUAUGUUGUAGAUCAAUGGCCCGUGCUACCGUUCCCUUGAAUUUUAAUGCGUUCCUAGAGAAAGCUAAGUUGAAAGAUGAUGGUAGCAACUACACGAACUGGGUUCGUAACUUGAGGAUUAUCCUCAUUGCUGCACAGAAGAAUUACGUCCUUGAUGCACCGCUAGGUGCAAGGCCUGCUACAGGAGCAACUCCGGACGUUAUGAACAUCUGGCAAGCUAAAUCUGAUGACUACUCGAUAGUUCAGUGUGCCAUGCUUUACGGCUUAGAAUCGGGACUUCAAAGACGUUUUGAACGUCAUGGAACAUAUGAGAUGUUCCAGAAGUUGAAGUUAAUAUUUCAAGCAAAUGCCCGAGUUGAGGGAUAUGAACUCUGUCAAUGACACUAUCAUCCGGGCUUCAAAGACGUUUUGAACAUCAUGGAACAUAUGAGAUGUUCCAGAAGUUGAAGUUAAUAUUUCAAGAAAAUGCCCGAGUUGAGAGAUAUGAAGUCUCCAACAAGUUCUAUAGCUGCAAGAUGGAGGAGAACAGUUCUGUCAGUGAACACAUACUCAGAAUGGCUGGCUACCAUAACCACUUGACGAGUUAAUCUUCUGGAUGAUAGUGUCAUUGACAGAGUUCUUCAAUCACUGCCACCAAUCUAUAAAGUCUUCGUGAUGAACCAUAAUAUGCAAGGGAUGAACAAGACGAUUCCCGAGCUCUUCGCAAUGCUCAAGGCUGUGGAGGUAGAAAUCAAGAAGGAGCAUCAAGUGUUGAUGGUUAACAAGACCACUAGUUUCAAGAAAAAGGGAAAAGGAAAGAAGGGGAACUUCAAGAAGAAUAGCAAGCAAGUUGCUGCUCCCGGAAAGAAGCCCAAGUCUAGACCUAAGCCUGAAACUGAGUGCUUCUACUGCAAAGGGACUGGUCACUGGAAGCGGAACUGCCCCAAGUAUUUGGCGGAUAAGAAGGAUGGCAAAGUGAAAGGUAUAUUUGAUAUACAUGUUAUUGAUGUGUACCUUACUAAUGCUCGUAGUAGCGCCUGGGUAUUUGAUACUAGUUAUGUUGAUCAUAUUUGCAACUCGAAACAGGGGCUACGGAUUAAACGAAGAUUGGCUAAGGACGAGGUGACGAUGCGCGUCGGAAAUGGUUCCAAGGUCGAUGUGAUCGCCGUCGGCAUGCUACCUCUACAUCUACCUUCGGGAUUAGUUUUAGACCUAAAUAAUUGUUAUUUGGUGCCAGCGUUGAGCAUGAACAUUAUAUCUGGAUCUUGUUUGAUGCGAGACGGUUAUUCAUUUAAAUCAAAGAAUAAUGGUUGUUCUAUUUAUAUGAGUAAUAUCUUUUAGGUCAUGCACCCUUGAUGAGUGGUCUAUUUUUGUUGAAUUUCGAUCGUGGUGAUACACAUAUUCAUAAUAUUAAUGCCAAAAGAUGUAAAGUUAAUAAUGAUAGUGCAACUUAUUUGUGGCACUACCAUUUAGGUCAUAUUGGUGUAAAGCGCAUGAAGAAACUCCAUGCAGAUGGGCUUUUGGAAUCACUUGAUGCUUGCGAACCAUGCCUCAUGGGCAAGAUGACUAAGACUCCGUUCUCCGGAACAAUGGAGCGACCCACUGACUUAUUGGAAAUAUUACAUACUGAUGUAUGUGGUCCGAUGAGUGUUGAGGCUCGCGGCGGGUAUCGUUAUUUUCUAACCUUCACAGAUGAUUUGAGCAGAUAUGGGUAUAUCUACUCAAUGAAACACAAGUCUGAAACAUAUGAAAAGUUCAAUGAAUUUCAGUGUGAAGUGGAAAAUCAUCGUAACAAGAAAAUAAAGUUUCUACGAUCUGAUCGCGGAGGCGAAUAUUUGAGUUACCAGUUUGGUCUUCAUUUAAAACAAUGUGGAAUAGUUUCGCAACUCACGCCACCUGGAACACCACAACGUAAUGGUGCGUCCGAACGUCGUAACCGUACUUUAUUAGAUAUGGUGUGAUCUAUGAUGUCUCUUACCGAUUUACCACUAUCAUUUUGGGGUUAUGCAUUAGAGACAGAUGCAUUCACGUUAAAUAGGGCACCAUCUAAAUCCGUCGAGACGACACCAUAUGAAUUGUGGUUUGGCAAGAAACCUAAGUUGUUGUUUCUUCAAGUUUGAGGUUGCGAUGCUUAUGUGAAAAAGCUUCAGCCUGAUAAGCUCGAACCCAAAUCGGAGAAGUGCGUCUUCAUAGGAUACCCAAAAGAAACUGUUGGGUACACCUUCUAUCACAGAUCCGAAGGCAAGAUAUUUGUUGCUAAGAAUGGAUCAGUUUUAGAGAAGGAGUUUCUCUCGAAAGAAGUGAGUGGGAGGAAAGUAGAACUUGAUGAGGUAAUUGUACCUCCUCUCGAAUUGGAAAGUAGCUCAUCACAGAAAACCGUUCCCGUGAUGCCUACACCAACUAGUGAGGAUUGAGGAAGUUAAUGAUGGUGAUCAUGAAACUUCAGAUCAAGUUACUACCGAACCUCGUAGGUCAACCAGAAUGCGUUCCGCACCAGAGUGGUAUGGUAAUCCCGUUCUGGAAGUCAUGUUACUAGACCAUGACGAACCUAUGAACUAUGAGGAAGCGAUGAUAAGCCCAGAUUCCGCGAAAUGGCUUGAGGCCAUGAAAUCUGAGAUGGGAUCCAUGUAUGAGAACAAAGUAUGGACUUUGGUUGACUUGCCCGGUGAUAUGCAAGCCAUAGAGAAUAAAUGGAUCUUCAAGAAGAAGACUGACGCUGAUGGUAAUGAUACUGUCUACAAAGCUCGACUUGUUGCGAAAGGUUUUCAACAAGUUCAAGGAGUUGACUACGAUGAGACCUUCUCGCUCAUAGCGAUGCUUAAGUCUGUCCGAAUCAUGUUAGCAAUUGCCGCAUUUUAUGAUUAUGAAAUUUGGCAAAUGGACGUCAAAGCUUCAUUCCUUAAUGGAUUUCUUAAAGAAGAGUUGUAUAUGAUGCAACCAGAAGGUUUUGUCGAUCCUAAAGGUGCUAACAAAGUGUGCAAGCUCCAGCGAUCCAUUUAUGGACUGGUGCAAGCAUCUCGGAGUUGGAAUAUACGCUUUGAUAGUGUGAUCAAAGCAUGGUUUUAUACAGACUUUCAGAGAAGCCUGUAUUUAUAAGAAAGUGAGUGGGAGCUCUGUAGCAUUUCUAAUAUUAUAUGUGGAUGACAUAUUGUUGAUUAGAAAUGAUAUAGCAUUUCUGGAUAGCAUAAAAGGAUAUUUGAAUAAGAAUUUUUCAAUGAAAGACCUCGAUGAAGCUGCUUAUAUAUUGGGCAUCAAGAUCUAUAGAGAUAGAUCAAGACGCUCAAUUGGACUUUCACAAAGCACAUACCUUGAUAAAGUUUUGAAGAAGUUCAAAAUGGAUCAGUCAAAGAAAGGGUUCUUGCCUGUGUUACAAGGUGUGAAGUUGAGUCAGACUCAAUGCCCGACCACUGUAGAAGAUAGAGAGAAAAUGAAAGUCAUUCCCUAUGCCUCAGCCAUAGGUUCUAUCAUGUAUGCAAUGCUGAGUACCAGACCUGAUGUGUGCCUUGCUAUAAGUUUAGCAGGGAUGUACCAAAGUAAUCCAGGAGUGGAUCACUGGAGGCGGUCAAGAACAUCCUGAAAUACCUGAAAAGGACUAAGGAUAUGUUUGUCAUUUAUGGUGGUGACAAAGAGCUUGUCGUAAAUGUUUACGUCGAUGCUAGCUUUGACACUGAUCUGGAUGACUCUAAGUCGCAAACCGGAUAUGUAUUUAUAUUGAAUGGUGGAGCUGUCAGUUGGCGCAGUUCCAAGCAGAGCGUCAUGGCGGGAUCUACGUGUGAAGCGGAGUACAUAGCUGCUUCGGAAGCAGCAAAUGAACGAGUCUGGAUGAAGGAGUUCAUAUCUGAUCUAGGUGUAAUACCUAGUGCAUUGAGUCCAAUGAAAAUCUUUUGUGUCAAUACUGGAGCAAUUGCCUUAGCAAAGGAAUCCAGAUUUCACAAAAGAACCAAACGUAUCAAGACACGCUUCAACUUCAUCCGUGAUCAAGUCAAGGAGGGACACAUAGAGAUUUGCAAAAUACAUACAUAUCUUAAUGUUGCAGACCCGUUGACUAAACCUCUUCCACGAGCAAAACAUGAUUAGCACCAAGAAUCCAUGGGUGUUAGAAUCAUCACAAUGUAAUAUAGAUUAUUGACUCUAGUGCAAGUGGUAGACUGGAGAAAGUAUGCCCUAGAGGCAAUAAUAAUGUUGUUAUUUAUAUUUCCUUAUAUCAUGAUAAAUGUUCAUUAUUCAUGCUAGAAUUGUAUUAACCGGAAACUUGAUACAUGUGUGAACACAUAGACAAAACAAAGUGUCCCUAGUAUGCCUCUAUUUGACUAGCUCGUUAAUCAAAGAUGGUUAAGUUUCCUGACCAUAGACAUGUGUUGUCAUUUGAUGAACGGGAUCACAUCAUUAGGAGAAUGAUGUGAUGGACAAGACCUAUCUGUUAGCUUAGCAUAAUGAUCGUUAAAGUUUUAUUGCUAUUGCUUUCUUCAUGACUUAUACAUAUUCCUUUGACUAUGAGAUUAUGCAACUCCCGAAUACCGGAGGAACACCUUGUGUGCUAUAAAACGUCACAACGUAACUGGGUGAUUAUAAAGAUGCUCUACAGGUGUCUCCGAAGGUGUUUGUUGGGUUGGCAUAGAUCGAGAUUAGGAUUUGUCACUUCGAGUAUCGGAGAGGUAUAUCUGGGCCCUCUCGGUAAUGCACAUCACGAUAAGCCUUGCAAGCAAUGUGACUAAUGAGUUAUUAGCGGGAUGAUGCAUUACGGAACAAGUAAAGAGAAUUUCCGGUAACGAGAUUGAACUAGGCAAGUAACAUACCAAUGACAAAGGGAAUGACGUAUGUUGUCAUUGCGGUUUGACCGAUAAAGAUCUUCGUAGAAUAUGUAGGAACCAAUAUGAGCAUCCAAGUUCUGCUGUUGGUUAUUGAUCGGAGAUGUGUCUCGGUCAUGUCUAUAUAGUUCUCGAACCCGUAGGGUCCGCAUGCUUAACGUUUGAUGACGAUUUGUAUUAUGAGUUAUGUGUUUUUGUGACCGAAGAUUGUUCAGAGUCCCGAAUAAGAUCACGGACAUGACGAGGAGUCUCGAAAUGGUCGAGAGGUAAAGAUUGAUAUAUUGGACGAUACUAUUCAGACACCGUAAUGGUUUCAGAGUGUUUCGGAGAUUUAUCGGAGUACUGAGGGGUUACCGGAACCCCCCGGGGGGAGAGAGGGCAGCCCACAAGGGGUGGCACCCCCAUGAGCAGUCCGAAUUGGACAAGGAGAGGGGGUGCACCCCCCUUUUCUUCUCCCUCUCCCUCUCCUUCCCCCUUUCCCCCUCCCAAAGAAGGGAGGGGGCCCGACUAGGACUUGGAGCCCAAGUCGGUUCCCCCCCAUGGCGCGCCCCUAGGGCCGGCCUCCUCCCCUCUCCUCCUUUAUAUAUGGGGGCAGGGGGCACCCCAAAACAGAUCAAUUGUUUCUUAACCGUGUGCGGUGCCCCCCCUCCACCGUUUACUCCUCCGGUCAUGUUGUCGUAGUGCUUAGGCGAAGCCCUGCGCGAAUCACAUCACCAUCACCGUCACCACGCCGUCGUGCUGACGAAACUCUCACUCGACACUUUUCUAGAUCAAGAGUUUGAGGGACGUCAUCGAGCUGAACGUCUGCAGAACUCGGAGGUGCCAUACGUUCGGUACUUGAUCGGUUGAAUCGAGAAGAUGUUCGACUACAUCAUGAACAGAGUGAGGAGAGAUGAGGGAGGGNNNNNNNNNNNNNNNNNNNNNNNNNNNNNNNNNNNNNNNNNNNNNNNNNNNNNNNNNNNNNNNNNNNNNNNNNNNNNNNNNNNNNNNNNNNNNNNNNNNNNNNNNNNNNNNNNNNNNNNNNNNNNNNNNNNNNNNNNNNNNNNNNNNNNNNNNNNNNNNNNNNNNNNNNNNNNNNNNNNNNNNNNNNNNNNNNNNNNNNNNNNNNNNNNNNNNNNNNNNNNNNNNNNNNNNNNNNNNNNNNNNNNNNNNNNNNNNNNNNNNNNNNNNNNNNNNNNNNNNNNNNNNNNNNNNNNNNNNNNNNNNNNNNNNNNNNNNNNNNNNNNNNNNNNNNNNNNNGAGGAGUCGGGGGCGGCCCGAGGAGGAGGGAGGAGGGCGCGUGGGAGGAGGAGGGAGAGGAGGAAGGAGGGCAUACCGAGGGCGGCGGCGCGCGGCAAUGCGGUGGCGACGGCAAUGUGGCGUCGGCGGAGGAGCGAGGCAGCGGGGAGUGAGGGGAGGAAGAAGGUGGUCGGGGCGCGGGGGAGGAAAACUUGGGGAUAAGUCACCCAUAGGAGUAGCGCGUUCCCAGGAAGAGCGCUAAUGCUAAAACCAAUAGCAGUAGCAUUGGUUGUAGACCAGCGCCACUACUAUACCUAGCCUGCUGGCAACGGUGUGGCAGUUCUAGUAGUAGCGCUUUUUAUGUGGCACGCGCUACUGCUACUUAUAUAGUAGUAGCGGUCUUGUACACAACGCGCUACUGGUACAUAGCAGUAGCGCAUGUUUUUGACCAUCGCUACUGAUAAGUUUCUGUGUAUAAGGUUUUCCCUAGUAGUGUCAACCGCGUUAAAUUAACGCUUGCACUUUCGGUCUACGAGGGUAGGUGGACACACUCCCCCCCUCUCGUUGCUAUGCAUCUCCUAGAUAGAUCUUGCGUGAUCGUAGGAAUUUUUUUGAAAUUGCAUGCUACGUUCCCCAACACAUGGCCGUCACCAAGUUCACCUCCUCCUAGACUGAUGGCGUUUUGUUGGUUUCUGUAUCUGUACUCUCGACUCUGCCUACCUAUCUGCAAGUAGUGGUAGUAGUACGUGUGUUGGGUGUUUGCCAACGCUUUGUUGGUUAGUUAUUUGUAAGAACUGAACUGAUGUCUACUACACAACCUUCUUCUUGUAGACAUUGUUGGGCCUCCAAGUGCAGAGGUUUGUAGGACAGUAGCAAAUUUCCCUCAAGUGGAUGACCUAAGGUUUAUCAAUCCGUGGCAGGUGUAGGUUGAAGAUGGUCUCUCUCAAACAACCCUGCAACCAAAUAACAAAGAGUCUCUUGUGUCCCCAACACACCCAAUACAAUGGUAAAUUAUAUAGGUGCACUAGUUCGGCGAAGAGAUGGUGAUACAAGUGAAAUAUGGAUGGUAGAUAUCGGUUUUUGUAAUCUGAAAAUAUAAAAAGAGCAAGGUAACUAAUGAUAAAAGUGAGCGUGAACGGUAUUGCAAUGCUGGGAAACAAGGCCUAGGGUUCAUACUUUCACUACUGCAAGUUCUCUCAACAACAAUAACAUAACUGGAUCAUAUAACUAUCCCUCAACAUGCAACAAAGAGUCACUCCAAAGUCAGUAAUAGCGGAGAACAAACGAAGAGAUUAUGGUAGGGUACGAAACACCUCAAAGUUAUUCUUUCUGAUCGAUCUAUUCAAGAGUCUGUAGUAAAAUAACACGAAGCUAUUCUUUCCAUUCGAUCUAUCCUAGAGUUCGUACUAGAAUAACACCUUAAGACACAAAUCAACCAAAACCCUAAUGUCACCUAGAUACUCCAAUGUCACCUCAAGUAUCCAUGGGUAUGAUCAUAUGAUAUGCAUCACACAAUCUCAGAUUCAUCUAUUCAAACCAACACAAAGUACUUCAAAGAGUGCCCCAAAGUUUCUACCGGAGAGUCAAGACGAAAACGUGUGCCAACCCCUAUGCAUAAGUUCACGAGGUCACGGAACCCGCAAGUUGAUCACCAAAACAUACAUCAAGUGAAUCACAUGAUAUCCCAUUGUCACCACAGAUAAGCACAUGCAAGACAUACAUCAAGUGUUCUCAAAUCCUUAAAGACUCAAUCCGAUAAGAACUUCAAAGGGAAAACUCAAUCCAUUACAAGAGAGUAGAGGGGGACAAACAUCAUAAGAUCCAACUAUAAUAGCAAAGCUCGCGAUACAUCAAGAUCGUACCACCUCAAGAACACGAGAGAGAGAGAGAGAGAGAUCAAACACAUAGCUACUGGUACAUACCCUCGGCCCCGAGGGUGAACUACUCCCUCCUCGUCAUGGAGAGCACAGGGAUGAUGAAGAUGGCCACCGGAGAGGGAUUCCCCCCUCUGGCAGGGUGUCGGAACGGGUCUAGAUUGGUUUUCGGUGGCUACAGAGGCUUGCGGCCGCGGAACUCCCGAUCUAGGUUAUGUUCUGGAGGUUUCAGUAUAUAUAAGAGGUUUUGGCGUCGAGAACAAGUCAGGGGGGUCUCCGGGUGUCCACGAGGUAGGGAGGCAUGCCCAGGGGGGUGGGCGCGCCCCCCACCCUCGUGGGCAGCCAGGGACUCUUCUGGCCCAACUCUUUUACUCCAUGGCCUUCUUCUGGUCCAAAAAUAAGUUCCGUGAAGUUUCAGGUCAAUUGGACUCCGUUUGGUUUUCCUUUUCCGUGAUACUCAAAAACAACGAAAAAACAGAACUGGCACUGGGCUCUAGGUUAAUAGGUUAGUCCCAAAAAUCAUAUAAAAUAGCAUAUAAAACAUCCUAGAAGGAUAAUAUAAUAGCAUGGAACAAAUCAAAAAUUAUAGAUACGUUGGAGGUGUAUCAUGAACCUGUUGCUACUUUUGGCAAACUGAUCGGUCUAUCUAUGUGGUAAUGCUGCAGUAGUGUUGAUCUGAUUAAUGUUGGUUUUCCGCUCUUCUGAACACAUCAAUGUAUGGCCAUUCAUAUUUUAGUUGUUGAACUCUGGUUAUUUGUAGACCUCCUGCAUGUUCUAGAUUUUUUACUGAAUUUACUGUGAAUCACUGUAUCCUGUUGUGCAAACAAAGAUUUAGAAAUAAUGAUGCAUUCCUAUACUAGUGAUUUGAUUUUUUACUUGGUGAUUGAAUUGAUCUCUGUCAUGUCUGCUUUCAUAUGGCAGCAGCUUGGUG
This 184374-nucleotide long non-coding RNA is filed under the name Triticum aestivum (bread wheat). RNAcentral describes it as "long non-coding RNA (TAES_LNC028658)". The record is from RNAcentral. Lineage: Eukaryota; Viridiplantae; Streptophyta; Magnoliopsida; Poales; Poaceae.